AUUAAGUCAAGUGAAUGUAGCAUUUUUUGUGAUCUGCACUUGGAGCUUCGAAAUAUUGUUUUACAGCAUUUGAACGAUCGUAUAUUGCUUUAACAUAAAUAAAAUAAUUACUAGUUAGACUUCUAUAUGUGCAUGCAGCAGGGUUGGCCUCUAAGACUAAAUAUGUGCAAGUACCUGGGGUUGAGUAAUGACUCCAAGUUAGAGUUUUAACAAUGGAUGUUUUUGGGCCUGAUGUUUAUAAGCUUUUCAUGGGACAGAUUAGUUUAUAGAAAUGACGGUGUAAAUAUAUUUCCCAUUUAAUUAGUUGGAGAAAGAAAACACGAUCAGGCUGAGUAAGGAACUUGAGGAUAAGACCCGCAAGCUGAGGUAAUUAUAAUUUAUCGAUUUGUUUGUAAGAUAUAUGGUGGUUAAUUAGCUGGAUGAUCGUUUGAUGAGAGUCUGCCGAAAUUGGUUUGGCAUGCAACAGGCACCUGAAGGGUGAGGAGCUUCAAGACUUGGACCUGGAUGAACUGCAGAAGUUAGAAAAAUUGGUGGAAGCAAGCCAUGGCCGUGUGAUGGAAACUAAGGUCUGUUCUAGCUAGCUAGCUAAUUUAUUCUGUUACAAGUGAAUUCAGGUGUCCCAUGGCUUCUAAAAUCUAGGUAUCUUCAGAUAGAGGAGCACAUUGUGAGGCUUAUUAAUUAAGCAAUAAAAAUCUUCCGGAUCAUUGCACAAUAAUAUUCUUGCAAAGAGUAGGACAAAUGUCUUAAUUUUGUUCAAAUAGAAAAUUUGUUAUUAGCAUUUUAUAAAAGUAAGUGCAUUUCUUUCUCUAAUUUUUUGCACUAUGCAUGAGUGAGUCAUGACCGAGCUUAAUCAAAUAAAUAGGUCGACACGUUGUACCUCGUACACAUUGUUUUAAAUCACCGUGUUUAAUCAAAAGGUCAAUAGGUUUCCAAUUGCCUCGUACACAUUAUAUGUAUAUACAGCACCGUCUAAUUCCAAAUUUUCCAUUUAUUUCAGGAAAAAAAGAUUAUGAGUGAGAUUAUGGCACUUGCGAAAAAGGUUUAUAGUUAAAUAGAUGAUUGUUGUCUGUGUCUAUAUAUGGAAUAACCACAAAUAUUUACAAUAGUCAAGAAUUUCCUGAAAAGAAAAAAAAAACAUUAAUUAAAUUAUUAAUGAAUUUUUGCUUUGUGGUCCUCUUACUUGUACUGAUUAUAAAUGCAGGGAGAUGAGCUUGUAGAAGCUAACAACCAGCUAAAGCAGAGGGUAAGCAACUACCGUCAUCUAUGAGCUCGUUUGGAUAUGAUUUUAAAAUAAUUGAAAGCGCUUUUGGUGAAAAUAUUUUUAAAAACAAUCCUUAGUAAAAAUGCUAAUAAAUCUUAGAAAAGCAUUUAAAGUGCUUUUGAAACCCAAAAACAUUUUCUUUAAAAGCGUUUUUAAUCAUUUUUAAAACAUAUCGAAACAAGCCAUAUAUUUCCUCUUCUAUUUUUUUUUAUUUAAUGAAAAAACAAUAACUCUUAAUUAAAAAAUUAAAUCUGGGCGAUUUUUUUCUUUGUUGUCUUUGCAUGGCAGAUGGUGAUGUUAUCCGCCCGAGGAGAUAUCGGACCGGCGGCGAUCAUGGAGUUGGAAAACCUGAAUAAUGGUGGAGAAGAAGGCGUGACAUCUGAAUCAGCUACAAAUGUCACCACCAGCUCCAACAGUCCUCUUUCUCUUGAAGAUGACUGCUCCGACAUCUUGUCUCUCAAACUGGGGUGUGCCGCUUUAACUUCCUAAUAUAUGCUAUUUGCUUGUCUUUUGCUUUUGACUUUUGGCUUGUGCUUAUUUGAUGCUACGACGAAGAAUAAAGUUAGUAAAAUACUAGGGGGCUGUGUAGAUAACGGAUAUUUUGCUGUCCUCACGGAGGGUUCAUCUCAAACAUGAUCAGGUCGAAGUUUACACGUUACCAAUUUUAAACCUCUAAUUUUCUUUUCUUUAAUUUAAGUAAAAAAAGCCAUUUAGGGAAUGUUUUAAUAAAAGCUUAUCUCCUUCGUGGGGCAAACUUGUGUUCAAAGAUACCAAUGGGAUUGCCACGCCCCUUUCACGUUGAUGUAGGUCUUUUGUUUUGUUUCUGUGAUUAGCUCAAGUGCUUAUCUGGGCUUUGCUGUUUUUUCCUUUUUCCUUUACCUCAUGUUUCUUUUGCCGUUUGGCUCCUAUCCUCACUGUAUCACAAAUUCAUGAUGUUUGUCAAGUAUAAUUGCACUGCUAGGAUGCUUUUAUUCUUCAAUAUCUUAAAUGAAAUUGCUAAUCGUUUUUUGUAUUCGGUAUUUUCAGGCUACCUUAGUUUCCCUGGUUAAGAAGUGGACACAGAUAGGAAGUUGCACUUCCUUAUAAUUUCUAAAUCAAGUCGAGUUAUGUAAAAUACGAAUGAUUUGUGUCUUCUAAAUAAAGUCGAGUUAUUGUAAGAUACGAAUGAUUUGUGUGUCUUUUAAUUUUUGUUUUUGUUGGGGGGAGGGGGGGGGGGGGGGAGGUACUGUGACUGUGACUGUAUUAUAUGUAAAACUAUAUUUGUAUUGGUCGAAUAUAAAUUGUAUAGUAUCUAAAGCUUUAUAUAAAUGCAGGCCUAUGAAUCUCUAGUUCAGUUCUAUGUUUUGUUUUUUGUCCUGUUCAGUUCUGUGUUGUGUUGUGGAUUUAUUGCGAUGGCAGGCUAAAAAUUAUGAGGGUUUUUUAUUUUUAAUUUUUUUAAUUUUUAAUUAUGCUUAAAUAUUCAUUUCUCUCCUAAAACAUCUGAAUUCACUACAAGAAAAAUGGCCUUUGGGCACAAAAUUAGGGACACAAAUGAGGUGUAUGUGUUUGUUUAAACAUCAAUAGGGUGGAACUGCGCUCAUUCCGUAAUGGGCACCAUGUAUUGUGCCCAAUGUUAAGAGGAAUGGACACAAUUACAUUAUUGGGCACAUAACAAUGACUUUUGUACCUUUAAUGUCAGAAAUGGAAUUUUUUUAUUAUUUUGCAAAGUAAUGACACCAUAAAUAUAAUCGUGCCCUAUAGUUUAAUAUAUUUAAUGUAAAUGUGAAUUUUUUGUGCCCUUUGUUUAAAAUAAUGUUUUAUACGAAAUGAGAAAAGCACUUUCCUCAAUCUUCAGUCCUCACUCUCUCCUGGUUUCCUUCCUUCCGCCUGCCUCUCUCUGUGUUUCUCCGUUCAAACCCAGCCUCUCCUCUCUCUCGCUCUCCCUUCCCCAAUCGAAUCGAGCCUCUCUUCAACCCCAGGCUCUCUCUCUCUCUCUCUCUCUCUCUCUCUUUCUCUCUCUCUCUCUUGCCUCUCAUCUCAAUUCUUAACUCCAGUUCACAUCUCACGCAGAAACAUAAUUUGCAAAUCCUUCCCUUUCAAAGCUCACACACACUGUGAAUCGUUGGGUCUCAACUUAAGUUUCUAGUCAAGUUCACAUAUUCUCAGACUCUGCAAAUCCUUCUCCUUCAUAUAGAAUCUGCAAAUUAGUCGACCUUAACUCUCAUCUCAUCCCUAGUUCCCCUUCAGUUUAGUGCCUGCAUAAUGUGAUUCUUUCCCUCCACUUUGUUCCAGGUAAAAUGGUGAGAACUUAGAACCUGUAUUGGUUAAUUUAGUUAAUAAUUUGUGAUUAAUUUUAAGGUUAGGUUUCGUUUGAAACAAAAGGGGAACUGAGCUUUUUUCUCUUUUUGGUUAUAAUCAAAAGGAGAUUUGAUCUAGUUCAAAUUCAAACAAACCCAUUUUUGCCUUUCUCAGACUCUGCUGAUGGAUGCCGUUUGUCAAACCUGGACAAUGUCCUUUCCUUUCACUGUUAUUUUUUCGGAUUUUUUGUGUAUUUUGUCCCUUUUUUAUUUUUGUUAUAAUUUUUUGAUUUUGUAUAAUCUUUUUUCAAGUUCUUUGGUCUCUAGUCAUUAAUUUUGGAAAAUUUUUAGUUUUAUUGAAUUUUUCCAUUUUUAUUUGAGGUUUACCGUGUGGAAUUUUUAAUUUGUUCAAAAUUUAGAAUUCUGAUAAGGUUUUUGUAGUAAUUUGUGUAGGUUAUUUCUGGUUUUUGUAUGUGGUUUCUUUUGGUUUUAUAGGUGGACUCUAUUUAAACAAAAUAUUUGUUGAAAAUUCAUUUUUUUCUCAAUUACAUUGAUGGGUUUUUUAAAUCAUAUAGUACUUAAUAUUUUUAACACGAAGUUUGAGUUUAAAUUUAUUUAUGAAUUUAGGAUUUUAUCUUUGGAUUUUUUAGGAUCAAAAUUUUAUUGCUGAGUUUUAGUUUUUUGGAUAAUCAAAAUAGAUGGAUUUAAUUUUAAAGCUUUUUUGAUUUGUACAUGAUUGAAUUAAAACGAACUUAUCAAUGAUUUGGGGUUUUUUUAGAUAUGGAAUCUCAUGAUAAGGAAUGAUGUUUAACUUAUAGCUUAGCAGUUGAUGCAGGUUUCCUUUCUAUAACCUGUUUUUAUGGGGGCCAAAGUUCUUUGUGUUUUAAGUUUUGGUGAAACUGAAAAGGAAUUAAGAUUAUAUUUGUGUAUGAAUUUUGAAUAAAGAACUUAUUGAUGGUUAAUAAGUUUUGUUGGGCCUUUUAUAUGAAUGCUUUCAUAUUUGAACUUAUUUAACUGUUAUGUGAUUUGAGUUAGAAUUUUGGUUAUUUGAAUUGUCCCCAAAUGAUUUGUAUAUUUUAAAUGACUUUUUUUGUAUCUUUUUCUUUUGUAUAAAUUGGUAACUAAAUGGAUGUUAUUUUUUCCCAAUGACUUUGAUACCCAAUACAGAAUAUGAAAAACCCAACUUUAACUAAUUUGAUUUUUUUCCUAAAUGAAUUUGUUCUAAAUGUUGUUAUCUGCUCACAGAGUCAUCUGAUUUACAUUUUUUACUAGGGUGAUAAUGUGCCUCCACCAUUCAAUUCAUUUGAAUAUACUGGCCUCCCAUAUGAGAUUGAGAGGUAUUGAAUUAUUCUAUUUUUGUUUCUUUUGUGUAAUACUGGUAGCCUUUAGUGUAAGUUACCCGAGUGUUUUGUGCAAAGUUAUGUGAUUGCUAGAGGUCCAAUGUUGAGUUUCAUACUCAUGUUAAUUCUUUAGCCAUCUGCAUUUUUAUCGUAAGUGCGAUGCUGUGCUGCCCUCUUUGUGAUUGUCUGUUUUUCUUUUGUUACCCAUUACUGUGAAUCAAUGGUGUGUAAAAGCCCAUCCUAGAGUAAAAAGGAGAGCACAUCCACCCUCAGUUAGUGGCACUUUUCUAUUGUUUAUGUACUAUUCAUCUCCUAUCAUAGCACUUAGGUGACUUUUGUGUAUAUUGUAUUACAUUACAUGUGUUAGAACUUGCCACUAUUAUGCAGCUUUCAUAUUGCCAGUAAUACAAUAGCAGAGGCAUGCCAAGAUCUAUUAUUUGGUGUCUUUCCCAUAUUGUAUUUACUUUACAUACUAUCAAAGCAAUUAGGUCAUACUUUGGUAUUGUUUGAGUGUUCAAUGCAUACGUACAUAUGUCUUGAGGUUUUACAUAAUAUGAAUGCAUACAUUUGAUCUUUGUUAUUUUUGUUUUUGAGGGUGUCUGAUAGUUUGAAAACCCACAACAGAAUGGAGGCAAUUUUCUAGUGGAGGAGGCAAUUUUGUAAGGUAUAACUAUUUCUUACUCUAUGCUUUAUACUAAGAUUCCUUAUAGGGAAGAAGGGAAUGUGGUUAAGUUACAUUGCAUGAAGAACUUAGGUCCAACGACUGUAGUAGGGGAGGAUAGGAUUCUGAAGAAGGGCUUGGUUGUAAAUAUGUGGGAUUUGUUGUAAAUAACUGAAAUACAUGUAUAUUGUGGGAUUUGUUGAUUUUAUGAAAAUUUAGAAUUUUUUUGUUUUGUUUCAAUUUUUUUUCUUUUCAAAUUGAACCUAUUGGGCACGAUUUGAAAUUAGUACGCAUGAUUGUCUAUCAUCUGACAUGUUGUCAAAAUUAAGGUACAAAAAGACAUCUAUUUGUGCUGAACUGUUUGAGCACAAAAUGUCAUAUCAUGCCCUUUCAUCAUUGGUGACACCCAUAUAGGGCACAUACAAUAUAAUAGUAGUUGCACUGUUGCCAUUGGUCUAUGGGCACAUAUGUUGGUGCCCUUUGGCCUCAAAUGGCACAAAUAAUUUAUUGUGUGCAGUGCCCAUUUUUGUUGUAGUGAUUAGUCGAUACUUAACAUCCUCGAGGUUUACAUAUGUGUUUUAUUUUGCAUUGUUUUUCUCAACACCGUCCAAGAUCAGUCAAUUGUGUAACUGAUAGGGUUAUUAGUUGAGAUGUUGAUCGAGUUAUCCGUGUGAUUUUUUGGCCGUGCCCUGAAAAGUUGGUACUUUAACCUCCUUCGAGGUUUACACAUGUGUUUCAUUUUGCCUUGUUUUGCUCAACAUCGUCCAAUAUUAGUCAAUAACAUACGUGAUAUGGUUAGAAUUUGACCAUGUUGUACGUGUGAUCUUGUUGACCGCGCUCUGAAAAGUUGAUACUUACCUUCCCCAAGGUUUAUAUGUGUGUUUCAUUUUGCCUUGUUUUUCUCAACAUCAUCCAAGAUCAGUCAAUAGCUUGCAUGAUAGGGUUAUUAGUUAAGAUUUUGACUAUGUUGUAAAUGUGGUCUUUUAUAUUGAGUUCACAUCUCUCUUGUUGUGGAAAGAGUUAUUCUAGGAAUAUGAUUGUAGAAACAUAAAGUAGAAUCUAAUAAAAUUUAGAAGCUUUUUAUUCUAUUAUGACAUUUAUUACUUGAAAUAAAGUAAAACCGUACCUAUGAUUAAUAUAAGGGAAAUUUUUUGAAUUGUCAUAUGAACUUGUAUACACUUUUUAAUUUGUCAUAUAAAUUGAAACCUUAAGCAAUUUGUCAUAUCAACUUUUCGAAAUCAUUAAUUUGUGAUCUCACCCUAAGUCCAUUGUGUUUUCCAACCAAUAUAAGUCAUGACUUGUGUUCAGGGCUAUUUUAGUGAUUUUAGCAUUUCUUUUUCACAAGGUUUUUUAUUUUUCCUUAGUACGAACACUUAAAUAUUGUGUAUGAGAGUAUUCAUGAAGAUCAAUGUGAACAAAAUCUUUGAGAACAAGUAUAACGUAGCAGUAGCCCCUUCUGUAGCUUUAGAAACCCUAGAGUUUUUUGUCGAAUCCAACUUAAUAAAAGGGAAAUGAAGUGUUAGAAUGACCCAAAUAACUCUAAACACAAGUCAUGUGCGAGGCACAUGUCGUACAUGACUUAUAUUGGAUGGAAAACUCAAUGGAGUUAGGGUAAGAUGACAAACUAAUGAUUUCGGAAAGUUGGUAUGACAAAUUACUUAAAAUUUUAGUUUAUAUGACAAAUUAAAAAUUGUGUACAAGUUCAUAUGACAUUUCAAAAAUUUUCCCUUAAUAUAAAUAAAGGCACAAAGCUGAGUGAAAACGCACAUCACACAAAAGAAUGAGGCUAUUACUAGUUAUAUGCCUUUUUAAGCUUGCAGACAUGUGUAAAGUAUUUUUUGCUCUUCCAUUUGAUGUUUAUUCCACUUUGCAAUGAUUGCAAUUCCUUGAAGGAGUAGGAUUCUCUCCCCUUCUCCCCUUUCAUCCCCUCAUCUCACACUUUUCAUUUGCAAAGUAACAUGGCUACUCGUAUUGCACUUAUAGGGCGGAGUAGGAUUCUUUCCUCUCUUUUUUUCCCUCCCCUUCACUCCCCUCCUAUUUGAACCACGAUUAAGCCACGUCAACAUCUUACAUUAAUUUUUUUUAUAGAAAAAGAAAGACAAAAUAGAGAAUGUAAGAUGAGGGGAUGGAAAAAGGAAGGGAGAGAAUCCUAGUCCAGGACGGAGUAGAAUUAUAGGGCGACCACAAUGAGUAAAGAUGAAUGAUGUUUUCUUCACAUUAUUUGUUCUUUUUAAUACUUAUUUGUUCUUUUUAUAUUAAAAGGGAAGAAAGAGUUAAGCACCUAAAACUCUCGACCAUUAGAUUUAGUCCAAAAUUUUUACUGUUUAAACCGCAUCAUUUUAGAGAUUUUUUUCGGUAUAUUGAUAUUUUUACACUAUGAGUUCGACUAAACUGCAUCAUUUUAGAGAAUUGCCUCUUAAGUUUUGUUUACUUUUUAUACGUGACAUAGUUAGUGCCAUUCCUUUCGGCAAAAAAGAAACUAGGAUUAUAAUAUUUCAUAGAAUCCUGACAUGAUUCAAUAUUAUAUUUUUUAAUUCUGGUUUUUAAAUUAAGUACACAUUAUCAAAUAAAUAAACACACUAUCUUUCCUUUUCACAUUUCAAGUUUCAACACAUAUACAAUGUACAAAAAAUAAGAUAUUAUAAAAACUUACUAAAAUAUAAGUGUUAAUGUUAAGCACUUUUAGGGCCACAUAAUGGUGUCGGCCGAGAAAGAAGCCUCGAAAAGCCCAAGAAAAUUGAGAAGCCCAAGGCCCAAGGGUCUUAGAAGAGGAUACCCCGAGCGCUAUAGCCGACUGUCUAUGAGCUUAGCCUAAUCAGGCUAUGUAAAGAGCUUUCUGACUGCCAGGGGUAGGUGGAGAGACUGAUAGUUUUAUGGCACAAACUUGAAAUCCAACACCAAGUUGAAAUUCGAGUUAUCUAAUUGUCCAUCGGACAGCAGACGACGUUGCACCGUGAGUGCACCAUUCACGGGCUUUGAGAGCUCUCUGGUGGUUUUCACUGCCUUUCGACCACUUUUUGGAAGUCGACCUAGCUAUAAAAAUCUUUCGCUUGUCUUGUUCUACAUCUCUGUGGUUUUGUGAUGUUUGGAGUUUGUCGGAAAUUUCAGUUUGUGUUAGCUAGAAAUCACGGUGCAUGGUGGCGCGUUUGGUGGCGUGUGGGAAACUCUGGCUAUCUUGAUUUUCGACAGCGAUACUUCCUUGAUGUUCGGAGCCUAUAUCCAAGGUUCGUUUGUGUUGAAACUUGAUAUGAUGGUUUGGUUAUUCAAAUUAUGGGUAUUGACUUUUGAUUUUUGUAGUUGACGCCAACCUAAUCAUUGGAUCGUCGGCAAGUUUAAUGAGCAUGUUAUUCAUCGAUUGAUGGACCAUGAGAAAUUGUGAAACAGAAAUCCGGCAGUCGGGUAUUCUUGUUGAAGAAUCUUGGAUUAUUGACAUUUGUAGUAGACAAAGAUCCGACCAUUGGAUCAUCUCGAAAUUAUAGUAUGUGGUUGUACGUAUAUUUAAGGAUCUUAUGAAUUUGAAAAUCCAUUGUGCAGAUCUUCCAGAUUAGACUACGUUGGGUCGUUGACCCUACUACGAACCAUGUUUGUUGAUGCAAAUUUCCGCUGUCUCUAGCUUUGACAAAAAUGCACUUGCAAACCAAUCAACACCUUUGAUCAAGGACCUAAGCCUCACGUGCCCAUGAGGUAGGAUGGUUAGGCCAAUAGAUCUCCGAUACCUAAGUUAGUUUCUUUGAGAAGAAUAAAGUGUUUAGGGCUUUUAGGGGUAGCAAAAGCUUACCGAAAUUUAGUAGAAUAUGAGGUAUAUAUAGGGGAGUGGCCGGCCAUGGUGUUAGGGUUUUACCCUACAUGAGGCGACAUCCUAUUGGCCAAGGUUUUAUGGAGAAAUAUUCUCAAAAUAUUAAAUAGGAAAUAAUAUCUUGAGAUAAUAGAGUAAUUAUCCCUAAUUGAUUUAAAUAUGGAUUUCUUACUUGAAUAGAGUCAAUCUUCAAUUGGGAAUGUAUUAAAGAUAGGAUUUGGGUAAUUAAUCCUUAUCUUUAAUGCCUUAACUUUUCUUUGCCAAGGGCAGGUGAGUUGUGGGCAGUCGUAUUCAGCUGCUGGGACCUUCAAGAGGGUGAGCUGCGCAUGAGAGAUAUGAGGAGCUUGUCCAUUUAAUGAGGGCAAUCUUGUCUUUCUUGAGCAAAAGUUCACAUGUCGCCUAUAGAAUAUUUGGGAUUAUUUUAGGCUCCACAAAUGCCCCUACACCUGCUAGGCUGCUCAUAGGAAAAUGGCAGUAGGUAUAGAAAUCCUAACAUGCAUAGGCUUGUAGAGUUGUUUCCCAAUUUGAACUAGAUCUCCUUUCUUGAUUUGGAGAUAGAUUUCUUCUAGGAAAAUGAAACCAAUUGCCCCUAAUGCCUAUUUAAUUUUGCCUUAAGUAGGGGAUUAAAUAAAUUUGGAGAAAAAUCAUAAUUCCAACAAGGAAGAGAAAAGCCAGAGGAAAUUUGUUCUCCCUUCCCUAGCUUUCUUCUUCUCAUGCCCUUGCAAAGAGUCAUCUCUCGUUAUUUUUCUCCUUCUUCAUGCCGCUCUAAGGUAAGAAAAUUUUGAAUUUUUCCUUCUUGAUUUUUUAGGAGUCUUGGGGCUUGAAAAAUUGGUUCGGCAAGUCUGAGGUGGCAUGAGGGACGAGGCUAGGGUGCCACGAGGCUGUUGUGCACAGGUGGUGCAGCGGCGGAGCUCGGCUGGCGUGGACUAAGUGCUUGGCUCGAGCAGAUGUAACAAGCGCGCUGGGCAUGAGGAGGCCAGCUCGAGCUGGGCCUCCAUAACUGCUAGGCACGGGCCCAUGUAGGCAAAAGGAGAGAGAGUGAGAUAGACUGGUAUGCGCUGACUCUCUGGUUCCUGUGACUUGGGCUGAGAGGCCUGAGCCUGCUUAAGCGUGCUGGGCACGAAUGAGGAAAGGGGAAGGAGGCACAUGCCUCAUCCCGUACUGGGUUAAGCGGCAUGGUUGCAUACAUGAAGAACCAUGAGACUUUGGGCCAUACUGCUUGAGAAAGAGGGUUGGGUCGUGGGGCACUGAACUCUGCGGCCCUUCUAAUUUUUUUUUAUUCUUUUCUCGCGAGCUACCUUUUAAAUAAUUUUCUUUAUACUUUUGGCAAGGAUUUUGAGAUGUCUCCCUUAGAUUGCAAAAGUGACGAAUACCCUCAAUCUUUGUGUCGUCAAGAUAGUUCUUUCGAAAAGGUGGGCUACUUCAAGGCUGCAUAUGUCAAGAUCAACUCCGAUGAGCUGUUUCAGGAUUUUCUUGAGACAUAUGAGCAUGCGAUUUCGUCAGGGGUUCGCGUCAAGCGGGUGAAUGAUGAUAACAACCAUGAACCGUGCAGCGAGGGUACCACUACUAGGAAAAAGGCUAUCAAAUUCCAUCUACAUUACUUUGUGUUGGGAUUUAAUUUUCCUAUGCCGUGUCUUUUUCAGGAGGUGGUAUGCUUUAUGAAAUGUACGCCUGUUUAGUGCUUCCCGAAUGCUGUCCGUGCGAUGGUGGGGUUUUCAAAUUUGAGCAAGUUAUUUGAUCUUGGCUUGACCAUAAAUGAGUUAUAGUACUUCUUUGAAAUCGGCCACAAGGAAGGUGUGGGGCAGCUGAGGUAUAGGUUGCUUGAUGUUUCAUUUAAAGGUGAUCAUGAGUGGGAGAUAGAUACCUUGUAGGUAAGUGGAAAGUGGGAGUUCGACUCCUCUCAUAAACUACGUGUUCCGACUGUCUUUAUCAAUGGUAAGUGAACUGCUUCAUUCCUGGUUUGCUUGAAUCUUUCUUAUUUUGUGUAGAUUUGAAAUUUGGCUCAACUCCAAGAACUUCAGCAGAUAUGAAGAAAAUGCACAUCACCUUGGGCAUUCUUGCUGAGUACCAUAAGUGGAGCUGGUUGCCAGUCAUUUUCGUCGGGAGAAAUGCGGGUUGCCUCCAAAGGAAGACAUAAAGAGGAUAAAGGAUAAGGCAUUUGCUCGCCUGAUCGCUGUUGUAGAGCCUGCUGCCAAUGAGGGUGGAAAGAAGAUAUAUUCUUCACUUGCUUGUGAACCUUUGACUGAGAAGAAGUUAAGGACUUUUUCUGCUGCUCGCGGAGGCUCGUCUGUUGCUGAAGCUUAUCAUUGACCUGACUUCUCCCAAGGGGACAAAAAUGAUCGUUGAGCUUGGGCUUGUGAAACCUACUUCUCGAAGAUAGCCACGACCAUUCUUGAGAGGAUUUUCAGUGGAAAGGUUUAAUGGUGCCCCCGUUGUCUGGGUUUAUGUCGAAGCACGCAUUGGGAGCUAAGUCCAGUUCGGUUUCUGAGAAGCUUACUGCUAUGAAGAGCGGGAAUGUGGAUUAUACUGCUAAGGUGGUGUCUGAGCUUAUUUUUCCUUCUGUGCGACCGAUUCGUCUGCGAAGAUAGAGAAGUUUGCUCGCAUGGACAUUUGUGAUAGAUCCAGCGAGUCUGAAGGCUGACCUGCUUGAGGACAUCAAUGUAUGCGCCAAGUUUGUUGAUAGUGUUGGGAAAGUUGUUGUCCAUUCAGACUCUUUUGAAAAACGUUCUGCCUAUUGGAAAAUGUCAUCCUUGAUUGCUAUAAUGCAUAAGGCUUUGAUCCUGGCAGCUGAGUCUAUGCGCGUUGAUCAGGAUGCUGUCGAAUGUGCUAAGAAGGCCGAAGUGGCGUUGAUGGCUCACAUUCGCUCGGCUACUGAAAAGAUCGAGAAGCUCGAAAUUGAACUUGCCAUUUUAAAGGGGUCUAAUUUCUCUGCCCCUACUUCUAUGCAACGGAAACUGUUCAUCAGAAGGUCGUCCAUUUAGAAGCUAAGCUUAGUGUGACUUAGGUGAUGUUGGAAGCUACAGAGAAUAAAGUCAGUCGUGUUACACCAGUGGUCAAGGACCUUGAGUGUGUUAAUUCGAAUCUACAAUCUGUUUAUUUCACCAAGGACGAGAAACUUGUCUUUAUGCAUGCUGAAGUGUCUCGUCUCAAGGAUGUUGCCAGAAAGCUUGAGUCCAAAGAAGUGGAUCUGCAAGGUGCGUUGUCAGCUGGCGAGAACCUGAAAAAUGAACUGGGUAAGCUGCAUGAUGCUCACAUUGAACUUGUUAAAGAGAAUGUGCAGCAGAAGAAUGAGAAGGUCGGUCACCAAGUGGCGUUUGCUUCUUGUUGGGCAGAUUUCUACAAGCUUGGCUAUGCAGACCAUCUUCAUGGUAGGCCGUUUGAUUAUGAGUUUUUUUAGAAGGACUUCGAGACUUUCUCUAUUUCUCCAGUUGAUCUACUUAACUUCUUAUUUGAGGUUGCCUUUGGUGGAGCAGCUGAGGGUUAGAUAGUCUAGAUAGGUGACAUAGGAUAAGCUGAUGGAAGCUUUGGCUGUUAAAGACAUGGCAGUCUAGGGACAUGUGAUUGCGCAGGUUACCGAUGAGUAGUCUUUUUGCUUAGACUUAGGAAUUUUCCUAUUUUCCUUUUCAUUCUGCUUUAUUUGAACUUUGUUGGCCUUCGAGCUGGUAUAUUAAUUUGCUAGAAAUUUAAUAAACAACUUUCCUUGUUUUGCUUCAUCUUUAUAUUUCGUCAUGUUUUUUUUGCAAAUCUUUACCGUAAGACGGACGAUUGGGAGAGCUAUUUCAAUGAAGCAGUCGAUCUCUCAUCAUCACUUAGGUUUUAGUUUCGGCCUUGAUGCUCAAGGAGUUUUACCUGCAUAAGGAAAAAAUGCAAGAUUUCUAACUUAUAGAGCCAGCGGCCGAACUCUAAUCUCCUUAAGAAGCAGGUGAGUCCGCGUAGUUGCUAUAGUCAUGAAUCUCAGCUUUAGCGGCUGCACGAGCCUUGGCCCUCCUGGUCAUAUUGCGAAAUUUUUAACUUAUAGAGCCAGCGGCCGGACACGUGUUUCUCGUAGAAAGCAGAUGAGUCUGCGUAGCUAAUAUAGUCAUGAAUCUUGGCUUUAACGGCUGCAUGAUUCUUGGCCCUCAUGGGUUAUAUUGUGAUUUAACUUAUAGAGCCGACGGCUGGACAUGUGCUUCUCCUAGAAAGCAGAGGAGUCCGCGUAGCUACUAUAGUCAUGAAUCUCAGCUUUAACAGCUGCACGAGCCUUGGCCCUCCCAGGGCAUAUUGUAAAAUUUUUAACUUAUAGAGUCGACGACUGGACACGUGUUUCUCGUAGAAAGCAGAGGAGUCCGUGUAGCUACUAUAGUCAUACAUUUUGGCUUUAGCUCUUGCAAGUCUUUAACCAUAGACCGUCAGUCGGAGGCGCUACUUUUAGAUAAGUAGAAGGGUCCGCGUAGUCCUAGCAGGUGUAAAUCUUGGCUUACAUAAUGCCUAGGGCUGCCAACUGUUGGGUCGUCGGUCAGGCUUCUUACUUACAGAAGUAGACGACCCUCGUGACCACUUUAGGCGUCGUUUAUGGCUCUCGAAUGUGUUUUAGGCUUAAGGUGUAGUCAAAAUUGAGCCUCAGAGGCCACAUCCUUUCGAGCUGCUAGUCCCUUGAUCUUUUAAGCUGCACGCAGGUUGAUACGGAUCUUUAGGGCAUCAAUUUGUAACUUGAUUCCUCAUGUCGCUUAACUAGUAUUGCAACACUUUAGAGUUGAGUUAUGUUCAUGACGACUUGCACGUCGAGGACAAACCAUUUAGCCACACGAAUUCUUUCAUGGGCAGGGAUCGUGCAUUGAAUCUUUUAAUCGAAUAAGUCGUUUUAGGAAAAAGUCUAUUGUGGUCAAUUCUGGGAGCAAUUCGACACAUGUAGUUGAUGCAUUCAAGGGAAACUGAGUGGUCGUAAAACCCAUCCACGUCUGGAUAUCCUAGAUCAGUUUACUUUUCCUAAUGGAGAACACAUACCAUAUUUGCAUAGGCAUGGGCGUCUUCUGCUUUGGUAUGGGUGGUUAAUUUGUUUAUGCAUUUGGCCCAGGCAUGUGAAUAAUUCCUUUAAUCUUCAUUGAAAAUAGAGAAAUGUAUUAACUUUGCUUGCUUAAAGGCAAUAAUAGCAUAGCAAUUGAUAAUCCUCAUCAUACGAGGUCUUGUUCGUCAAGCUGCUUGAGUUUUCGAACUUUAUUUAUCUUGAAUAGGGUCUAAGAAAUGGUGGGAGGUCACACGUAGUACUUUCUCAGGUUGUAGGCAUUCCACUGCUUUUCGAUUUCUUUGGAGCUCAUAGUGGUGAGGGUAUAGCUGCCCUUUCUGCUUACUCAGCUGGUUUUGUACGAACCUUUCCAGAUGAGAGCUAUCUUUUUUAAGCCUUCCCGGUUAGCGGUUAUAAAGGCUUUUCUGAGGACUAAGUCUCCUGGUUGGAACUACCGAAUUUUCACCCUCUUGUUGUAGCUGGAGAUGAGCUGCUGCUUGUAGGCUACAAUGCGAGUGAUAAUCUUCUCGUGCUCUUCCUCUACCAAGUCUAAGUUUAUGGCCAUCACUUUCUUUUUCUGCUUAAAAUUCGGCAGUACAAUGCUGAUGCUUGGCACCAUAACUUUGGGAGGAAUGAUCGCCUCAGAGCCAAACGCUAGGGAAAAUGGAGUUUCGACUGUUGCUCAUCUCUUGGUUGUGCGAUACGCCCAUAGAACACCACAGAGUUUGUUUGGCCACUUGCCAUUCUUGUCUAAAAGGGAUUUCUUGAGCCAGUUAAGAAUGGUCUUGUUAGACUCCUCGGCCUGCCCAUUGUACUUCGGAUACCUGGGCGUAGACAUGUGCUGCUUGAUGCCAUAUUUUUUGAAGAACUUCGCCAAGUAUUUGCCUACAAAAUGCCGACCAUUGUCUAUGACGAUGGAGUGAGGGAUGCCGAAGCGACAUAUGAUGUGCUUCCAUAUGAAGCGCUUUGUGUCCAUUUGGGUAGUUGUAGUCAUGGGUUCGGUUUCGACCAAUAUUGUGAAGUUGUCUAUCAUUGCGAUCAUUAUGCCUCUACCCCCAGUGGCAGGUGGCGUUGGUCCUACCAGGUCAAUUGCCUACUGCAUGAAUGUUCAAAUGCUCAUCUAUGGGUGGAGUUCGCUAGCAGGUAGUGCAUGAAUGAACUUAAAGUGCUGGCAGCUGUCGCACAUUUGUACAUACUCCUUGGCAUCUUGAUGUAUGGUUGGCCAGUAGUAGCCUGUGUUAAAAGCUUUUUUAGCCAAUAAGUGGCCUCCAAAGUGGUUUCCAUAUAUGCAUUCGUGGAUUGAGCUAAGAAUCUUCAAGUCGUCGAGAGCCGAUAGGUAACAGAGAUGUAGUUCUAAGAAGGAUCUAUGAACGAGCAUGUCAUUCCAAAUGUAAUAGCAUGCUGCCUUCAUCUAAAGCUUCUUGGACUCCAGUGUGUCUGCGGGGAGCGUUUUGUUAACUAUGUAGUCGAUGAUGGGAUUUUGCCAACUCGGGGUUAUGUUAAUCUGCGCCACCUCGACUGCUGGUUCCUCAUCUAUGCUCGGCUUUUCCUAGUACUCGACUGGGAUGGAGCGCUUGAGCUGAUGGUCUAAGGCAGAGCUUAGGCUUGCUAGUGCGUUUGUGUGGGCAUUUUCUGCUUGUGGAACUUGAAGAAGUGUGUAUGCCUGGAAUAUUGCUAGCUACUCUCGUACCUUUUCGAGGUAUUGGGCCAUCUUUGGAUGUUUUGAUGCGUAGUCUUCUAGGGUUUGGUUCGUGAUUAGCUGGGAAUCGGAAUAGAUCGCGAGCUUCUUCACCGUUAGGUCUUUCGCUAAUCAGAAGCCUGCUAGUAGGGCUCCAUACUCUGCUUCAUUAUUUAAUGCCUUAAAGCUUAGAGUGAUUGCCUGCUCGAGCAUUGAACCAUCCGGGGUAGUAAGAACUAGGCCUGCUUUCGAUUUUUGGUAGUUAGAUGAUUCGUCGACGUGCAUGCACCAUAAAUUUCCUACAGAUAGGGCUGAUGCAGCUACGAUGUACUCAAUUGCCUGUAGGGCAUUUUUGGGCUAAGUUGUUGCAUCAUUCAGGCUUGGGGUGAAUUUUGCUACAAAGUCCGUCAAUGCUUGAGCUUUUAUUACCGUACAGGGUUGGUAUGCUAAGCUAUAUUGGCCAAGUUCCAAUGCCCACUUCAUCACUCAUUGAGAAGCGUCUAGACUAUGAAAAACUAAUCAUAUUGGGUACUAGGUCAUAACGAUGACCGGAUAUCUUUGAAAGUAGGGUUUGAGCUUCUAAGCUAUAACAACUAGCGCCAAAAUUAGCUUUUUGAUCUUCGGAUAUCUAGUUCCUGCAUCGAGAAGAGCUUUGGAUGUAUAAAAUAAAGGCAGUUGGGCCCUUAUCUCUUUUCAUAUGAAGGUAUAACUUAUUGCUACCUUUGAAAACACCAGGUAGAUGUACAAGUUCUCCGCUACUUCUGGCUAUAGUAGUGUAGGUGAUGUCAGGUACUGCUUAAGGCCCUAAAAUGCUUUCUCGCACUCGUUGUCCCAUUUGUCUUUCUACACCCUCUUGAUUGCCUUGAAGAAGGGCUUGCAUUGGCCAAUGGAUCGUGAGUGGAAACAAUUAAGUGUAGCUGUUCGUCCGGUCAGACUUUGGAUCUUCUUCAGAGUUAUGGGAGACUUCAUGUCCAGGAUUGCUCUAAUUUACCUUGGAUGAGCUUCGAUUCCUCGUCGGGUUAUAAGGUACCUUAGGAAUCAGCCUGAGGAGACUUCGAAAGUGCACUUGGCUAGGGAGUUUCAUUUUGUACUCUCGGAGGGUGUCAAAAGUCUCGACCAAGUUACCAAUGUGGUCCUACCGUUGCUUGCCUUUCAUCAUGAUAUCAUUGACGUAGACUUCCAUGGUUACUUCAAUUUGCUUCUUGAACAUCGUGUUUACGAGUUGUUAGUAAGUUGCUCAUGCGUUAUUGAGGCCAAACUCGUACAUGGCAAUCUUAUUGUAGCCUAAGUAUGCAUCUAAGACGCUGAGCAGUUGGUUCCUGGAUGUUGAGUUAACGAGCAGGUCGAUUCGGGGAACCGGGUAGUUGUCUUUAGGGUACGCCUUGCUGAGGUUGAUGUAAUCUAUGCAUACUCUCCAUUUGUCCUUCUUUUUUUUAUCACCAGCACGACGUUGGCUAGCCAUGCUGAGUGUGUCACUUCCUCAAUGAAUUUGGCCUUCAGUAACUUGUUGAUCUCCGCUAUAAUAACCGCUACUCGCUAGGGUACAAAAUGUCACCUUUUUUAGAUCCCAUGUUUGGCAGUGGGAUUGACGUGCAACUUGUGACAAGCUAUCGCUGGAUUAAUACCGGGCAUGUCAGAGGAUGACCAUGCGAAAACGUCACGAUUUUCCUUAAGGAAAAUCGUGAGUUCCUUAUUCUCCGUUGGGCUCAGACGUGAGCCAAUCCUAACUGUCUUCUCCGGCUAGUGAGGGUCAAGAAUGAUGUGCUCGGAGUCUUCUUUGGGUUUCCAUCCUGAUUCAUCUAUCAAGGCAUUGUCGACUUUAACGCCAUCUUCCUGACCCUCAUGCUAUGAUUGCUGUUUGGUGGAGGUAGAAUCGUCUUUCUGCACUUUAUCUGCUACUGCUGGGGUGAAAGACUUAUUUUUCAACUCCUUGAGAACUUGCACAGUGCAUCGUCGAGACAUGGCUUGGUCGUCUUUGAUCUCUCCGACUGUUCAUCCCGAGAUGUGAAAUCGGAUCUUCUGAUACUCAAUCGAGUUCACAGCUUUAAUUUUCACUAGCCAAGGUCGGCCUAAUAUCCCGUUAUGGGGAGAUGGGUCGCUGAUGAUCAUGAAGGUUUACGAUGAGACAAUUGGAUGACUGGUUACGUCAAGCGUGAUUGUGUAAAUGACAGUUGAAGUAAGUCCGUUAAAUCUGGUCAAGACUUCUGUUUUACACUUGAUCGUGUUUUCCAGCCCAUUUUCUGGAUGACUGACAGUUGUAGGAUAUUGACUGAGCUGUCAUUGCCCACCAUAAUUCUGUCAACGAUGGCGUUGGCCAGUUAAGCAGAAAUCACCAAGGAGUCGUCGUGGGGAAAAUUUACUCCCUUAGCGUCCUGCUUGGUGAAGCCGACGAUUGGUCUAUGUACAGUAUCUACGGCUUUAACCUAUAAAACCUAUCUCGCCUGCUGGAUCUUCGUCUUCUUGGAGUGGCCCCCAGAUGCUCGGAUUUGGCAAAGAUGUCAUUGAUUUGGAUCGUCUUGGUUUGGGGUUCGGCAUUGGCGUCUACUUCUUGCCUUGGCCGAGCAGCUGGCUUGUUCACAUACUGGUCGUAUUUGCCUUAUUUCACGAGCUUUUCAAGGUACUUCAUCCAUAUGAUGCAGUUGUUGGUUGCGUGCCUCGGAUCUCUUUGGAAUGCGCAAUAUUGUUCUUAAGGUGACAAAGGACUUGGUUGAUCUGGAUUGAGAACUUGGUGUACGUCUUAGGCGUUGAGCCUCCAUUUGCUGGGGAUCGGUCUAUGCGUCUACUUUUUGGCUUGUUUUUGUUAUUGAAUGGUUCUACAUCUUUGCAUGGCUACUUAUACUGCUUCUAUGAGCAAUUGGCCUCAUCCCAGAGGGAGUGCUUUUAUGCCAAAACAUAAGAAUCUGCCAGGGUCAAGUUCUUGCCCACGAUUAGUUCUCCGAAAAGAUGGCUUACUUUAUAUGCUACAAGGAAAGACUUUGGAAAUGGAGUGGCUAUGGUAUUUGAUGAAGUGCAAAGUGAUAAAAGUGACUUGUCAGCAUUAUGGCACAUAAGGUUGGGACAUGUAGGAGAAAAAUCAUUGCAAGGAUUGAUCAAGCAAGGGUGUUUAAAAUGAGCAAAAACUGGAAAGAUGGAGUUCUAUGAGCACUGUGUUCUUGGCAAACAAACAAAGGUGAAAUUUGGCUUAGCUGUUAAUCAAACGAAAUGGAUUUUGGUCUAUGUUCACUCUGAUGUUGGGGGCCUGCAAAGAAUGCUUGUUUAGGUGGAAAAAGAUAGUUUGUAUCUUUUAUUGAUGACUACUCUCGCAGAUUAUAUAUAUAUAUAUAUAUAUAUAUGAUGAAACGAAAGGACGAGGUUCUUGACAUCUUCUUGGAAUGGAAGAACAUGGUGGAAAAAAAGAAUGGAAAGAAGAUUAAGAUACUAAGAAGUGACAAUAAAGGGGAAUAUACCUAUGAUCAUUUCUUCAAUUUGUGUAAAAAGGAAGGGAUUACUCGGCAUUUCAGUGUUAGACAUACCCCAUAACAUAAUGGGAUUGCAAAGAGGCUAAAUAGGACCUUGCUCGAGAAAGUUCGUUGCAUGCUAUCUCAAGCUAAGCUGCUAGAGAGAUUUUGGGCAAAAGCUUUGAGAUAUGCAUGUCAUGUGCUUAAUCGACUACCAUCAACAACAUUGGAGGGUAGAACACCCAUUGAAGUGUGGUCUGGAGAACCAGCUCAAGACUACAAUAAGCUACGAGUGUUUGGAUACAAUGCCUACUUUCAUGUGAAGGAAAACAAACUAGAUCCAUGAGCCAAGAAAGUUGUCUUUAUAAGAUUCAAUAGUGGUAUGAAACGCUUCAGACUUUGGUGUCCUAAGUUGAACAAGAUUAUAGUAAGUAGAGAUGUGACAUUCGAUGAAAGUCACAUGAAAUUGAAGGAAGAUGUUCAGAUGGUGGAGCUUGGGGAACAAGUAAUUGUGAAUUCAUAACCAAGUAAGGAAGCUGUGGAAGAAGAAAGACAAGGUGAUCAACUUGAACAUGAAGAGAGUGAUCACGAAGAAGAAACACCAUCAUAAGAACUAAAGAUUCAUGAUGAUUACAUAGCCAAAAGGAAUGGAAAAAGAGACAUAUCCCUACUUGUCAGAUAUAAAGAUUGCAUGGCCUGCACGGUAUAUGCAUUGCCAAUAAUUGAGGUUGAAAUUCUUACUAAUUUUGAAGAAGCAGUAAAUAGUGAAGAAUUGAGUAAAUGGAAUGAUGCAAUGGACGAUGAAAUGCUCUCCAUUUACGAGAAUAAGACUUGGGAAUUGGUGAAGUUGCCUAAAGGAAGGAAAGCAAUUGGCUGCAAAUGGGUUUAUGUAAAAAAAGAUGGAGUGGAUGACAAGAGCUUGGUAAGAUUUAAAGCUAGGCUACUGGCUAAAGGAUAUGCUCAGAAUGAGAGAAUAUAUUACAAUGACAUUUUUUCUCCUAUAGUUAAGCACUCCUCCUUUCGAAUAUCGCUUGCCCUAGUUGCUUAAUUCAAUCUUAAAUUGGUACAACUAGACGUGAAGAUUGAAUUCCUUCACGGUAAUUUGGAUAAAGAGAUUUAUAUGAGAUAACCCGAGGGGUAUCAAAUGAAAGGCAAAAAAAAAGAUUGGUUUGUAAGCUCAAAAAAUCUCUUUAUGGUUUGAAGCAGUCGCCCAGGCAGUGGUAUUUAAGAUUUGACAAGUUUAUGAAGGGUCAAGACUAUACAAGAAGUCAUUAUGAUCACUGUGUUUAUCACAAGAAGUUGAAAGAUGGUUCGUUCAUAUACUUGUUAAUCUAUAUGGACGACAUGCUCAUAGCCUUAAGCAAUAUUUCAGAGAUAGAAAAGUUGAAUGAGCAAAUGAGAAGGGAGUUCGAAAUGAAGGAUCUCGGUGAAGCUAAGAAAAUAUUGGGAAUGGAGAUCACAAGGGAUAGACAAAAAGGCUUGGUGUGUUUGUCUCAGAAGCAAUAACUUGAGAAGUUAUUACAAAAGUUUGGAGUAACAAAAGACAUUAAGCCUGUAAGAACUCCAUUAGGUGCUCACUUCAAGUUGAGCAAUCAACAAUGUCCCAAAACUGAUGAAGAAAAUAUGAAGAUGGAUGGUAUUACAUAUGCUAAUUUGGUUGGAGAAUUAAUGUAUGCUAUGGUGUGUACUCGUCCUGAUAUAGCACAAGCAGCUAGAAUUGUUAGUAGAUUCAUGCAUAAUCCUGAAAGAGAGCAUUGGAAUGCUGCUAAGUGGACAUUAAGGUAUUUACAUGGAACAAGGGACAAAAGUAUUUGUUUUGAAAGAUGUGAUGAAGGAAUUGAUAAGUUCUCAGCUGGAUAUGUGGACUCAAACUUUGCUGGAGACUUAGACAAGAGAAGAUCGAUGACUAGGUAUGUGUUUACAACGACAAAGGAUCCUAUAUGCUAGAGAUCAAUACUACAACCAACGGUGGCACUAUCAACCACAGAAGCAGAAUACAUGGCGAUCACUCAAGCUAUCAAAUAAGCAAUGUGGACUCUGGGGUUGUUAGGAGAUUUAGGUGUAGAACAACACAAGUUGGAUGUAUAUUGUGAUAGCCAAAGUGCCAUUUAUUUGGCCAGAUAUCAGGUACAUCAUGCUAGGACUAAGCACAUUGAUGUACGAUAUCAUUUUGUGAGAGAAGUGGUAACUGAAUGUGAGAUUUGUCUAAAAAAGGUUGUUACAGAAGAUAAUACAGCUGACAUAUUGACAAAGGUGGUUAAUGCAGCUAAGUUCAAGCAUUGCUUGGAUUUGGUGCAGUUGAAGCAAGUUUGAUCUUGCGAUUUGGUGAGCAAAGAAAGUUGUUUGAUGCCUCGUUAUGGAUUUCAUGCCAAGGUGGAGAUUGUUGGAUUUAGCAUUAAAUCAACAUGCCUAAACUAAAACAAGAAUCAAACAAGGAUUAGGAUAUCUUGGACGCAAGAUAUUUGGAUUUGUGUUUCCUAGUUAGUUUGGGAUUUGGUUUUAGUAUAGGAUUUGGUUUCCUAUAUUCUAGGGACUUUGUGUAAACGUAUGACAUCUAUUAGUAUAAAUAGAUGGAUGCGAGAUAGAGUUUUGUGUGUGAAAGUUGUGAGAGGCAUAAGUUUGUAUACUUGCGAUCACUUUUGUUUGUGAGUUCUCUUGUAUUUGUUGGUAAUCAACAAAGCUUCUGUAGUUAGAGAGGUACUCAUAUAUUGGAGGAACUUUGAAAUCAUUGUGUUUUGUUUAUUUCUUGAUUGAUUUUUGGUUUAGUUUAUAACAAAGUCUGUGGUAGAAUCCGAUGUUUAUAAACAUGUAUUGGUCCUAUCCAGACUUGCAAGUUGCAAACUCUUGUACUAGAGAUUUGAUGUGGACGAGGAGCAUGAUGCACAAGAACUGAACUUCGAUGUAGAGAAUUCUUAAUUAGAUUCAUUUUACCAAAUAAAAAAGAGUAGAAGGUCACUCGAGCAAAAUAAAGACAAAGCCAAGUGUCGCAUCACAUUAUAACUUCACCCAGUUACACAAGAACGCAUGAGCUGUACUGAACACCAUCAUCCACAUAAAAGGAAAAAAAAAACAAGAAGGAUGCUAGCACCAAUUGCUUGAAGGGAAUAUUUUUGCUUCCCAAAGGUGCAAAUCAACUCACUGGAUUGUUAAAGAUAUCUAUUAAGAUCCAUUUAAUUUAAUAUUUUUAUAAUAUAUAGAGGUGUGAUUAGUAGUGAUGGUGAUGAUAUAAUAUAUUCUCUUGCUACAACAAUCGAGAAAUUUUUCACAUUUCUGUGUUCAAAGGAAUGCUUAAUCUUUCUGCAAUCGUCUAGAAUUCAUGAAAAAAAUGACUUUAUCCACUUAUCCAGUUUGCAUUUUACUCCAGCUUUCUUGUCUAACUACUAAGCUUUCCAGGUUCGCUACUCUAGUUGAACUCGGGUUUUCCAACAAAGUAUUUCUUAAUUGGCCCUUACCUGCCAUGCCCGUACUAUUACUAGAUUGAGCAACUGAACCGAACUAAGACUUGUUCCAUUAUAAAUUUAUCCUAAAUUGAAAGCAAUGCGGAUUAGCACAGAAAACCUGGCAGAAAGUAUUUUACUUAUAAUAUGUUCUCUUGCUACAACAAUUGAGAAACUUUUCAACAUUCCUAGAACACAGGACAGAACAACACAUGUCAUAUAUAAUAAGAGAGACUUGAAAAAACGUACAGCCUUGUACACACACCGAAAAAUCUGUCCUCAGUCGCUGCGUGCGUAAUUGACUGUCUUCUAUGGAUUUUAUAACUAACAAAUGUACAGCCAUCUGUUUCUACUUAUUUACUCCCUUGACAUUCUUUGAAUUUGCCUCCCCAGGCGCUCACCCCUUUCGUAUCCUCUAUCUCCCUUCUUUUCCUUUUUCUUAACCCUGAAGGAAAAACCAUUUCUGUAAUUCGAACAAACAAAUCAUUCACGGCUAGAAAUUGACACGUGUCCUUAUUUUAACACUAGUGAGUUAAAAUGAAAGUGCUGCAGCAGCAGGUGAUACAGAAAGGCCAUGGCAAAAGAGUAAAUAACAUAGAAAACGCAUGGCAAAAGGGCAGCUGCGUGUCAACUGCACAGCCAGCGGCUGAGGAAGAAUAAAACCGAUAAUCUCUUAGAUCGGUGAUCGGUCCACAUAUAAACUAAACGGUGGUGAUCGGUCCCCUGCUGAUCUGCGUUCCAGGUUUUAUUACCUUAAUUUCCAAAAAAAAUAUCCACAAAAAUAGAAAAAGGCACAAUGGGAAAUUUCCAUAAAUGGGAAAGAAACUUCGCUGCCUUUCCUUUCCUGAACAAACCAGCUGCGCCCAACUCUCUCUUUCCUCUCUCCCUCUCCCCUUCUCUUUCCAAAAUUGCUGGCUUUCACUGCUCUGCAAAUUUCCUGGUCGGACCAAAACUUCAGACCUGAAACCACCCCAACGAAGGUAAACAAAAAAACAGAGGAAAAUCAAGUAACUAAUUUCUUUAUGGUUUUCCUUUUUUCUUCUUCUUCAAUUUAUGGUAACUACGAAAUAUUGGACAGUUGAUUGUGGCUGGUUGGUUGAUCUGGGUUUUGUUUUACUUAUUUAGAUUUGAAACGCUAGGGUUUGUGGUCAAUAAUCCUUAAAAUUAUCAGAAACCCAGAAAAUAUAAGGUAGUUUUGGAGUUUGUGGACAUUUAUAUAUAUGUGGAAAUUCGAAAUGGUUGGUUUAUUUUAUUUUACUUGAAUUAUUGUUUCUGAAGGGGGUAGGAAGAAUUGGAGAAAAUGAUGAGGGAGAAGAUCAAGAUCAGGAAGAUCGACUGCUGGCCGGCAAGGCAGGUGACCUUCUCAAAGAGGAGAAGAGGGAUUUUCAAGAAAGCUGGAGAGCUGUCGAUUCUGUGUGAAUCUGAAGUUGGUGUUAUCAUCUUUUCUCAAACUGGCAAGCUCUUUGAUUUCUCAAGCUCCAGGUACCAACCCUGUACAACAUCCCACCGCCUUAUAAAUUCUUUCGAAUUUUCCCAACUUGAACAAAUAUAACCAAGUACAUGACUUGAUAACUUCUCUUUCUGAGAGAGAGAGAGACAGAGAGAUUCAGUCAUUUGGAUCAAAAAGUUAUAUAUUCCCAAAUGACCAGAGAGUGCUAACUGGCUAGAUAGAUAAUCUAUGCAUGUACACAAAGACAAACUAGAUAAGGCAGAGAAGAAAGGCUAUAGAAUCCAAAGGCUAGAGAAUUCAAAAGCUCACAGAGAGAGAGAGAGAGAGAGAGAGAGAGAGUUUUAACUAGAUAAGGUACUAUGAAUGCUAUCUAGAAUAUCUAGUUCAGGAAAGUGAGGUUUGCUUUUGAUUGAGACAGCUUCUAGCUAGGUGUCCUAGUUUGAGAAAUUAACAUUUUAUUACUUUUACAUGCUUUCAAUCUGUGAAGUGGUGGCGAUUUUUUACGUGAUGCUUAUCUCUUUGCUUUUCAUGCUACAUACAAUCGUGUCCGAUGCAGAAGUCUAUAUGUACAAGAGCCACUGGUCUAGUGAAUUAUAUAAUCUUAUUACUAUUUUACAGUUUCAUAGUUUAUCUUGCCGCUUUGAUCUGAUGAUAUUCCCCACCUAUCACAAAUUGGUUGUAGAUAACAAUAAAUAAAUUAAUAGUUGGGGUUUAUUAUUUUCUUAGACCGUCAUUCUCACUAGAAUUCAGAUAAUCAAUUUGAAAUAAAUAAUCUGAUAACAUAAAAUGAUAGAUAAAAUACUUUGGCUAGUAAAAGAGUGACUUACUCUCUAUGUACCAUAUAUAUACACGCAUGACAACUUCAACACACGAUGUCAGGCUAUGUUCCAAAAGUUGUCCUUCUCCCCACCUAAAACUAAAAUACCUGUAAAUGAUUACAGUGAAUUUGCUAAAGACUUAAAAUACGAAAAUUCAAUUAUAUAUGCUUUGGAUUUUCUUACUAGGAAGAAAGUGAUGUGAUGAAAACUUGGGAAUUCAUCAUAGAAGCCUUGAAGAUCCUUUGAGAAGGAAUAUGUAUGCCUGCGUCAAGUAGGGCAAUCGGUGGUGCAGCUAUGGCCAUAUAUAACCUGAUUUUUCACAUGCAUGCAUGAAAUAAUGAACUAACUUGAGUAGUUGCAAAGAUUAAAACCUUCUUCCAUAAAUAUUGUGCAUGAGAGGAAGGGUGAGAUUAAUAUCUUUGACAUGUAAUUGUGGAAUAAGAAUUUAGAUAAAGUUGUGCUUUUGUUUUAGUAAAGAAAAAAAAAAAGACGCUCCACAUAGUAAGUGAUGAUGUCAUUUUUAUUAAUAAAAAGGGAAAUAUCACUUUUAAAGUGGUUUCUUUAACCUGAAAUGUGUUAUAUAGGAUUACUUUAUCAAUCUGACAUCUCAAAUCAGCACGCAUAGAAAUAUGCCCUUAUUGUAGGAUGAUGUUUUUUAACUUGUCUACUGUGUCAUAAAAAGCUUCUAAGAAUUUACUAGAUAGUGUUACUAUUUUGUCAUCUAGAUAUUCCUAUUGUUACUAUUCGAUAUUCUCUUUCUAUACCAUUCUGAACCAAAUAUAUCGAUAAGGAAUUGUCGAGUGGAUUAGGGCUGAUAUACUCCCACAUAUAGAGGGGUUUUUUACGCCACCAAAGUCUCCACACCGUAGGCAAUUCGAGCUGACCUCAUUGCCUUGGUUGACUAUGAUGAACUACUGGAAGAGGGACAUCAUAUCCAGGUCGACUUGACUAAGAUGUGGUCAUCAGCACUUGAUAACCAUGGUGAGUUGGCCUCAUUCCCUUUGUUGAUAGCCAUAAGAUGUAUAAAGAAUUCAAUAUUUAGUGGAAACAAGUACUGUUUUACACACCUUAAAUGAGAACUUUUCAACCUCCAUAUAUUUGGUGACAGAACGAGAGGAGAGGAUUCUAGUGCUGCAAGCAUUCUAGCAUCAAGCGUCUUCUAUCAUGUUCCUUCAAGUAGGCAUGGAGAAGGACUUCUUCUCCCAGCUGGUAGAAUUCCUAUCUCGGCUAUUGCAAGCUUCCCAUCAAGCCAUAUCAAUUCCACUCUUGAAAUUCCCAUCAUUCCUGUCAACUAUUAACUACAAAAAAUUUCGCCAUAAGUACAACAUAAAUUAGUAUCCGAGUAUCUAAAAUAAAUCAUAUUAAUAUGUUCGUUGUGUGUGAUGUUUAUGCAAUUUGUAGAUUGCGCAUAAUAACUUCUUCUAAAGGAUAAAAAUUAGGUUUAUUUACAACUAAACUCUAGGACUCAAUUUUGAUUUCACUUUGCCUCCUAUAACUCAAAAUCACAAUUUUACUCCAUGAAACUCAAAAUUCUUUCCACUUUGACUUGUGGACUAUUGCAUCUCUUUGAAACUUAAAAGUCGCAUCCCUGAAACAUGUGGAACCCACCACCCAAUAAGACUGUCAACGUGUUAAUGAAUUUGAUUAUAAAUCUUCAUAUGGUAACAUUCAAUAAUAAAAAAAAAUAUUAAAAUCAAGUUUUAUAGAGUGAAAUGAGGAAAUUAAGAGCAAGUAUUAUAAAUCUUCACCAUGCGUUAACAUCUCACAUAACAAAAUUAAGGCAAUCUGGAGCGAAUUUGAGUUUUAUACAGUAAAAAUGAAUACUUUUGAGUCAAUGGGCAAAAUGGGAUCAAAUCGAAUAUCUUCGAAUAUCCCACUCCUACUUUACCUCAAAUAUCCUCAUUCUUAAUCAUGUCCAUUUUUUUUUUCACACACAUCCAACAAAGCAUUCUCAUCUUUACUAUUCAUUUUUUGCACUUGUUGAUGCUUGACCGUCCAACAUGUUGUGUCGUAAAGCAUUGUUGGCUUUAUUGCCGUCCUAUAAAAUUGUCUCUUAAGCUUUAGUGGCAUACGAGGUUGAACCACACACAACAUAGACCCAUGGAUCCAUACAUAUCGAUAAAAAUAAAAUCAAUAGAAAAGAAAGAAUUGGAAUUGAUGUACUCUCACUUCCUCCAUCCAGCUUGCAGUUAUGGUUGAGAUCUCCAUUCAAUUCUCCGUUCUUUUGCAAGGUAGAUCCAAGAUAAAGAAACUCUUUGGUACUUACUAAUAUCCAGUCCUCACUCCUAUCUCAUUUCGACUCCAUUUCCCAUUGAACAUGCACUCAAUAUAUUAUGUUUGACCUACUUGGGCGAAUUCCUUUAGAUUCCAAACACUUCAUUGUCAAAGGUCAAGCUUCGCAUUUACUCAUUUAUGCAUUUCAUCUAUCAGUACGACAUCAUUUGCAAAAAGCAUACACUGGGUGAUAUCAUCUUAAAUGUGUACAGUUAACUUAUCCAUUGCCAAUGCACAAAGGUAAAAACUUAAUGCUGAGUUUUGGUGUAAUCAUAUGGUAAUGGGAAAGCUUUCAAUUUGUUCUUCAUGAGUUCUUGUUGCAAUCUUUGCUCUAUCAUGUAUAUUCUUGAUUGCUUGGAUACAUGAUACUCAUACUCCUUUCUUCUUUAGAAUGUUUCAAACUCUCUUGGUACCCUAUCAUAUGCUUUUUUUACGUCUAUAAAGACCAUGUGCAAUUCUCUUGCACAUCUCUGCAUCAUUCCAUUGAUCUCUAUAAGAGAUAAAUUACUUUUGUAGUCAAGUGCUCUAGUAUAAACUCGAAUUAAUUGUGUAAGACUCAUGUCUCUUCCCUUGGUUUAUACGUAAUUACUCUCUUCCAAAACUUCAUUGUAUGACUUAUUAACUUAAUACGCUUAAUAGUACAUGCAAUCGCCCUUAUUCUUAUAUUGUUUUGCUAACUAUGGUAGCAAAGCAUUGACAAAUUCAGGAUUGGUAAUCAAGCCACCCACCAAAAUGUGGACGUAGCAAAUAUAACAAUUAAAGCAUAUUUGCAAUGAUGUCCGACUUGAUGUGAGAGGAACUGACUUGGACUUUUUAGGCCCAUUUUGCUUAGUUAACUUAAUAGCCCCAACGUUGGUUUUGCCUUUUUGUUGUGUGUAUCCUCUGUUGGUGAUCUUAGUAUCUCAUAUGUAAUAUUCCGACUGAACAUUUUGAUCCGGGUAACGAGAUCAAGCAAUAAAGCCUCCAGAAAGAUUUGCCUUAAUGUUUUGACCUUUUGGCUGGUUGGAUUGCAACAGAACCAAAUAUCUCCAAAGUGAUAUUGUUGUGGAUGGUUAAUCUUGAUGAAUUAUCUCCAAAUCUGUAUUAAUUUGUUGUAAUUUUGUUUUCUUGUUGGUAAAUUAGUUCUGCAGCAUUUAACUGUGCAUGUUUUUGUUUUAUUGUUUUGGGGUAUUUUAUCCUAGUUUGCAUGCAUGUUCAAAGUGGUUGAUUUCAGUCACAGUUUUUAUAUAUUUUUGUAAAUGAAAAAUUGAACCAGAAAAGAACAGAGUAAUAACAAUCUCAUACAAAACCACAUACAACAUGCGAGUACUAACUUUUGGGAUUAUUGCAGAAGUGUUUGCAAGCACUAACUAAUUCUCUCUCUUAUUUUUGUUGAAUAUUAUUAUUAUAUAUGUGUCAUAAUUUAUAAAUAAUAAUGAAACGUGCUAAUUAUAUUUUAUCCUUUUAUGUUGUGAAGUACCAAGGAUGUGAUUGCAAGGUACAAAAACAAAUCACAUACUUCUGGGGAAAAAUCAGAUCAACCCACGUUUGAUCAACUGCAGGUAAUUCAGUUGCGUGGCUAAUCAACAUCGCUUGUUGGUGAUGGAUGUACAUAUCAAAAGAGGGAGACAAAAGAACAAGACUUGGAAGUGCCCAAGGACUAGAUGGUGGAAUCUAAAAGAAGAAAAACAAGCCAUUUUCAAAGAGAAGGUAAUCACCCAAUGUGUGUGGGAUAGAGAGGGGGAAGCUAGCCAAAUGUGGGAUUCCAUGGCUAGUUGUAUCCGAAAAGUAGCAAAAGAGGUAUUAGGAGAGUCCAAGGGCUUUGCCCCACACCAAAAGGAAUCUUGGUGGUGGAAUGAGGAGGUACAAACAAAGGUGAAGGCUAAGAAGGAAUGUUGUAAAGCCUUAUACAAGGAGAGGACCGAUGAAAAUGGUGAAAGGUAUAGAAAAGCGAAGCAAGAGGCGAAGAAAGCUGUCAGAGAAGCUAAGUUAGCGGCUUACGACGAUAUGUAUAAACGACUAGAUACCAAAGAAGGAGAGUUGGAUAUCUAUAAACUAGCUAGAGCAAGGGAAAAGAAGACAAGGGACCUAAACCAAGUGAGGUGCAUCAAGGAUGAGGAUGGAAAGGUUCUUGCUACAGAGAACGCGGUUAAAGACAGAUGGAGAGGUUAUUUUCAUAAUCUUUUCAAUGAAGGACAUGAAAGGAGUGCUUCUUUAGGGGAGUUGAGUAACUCAGAAGAGUGUAGAAACUACUCUUUUUAUCGUCGAAUCCGGAAGGAAGAAGUGGUUGUAGCUUUGAAGAAGAUGAAGCAUAGAAAAGCAAUAGGCCCAGACGAUAUACCAAUCGAAGUGUGGAAAGUUUUGGGAGAGACAGGUAUAACAUGGCUCACUGACCUUUUCAAUAGGAUUUUGAAAACGAAGAAGAAGAUGCCAAAUGAGUGGCGAACGAGCACUUUGGUGCCUAUCUACAAGAAUAAGGGCGACGUACAAAAUUGCAUGAACUAUAGGGGUAUUAAGCUAAUGAGUCAUACAAUGAAGCUCUGGGAGAGAGUCAUUGAGCAUAGAUUGAGGCAAGAGACACGGGUUUCGGACAACCAAUUCGGGUUCAUGCCAGGGCGCUCAACCAUGGAGGCAAUCUAUCUCUUACGAAGAUUGAUGGAAAGAUAUAGAGAUGGGAAAAAGGAUUUACACAUGGUCUUUAUAGAUUUGGAAAAAGCGUAUGAUAGGGUCCCAAGAGACAUUCUUUGGAGGAUUUUAGAGAAGAAAGGAGUACGAGUAGCAUAUAUCCAAGCUAUAAAGGAUAUGUAUGAAGGAGCAAAGACUGCCGUAAGAACUCAUGAAGGACAAACCGAAAGCUUUCCCAUAACUGUAGGAUUACAUCAAGGCUCAUCCUUAAGUCCUUACCUUUUUGCGUUGGUAAUGGAUGAGUUAACAGGACAUAUAUUCAAGAUGAUAUUCCUUGGUGUAUGCUUUCGCAGACGAUAUAUAUAGUGUUGAUAGAUGAAACUCAGGAAGGGGUAAAUGCAAAGCUUAACCUUUGGAGAGAAGUGUUGGAAUCUAAAGGUCUUCGCCUAAGCCGAUCAAAGACAGAAUAUAUGGAGUGCAAGUUCAGUGCAAAUGGAGGCCAAAACGAGUUAGGGGUGAGGAUCGGAGAUCAAGAAAUACCAAAGAGCGACCGUUUUCGUUACCUAGGAUCUAUCUUGCAAAAGAACGGAGAAUUAGAUGGAGAUCUCAACCAUAGAAUACAAGCUGGAUGGAUGAAGUGGAAGAGUGCAUCCGGCGUGUUGUGUGACCGCCGUAUGCCACUGAAGCUCAAGGGAAAAUUUUAUAGGACGGCAAUAAGGCCGGCGAUGCUGUAUGGCACAGAAUGUUGGGCGGUGAAGCAUCAACACGUACACAAAAUGGGUGUAGCGGAGAUGAGGAUGCUUCGUUGGAUGUGUGGGCACACGAGAAAGGAUAAGAUUAGGAAUGAGGAUAUCCGGGGUAAAGUAGGAGUAGCCGAAAUUGAAGGAAAGAUGAGAGAAAAUCGGUUACGGUGGUUUGGACAUGUGCAAAGAAGGCCUACUGACGCUCCGAUUAGAAGAUGCGACUAUGGGACAGAGAGGUUCAGGGCCGAAGGGGUAGAGGAAGACCUAGGAAAACUUUGGAAGAGACUCUAAGAAAAGACUUAGAGUACUUGGAUCUAACGAAGGACAUGACACAGGACCGAGCACAAUGGCGUUCUAAGAUUCAUAUAGCCGAUCCCACUCAGUGACUUGGAUUUUCCAAGUCUCCAACCGAGAAGUUUUCCUCACUCGGAAAAAUUAAGGGAACACUACCCCAACCUACAUGCUCCACUCAGAAAGCUUCAACAUACAAGCUUCAACAAAAGAAAAUUCAAAGAACUUAGCGAAGAAGGCUUUGGUGUAUUUAACACAAUACGUUGAAAUGAAGGAAAAAACUUAUUUAUUGAUAUCCCGAUAAGCUACAAAUAUGUACAUAUACAUGAGUCAAAAUAAACAAACAAGAGGGAGCCUUCACAAAGGUUGCUUAGGAGAAGUCUCAGCAGUCGGUAGAGCCCCAGAAAGAGAAGGCACCGGAGGGGGAUCAUUCGGAGCCUCAGUACUGGACAGAACCCUAGAAGGAGGAGGCAUCAGAGGUUGAUCAUUUGGAGCUUCAUUACGCGGUACAGCCCCAGAAGACGAAGGCAAUAAAUGCCUUUGGAACAAACCCACAAAUCUCUGAUGAUCAAGUAAAACCUGACCAUCAGUUUCCUUCAUCUGGUCAAGCUUCCUCUUCAUGUUUGUAGCAUAGUCAUGUGCGAGCCGGUGCAACUGUUUAUUCUCAUGCUUGAGCCCUCUAAUCUCCUGUUUGAGACUCAUCACUUCAGCCGCCAAUGAUUCAACUUGGCGGGUUCGAGCAAAUAGGCGUUGGGCCAUAUUAGACACAGAACCUGCACACUGAACACUGAGAGCCAGUGAAUCCUUAACAGCUAACUCAUCAGACCGUUUGGAAAGUAGUCUGUUAUCUUUGGGAGUGAGAAGGUUCCUGGCCACCACCGCAGCGGUCAUAUCAUUCUUCAUCACGGAAUCCCCAACGGUAAGAGGACCAGUAGGGGAGACGAAGGAUGGGCGCCAUAUGUUGUCUGGAGAAGGCGGGGCUGCCUCUUCAACAAGGUUCAAGUCAAAACGACGGUCGGAGGGGCCAGACAUUUUCAAAUGUAUUGAAGAGAGAAGAGGUCGGACAAAUCAAGAUCUUAGAAGUGCAAGAAUGGAGCUUCUACUGGUGGAGAUUCAAGUGUGCUUUGGAACUUAAUGCCAGCCCCUAUAAAAAGCUGCACUCAACGGAGCUUCAGACAUCGAAGAGGCGCCUGCUCAGAAAUCGAAGAGGCGUUUGCUUUCUCAAAAGCUGGGCUGCUUAGAGACCACGAGGGUUGAUCUCAUAAAUCGAAGAGGUGUUUGCUUUCUCAAAAGUUGGGCUGCUCAAAGACCACGAAAGCCGAUCUCAGAAAUCGAAGAGGCGCUCCCUUCCUCAAAAGCUGGGCUCCUCAGAGACCACGAGGGCCGAUCUCAGAAAUCGAAGAGGCACCUACUUUUUCAGCCUUGUCAGCACCUGUCACACGCACACUCAGCUUUGCGGAAAUUAUGGGUAUUCUGUCGAAGACUUCUGGGGAAGUAGAAAACACAUGAAUCUUACUGUGUCCAAUCACCCACUUCCCACACGCAACAAUAGCUCAUGGGUACCACAGAUAACUUUGCCAAAGUUCUCUGCCAAAGUUGAGCACGUGAAGCUUGCAGCUCCCACUACAUCGCUCUGACCAAGAAGGGUAAAAAGAAUAGCAAAGAAACAGCACUAACAAAGUUUAGACCCAUAAAUUUUGAAGGUCUAGCUACCAUAUUAUUACCCACAAGGGUAAAGGAACAGUACCACUGUUGGAUAAUUGGAAAGUCCCUGUGUGUCAACCUCUGUGCCUCGUGGCAAGGUAGACUAGCAAACAUACCCAACCUUUACUCACAUUCGAGAAAACACUCCCAAUAAGAUUGCUUGCUCCAAAAUCGAAGAGGCACCGUCCUCCGAAUCUCGAGAGCCAGACUCCCAACAUGACUACUUUCUCAAAAAUCGAAAAAGAGGGUAAAGGAACAGUACCAUUGCUGGAUAAUUGGAAAGUCCCUGUGUGUGUCAACCUCUGUGCUUCGUGGCAAGGUAGAUUAGCAAACAUGCCCAACCUUUACUCACAUUCGAGAAAACUCCCAACAAGAUUGCUUGCUCCAAAAUCGAAGAGGCACCGCCCUUCGAAUCUCGAGAGCCAGACUCCCAACAUGAUUACUUUCUCAAAAAUCGAAGAGACACUGCUCCCCGAAUCUCGAGAGCCAGACCCCCAACAUGAUCGCUUUCUCAAAAAUCGAAGAGGCAUCGUUAUCCGAAUCAAUCGAAGAGGCGCUCGCUUUCUCAAAAGCUGGGCUGCUCAGAGACCACGAGGGCCGAUCUCAGAAAUCGAAGAGGCACCUUCUUUUCUAGCCUUGUCAGCACCUGUCACACGCACACUUAGCUUUGCGGAAAUUAUGGGCAUUCUGUCGAAGACUUCUGGUGAAGUAGAAAGCACAUGAAUCUUACUGUUCAAUCACCCACUUCCCACACGCAACAAUAGCUCAUGGGUACCACAGAUAACUUUGUCAAAGUCUCUGCCAAAGUUGAGCACGUGAAGCUUGCAGCUCCCACUACAUCGCUCUGACCAAGAAAGGUAAAAGAAUAGCAAAGAAACAGCACUAACAAAGUUUAGACACAUAAAUUUUGAAGGUCUAGCUACCAUAUUAUUACCCCACAAGGGUAAAGGAACAGUACCACUGCUGGAUAAUUGGAAAGUCCCUGUGUGUCAACCUCCGUGCUUCGUGGCAAGGUAGACUAGCAAACAUGCCCAACCUUUACUCACAUCCGAGAAAACACUCCCAACAAGAUUGCUUACUCCAAAAUCGAAGAGGCACCGCCUUCCGAAUCUCGAGAGCCAGACUCCCAACAUGAUUACUUUCUCAAAAAUCGAAGAGACACUGCUCCCCGAAUCUCGAGAGCCAGACCCCCACCAUGAUUGCUUUCUCAAAAAUCGAAGAAGCAUCGUUCUCCGAAUCUCGAGAGCCAGAUAAACAUACCACCACUUUUUCAAAGUGCUCUGACAGAGUUAAAACAUGUGAAGCUGGCAGCUCCCACUACCGUGCUAUGACCAAGCAGGGUAAAGGAAUAGCAUUACUACUUGUUGUUAGGGAGACUCCUAUAUAUGUCGACCUCCAUCCCCAACGGACAGGUAGACCUGCAAAAAUGCUCAACCCUUCCUCGUAUCUGAGAGGGCACUCCCAACGAAGCCUUUCGAAAUAUUCAGCUUUCUUUCCCCCCGAUAAUACCUUUGCAAACAAGCUAUACUAGAGCAAGAAUAUCUCAUAUCAUCAGGGUUAAAAGCAAGAGUAUCCCAUAUCAUGCUUUUUCCCUGUCUUUUUCUUUGGCCUUGUUUUUACCUGCAAGACAAGGAGAAAGAGAGCAAUCAGUCAGCACUGGAAAUCAAGCUCCCAGCCAGGAACUGACAGCCUGGAACCCCUUACCUGAUUACUUACCUGGCAUUGCUCUCGAGUACUCAUCUUCAACAUCUUAUGUUGCCAGGGAAGAUACCGCAUCUGCUUGAGGAACAGAUAGGGCAAGUGCGAAGGAUACAAGGAAGCAUGUGGAGACAAGCGUAACAGCACACGUGCCGAUCCAUCCAUUACUCUGUCAAAAGCAAAAGUAUCCCAUAUCAGCAGGGUCGAACGUACUCUAGAUUUGAUGGACUUGUUUUGACCCUCAAAUUCUUCAGUCGGCCUUAUACUCUGGAGGAAACUAGAAAACCCUCCAGCUGAGUUCAAGAAUAAGCCUGUGGAAAGUUACUUCUUCAAAAGCAAAAGUAUCCCAUAUCAUCUCUUCUCAUUUUUCUUCUCUUUAUCCUUCAUGCUGCUGCAAGAUGGGAAGAAGGUGAACAAUCAGCCGGAGCUCUGAUUGCUUACCUUGUCUGUCACCUCUUUCAGCAAAUCCCCUAGCUCGGCGACUUGGGGGACUCCUACUACAUGGUUUGUAUCGCGCUUGACCAAGCCUGAAACUACAAGUAAGCUUCAAGUGAAAUUGAUACAUUACCUUGUGCAUCUCCACCAGUGAAAGAUACCACCCCUGGAUGGAGGAAGAGUACUUCCAGAGAAGCUGCCACAUCUACUUAUGAGACAGAUAAGGCAAGUCAAGAUGAUACCACACUCCGAUACUUAGAAGUUUCAUGAUUACGAGAUCAUUCUCCCACAAUAUUUCCUAAUGUCAUUUGUACUCUAAUGUCAUUUGUACUAAAUCAUUCACUUGUACUCACUAAAGGAGAGCUUGAACCUAUGUACUUGUGUAAACCCUUCACAAUUAAUGAGAACUCUUCUAUUCCGUGGACGUAGCCAAUCUGGGUGAACCACGUACAUCUUGUGUUUGCUUUCCUAUCUCUAUCCAUUUAUAUACUUAUCCACACUAAUGACCGGAGCAAUUUAGCGAAGAUCACAAAAAGCGACCGUUUUCGCUACCUAGGAUCUAUCUUACAAGAGAACGGAGAAUUAGAUGGAGAUCUCAAACCAUAGAAUACGAGCUGGAUGGAUGAAGUGUAAAGAGUGCAUCCAGCAUUGUUGUGUGUGACCGUCGUAGGCCACUGAAGCUCAAGGGAAAAUUUUAUAAGACGGCAAUAAGGCCAGCGAUGUUGUAUGGCACAGAAUGUUGGGCGGUGAAACAUCAACACGUACACAAAAUGGGUGUAGCAGAGAUGAGGAUGCUUCGUGGGAUGUAUGGGCACACGAGAAAGGAUAAGAUUGAGAAUGAGGAUAUCCGAGGUAAAGUAGGAGUAGCCGAAAUUGAAGGAAAGAUGAGAGAAAAUCGGUUCCGGUGAUUUGGACAUGUGCAAAGAAGGCCGACUGACGCUCCGGUUCGAAGAUGUGACUACGGGACAGAGGUUCAGGGCCGAAGGGGUAGAGGAAGACCUAGGAAAACUUUGGAAGAGACUCUAAGAAAAGGCUUAGAGUACUUGGAUCUAACGGAGGACAUGACACAAAACCGAGCGCAAUGGCGUUCUAGGAUUCAUAUAGCCGACCCCACUUAGUGGGAAAAGGCUUUGUUGUUGUUGUUGUUGUUGUUGUUGUUGUGGUAUAACAAUUAACUGUGUCAAGUGAAUGUAACACAUUCUGUGAUCUACACUCGGAGCUAUGGAAUGUAAUUUUACGGCAUUUCAUUUCUUUAACAUAAAUAAAAAGGUAAAUUACAUUUUGCAUAGUUUGAGUCCCAUAACAAACUCAUAACUUGUUUUUUGAACAUUGCUAUUUCAUACAUCAACUUACGAUUUCGUUGAAAUAUCAUACAUUCGUUAGUCAGUCCGUUAAUUUAAUGUUAAAUGAUGAUGUGUCAAAUGUGGGUCCCACAUUUUUUAUAAUGUGAUGUCAAAUUUGUGCCACAUGGACAAACAACUAAUUGAAAUUAUAUAAACUAUAAAAAUAAAAUAAAUAUUUAAUAAUUAAAUUAAAAAAAUAUUUUGAGGCAUCAGCCCACUGAGGCUGUAAGCAGAUGGAGCCCAAAAUCAGACGACCCUCUGCUCAGUCUAGAAUCAUAGUUGUAUCCAAUUUUAAUUGUUUGUUUGUCCACGUGGCACAAAUUUGAAUCAAAAUGUGGGACGCGUAGUUGUCACAUUAUCAUGGUUGGCCUUUUGGGCUAAAUAUGUGCAAGUACGUGUGGUUAAGUAAUAACUCCAAGUUAUAGCUUUAACUUCCAUUGAAGAUAAGACCCGCAAGCUUAGGUAAUUAUAAUUUAUCAAUUUGCUUGUAAGAUGUAUGGUGGUUAAUUAAGCUGGUAUGAUCGUUUGACGAGAGUCUGCUGAAAUUGGUUUGGCAUGCAAAAGGCAGAUGAAAGGUGAGGAACGUCAAGACUUGGGUCUGGAUGAACUGCAAAAGUUAGAAAAAUAGGUGGAAGCAAGCCUUGGCUGUGUGAUUGAAACUAAGGUAUGUUCUAGCUAGCUAAUUUAUACUGUUACAAGUGAAUACAGGCGACCAUGGCUUCUAAAAUCUAGGUAUCCUUUGGAUAGAGGAACACAUUUUUGAGUCUUAGUACGUACUAUUGUGCAAUGAUCCGGAUGAUCCAUUGCUUAAUUAGUCUUUGUUCAAAUAUCAUUCUUGCAGAAUAAGACAAAUGUCUUAAUAACUUUCAAAUAGAGAAUUUGUUAUUAGCUCCAUAAAAGUAAUAUUGCACUUCUUCCUCUAAUUUCAUAUUUUUCACUAUGCAUGAGUGAACUAUGGCUGGGUUUAAUCAAACAAAUAGAUCAACACGUUAAGCCUUUGGUCAAUUUGAAUGAAGACCUUACCUUUUUUUUGGGCGGUUGUAAAGAAUAUAAAUUGACCCAAGUAUAUAUACUUUAAUUAGGUUAUUUUACGAAAUACAUAAUGUUACUCUUAUCACAUUUUUUAUAUCGUACCACAUCUGGGGCCUUACGUCUAUUAGAAAUGUUGUACAAAUGUGGUAUGAAAAAUAUGAUUAGAAUAACAUUUUUGUUUUGGAUUAUAUAUCUCUAUACAACAUCUAAUUCCAAAUUUUCCAUUUUUCAGGAAAAAAGAAGAAGAUUACGAAUGAGAUUAUGGCACUUGAGAAAAAGGUUUGUAGUUAAAUAGAUGAUUGUUGUCUCUGUGUUUAUAUAUAAAAUAGAGUUUCCAGAAAGAAAAUAAUUAUCACUAAUGAACUUUUGCUUUGUUGUCCUCUGCAUGCACUGAUUAUACAUGCAAGGAGCUGAGGCUGCUAGAAGCUAACAAGGGAUAUUCUGCUGUCCUUGCGGAGCUUUUGCUUACGUAUCAUGGGUGGUUCUCUCAAGCUGAUUCAUUUCAGCAUGAUCAGGUCGAAUAUUACACAUUACCAGUUUAAAGCACUUAAAUUUUCUUUUCUUUUAAGGGAAAAAAAGCCAUUAGGGAAGGUCUUAAUAAAAGCUUGGGUUGAACGUAGUCCAUCUCCUUCGUGGCGAGCUCGAGCUCGUGUUCAAAUAUAAAACUGGGAUUGCCACGCCUUCUUUGACCUUGAGUUUGGAUAUAGGUUUACCUGUUUUUUUAUUUUUAGCCCGUGAUUACUAAAAAAGAGAAUUAAUAUUUGAUGAAACCAACUAGUUUGUACCAAAUUAAAGAAAACCCGACUGUUGUGAAUUUUUUAUUGUACGUCCAUAGAUUAGCUCAAGUGCUCAUCUGGGUUUUGUUCAGAAUUUUUUCAUGUACCUAAUGUUUCUUUGGGCCGUUUGGUUCGUUUCGUUACCCGAAAGAAAAAUCUGGAGAAAACCAAGGGUAAAAUAGUGGACUAGUGGAGGAUAGCACAUAUGUGUUAUCCAGAGAAACUAAUUUUUUUUUUAAAUUUUAUUACUUUUCUACAAAUAUUAUCUGAAUCGUCUAACCUAGCUACUGGAUUAGUGUCUAACAUUAAUCAUACGAUAAAUUCUUCAUUACUUGCACUAUCUAUGCAUAUUAAUUUUAUUAACUGUGAAUCAAUUGCAUGAUUUCAUGUUUUAUUUGUACUGCCUAUGCAUAUUUAUAUUUAUUUUAUUAAAUCUGAAUCACUUGCAUGAUUUCAUGUUAAGUUGUCAACUAAUAGAUUGUUACAGUGACGAUUACCGGCCGUUAUUCAACCGAAAAUAUGGGAUUCCACUAUCUCAAUACUACAGCAUACGGCAUAUAAAAUCACUUGCAUGAUUUCGUACGAGAUCGCAAAUUCAUGAUGUUGGUAAGUAUAACUGUACGGCCAGGAUGCUACAACAUUUUCAGUGAAAUUGCUAAUCAAUUUUGUAUUCUCUAUUUUCAGGCUUCCUUAGUUUUCCUAGUUAAGAAGUUGACCAAGAUUGAGAGCACACUUCCUUAAAAUUAGCAAAUGAAGUCGAGUUAUUGGAGGACAUAUCCGGGGGAGUGCCAUUUUGUGUUAUAUUUGUGUUCCAUGCAGCAUGGCAAUAGAUUAAUUCUUUAGUCUGCAUUUGUAAAUUUUGUGAUAUGUUAUUAAUAAGAAAUAAGCACGUUAAUUAAUAAUUAAAUAAUAAUUGAAUCAUCACUAAUAAAGUCAUAUGAUUGAAACAAAAAUCAUAUGAUUUAUAAAAUAUAAUUUGUAAAAUAUGACUUAAAUGGAUGUUGUUUAUAACAUUAUUAUCUGUAGACUAAAUUUAGUAUCCUUAGUAUUAUUCUUUCUAUAAUUCAGAUAUGGUACACAUUAAAUUUAAGGGAACUUUAAUGAAAAGCUUUCGGUAUUAUUUACUCUAACGAAAAAUUACAUUUUUACAUUAAAAAAUCAAACUUGAUAUUAUUCAUUUUAUCAUUUGUUUUAUUCUUAUUGUUAAAACUCAAAACUUUCAAAUCGUUAUAAUUAGUUUUCUUAAAUUCAAAGCUUUGAAUUGACACGUGUUGCUCUGUUAUAAUUGUGCAUUCGCUCGGUUUUCCAAUUAAAUAUCCCUGCUUUUCCUAUUAUGCACAUACUGCCAUGCACUCUCUCUCUACCGUAUUUCAUUUGGCAUUUUCUGUCCUUUUUGUCGGCAAUGCCCGUCUUCUCCAGCCGCCGUCUGUCUGACAAACCGUAAAUCAAAUAUGUUGGGUACAGGAGAAGGAGCCUUCCAGGAGUUAGGCGGGAUCUAUACCGGUGGAUUGGCAACAGGUACUCUUUGAUCUGUUAGUGGUGCCGCGGCUCAGCGAACUUACAUCUUCUGCAGAGCCAUGAAAAUAAUUUUGGUUUUUUUACAGAUCUCAACAAACCACCGCCACAGAAAAAAAAUGAAGAUUCAGUCACAUGAAGAGAUUGCAGAGAAGAGGAGAGGGAGAUAUAGAACCACUGACCAUAAUUUAUUUAAAUUAAGAAAAUCAUAUGAAGAUAUUGCUCUACAGAGAAGACGAGAGGGGCGGGAUGGCAUUAGGGGAAGAGGGUUUGGAGAAUGCGGCUACUGAAACUCGGGGGGUGGGGUUUGGGGAGUUUGGUUUCACAAGUGGGAGUGAGUAUUGCCAGCAAGUGUUGCAGCGAUCGCUGCUACCGCUGCUGUUUGGGAUAAAGAAGUGAGAUAGACGAAGUGGGUGAGGAAAAUCAACGGUGUGGUACGUAAAAAGAAUUAAACGGAGAAUCCCCAGCCUUACUGUCGUCCAGUCCACAUAUUAUAGACGGUCGUGAUCGCAUUCAUCACUCAUCACGCCAACUGAUUUGCGUUCCGCGUUUCUAAUCUUAUUUUCCCAAAAAAUAUCUAAAAAAAGAAAAAGGCACAAACAGUGAUAACCAAAGGAAAAUUUGUCCUAUUUUUCCAUAAUUAGGAAACUUAAUUUAGCAACCUUUCCUUUCUUGAACUGCCGGCAGCACCCCAACUCUCUCUCCUCUCUCUUCCUUCUCUUUCCAGAAUUGCUGGCUUUUCUUUUGCUGUUCUGCAAAUUUCCCAAAACUUCAGACCUGAAACCCCCCAACGAAGGUAAACAAAUAACAACGGAAAACCCAGUGUAAUUAAUUUAUGUAUGGUCUUCCUCCUCCUCCUCCUUCUUCUUCUUCUUCUUCUUCUUCUUCUACUGUAGGCUUGUUGGACAGUUGAUUGUGGUGGGUUUUUCUGGGUUUUGUUUUUCUUAUACAGAUCUGAGAUGCUAGGGUUUGAGGUCAAUAAUCUUUAAAAUUAUGAAAAAAAAACCCAGAAAAUAUAUGCUAGUUUUUGAGUUUGUGGACGAUUUUAUAUAUGUGAAUGGUUGGUUUAUUUUAUUUAUUUGAAUAAAUUUUUUUGCAGGGGUAGGAAGAAAUGCUGAAAAGGAUGAAAGAGAAGAUCAAGAUCAGGAGGAUCGACUACUUGCCGGCAAGGCAGGUGACCUUCUCAAAGAGGAGAAGAGGGAUUUUCAAGAAAGCUGAAGAGCUGUCGAUUCUGUGUGAAUGUGAAGUUGGUGUUAUCAUCUUUUCUCAAACUGGCAAGCUCUUUGAUUACUCAAGCUCCAGGUACCCAUACUGUACAACAUCCCACCGCCUUCUAAAUUCUUUCGAAUUUUCCUUACCCGAAUAAAUUAAUAUAACCAAGUACAUGACCUGACUUCUCUCUCAGAGAGAGAGAGAGAGAGAGAGAGAGAUUCAGCAUUAGAAUAAAAAAAUUAUAUAUGUAUAUAUAAGGAGGAAAGUGCUAACUAGCUAGAUAGAUCAUCCACGCAUGUACACAAGCACACAUAAUCUAUGGUGUCAGCUAGAUAAGGCACAGAAGAAAGGCUAGAGAAUCCAAAAACUUUCCCCCAGAGAGAGAGAGAGAGAGAGAGAGAGAGAGAGAGAGUUAACUAGCUAGUACGAGGAUAACUAUAUAAUUUCCAGUUCAGGAGGUGUACUUUUGAUUGAGACAACUUCUAGCUAGGUGUCCAAGUUUGAGAAUAUUUUUCGUAGUUUUACAUGCUUUCAAUAUGUGGAAUUGUGGUGAUUCUUUGUAAGUUACUUGCUGAUCUCUUUGCUUUACAUGCUAAAUGCAAUCGUGUCCGCCAUGCAGAAAUCUCUAUAUACAAAAGCCACUUGUCUAGUGAAUUAUGUAAUCUUAUUACUAUUUUACAGUUUCAUAGUUUAUCUUGCCGCGUUAAUCUGAUUUCCCCCACCUAUCACAAAUUGGUAAGUUGGGGUUUAUGAAAUGAAUAAUAUAUGUAUAUAUCCUUUUAAAUGGGGUACACCGUUUCCCUUUCUAGAUACACGGUAUAUUAUUUCUUAGACCAUCAUUCGUACUAGAAUUCAAAUAAUCAGUUAUGAAUAAAUAAUUUUACAAUAUAAAAUGAUUAUAAAAUACUCUAGCUAGUAAAAGAGUGUAACACUAUCUACGUACAAUAUAUAUACAUACCAAUAUGUAUAUGAAUAUGUAUAUCCAUGUCAACUUCAACACAUGAUGUUGGGUUAUGUUCCAAAAGUUGUCCUUCAUCCUCCCCACCUAAACUACAAUGACUGUUAAUUUGUAAGGACUUAAAAUACGAACAUUCAAACAUAUAUAUAUAUAUAUAUAUAUAUAUAUAUAUAUAUAUAUAUGUGCGCGCGCGUGCUUUGGGUUUCUCUUACUAGGAAUAAAGUAAUAUGAUGAAAACUUGGGAAUUCAUCAUAGAAACCUUGAAGACCUUUGAGAAGGAAAUAUGUAUGCAUGCGUGAAGUAGGGCAAUGAGUGGUGCAGCUAUUGGCCAUAUAUAACCUGUUUUUUCAUGUGCAUGCAUGAAACAAUAAACGAACUUGAGUAGUUGCAAAGAUUAAAACCUACUUCCAUAAGUAAUGUGCAUGAGAGGAAGGGUGAGAUUAAUAUGUAGAAAUGUAAUUGUGGAAUAAGAAUUUAGAUAAAGUUUUGCUUUUGUUUUAGUUAAAAAAAAAACUCCCUCCACAUAGUACGUGAUGACAAUAUUAAUAAAACUGAAAUACCAUUUCUAAAGUGGUUUUUUUAACCUGGAAUGUAUAUACUAUGUAGGAUUUAGUAUCAAUCUAUCAUUCCAAAUCAACGUGCAUAGAAAAGAUACCCUUAUUGUAUGGUGUUGUCUUUUACGUCGUUUAUUUUGUUGAUGAAAAUCUAAAACUAGCUUUUAAGACGUUAUUUGGUAGAGAGUGAAUAAGCUUUUUGUUAUCUAGAUCUUCCUAUUUUUACUAUGAGACACUUUAUCUAUUCCUUUUCCAAGUCGGAUGCACCAAUAAUGAAUAGUCGCGUGAAUUUAGGGUUUAGUGACAUCAUCCAUGUCAAAUUGACUAAGCUGUGGUCAUCACCACCUGCUAACCAAGGGGAGUUGACCUCAAUCCCUUCGUUGAUAGCCAGGCCACAGGAAGCAGGAUACUGAUUAUCCAUGUCGGCUUGGGCAUUAUCUAUAGGGCACGUGUCGACCGCAAAGCCCCACACCCCAUCACAUUUUGAGAUGCCAGAUGUCCAUCAGAUAUCAUUAGAUAUUGGUGCCUCGAGGCUGGAAACAGCUAUUUUUGACCAGUAGUUUUUUUUACAAGUAAUGCUAUUCAUAUAAUGUUUUUAUAGACAAGGAUUGUCUGCCCUCCUAGUUGUGGUGCCCUUCUAUGCCCUCCUAUUUUGUGCGGUCACGGUUAAGCCACGUUAAUAUUUUAUAUUUUUAUUAUUUUUUGUCUUAUUAUCUCAUUAAAAAAUUAAUAUAAAAUGUUGACGUGGCUUAACCGUGACCGCACAAAAUAGGAGGGCAUGGAAGGGCACCAUAACUAGGAGGGCAGACAAUCCUUGUCCUGUUUUUAUACCACAUUUAUAUAUCAUCUUAGAUGAUAUUUAAUAUGAACAGCCACAUCAUUUGAAAAAUUUGCAAAACAGGAAAUGAAGGAGAAAGACUUUUCAUAUACCACAAUCAUCAUUUAAUUAACUAGUUUUUCUUAAUUAUUAGUUUAUUAAAUGAUGAAUUCAAUUUAAAAAUCUGAUUAAUUCAAAUGAUGUGGCUGUCUACAUCAAAUGCCACCUAAGAUGGUAUGAAAAUGUGAUACAAAAACAUAGUAUGAAUAACAUUACUCUUUUUUUUAUACUCUCCAUCACCUGGAUUGAGCCACCUGUCAACCAGCUGUGGGGUCUCUCAUGGAUGCAUAAAGCAGCCACCUCCAAGCAAAAGAUUAGGCUUACUUCCUCUGGAACCACUCUCCAGUUCUCUCACCUCUCCCAUUCUUCUUGUAAAGGUCUCCUGAAUCUAACAGAUUUCAUUUCGAAGUGGGAUACACAUGUCAAAUAAUUAUUAAAUACAGCACGAAGUGGAUGCAGCCCAUCUAAGGCGAACCACUCAAAUCUCAUUGCCUUGUGCAUGACAUGAUCAGUUAUUACCGUGCUAGAGCUCACCUCACCUCGGUCUACUACCAUUAUUCCUUUGAUUUUGACCCAAAAAUAUGUGUUUACUUCCCAAAAGCACACCUCUCUAAACAUUAUCUAAAGCAACAAAGGAACAAAUUGAAAAUGCUUUUGUAAAUUAAGAAAGAACAAAAUGCUACUUUUGGAGCAUGGAAGUCCAAUCCAUUACUUAUAGCUUUCCUUUGAUGGGCAAGAGAAAGAGAUACUUUCUAGUGUAUUUUUAAAUAAUUUAUGAUUCGUUCAUAAGAUAUAAGAAGAUUUUGAUGCCUUUGAAAAAUUUAUAGCUUUCUCUUGAUGAGUAAGAGAAAGACAUAUUUUCUAGUGUCUUUUUAAAUAAUUUAUAUCUUUCAUUUAUAAGAUAUAAGAAGAUUCUGAUACCCAUUGAAAAUAAGUAGUUUUCAAUGCCUCUUCUUUCACUAUAAAGAAGAUAAUUUUUCAACCUCUAUAUAUUUGUUUUUUAUUUUUAUUUUUGCCAACAUCUUGAAUUUUGCAUUGACAUAUGAUCUUUUUAGUCAAUACUUUCCUUAAAAAGAUAGAAGAGCAUGUGAUCUAGCUUUCCCUUGAUGGGUAAGAGAAAGAUAUUUUCUAGUGUCUUUUUAAAUAAUUUAUAUCUUUCAUUCAUAAGAUAUAAGAAAAUUCCAAUACCCACUGAAAACAAGUAGUUUCCAACACUUCUUCUUACUCAUUAUAAAGAAGAUAAAUUUUCAACCUUUAUAUAUUUGUUUUUUGUUUUUUUAAAUUUUGGCCAACAUCUUGGAUUUUGCAUUGGCAUGUGAUCUCUUUUUAGCCAAUACUUUCUUUAAAAAGAUAGACGAGCAUGUGAUCAUCUACAAGAGCGGGUCAUAAAAAACAGAACAGCCGAUCCCACUUAAUAGAUAAGGCUUUAUUGUUGUUGUUGUUCUAGUGCCUCCUUUUGCUCACUAGAAAUAAGACUGGUUCAACUUCUAUAUAUUGGGCUUGUAUUAACAAAACAAGAGGAGAGGAUGUGGGUACUGCAAGCAUUCUAGCAUAAAGAAUUUUCUACUACUUCCUUCAACGGUAGGUAUGGAGGACUUCCUUCUAGCUACAAGAAAUCUAUCUUGGCUACAGCAAGCUUCCCAAUAAGCCAUCCACAAGUAUGACUACAAUAUUUUCUGCCAUAACCUCAGGUAAAUAUUUUCUGCAAGAAAUUUAUCUUGGCUACAGCAAGCUUCCCAAUAAGCCAUCCACAAGUAUGACUACAAUAUUUUCUUCCAUAACCUCAAGUAAAUAUUUUCUUCCAUAACCUCAAGUUUUUAAGUUCUUUUUACUCUCUUUUGAAACCCAUGCUCCAUGGACAAAAUUCGUCGACCACCGUAAAAGCUUUAGCCUUGAUGCUAAAUCCAAGUUUAUAAGCCAACACCAACCACCAACUUAUUUGCUAAACUUGGGGAUUUUGGGAUCCUACAUCUCAAGCUCUCAUGGAAAGUUUAGAAUAUUUUUUUUCAUAGUUAAAAAUCUUUCUUAAAGCCGUCGGAUACACUUCAUCACCACCGGAAGCAUUUUAACCGAACAUUUUUUUUUUGGCCCAAAAUUUUAACAUAACAUCAAACCAAGCAUUUUUGAGUUGCUAUAAUAAUAUCAAAGCAUUCUUUAUAGCUUACCUCUCAUUCAAGAUACUUUGGACAUUGUUCUCGCAAACUCAAAAUUGGGGGACACAAAUUAGGUUUCAUUCACCUCUUUUCAAGCCCAACUUCUGUCCAAAUAUAUCAAACAAAUAAUCUAUAAUGCCCGUGUGUGUGAUAUGUUUAUGCAAUUUAUAGACUACGAGCAAUAACGUCGUCUAAAGCUGGAUAAAACUUACUAUUAAACAUGAGACUGGAUUGCCAAUAUUGCCCUAAAUUAUGGUCAAGUAAGUGCAUGUUAAGUUUUGUAUAGCUUAUGGAUAGUCCUUUAGGCUUUAGCACUAGUUUUGAGUGACUGAUGAAAUCUUGUCUUAACAAGUGUAGGGUUAUGGAAUUUAAGGAUAUUUGUCCAGGAUCAAGGGGCUUGUUGACAUGUAAUAGAGGUAGCCUGCCUUCUGACAUCUUGUAUUCGAUUGAUUACGAAGCUAAAUUAAGUCCUUAAGUACUAUAGUAAAGAAUAUAAGCACCCCCAACCCCCAACACCCCACUUUCGGAGGAGGUUUCCAGUGUUCUGCAGAGUGAUCUAGGUAUCAUUUGGUAUGCAGACGAGACGGGACGGAACGGAAUGGGACGAGACGGAACGGAACAGAGAGGGAACAAAGACGCCCUCGGAUGGAAACAAGGAGGAAGAAGAAGGAGACGGAGAGGUUAUAAUUUUGUGUUCCAUGGAUGUGGAACGAAUCGUUCCAGGAGGGUGAGACGGAAGGAAAAUUUACCCAAAAUUCGUCCCGUGGAAUAGCUCGUUUCACCCGUUUUAGACGCACCAAAACGUGGGACGAAACGCCUUGUUCCACUCUGUUCCGUCCUGUCUCACGUACCAAACGGUACCUAAGGGACCUAUCGUUGGAACCAAAUGUGAAAGAGGGUUGACUUGGAAGGUGUACCUCAACAUUCUUGCAUCAGCAGAUAGUGAGGACUUGACAAUCGUGUGGAAUCAAUGAUAGUAUGAUACAACAAUAAGCCUCCUAAUUAAGUCCUAAGAUAUACAAGACCAAUAAAAGAGUACUAUGUGCUUAGAUUAAUCUUCCAAUUAAUAAGGAAAAGUGUUUGCAAGUACUAAUAUUUAUUGGGAUUAUUGCAAAAGUGUUUGCAAGAGCAACAUGCAAGUACUAUUGGUUUUUUGUUGGAUAUAAUUUUAUUUUUUUGUGAAUAAGUUAUAAGUAAUAAUGAAACAUACUAAUUAUAGUUAAUCCCCUUAUGUUGUCAAGUACCAAGGAUGUGAUUGCAAGGUACAAAUCACAUACUGGUGGGGAAAAAUCGGAUCAAAUCACGCUUCACCAACUGCAGGUAAUUCAGUUCGAUAUUAGUUUUUUUUUCUUUUUUCUUUUUUUCCAUCUUUGCUCUAAAAUUUACAUUUUUAAUGGUACAACAAUUAAUUGUGUCAAGUGAAUGUAAUAUAUUCUGUGAUCUGCACUUGGAGCAUCGGAAAAUAUUUUUACAACAUUACAAGUUAGACUUCUAUAUAUGCAUGCAGCAGGGUUGGCCUGUUACACUAAAUACGUGUAAAUACUUGGGGUUGAGUAAUGACUUAAGUUUUAGUUUUAACUUCCAUUGAACAUUCUAAGUUUUCAUGUGAUAGAUUACAUUUAUUUUCUUUCUUGUUUUUCUUUUAUAAGCUUUUUCACGUGAAAGAGUAGAUUAUCUAAAUGAUGAUAUAAAUAUAUUUAUAUUUCCCAUUUAAUUAGUUGGAGAAAGAAAACACGAUCAGGCUGAGUAAGGAACUUGAGGAUAAGACCCGCAAGCUGAGGUAAUUAUAAUUUAUCGAUUUGUUUGUAAGAUAUAUGGUGGUUAAUUAAGCUGGUAUGAUCGUUUGACGAGUCUACUGAAACUGGUUUGUCAUGCAAAAGGCAGAUGAAGGGUGAGGACCUUCAAGACUUGGAUCUGGAUCAACUGAACAAGUUAGAAAAAUUGGUGCAAGCAAGCAUUGGCCGUGUGAUUAAAACUAAGGUAUUACUUAAAACUGAUGCUUAAUACAUAUUAUUGUGCAAUGAUCCGGAAGAUUUAUUACUUAAUUAGUCAUUGUUCAAAUAUUGUUCUUGUAAAGAAAAAGACAAAUAUCUUAAUUUUGUUCAAAUAAGAAAUUUGUUAUUAACACUCCAUAAAAUAAUAUUUCGCUUCCUCCUCUUAACUUUUUGUCCUAUGCUUGAGUGAGCUAUGAUCGAGCUUAAUCAAAUAAAUAGAUCGACACAUUGUGCCUCGUAUACACCUUUUUUGAUCAUCAUGUUUAAUCAAAAGAGUAAUACUAAGUAGACCGAAUUUGUAAUUGAAUUUGCAAAUUAAAUGAUGUGUCAUCAAUAAGAAAUAAGCACUUUAAUCAAUACUUAAGUAAUAAUUCAAUCAUCAACUUUCAAGUGAUUUAGUUUACAAUAUUUAAUCUUCCUAACAUUACCCUAAUAAAAACGUCAACAAGUUCCUAAUCUGACUAUUCUUUUGCAGGCGUAUCUUUCAAAUUUAGACUUUUGGUCAAAUUGAAUGUAGACUUGACCUUUUUUUUUCUUGGUUGUAAAGAAUGUAGAAUUGAACCAUGUAUUUGCCGUACUUUAAUUAGGUUAUUUUACUAAAGAAAUAUUUUGGAUUAUAUGUGUAUAUAUAGCAACAUCUAAUUCCAACUUUUCCGUUUAUUCCAGGAAAAAAAGAUUAUGAGUGAGAUUAUGGCACGUGCGAAUAAGGUUUGUAAUUAAAUAGAUGAUUGUUGUCUGUGUCUAUUUAUCGAAUAGCCACAAAUAUAUACAAAUAGUCAAGAAUUUCCCGAAAAGGAGAAUAAUAAACAUUAAUUAAUUAUUAAUGAAUAUUUGCUUUGUUGUCCUCUUCUAUGCACUGAUUAUACAUGCAGGGAGUUGAGCUUAUAGAAGCUAACAACCAGCUAAAGCAGAGGGUAAGAAACUAACAUCAUCUAUAUUUUUCUUGUAUUUUAUUUUUAUUUAAUGAAAACAAUAAAUCUUUUUUAAAAAAUUAAAUUUGGGCGAUCUUUUUCUUUGUUGUUAAUUUAGUCUACAAAAUUUAAUCUUCUUAGCAUUACUCUUUUGCAUGGUAGAUGGUGAUGUUAUCCGCUGGAGGAGAUAUCGGACCUGCGGCGAUCAUGGAGUUGGAAAACCUGAAUAAUGUUGGAGAAGAAGGCGUGACAUCUGAAUCAGCCACAAAUGUCACCACCUGCUCCAGCAGUGCUUUUUCUCUCGAAGAUGACUGCUCCGACAUCUUGUCUCUCAAACUGGGGUGAGCCGCUUCCAAUAUAUAUGCUGUUUGCUGUUGGCGUUUGCUUUUGACUUUUGGCUUGUGCUUAUUUGAUGAUACGACGAAGAAUAAAGGUAGUAAAAUACUAGGGAGCUGUGUAGAUAAGGGAUAUUUUGUUGUCCACGCGGAGGGUUUGCUUGCUUAUCAUGGGUUGUUCUCUCAAGCUUAUUCAUCUCAGCAUGAUCAGGUCGAAUUUUAAACAUUACCAAUUUAAAAAACUUUAGGCCUAUUUGGUACUCUACUUGAAUCCAACUUUUUAAACUCAAAAACAAUUUUCAAAUUUUAGGUCUUAAAAACUUGUUUGGUAGAACUAUUUUAAAAAACUGAACUCAAGACUAACUCAAAAAUAUAGUAUAUUCUCUAAAAACAUAAAAAAUGAGUUUUUAGAGUUUUUAAACUUAAACUCUCUUAUUUUUUUUUUCUCUCCUCCCUUCUCACUCCAAACCUAUCUCUCUGUUUUCUUCUUUCUCUCCUUUUUUUUUUUUUACCUUUUUCGUCUCUCCUCUAAUCCGUUUUCUUCAUUUUCUCGGUUCUUUCUCUCAACUCCUCUUCCUCUCUAUCUCGUCCAAUCCUCUCUCUUCUUUCUCUUUCCUUCAAUCAUCUCUUACUUUCUUUCCUCCUCUCUCCUCUUUCUCCCUCUCAUGUGACCAUCUCCUUUUAGAUUUCUUUGUCUAGUUUAAGUCUUAAGAUUUAAAAAUUUUAAAUCACAAACCAAUCAAGUUUUUGAGUCUUAAAGAAAAUUGUUUUCAAGAAAUGUUCUUAAGAAAUGUUUUAAGAAAUGAUAAAAAAUUUCAAAUAGGAUACCAAACAGGCUCUUAAUUUUCUUUUCUCUAGAGGAAAGCUUGGGUUGAACAUAGUCCAUCUCCUUCGUGGCGCAAGCUUGUUUUCAAAGGUAGCAAUGGGGUUGCCAUGCCUUAUUAGCCGUUGAGUUUUGAUGUAGGUUUUUUGUUUUGUUUUUAGCCUGUGAUUAGCAAGUGCUCAUCUGGGCUAUGCUAUUUUUUCCUUUCUCCUGUACCUCAUGUUUCUUUGGGCCGUUUGGCUCCUUUCCUCAGCGUAUCACGGAUUCAUGAUGUUCGUUAAGUAUAAUUGUACCGCUACGAUGCUUUUAUUCUUCAACAUCUUCAACGAAAUUGCUAAUCGGUUUUUGUAUUCGGUAUUUUCAGGCUUCCUUAGUUUCCCUGGUUAAGAAGUGGAGACAGAUGGAGAGUUGCACUUCCUUAUAAUUUCUAAAUAAAGUCGAGUUAUUGUAAGAUACGAGUGAUCUGUGUGUCUUAACUCGAAAACAAAUUGGAAGACAUCUCUGGGGCAGUACUGUGACUGUGUGUUAUAUGUAAAAUUAUAUUUGUAUUCCAUGCAAAGCAUGACUUUGAUCUAGAAUAUAACUUGUAUUGUAUCCAAAAAGCUUUAUACAAAUGCAGGCCUAUGAAUUUGGUCUCUAGUUCAGGAUUUGUUGGGGAUGGCUCGCCAAAAGUUAUGAGGUUUUGUAAUUACGCUUAAAUAUUCAUUUCUGCCUUAAAAGGGUGGGGACUUGGAGCCGAAAAUCGAACCCCAAAAAUUAAAAAUUAAAUAAAGUGGUCUUUUAAUAUGAGUCUAAUUUUAUGAGGCUGAUUUGAAAGGAGUUCACUAGUGUUGCAUCAUCUUAGGUGGGGUCUACUAAGAGACUAUAUCUCCAUGUCAAUUAUUUAUGUUCAUAAGUUUUACAUGAAUUUCCAGCAUUUACCACUGUAUAGUUUUUGAAAUGAAUUUGCUAAAUUCCAACGAUUUUGGGGCAUUAGGUUUAUACACGUUUCUCCAAACCCUUAUCUCGUCGAUUCCAAUGAUUUUGAAAAGAAAAAAUCUUUCUAAUUCCUGCGCUGUAUAAUUCAUAUUCGAAUUAUGAGAUAGAUAUAUAUGAUUCAUGCAAACAAUCAAUGCAUGCAUGAGUUUGAGUUUUAAAUACGUGUGAAUUAGGGUUGGUGGGUUACUGUAGAACAUGUAGCUUAUGUUCGAUACUCACUUUUUGUUGAUUCUUAGUUGUUGUUGUUGUUGUUUAUCUUUAGGGGUGGAAUGAAAUUAAACUACUUGUGUGAAUUGAAUUUUCCAUCUACUUAUGUACUAGAAUGGGUGGAAAGUUAGUGUUUUUCUUUGAUUGUAACUGAUUCGUUGUUGUCUACCUACAUGUGUGGAAUGAAAAUAGCAAAUAAAAAUGGAAAAUUCAAGUACCUAGAAUUUUUUGUAGGCUUUCUUAGUUUUAUUUUUUCAAUGUGUGCUGAAAUUUUUGUAGAUUUUUUAAAGUUUAUCACAACUUAUGUAAUUAUAUUGUUCAUGUGUUUGUAUUGUGUAGAGUUUGUCAAUUUGAAUUCAAGUAUCGCCUCUCUUACUCUUAAUCCACAACCACAACAAAAAGUUUCAAGGUAAUCUCAAGUUUCUAGUUUAGAAGGUUUAUUGGCUUCUCAUCCAUUAGUUUCACUUUCACAAGGUCCAAAGUCUUCCCAGGUAUCGUCUUCUCAAGCUUGUUCACAAGCUCAAAGGCCUCCUGAACCUUCGAAAAGUAAAUUUCCAAAAGGAAAGGGAAAGAGAGGGUUGAACGAUGUAAAGUAGUGACUUAAAAAUUGAAGCACCAAAACCUUUUUGUUGAACUGUAUGAAACAAUUUAUUUUUUCGGGUUAUACUACUUAUGCCACAAGGCAUUUUGAUUGUGAAAUUUGUUUGAACUUUUGUUUUAGAACUUAACCUUUUCAAUUGGGUUUUUCUAAAGUAAUGCCAUAAGACCUUUUGAUGUUGAACUUUAUUUGAAGUUGAAUUUUAGCUUGGUGAUCGUGAAUUUCUUUUCAAAUUUGCAAAUGGUAUGAAAUUGAAACCAAAACCAUUUGAAAUAAAACUGAACUGCAACUAAAUGGUUUGGUUCUAUUUCGGUUCAAGCUUCAAAAUAGCAUCGAACCACAUGGCAAAAAAAAAUCGAUUUUGGUUUUGGUUUCACCCCAUAACCGCACCGAACCAAACUGUGCCAACCUCUAAAACAAAUUUGAGUCUUAUUUUGCACCCAAAAAGUUGAUAUUCAACCUACCCCGAGACUUAAAUAUAUGCUUCAUUUUUCCUUGUUUUUCUCAACAUCAUUCAAGAUCAGUCAAUAGCGUAUGUGAUAAGGUUAUUAUGGUUAUCUUGACCAAGUUGUCUAUGUGUGGUCCUUUUUCGCAACGCAUAAUUAUUGAGUUCACAUCUUUCCUGUUGCGAAAAGAGUUAUUUUUAAGAAUGUGAUUAUAUAAACGUAAAAGUAGAAUCCUAUAAAAUUUGGAAAUUCUUAUCCUAUUGUGGUUAUUUUGAUCAUGUUGUCAAUAAUUUGUCUGACCAUCUCUUCAGUGUAGUCAAGAAGCCCAACUGGUUUACUAGGGAGUAUGUUCAGCGCUUCCUUAUUGAAAAAGCCAAGAUUAUCGAUUACAACAAAACAGUCGCUUGGAAAGCUUUAAAGAGAGGACUGCCAAUAGAUCAUCCACUCCGCAGAGACAUUAUCACGAUUGUGGGCCAUGAUUUUUCAGGGCUAGAGUAAAACGGAUCUGAAUACACCUACCUCAGGAGUUUGAUCAUGGACUCAACAACCUCCAUUGGGAGUUGACCAAAUGGAUCAGUGAUGUCACAAUCAUCCUGUUUCGGAAUCAUUAGGUGAAGUUGACGUCCGUCGACUUCGCUAAGAUAGACCAUUCUUGUACUGAACCUAAUCCAACAAGGAAUCAACAGGUUUCCUAUAAUCUUGGAGUUAUUAUAAUAUAAGGAUUGGCAUGCGCCGCAAGUAAUCAAACUUUUUGGAGGAUGCAAUAUCUACUUCCUAGAUAUGCUAUGGCAUUCUCUAGGUUUAAUACGUGUUCUAUACAUAUUCUAUUAUGCUAAAAGGUCCUCCCCUCGACUGGUAUAAAUACACCCUUCUAGGGUUCAUCUCUGGUAACGCAAUCUCUGCACACUUAUUCUCUUACCUACCACUUGAGUCUUAAUAUUGCUUACAACCUUGAGCGCAUGGAUGGACCUCCGAUACUAUGCCUAACAUGUUGCUGUCUAUGCGUAGAGAAGUCCCUGGAGAACUCAUUUUUGUAUCGCCUCACCAUAGGCUAUUUGUUAAAGAAUGAUCCCAAUGAAUUUUUUUUACAUUAUACCAUCUUUCUUGAACUACACCAGUAAUUUGGUUCCCUUUUCCGGGAAUAUGUAGGCAAUCCUUCACGCCCCCUUUGUCAACACAAGUCUUUAAUUAAAGAAUUCUCAGAUUUUUUUUUUAAAUUCUCAGAGUUAUGAGACGUACUAGUUCAUUCUUCCUCUUUUUUUUUUUUUUUUUUUUUUUUUUUUUUUUUUUUUUUUUUUUGCGGUAGUGAGAAUACUUAAAAAGCCUAAAUAACACAAAACUUUGAAACUUCGCAUAUUGUUCAGUUAGCAAUUUGGGAAACUCGAAGCAUAACAAGUGCGGUUACGGUUGGCGGGUAACGAGCAUGGGGACAUGGGAUAUAGCCCCCUUGACCUGGAACUCCAGUGCACCAUCCAACUCUCGAAAAGAUUAUGCAACCUGAAGGUUGUGGGUUAUGAGUUAUAACAUUUAAACCCAUGCUCUACGCAUUAGAGGGAAUGAACAAAAAGGCGAUUCGAUAAUCAUCUAAGAGGUGGCUCUGAGUCCCAACCUUGAGUAUGAUCACUCUUAUCCUAAACCAGUGUACCUAGUAAGUUUUGCAACACCAUAUGUUAAGCAGGUCUGAAUGAGGCAUCUGGACUAGGAAAUCCUCAAGAGGAAUUUUAUUUCAAUAGAGCUCCGAUACGCGGAAGUACCUUAGCCAAGCCAACUAAGUGUAGUCUAGUAAAAAACACUAUGGUCCGACGUAUAGGGUUUGACAAAAGGAUUUGAAAAGUGUUUUCGAUCCACAUGCAGGUGACCAAGUCCCAGACGAACUUUUGUUUAAGAUUCACUAGGGACAAACCAGCAAUCAAAACUAAGGAGGAAGCCCCUUCUUAGUUAUAGCCAUAUUUAAAAUCCUCUGACCCGAAAGGGGGAAAGGUGAACGAAUAAGACAACAUGUUGAGAAAGGAGCACUUAUUCAACUCUUUACUCUAGAGGGCAUUCUGGGUAAGACUUAUCACUUUUUCGUCUUUAAUCCGACAAAUACAUUAUGACAAAUAUAUAGUAAAAUGAUUUUUCAUGGGCAUUAGACUCAAUGUCGGAGUAAGGUGGUACUCCGAUAAUUGCAGAGGGAAUCUUCAUGGAUACCAAGUUUGAGAGGUAACAUUUUUCCGAAUCAAUGUUACCUAAGGGGCUUUUGAGCUCUGUCUGGGGCCUACAAACGUGCUCAUAUUCUAUUAUAUUACUUAGUACUUCGAAGUUAAAUUACUUUGAAGAAAUUUGUCAGAUUACCAGAUUAUUCCAUGAUUGGGAAGCAAGGAUGGAAAUUUUUUGCAACAUUUUAUUCAAAUAGGCUAAAUGACAUGAAUAAAUUGCAAUUGUUUAUAACGACAUGUUUGUUAUAAAGUCUCAUGAACAGGGCAAAAAAGAUACAAUUACUUAGGGAGACAAGCUUUUACCCUUAACAUGCAAAUUUUCAUAUGGAAGCUAUAAAACAGAUUUGGACAGGACCAUUAACUCUGAUGAAGUUUAGUCGUCAUCAGAAGACUCCAAUGAAGAGAGACGAAGAGGGCUCCAAUGAUAAAGAACCCUUUCAAGAAUCUCGAUGCACUUGUAAAGCUAAACCUAAAAGCUCAUCUCCUAUACUAGUAUAAAUACACCCUUUUAGGGUUCAUAUCUGGUAACGCAAUGUCUUCAUACUUGUUCUUUUGCCUAUUGCUUGAGUUUAAUAUUGCUUAUUAACUUAACCGUCGGAGAGCCUUUGACCGGCACACCCCAUCCCGGUCUUAGGCUUACUUGCGAUUGUUUGUUCUUUUAUAGGUUAACAAGUUUAGGCAUCUCUACCAAGCACAUAAGUGAAAAGGAAAGCAUCUAAGCAACUCCAAUGGGUUAUAGGCUUUUUUUUUUUUUGUUUUUUUUGUACAACAAUGUAUUUUUACACUAAAAGGAAGGAGAAGUUCGGUUAUGCCACACAAUGGACAACCUAAUCUGACAUCUAAUUCAUCAAUUACGAGAUUCAAACCUAAAACGUCUCACUUACAAGUGAAGAGGACUACCAUCAGAUCGUAGUAAUUAAGUAUAUCAAUGUUUGUAGGUUGAACUCGAGCGCCAACAUAUGGUCCUUAAGGCUGAAAUGUGUUGGGCACUAUGAACACGAAAAUUCUGUAAUGAAUGAAACGAGAACACGUGUAUAAAAUAGAUUUGUAUUGAUGAAUGUGUAGGGUUACAAUCUCUGUUUACAAAUUUCCUUUGAGUCAAUCUUCAAAUUUGAUGUAGAUGCAUAGGUUGUUGAUCCAAGGGUCGCAAUGACUUGAUCUCGGACGAACAAUUGAACGAUUGCUUCAAGUUUUGAGCUUGAAACAAUGUGUGGAUAGUCUUCACCUCUAGGUUUGCGUAUGACCUGCGGCAAAGGUGAUGUUGAUGUGGGAUUUUGUUUAUUUAAGGGUCUUGGCGACUUGAUCUUGAAUCAAACAUCGUUACCAGUUUUAAGCUUGCAACAAAGUCUUGAUGGAAUCAUCAUAAGUGCUUGUUGAUUCUUCAAGAGAAUGCUUUGGCUUUGGUUGAAAGAAAGCUUCGGCUUUGGUUGUAUGUUCUUCGAAGAGAGCUUUGGCAGUGUAUUAGUCUUCAAAGAUUUGGCAAAGGACCUUGUAUUUAUAGACUUCUCAAAGCUUGCUUUUGGAUGGAUUUGGCUUUGAUUUGUGUCUUGAUUCAUCCAUGGGAGAAUUAGGCAUGUUUUGUGUCUUAAAUUCAGCCACUUUCCCUUGCUUGGCCGAAAUCUAUGGGCUUUCUUGCCUAUUUUGCGUGCAAUCUUCAAUUCUUGCUUGUUUUGUGAAGAUGCUUUAACUUUCUUUCCAGUUUUGGGAGCAAUUUGGGCCCUUUCCCCUUUGCCGCAUUUUAGGAAUGCUUUUGAGCUUCCUUUGCUUGAUUUGUGCCACAUGUCAUUGAUGACUUGUCCAUUUAUGACAUGUCAUAUACCAUGUGGAGCUUUUUGAUGCAUCAUUUGUAUGCAAUGAAAUUUACAUGUCUGAAAAUGCCCCCACUUCAAGGCGCGUCGUAGGCAUGUGCUUGUCACAUGUAGGAAAUGUAUUUUGAAGUCCUGCAAUGUGAAAGUUCUAACCCAAGGGUCGUUGAGACUUGAUAUUGAAUUAGUUUGCUUCUUCAAGGCGUAUUUCUAUAAUGUAAAUGAUGAAUUUUGUCAAGGGCUGUUAAGGUGUAUUUAUUGAAUGAAACAUUUCUUCAAGGGCCGAUGAGACUUAAUCUUGAAUGAAAUGAAAAUUUUCUUCAAGGGCCGUAGAGGCUGAAUCUUGAAUGAAAUGGAAAUUUUCUUCAAGGGCCGUAGAGGCUUGAUCUUGAAUGAAAAUUUUGAAAAUGGAUAAAUCGGCACAUACUUAUUGUGCGUAUUGAUUUUCCAUAAUUUUUUGACAAAAUACAUUUGGUGUAUUUUGGGACUUUUUCCUCGUGGGUAUGGGAAAAAAAAAUGCUUUUCCUCCCUUAGGUAGGAAUCUCCUUCAAUUUUGGUAAUGAGGGUGAUUUCCUUCAAGAUGUUGGAAAGCUUUAGUGAUUUCCUUCAAGGUUUUGGAAAGGUUUAAUGCUUGUCCUUGGGUAAGUAGGAUUUGCAUUUUUUUCCCUUUUCCUUUCCAUUUUUUUGGCCAAGGUGAUGUUUUUCCUCUUGGUUUGGGAAACUUGAAGACUUGUACUUGCCUUGGAAGGAUUCCUUUUUGUAUUUUGGCAAGGAAAUGUACUUUCCUUUGAUGUUUUAGAAAUUGCAAAGCCCUUUCCUUAUUUCUUUGUGCUGAAAUCAACUUGCCUUUUUUUUUUUUUGCUUAGAAUUUGCUUCCUUCUUGCACCUGGAAUAUGCUUGCUUCUUUUGAUUUUCCUUUUGCUAGUUGGUAUGUAUUCUCCUUAUAGCAUUAGGAAGCAAUUGACCCUUAUUUAUAGGACAAUUGGGUGUGUGUUUUUGUCACAACAAUUCCUUGUCGUGUGCACUGUUCUUGCUGUUAGCGUGUGUGUUGCUUGAUGCCUUGAGUUGUAGCUGCUUGAAGCUUGUUGCAGUGCGUCACUUUUUACCUUGUGGUAUUGUGCAAAAGACUGCUGCGAUGUUACGCCAUGUAGUGGCUUUUGGUCGCAGUUUUCCCUCAGUGGUGACAUUGCCAUAUAGUGCAAGAAACUGCUUGCGUAAUCGCUGCGGGGUUACGGGGUUGCAUAGUGCGAUUGCAUAGCAUUUUGGUUUUCUUUGCUACUGUAGCGUGCUUUGAAGGACCGACUUGUACUCUUUGCCGUGCUGCUCAAGCUUUGUGGAUGAUUUCUUUUCGUCAUUGUGAUUUUGUCAUCGUCAUCCUUCAACACUCACGAGGUUUGUCUCACAUGUCUUUUUCUUUAGUGAAACAAUAUUUUUUUUCUUGCCGUCCCACCUUGUGCUAAUGUUGCCUUUUUUUUUUCUCAUUCCAGCCAUGGUAUUUUUCAAGUGCUUUAAGAGCAAUACCAUCACCAUUCUUGCGAAGGAAGGUGAUUCGCAAGAUAGGGGAAUGACGUUGGAGCUUUGUGCGCCAUUGAUUGGCCCUAAGGUGCUUGUUCUUCAUGCAUAGUCGUGGUUUUCUGAAGUAUCUUGGGGGGUGACAGAUUUUGGUUGACCAAAUACGAAGAAAAAAGCGUGUACAUCAAGGAUUCUUAUCUUGAAUCCUUAACACCAUGUUCGUGACAAUCCACCAGCUUCGUUUGAGUUUCUUGGUGGUUGCAUCCGUAGUAGAGCUAUAACUUGGAAUAACACCUUGUCGACUACUGGAGAAGCCAUCUUUGUUGAGUUUUACUGGGAGUGGCUUGAAGAUGUCUUGAGCCGAUCCAAAGAUGUGCUUACUAACGUAGGUCUUUAUUACGUUGUAUACGCAUCUUUGAUUAGUUAUGAUCACCAUGCUUCCGUCCUUUGUGCAUUUUUCAAGAAUUGGUGUUCAACGACCAACACACUUCACACGACACAAGGGGAGAUGUCGAUUUCACUUUGGGAUCUCCACAAGAUAGGAGGCUUGCCAAUCCAGGGUAAGUUUUAUGACGAGGUUGUUCCUAGCAUGGAGUAAUUUUCUCAUCGCAAUAGCCGAGGAUUGUCUGCGUGACACACCCCGACCUGGAAAGGUCGAAGCAUGCUGGCCGUCACCGUGAGGUGACGUAACUAUAAGGGUAAGUGAUGUAAAAAGUGAAUAAAAUUAAAACUAAUUAGAACUAAACAGUGAAAGAGUGCGCAAUUCGUAGGUUGAACCCACUACAAUUAUUCAGAGCGUGAUAGACAGUGAGACUACAAAAGAGUAGUCAAAGCAACCAAAAUACACUUAUUACAUAAUAGUGAUAAGUUCGUACAUCUAAACAGAAGGAAAUGUCAGAACUGCCGUGACUCCUCGAGUGCCACAGAGAGUACAGCUAUCUAGGUCUUGGAGGGGCGAAAAAAAAAGUUGAGUGGGUCAGCAAAACAAUGCUUAUAAGAAAACCUUUAUCUUUGAAUAUACUAACCCCUCGCUGUAAAACAAGUAUAGUUUCCUCAAAACAUACUACGUAAGUAUGAAAUCCAAUAUAUAUCAGCCAUAUAACCAGAAAUAUGCCAAGUAAAUGAUGUAUCAUAUGCCACAAUAAUAAUCAUGUGAUAAUCAAUAUAACUAGUGCUCAUCCAUCUAAGCUAACACACAAGUUUGAACAAAUGGUUUCUAACACGAACAGGACUGGGUGUAAUCAAUAUGCUCUAGUACUACGAUCACGUGAAGAUUGGUGCAAAAGCACAUCACAUACAAGUCGGAUCGCCUAAUGCAAUCUACCCGACAAGACUGGCACCUAAACUUCGAUCCAAGGUGAGCGAACGGUGCGGAUGUGAACAUACACGUGAAGGACUGGCCCUGGCCCUGGGGCGAGUACUAACACCGGGUGCAGCAAGAUGAGCAUGUACAUAAGUAUGUAUGAAUGCCAUGACAGUAAUAUCACAAUCAUAUAGCAGCAUUUAUCACAAUUUAUAUCACAAUAAUGAUACUAGGCAAAAUAGGCGUUAAAGUGACAUAAAUAUGUGUUUAUGGAAACUAUAAAUAUAUAUAGGUAUAAAACAACUGCCCACUCACAAGUACGUCGUUGGGUCGUAGCCCCCGAGCCUAGCUUGGCCUCGAAAAUCCUCGGAAUAAGUUUCCCCUAUAUGUGAAAUAACUAAAUAACAUUAAUUAAAGCACAUAACGGAAACCUAAACAAAAUCCCCAUAGUUUGCUCAAACCUAGGGUAUAAAUAUAUGAAAUCGAUCUACUCGACGACAUGAACGCACACGCGUCAACCAUGCGCCGGUCGGAGGACGGAUGCGCCCCCACAUGCCGCCUAAAGUGGCGGUCCACGCGCGCCCACACGCCCCCGCGAGUAGUACUCGCCUUCUUCACGAAAAUCUGCAGUUUUGCAGAUUUUUGGGUCAACUUCCAGAGACCAUAACGAGCUCGAUUCUCAACCAAAUUCACUUCUACAAAAGCCAAAUUAAAGCUAGGAAUGUGAUCUACCGAUCCCAAUUUAUAGAAAGUUAGAAUAUAGUCUGUGUUGUUCAGAAAUUUCGUCUGAAAGUGGCCAAACGACCACGGCUGAAAUUUUCCAGAAAACUAAAAUUUUCUUCCCAACUUCUAGAGUUGAUUUCUAACUCGUUACUUAACCAAACUCAGUGAUUCAAAAGCCAUUUUGAAGUUAGGAAUGUAGAGAACACGUUUGUACCUAGAAGAAGUCCAGUUGUGGUCGAGGUUGGCCAGAAAAAUGGUUUGAAAAUGACUAAAUGGCCACGAUUCUUGUAUGAAAAACUUCGGGUUCUCCUUCUUCUCGAGUUUCUGGGUAAAACCACACGUUCAAAACAGCAACAAAGGAUCAAUAACAACCCAUAGAAGUGAAAUGAAGGUUCUAAGGGUUUCUUAAGACUUACCUUAGCCAUGCAUGGCUUGAAAAUCGUAGUAUCAAACUCGCCGAGUCGGACCUUCUGAGUUGGUGAGUUAAAACUCGUCCACACUAGAUUUCAAGGACAUGGUUGUGAUCGUGGGACUGAGAUGAUCACAAUGGGGUAAUUUGUUUUUCACGUUUGUGAGUUUUGGUGUGUUUUGUGGUUGUUGCUGAGAGGAAGAAGAAGAAGAAAUGUGGCGUGGGAGAGGGAGAAGAGAGAGAGAGAGAGAGAUGCUUUUCUAAUUGAGGGGGGGACAGAACAUACAGAAAAAAAUGGGAUAGCUGAGACUGAAUGAAGGGAAGUGCACGGGUAGGAUUUAAAAGGAAUCAAAGGAUAGCUUUUCAGAUUUCCCACAGUAAAAGGAAAUCGAAAUCUAUCCGAAGUAAAUAUUUUACACUUUAAAAUUUACACAUACUCGUACUAGCGUGUACAAUUUAAAUGCGAUAGCGAGAAAUAAAAAGGAAAGCGAUAAGAAUAAGUCCAAGUCACUUGCCAAUAAGGCAUAAUCGUCAAUAUACAUCCUCGGGGAGAAAUUACAUAGGAAAAUUAGGGACGGGUCGUCACACUGCGAGUUGCCGUUAUUUGUUUUGGGUGUAUCACAAGCUUUCCCAGGAUCCUCAGGGUAAGUCUGGUGUGAAGAUAUCUUCAUGGAUCCGAUUUUGGUAUUGGGCUGCCAUGAAGUACAAUAAGUCUUCAAAGAAAAGUGGCCCCAACAUGACAACCAAGCCAAAGGGAGACUUAGAUCCGUUAGGUGUCAUUGGUUCAGCUGAGCGCCAUGCUCCCGCCGAGUUGAAAGUGUUUGACUAACUUGGCGUAGUGUUCAACCCAUUUUCUUAGCUUUUUGUCUUUGUAAGUUUAUUUUCCCCAAAGAUGACGUCAACUUUAUCCAUCCUGGAGUCUUUAAAGUGGCUAGCAAGAUGGUUGCCAGUGAAUCUUUUAGACUCGCCAUUCCAGUCUUAGCCAAUAUUUAUGACGGCUUAAGUAUUGUUUCAAACUCAGCGAGCAAUGAAGAUUGUGAUGCGGUACUACCCUACCAUUAUGUGUAUAGUUAGUUGGGUGAGUACUUUGGCACUCAUUUUUCUUCGUCAACUUUAGACAGGUUGAGGCCUUCUUCAUCAACUUUAGCCAAGUCGGUGCCUUUGAUGACAAAGUGCUUUGGCGUGCUUUUUGCAAAAAGCCUUGAUGAUUUGCAAGUGCAAUCGUUGUUUAGAAGCUGUGAAGGUUUAAGAAUGGAUCAUCUGGCAAGGGUUAGCUUGGCGCGGCGAGGCCUCAUAGAUGAUUCACACCUUUGGUUCUCAGACUUGUCUUAUUUUACAAGUUUUCGCUCGGUGUAUGUUUCUUUGCGGCAAUGAGACUGAUGUAUUGUUCAACCAUAUAUAUGCAUUAAGAGUAAUCCAGUGACCCGUGCCUAUGUAGGUUAGUGGUCAAAGGUACACCAUGAUAACUUGGGGACGGACACCAAUUCUUCUCGUUCACGUAAUGAUGCUGCAAGAGAGGGCUGUUCUGCGGUUUUACACAGCUAGCACCUUUUGAUUGUGUAAGUGCAGCUCCUUUGCAAGAUGGACCUGCGGCCUUAGCUCUUGAAUGCCCAUGUUUUUCUUCUCAGCAUUCGGAUGCUUCUUAAGAGGCAGGUGACAAAGUUGACUCGUAUUAAGAUGAGCUUGUUUUGCAGCAGCAUCAAUAGGUUUUGAACAAGGGACCACUUGAAGGUGCCCAGGAUGACAGUGAUGUCAAUUUUUGUCAUAAGAAGAAGAAAGUCUUUAGGCAUCCUCAAUUUGAUGGCCGUGCAUCACUUGUGAACGAUGUAUGUAUUUCAUUGGUUUAACUUUUGUUUCUAACAUCUUUCUUUGUCUUCUUUAGGCUUGGGCCCUCUUGUUCCUUUGAUUUAGAGAACAUUGGCAUUCAUUUCUUUAUGAAAAUGCUAUUUGAAAGUAGUAUACCCAAGGACGAGGAGAUUGGAGACCCACCCGGUGUAGAGAUUAUUACAAAUCCGCCAAGUUGCCCAAUGUUGCGAAAUUUAAACUACCGAAAUUAGUCCAACUUAGUUCCAAAUUUUAUGCUCGUAAGCGUACGAAUCGUUUGAUAGUAUAGAAAGCAAGCACUUAAUAUCGUCCCUUAGAAAAUGAUUUAAUUCUUAUCAACUAACUUAAAUCCAAUUGCAACGAAGUGAAACUAGCAAAGAUUGAUGAAAGAUGGUUUUGAGAAUUGAAACUAAUAGUAAAAACAAAUAAAAACAAGAAAGUUUGAUCACAAUGCAAAAAAAUGACAGCCAAGAAAAGAAGUUGUAAUUCAAUCGAGUAAAACACUAGAGCGUCCGACUCAACAUAACGAAUCCUACUUAUUUCCUGCAACGAAUUAUUAACAAAUACUCAAUCUCAUUGAUGGUCAAAUUUCCCUAACACAUGUAAUAUCUAUGGCAUCUAGACUAUUACGUAUAUCCCAAUUUGCAACCAUCCAUGACAUCUGGAAUAGUUUAACAUCAUGAAACUCAUUACGAUCAGUGGAAAUUUAUAUUAAGACUACACAAAUCCUAGAGUAUGGCAUCUACUACUAGGUAAUUCAUGGUAUCUAUUUGCAAGAAGCUAUCACUCAAGUUGAAAACAUGGCAUCUGCACAACUUGCAUCAAAUUUACCAAGUAAAAGUCAAGAUGGUAGCUAAUCACCAAGACUAAAACCAAGCAUAUAAACACAACAAACGAUACUUAAUGAAAUUGAAAACUUGAAAUAAUUCACUUUAGAAAUUAAGCAUUCAUAGUCAUGGCUACAUCGUAGCCCUAGCUAAGGAAAAUUAGUUCCGAAACAUUACUGGAAAUAUCAUUGAAUUCAUAAUAAAAUUAAAAGAAAAACUAAGUUUAGAAAAGCCUGAAAUCCCCGUGCUCUGCCACUGCUUACUUCUCUUUGUCUCUGUCGCUGCCUAGUCUUCUCUUUCUUUCUUUUUUCAAUCAUCACCAGGUUACCUCUUUGAUUCUUCCAAUUAGCCGUUUUCUUUUUCGUAACCGUCAAGACCUUAAUGCCCAUUUAUUGCCUUGUAACUGCAGUCCUAGCCUCCCAAUCAGUUUCUUCGACUCUCCAGUUGCUUAGUAACUGAAAUUUUAAUCUCCCAAAUCAAUUGACUUCCAAUAAAUCUGAAAGUGGCUGAAUCCCCAAGUCAAUUGACACCAGUAAGUAAUGGACCAAUAAUCAGAACCCAUGCUCCUUCUAAGAACCCACAAACUGAAAUCAUAAAUGGAAAUUUGGGUUUCCAUCUCUUGUUGAAUUUUAUCGCUUAAAGCCCCUUGCUUUGCUGCAAUUGUAUGUGGCGGUUUGCUCCAGAAAAUUUGGAUUAGACCUUUCUCUCCUCUGUCGGUGUAAAUGGAAGGAUAAGGCCUUCCUUUGUGCAAUUGAAUAAAUCACGUGCCAUGUCUUCCCAUUUUGUUGACUUGUCAAACCUCUUUUUUGGACUUGUAAAACAAUAUGAUUCCUACACAAAAAUUCAACCAAAUAAGCAGCUCUAAUUUCUGAAGGAAAGUAAGAUUUGGAUGAGCCAAAAAUGCAAUUAAAAAUUUCCUAACUUGUGAAUAUCACUUCACACCAAUUUCAAUUUACAAAAAAAAUGACAAACACACUUCCACUCAAUCCACUUAACUGAACAAAACCACAUUCCAACUACUUUACUUGAAUUGAACUUAAAAGGAUUGAAUUCAUAAUUUUCUCCAAACCAUGUAAUUUCAUUCAUUUUGAACAAACAUGACACAAGAAAAUGUAGCUUUCGGAGUAAAAUAAGUAGUAAAAUAUGUGCUCAUCAAAUACCCCCAAACUUACAUUUUGCUUGUCCUCAAGAAAAAGAAGAAAACAUAAGAACAAGUAAUAGCAUGGAAAACGUUAGUUUCCCCCUAUGCGACCCUCAAAGAAUCUUAGUCAAGAGUUCAUAAUAAUCAAGAAAUUUCGUAAGCACAAAGCAAGUAAAUCAACCACAUUCGAAUUCUUAGCAAAAACCUUUCAAUCAUCCUUGACGUAUAGUGUGUGGAUUAACCAUGCCAAUGCAUUUCUAAGCUUCUUAAAAUCAUCAUAUGCAAACAAGUGACAUCCUCACCGGGCAUACACUCAUUCACUCAUAUUUUUGGAUAGUGUGUUUCACUCAAGUGAUCUCAAUCAAACAUGCCGCCAUAUGCUUGCUUGUCAACCUACCUUGCUAUUAAUAUCAUGUAAUUACUUGAAUCUAUAGGACUUUAGUUGGGUUGUAAUGGGGCUAAGGGUGAUAGGCUAGUGAAAGAAAGGAUAUGGAAACCAAAAAUUUUGAGAAAGUACACAUUAGCAGUUUUCCAACACCAAUAUCACACCCACUCAAAUUGAAAGCAAACUACAUUACCCGUAACAUUUGUUGCUUCCCCACUCAACUUCAUAUGGAAAUUAAUACUCUGCAUCCAAAGACUAGUCCUCUAAAACAUACAACUGCAUUCUCAAGCUUUACUUUUGAUAACAUGUACUUGUGCAUAACACAUUUUCAACAUCUCAACAUUUUUUUUUUUUACUCAAUGAAAUUGAUACUACCACAAUAAUGACAGUAGCCUGCAUAUUUUUAACCCUUUCCUUUUUUUUUUAACAUGCUCAAAUCUGCAAAGCUACAUCACCCCUCAAAUUCACAUUUCAUUGUAAUACGCAUGCUCCAUCCACUUUUUCUAUAUAAACAAAACCCAAAAAACACAACCUAUGUAAUACUUUCUCAAAACAAUAAGGGAUCGAUUUUUGUGUAUGGGCUCAACUCCAAUAUCGGAGCAUGGUAAAGAGAUGUGGCUAACAAAUAAAUGACUUAGUUAAAGGCUCAAUGGGCUACUAAGGAUACAAUUAGCAUAUAAGGUAGGCAUGAAAGGCUCAAACGAUCCAAAAAUAGCCUAUAUCACUUCCAAGUUAUUACAUGAAUUGAUGAAUGAUUCGAGAGGUAUAAAGCAAGUUCUAGAGAUACAUGUAAGAAUGAGAUCAUACACACAAGAACAAAUGUGAUUGAUGCAUGAUAGUUCAAUCAUAUAAAUAGGCUCAAAAGCUCACAAGGAUUACAUUAAGCCACUAUAUUCACAUAUGAAGUGUUAAACCAUGCUUUAGUUUCACAUCAACAAGGCAACGUGCAUUUGGUCUUUUCAAGGAUGAUCGAACGGGUAUAAAGCUAACAAAAAGAAUAAAGAGAUUCACCUAAAACAUGCUUACAACUUUCUCAAUAACCAUAGUUCGAAUUCAAUUCAAUUUCAUCAUUGGGUCAGGAAGCUAACAAAAAACUAAAUGAAAACAAGAUUUAAAAACAAAUUUUUUUUUUUGUAUUUUUCAAAGUUUUUGAUUGUUUUUUUUUCUUUCAGAAAUUAUAACCAAAACACUAACUAAAAGUAAAUAAUUAAAAGGGAGGACCCAACCAAUUAAAAGCAACAUGCUUAUUUCAAAUUAAAUAGUCGGACUAAACAAAUUUUCUUCAACCAGGGCUUAAAAAUCUCACUCCUACCCCCAAACUUAGAUGAGACAUUGUCCUCAAUGUCUGAUAGCAAGCACAUAAAAAUCACUUGGAAAAGCAAUGAAUUAAAUAACUUAGUCAAAGAACUUCCCUGGAUUAUGGUUCACAUGGCAACCACGGUGUGUUCAAGGUAGUAGCCACCCCUAACUAAAACACUUUAGUCUUCCAUUCAACGUUGUAUGGCAGCAAACAUUUCCCUACACCAAGAGAAAACAGUCAACAAGUAGCAAACGAGUGAAGAUAGAAAACAAAACAAACAAAACGAAAAAUAUGAAAUGAAACAAACAGAAAAUAUAAGAAAAGCAUGGGUUGCCUCCCAUGGAGCGCUAAAUUUAUAGUCUUCAGCCAGACUAUAUAAGGUUUAUGCUGAAUCUCGAAGGGAGGUCACCGUCUUCAUGGUAUCAAAAUUUGUUUCCACGUACGGCUUCAAUCUUUGACCAUUAACCUUGAAUAUGCUUCCCGACUCCAAAUUCUGAAUUUCCACCGUGCCAUAUGGAUAAAUUUGCACCACCAUGAAAGGACCAUACCAUUGAGAAUGAAGCUUUCCAGGAAACAACUUUAAUCUGGAAUUGUACAGCAACACCUUUUGUCCAACAUGAAAUUCUUUCAGCAGAAUGUUCUGAUCAUGCCACUUCUUAGUUCGUUCUUUAUAGAUCUUGGCAUUUUCAUGUGCAUCGUUCCGGAAUUCCUCCAUCUCACUAAGUUGUAACAAUCUUUUCUCCCCAGCUACUUCCAUGUCAAAAUUUAGUGUCUUGAUUGCCCAGAAAGCCUUAUGUUCUAGCUCAAUUGGCAAAUGACAUGCUUUACCAAAAACGAGCCGAUAUGGAGACAUGCCAAUUGGAGUUUUGAAAGCAGUGCGAUAUGCCCAUAAAGCAUUGUCUAACUUCUUCGACCAAUCUUUUCUCGAAGCACUCACAGUUUUCUCCAGAAUCUUCUUGAUUUCCCGAUUUGAAAUUUCCACUUGUCCACUUGUCUGAGGGUGAUAAGGUGUAGCAACCUUAUGUGUGAUUCCAUACUUUGCUAAGAGAGCUGCAAAUUGCUUGUUACAAAAGUGAGUUCCUCCGUCACUAAUAAUAGCACGAGGGGUUCCAAAGCGGGUGAAUAUAUUUGCCUUCAAAAAUCGGAGAACAACUCGGGCAUCAUUAGUAGGAACAGCUACAGCUUCCACCUAUUUCGACACAUAAUCAACUGCUACCAAUAUAUACUUGUUCAAGAAAGAAGAGAGGAAUGGCCCCAUAAAAUCAAUUCCCCACACACCAAAGAGUUCAACUUCCAGAAUAUUAUUAAGAGGCUCUGAUUUCUACGAGAAAUAUUUCCGGUCCUUUGACAGCGAUCACAAGAGGCAACAAAGGCAUGUGAAUCCUUGAAUAAAGAGGGCCAAAAGAACCCAGAUUGGAGAACCUUUGCUGCUGUUUUUGAGGUAUUGAAAUGUCCCCCACACGCAAGAGAGUGGCAAUGAUUGAGAAUGCUGAUUUGCUCAUCUUCGAGUACACAUCGGAGAAUCACUUGAUCUGGACAAUGUUUAUACAAGUACGGAUCAUCCCAGAAAUAGUGUUUGACCAUGGAGAGAAAUUUCUUCUUUUGUUGAAAACUCAUAUCUUUCGGAAUCACACCACUAGCGAAGUAAUUUACAAAAUCGGCAAACCAUGGGACUUUUCCAUGUUGGACAGCAAACAAGUGUUCAUCUGGAAAAGUUUCAUUGAGCGAUAUAGUUGAUUCCACCUCACCAUCUUGAAUAAGCCUUGACAAAUGGUCUGCCACCACAUUUUCGGACCCCUUUUUGUCUCGAAUCUCAAGAUCAAACUCUUGAAAAAGAAGAACCCAUCUGAUCAGCCUCAGUUUUGCAUCUUUUUUAGACAUUAAGUACCUCAAGGCCGCAUGAUCUGUGUAUACAAUAACCUUCGAACAAAUAAGAUAGGACCGAAAUUUAUCAAGUGCAAAUACUACAGCAAGCAUCUCCUUCUCUAUGGUGGAAUAAUUGAGUUGUGCAUCGUUUAAAGUGCGGCUUGUGUAGUAAAUAACAUGAGGAAGUUUGUCCUUUCGCUGCCCCAAAACAGCUUCUAUGGCAUAAUCGCUUGCAUCGCACAUCAGUUCAAAUGGGAGACUCCAAUCGGGUGUUGUCAUAAUAUGGGCUAAAGUGAGCAGAUUCUUCAAGAUGUUAAAAGCUGAUAAGCAUUCAGAAUCGAACUCAAAAACAACAUCUUUCUGAAGAAGAUCACUAAAAGGCUUGGCUAUUUUCGAGAAAUCCUUGAUAAAUCUGCGAUAGAACCCUGCAUGACCAAGGAAACUUCGAACUCCUUUCACUGAAGUUGGUGGUAGAAGAUUUACAAUCAACUUAACCUUCGCUCUAUCAACCUCAAUACCAUUCGCUGAAAUUUUAUGCCCCAAGACUAUGCCUUCUUGCACCAUGAAAUGGCAUUUUUCCCAAUUUAACACCAAAUUAGUCUCCUGUCAUCUUUUCAAUACUAGCUCCAAAUUGUGAAGGCAAUUAUCAAACGAAGACCCAAGAACAGAGAAGUCAUCCAUGAAUACUUCUAUAAAACGCUCCACCAUAUCAGAAAAUAUACUCAUCAUACACCUUUGAAAAGUAGCCAGUGCAUUACAUAAUCCGAACGGCAUCCUUCUAUACGCAAAAGUACCAAAUGGGCAGGUAAAGGUAGUCUUUUCUUGGUCUUCAGGAGUAAUAGCAAUCUGAUUAUAUCCCGAGUAUCCAUCAAGAAAGUAAUAAAAUGCAUGGCCAGCAAGUCGUUCCAGCAUCUGAUCAAUGAACGGAAGUGGAAAAUGAUCUUUCCGUGUGGAAUCAUUUAUCUUUCAGUAAUCUGUACAGACUCCCUACUUCAUUUUUUGCCUUGGGGGCAGCAGCUCAUUAGUAUCACUUUUGAUCACCGUCGUACCUUCUUUCUUCGGAACAACGUGAAAUGGACUUACCCAUCUACUAUCAGAUAUUAGGUAGAUCCAAAAGCUUAAGAACUUCUUCACGAACAACUUCCUUCAUAAGUGGGUUGAGUCUCAUUUGAGCUUUAAUGGUAGGCUUGCUAUUCUCUUCAAGCAAAAUUCUAUGCAUGCAAACCGUUGGACUGAUUCCCUUUAUAUCAGCUAUAGUCCAUCCCAACACCAUUUUAUACUCUUUCAGUACCCUAAGUAAUUUUUCCUCUUCAAGUGGACUCAAACUUGCAGCAAUUAUGACAGGUGGGUCUCGGCAGCCCCUAAAUAAGCAUACUUCAGAUUUUCUGGCAAUUGCUUCAACUCUAACUUAGGUGCAACCUCAAUAGAUGGUUGAAUUUUCUUUGGAGCUGGUCCCAAAGCCUUAAAAUAAUGUCUCCGAUGCUGAUUGUGUACAGGAGCAGAAUAUAACAUUGCUGAAAUAGCAAGUACAUCUUCAUUUGUUCCACCACUCAAUUCAGAAUGAACCAAGCAUGCUUCCAAAGGAUCAUCCGAAUGUUGCUCUAUAUAUUUCAGAUUCACUAGCUCUUCCAACGCCUCAACUCGAAAGCAUCUUUCAGAAUCACUUGGAUAUUUCAUAGCCUCAACGACCUUGAACACCACUUCCUUGCCUUGAACUCUCAAAUUGAGGAGACCUUUUUGGACGUCGAUAAGAGUUCCAACGGUAGCCAUAAAUGGACGGCCCAAAAUGAUUGGAAUUUCUCGAUCCUCCUCCAUGUCAAGUACCAAGAAAUCAACCGGUAGAAUGAAUUGAUCAACUCGAACUAGAACAUCUUCAAUGAUUCCUCUUGGAUAUGUAACCGAACGAUCAGCAAGUUGUAAAGAUACCGAAGUGGACUUCAUCUCUCCAAGACCAAGCUGUUUAAAGAUAGUAAAUGGCAUUAAAUUAACACUAGCUCCUAAAUCAAACAAAGCUUUUUCAAAGGAAAAUUUGCCAAUUGUACAAGGAAUAGUAAAACUCCCUGGAUCUUUUAACUUUGGGGGUAGCUUUUGUUGCAAAACGGCACUGCACUCUUCAGACAAUAUCACUUUUUCGUGUUCCACAAACCUCUUCUUGUUAGUGCAGAUGUCCUUUAGGAAUUUUGUAUAACUCGGAAUUUGUUUCACUGCAUCAAGCAAAUGAGUGUUAAUAUGUACCUUUUUAAAUAAAUCUAAAAUUUCAAAAAAGUUCUUGUCUUUCUUAGCCCUUUGCAAACGCUGAGGAUAUGGAACAGGUAGUGAAUAAAUCUUUUCUUGUGCUAACUCCUCAUCUUGCAAUGUGAGUGAAUCAUUCUCAGGUUUUUCAGACUUCUUUUCUUUCUUUGCACCCUCCGUUUCUAUGGUCUUGCCACUCCUUAAUGUAAUAGCUUUAAUGUGCUCUUGGUUCUUCGGAUUCACUUCCGGCUGACUUGGAAAUUUCCCAAUCUCUUUUUCAUUCAACGCACUAGCAAUCUGACUAACUUGAACUUCCAGCUUCCCAAUUGAAGCUUGCUGAUUUUGGAGUGUUGUCUGAGUUGCUUGAAUGAAGUUAUUUGUGUUUGUAGCAAGUUGAGCUAUCAAGUCUUCCACUGGUGUCUUCUUUUCUUGUGGCUGGAAAUUCAUAGGAGGCGGCCUAGCUGGAGGAUUCAUAACAUUCAGAUUGUUAUUCCAUUGAAGAUUUGGAUGAAAACGCCAACCAGGAUUGUAAGUGUUUGAAUAUGGGUUAUUCCGCUGACGAGAAAAAUCAUUCACUUGAUUUGCUUGCUCUUGCAUAUACUCCGAAAAUGAACCAAUGUUUGGGCACUCAGUACUUGCAUGUAUACUUGCACAUAUUUCACAAACCACAUCAAAAAACUUCACAGAUUUAACGGUCAUCAAAUUAUCAAACUUUUUAUUUAAGUUAGAAAUCUGUGCAGCUAUGGUAGACAUGGCAUCAAUCUCGUGCACUCCAGCACGUUUGGGUGGUCCUCUUUCCACUCCUCACUGUUGAGAAUGAGUAGCUAAUGUCUUGAAAAGUGCUGAUGCCUUGACAACUGUCUUUGUCAUUUGAGCUCCUCCACUAGCAGCAUCAAUCAUUCUCUUGUUUUCGGGAGUCAGUCUUUGAUAAAAUGAUUGCAGCUGCAACCAUUCCGGUAAGCCAUGAUAAGGACACUUCAUCAAUAAAUCUCGGAACCUCUCCUAACUAUCAUAAAAAGCUUCAUAAUCAAAUUGGGCAAAAGUCAUGAUUUCAUUCUGUAACUUAGAAGUCUUCGAAGGAGGAAAGAAUCUUUGAAGGAAUUGAUUUGCCAACUCAUCCCAAGUUGUUAUAGAAUUAGUUGGCAAAUAGUUAAACCAAGACUUUCCCUUGUCCUUGAGUGAAAACGGAAACAGCCGCAAUUUGAUAGCAUCGUUAGUUGCCCCAUGGAUCUUCAAAGUUUCACAUAUCUCGACAAAGUCACUAAUAUGUAAAUUUGGAUCUUCAGUAGAAAGACCAUAAAAUGAUGGCAACAUCUGGAUGAAUGACGGCUUCAACUCAAACUAAUUAGCCGUAAUUUCUGGACGCACAAUACAAGACGAUGUAGCUCCAAUAGUAGGAGUCGAAUAAUCUAUAAGAGCACGAUUUUCAUUCGGGAUUAUAUGGCACAAGCUCAAGACUUCGAGAACGACGAUCGUGCAUGAACUUCACAAAAACACCUGAAAACGAAAGAAAACAAAAAUUAAAAUAAAACAAAUACACGUAGCAAUUGAAAUAAGAAAGAGAUAGAAUUAAAUUUCAAUCCCGGGCUGCGGUGCCAAAAACUUGCUGCGAAAUUUAAACUAACCGAAAUUAGUCCAACUUAGUUCCAAAUUUUAUGCUCGCAAGCGUAUGAAUCGUUUGAUAGUAUAGAAAGCAAGCACUUAAUAUCGUCCCUUAGAAAAUGAUUUAAUUCUUAUCAACUAACUUAAAUCCAAUUGCAACGAAGUGAAACUAGCAAAGAUUGAUGAAAGAUGGUUUUGAGAAUUGAAACUAAUAGUAAAAACAAAUAAAAACAAGAAAGUUUGAUCACAAUGCAAAAAAAUGACAGCCAAGAAAACAAGUUAUAAUUCAAUCGAGUAAAACACUAGAGCGUUCGACUCACCAUAACCAAUCCUACUUAUUUCCUGCAACGAAUUAUUAACAAAUACUCAAUCUCAUUGAUAGUCAAAUUUUCCUAACACAUGUAAUAUCUAUGGCAUCUAGACUAUUACGUAUAUCCUAAUUUGCAACCAUCCAUGGCAUCUGGAAUAGUUUAACAUCAUGAAACUCAUUACGAUCAGUGGAAAUUUAUAUUAAGACUACACAAAUCCUAGAGUAUGGCAUCUACUACUAGGUAAUUCAUGGUAUCUAUUUGCAAGAAGCUAUCACUCAAGUUGAAAACAUGGCUUCUGCACAACUUGCAUCAAAUUUACCAAGUAAAAGUCAAAAUGGUAGCUAAUCACCAAGACUAAAACCAAGCAUAUAAACACAACAAACGAUACUUAAUGAAAUUGAAAACUUGAAAUAAUUCACUUUAGAAAUUAAGCAUUCAUAGUCAUGGCUACAUCGUAGCCCUUGCUAAGGAAAAUUAGUUCCGAAACAUUACUGGAAAUAUCAUUGAAUUCAUAAUAAAAUUAAAAGAAAAACUAAGUUUAGAAAAGCCUGAAAUCCCCAUGCUCUGCCACUGCUUACUUCUCUUUGUCUUUGCCGCUGCCUAGUCUUCUCUUUCUUUCUUUUUUCAAUCAUCACCAGGCUACCUCUUUGAUUCCUCCAAUUAGCCGUUUUCUUUUUCGUAACCGUCGAGACCUUAAUGCCUAUUUAUUGCCUUGUAACUGCAGUCCUAGCCUCCCAAUCAGUUUCUUCGACUCUCUAGUUGCUUAGUAAUUGAAAUUUUAAUCUCCCAAAUCAAUUGACUUCCAAUAAAUCUGAAAGUGGUUGAAUCCCCAAGUCAAUUGACACCAAUAAGUAAUGGACCAAUAACCAGAACCCAUGCUCCUGCUAAGAACCCACAAAUUGAAAUCGGAAAUGGAAAUUUGGGUUUCUGAUCGGAUCAUAUUUAUAUAUAUUUUUACUUCGAAUUCACUCGUCUUUUCUUUGUUAGUUCCUUAUAUUUUUGAGCUAUUUACGUUAUUUUUGUGUUUAUAGGAUUUGUUAUGCAAAGAAAAUAAAAAUAGAAUAAAUGAAAUUUUAUGUAAUAACUUCGUCAAAAUUGUAUUCCAUUAAAAUAAGUUGAAAAUAAGUACAUAGAGUAAUUAACGUCUUUCCUAUCUAGCCAAAAACAUAAACUGAAAAGUAAUUUAAUGAAAAACUCAUUUUCGACAUGUUUGUGUGAAAUUUGCAUGCAGGAUCUCUUUAUUAAGAGUUUGCAGUCAGUGGGAUUAUAUACUGAAAGUCUUAAAGAACAUCGGGAGGAGAAUAUAGAGAAAAGGAAGCUGCUUUGCAGCUGGAAAUGAAGGAAUCCAAACAUGGGCAGCGGCAUAAAAUAAAAAGGCAGGAAGCUGCCUUAGCAGCUUGAAAAAUUAUAAAGAAAAAAAAGAGCUGCUUUUGGCAGCUAGAGAAAGUGACACGGGAGAGAGGAGCAUGUGAAAGGAAAGCAGUGCGCUAGGGAGCAUGUGAGAGGACAGCAGUGGGCUGUCUUGGCAGCCCAGAGGAGUGACACGGAAGGAGAAAACGUGAGCUGGAGAGGGGGUCAGCGAGAAAAGGGAAUAAGAAGACUGCGAGGAAAUAAAAGGGGGGAGUACGGGACAGAUUGAAGGAGCUGCUUGGGCAGCGUGAAGAGGGGAGAGAACGGGCAGCUAGAGGGACUGACGGGGAGGUCACAAGCUGCCUUUGGCAGCGUGACUGGCAGAACACGGAGAGAAGCUAGCAGACAGGAGGUGCAGAGGAGAAACCGAGGAGGAGAGCUGCCUUGCGGACUCAGACUGGCGAGCAGCGUGAGCCUCGGGGAGGAGAAAAACAGAAGCAGCAAGCUGUCUUCUCUUUCGGUUAAAUCUUUCCGAACUUAUAUUUUAUUUCUGUUUUAAUAAUGUGUAACUAAAUUUAUUUUGGCUAGAGGUUAAUUCAAAACCAUGAUUAUAUUUGUAAUAUGAAUUGAUUACAUCUAGUUGUGAUUCAUAAGUUGUGAAUUCAAUUUACUUAUCCGUUCGUAUAAAAACUUAUUUGUGUAUGUUGGUUGAGAGUGCACGCUUAAUUUUCAUGCAUGAAUUUGACGCUAGAAUAUAAGGGAGUUUCACCUAAUCGUUAUGAACUUAUAUUCAUAAGUAGUGAAGGUUGCUAGUCACAAUCACGUUAAGUAAAUUCUUGGCAUAAGUUUCAUGCAAAUCAUAGUAACGAGUGUCUCGUCAAUGCUUAUGUUUUUCAUAGAACUUAAUGAUUCUUGCUUGUAUCUCUAUUAUGCAACUCAUGUAGGGAACUUGUAGGGAAUGUUUUGGGUUGUAGUAUGCAAUCAUCCAACCCAAUAACUUGUGGAAAAACUGAGGGUUAAUUAGUGCAAUUCACGGUUAAUUUGGGGCGUUGAGUAUUCAUAGCUUAUCGAAAAGCAACUGGAAAUCAUUUUGUAUGCAAGUAUAACAUGUGUGGAGAAGAACCCUCUAGCUAGUCUGUCACCUAUCCUUUCACCUUAAUUUCAUGCUCUUGUCAAUUCUGUAAUUUAUUUAAGUUUAAUUUACUUUUCGUCAAAACCAAACCCCCCCAUUAUUAAAUUAUAUUAUUUCGUUAGUUCAUUGUUGUUAGUCUUUUAAUUCAAUUUCCGUCCAUUUCAGUUCCUAGUGUCUAAAUUUGAUUGUUUUCAUUAUUUUGAGUCAUUCUAAGUGUGUUUCGAGUUAUUAGAGUUUUUAGCCUAGUUUUGUGUCCUUGAGUCUUGUUUAAUAUUUUUAAAUUAAUUUAGAAUAGAUUAGCAAUCCCUCCUAAUCCCCGGCCUAGAACGAUACCCUACUUACAUCUUUACUACAAUUGUCACAAAGAGGGUUUAAUUUGUGUGUCAAGUAAUUCUCACACCAGUUUCCAUCUCUUGUUGAAUUUUAUCGAUUAAAGCCCCUUGCUUUGCUGCAAUUGUAUGUGGCGGUUUGCUCCAGAAAAUUUGGAUUAGACCUUUCUCUCCUCUGUCGGUGUAAAUGGAAGGAUAAGGCCUUCCUUUGUGCAAUUGAAUAAAUCACGUGCCAUGUCUUCCCAUUUUGUUGACUUGUCAAACCUCUUUUUUGGACUUGUAAAACAAUAUGAUUCCUACACAAAAAUUCAACCAAAUAAGCUGCUCUAAUUUCUGAAGGAAAGUAAGAUUCGGAUGAGCCAAAAAUGUAAUUAAAAAUUUCCCAACUUGUGAAUAUCAUUUCAGACCAAUUUCAACUUACAAAAAAAAUGACAAACACACUUCCACUCAAUCCACUUAACUGAACAAAACCACAUUCCAACUACUUUACUUGAAUUGAACUUAAAAGGAUUGAAUUCAUAAUUUUCUCAAAACCAUGUAAUUUCAUUCAUUUUGAACAAACAUGACACAAGAAAAUGUAGCUUUCGGAGUAAAAUAAGUAGUAAAAUAUGUGCUCAUCACCCAAGUUUGCCAUGUGUAGGUGAAGGUAUGCAAGAGCCUGCCAUGCAUCCAACACCUUCGCCAACUAGCUCCAAGAUCUCUCUUAGAUGGCCAAACCUUAGUAGCACCGAGCAACUUGUCCAUCGUAUCGACCUUCGCUCGGCCAUGGAUAUCAAGAGCCAUAUUGAGAAGGGGAUUUCAAAGUGCCCAGUGAAGGACCUUGUGUUGCUUAAUGAGGACUUGUCGAAGCUUGUUUCUGCGAUUAAUGACCUUAACGUUAAUUCCUCACUCUUGAGAGUCAAAAUUGCCGAACUUAUGGCCACCUCAACUGAGUAUUCUUCCUUGCAUUCUAUUUCCUCGAAGAAGUUGAGUCUAGAGGUUAGAGCUCAACAACUUGCGACAAUAAACUUAUCAAUUGCCCAAGUUCGGUCUUCUCAGCAAGCUGCUUUGGAAGGUUAUCAAGUCACAAUAACUUCUUUAGCUUCCGACAAGGCACAUCUAGAAGCAUUGGCGGGUGAGCAAGAACAGUUGGAAAUCGAAGCAUUACGACUUCAAGGUGUUCUCUCGGAGCAGGAAGCUAUACUUUCUCAACAUCAAGAGGGGAUUUCACGCCUAAAGCAAGAGAAAGGCACGGCCAUGGAAGUGCCCACCUUGUCCCUCACUGAUGUGGAGACUUUGAAGACUUUGGAAGGCUUGCUUGAAGACUAUCGUCGUAGUUUUAGGGACAUAGGUUUCAUGUAGUGUCUUCCGUUUUUUGUACUUUAAGCAUUCUUUGUUUUUUUGCUCAUUUUGUAAUACGGCUUUGUAGCCGAAUUCUUCCUUUAAAGAAAUAAAGUAUUCACAUUCUUGAAUUUGCUCUUUAUUCUUCAAAGUAUUUGUGUUUUUGUUGAUGAUGUGACUGUACUUGAAGUUUUGAAGUUUCAAGUUGCCUACGUACCCUCGGUUGAGGAGGGAUCAAUUCAUGACGUAGUUCAAAGGAAUGAUGGAUUGCUUUUAAUGGUUUUGAUGGUGCUUUUUUUUAUAAUGAUUUUGAUUUUUUUUUUCUGUUUUGCCGUACACAGUAUGCUCUUGCGGGCCAGAAGUGGUGGGUGUCACCUUUUAAGCCUGUACGAACAAGAAGCAUUAGGUGUCACUUUUUAAGCUCGUGCGAACAAGGAGCAUUGUUGCCAUGUUCAUCUUAGGCUUAUGCAGGCAAAGAGCAUUGAGUGUCGCCUUUUAAACUCGUGCGAACAAGGAAUGUUGAGUGUCGUCUUUUAAACUCGUGCGAACAAUGAGUGUCAAAUGUUGCCUUUUAAGCUCGUGUGGACAAUGAGCAUUGUGCUGUGUGCAGUUUAGGCCCAUGCAGGCGAUGAGCGUUGGGUGUUUGGUUUAUAGGUAGUAACACUUCAAGAAUCUGCCAUUGAUGGGGCUAAUUUUUAAGCCGUCUUCUGCCAUGAUUAAGUAGGCGUUGUUGGUGUAGACUUCUUGUAUUACGUAAGGUCCAUCCCACUUUGAUAUGUACUUGCUUUUUGUCUUGUGAGUUGUGAUGAUGGGCCUUCGUAAUGCCAAGACAAGAUCUCCAGUUUGGAAAGACCUUGGGUGGACCUUCUUGUUGAAUGCCUUGGAUAGCUAUGCAUGGUAGCAUUCCAAGUGUUGUUGAGCUUUUAACCUUCUUUUGUCGAGUGCUUCCAACUCUUAAAGUCAUAACUUUGCAUUUUCCUCUUCAAUCAAGCCUUCUUAUACAACAAUCAUUAGUGAAGGGAUUUGACCUUAAAGCAGCAGAACAACUUCUAUGCCAUAUACGAGAGAAUAAGGCAUAGUUUGGGUAUGAGUCUUAUGUGUCAUCAUAUAUGCCUAAAGUGCUGCGCUUAUUCUUUCGUGCUAGUCUUUUUUUGUUUGGCCGAUCACCUUCAUCAGGAGGUUGCAUAGCAUUUUGUUGAAUGUUUUCGCAAGACUGUUGGCCGAAGCAUGGUACAUGGAAGACUUGUGGUGCUUGAAUUUGUAUUUCUCACAGAGCUCAUCCACGAGUCAGUUGGAGAACUGUUUUUCGUUGUCGGUGAUGAUGUAGCGAGGCACACCAUAUCGAUGGAUGAUAUGCUCUUUGAUGAAAUGGACAACAGUUUCCUUCUUGACUUCCCUUAAGGGUACGGCUUCAGCCCACUUAGAAAAGUAAUCCAUUGCGGCUAGGAUGUAGGCUUAUCCUGCAGAUGACUUUGGAGUGAUUGGUCAUACGACGUCUAAUCCACAUGCAUCAAACGGCCAUGAAGCAACUAUAGGAUGUAAUGGUUCAGGCAGUUGAUGUAUGAAGUUGGCAUGGAAUUGGCAGGCUUGGCACCUUUUAGCGUACUCCAGGCAAUCCUUCACCAUGCUUGACUAGUAGUAACCCAUUUUUUUGAGCUUGAAAUGUAGCUUUGGUCUAGACUGAUGCACGUCUCAUACGCCUGAAUGUGCUUCUUCCAUAGCUUGAUUGGCUUUUUCCUCACCUAGGCAUCUCAGAAAUACUCCUUUAAAAAAACGUCGGUAGAGUGUUCGUUUGUAGUAGAGGAAGCGAGAUGCUUUUUGAUGUAUUUUAGAGCUGUGUCUAGGAUCGUCUGGAAGCUUUUCAUGAUCCAAUUAGUCGAUCAGUGGCUGUCUCUACUCUUUAGUGUCGACUGGAAGUACUGAGAUGACGUUUGUAUCAUCCAGUAGCAUUUUAGUGACGAGCGGGAUCACCUAUCUAUAGCAAACUAGCACAUUUCCAGCUUUGUCUUCUCCUAGCUCCAUACUUGAGGCAAGGUUAGCGAAAGCGUCCGCCAUUUGAUUUUCUUUUCUUGGCAUAUGUUCUAGCGUCACGGCCUCGAACUUUUGUAGCAAUUGAGUUGCUAGCCUAAAGUAUGGGACGUGAUCAUCUUUCCUCACUUCAUAUUCAGUUAUUCAGUCAAGAGUUGAUUGAUUAUGAGCUUGGAGUGCAUAUACACUUCUAGCAUUGUGAUUUCCAUGUCUAUUGGCAUUUGGAAUCGAAUGAUCAGUGCUUGGUACCCAGCGACAUUGUUGGAGCAUAGCUUGCUUAGUUGGAAGGAAUAAGGUAGUACUUGUCUUUAUGGCGACAUGAAUACUACUCCUGCUCCUGCUCCGUCCAUUCGUGCAGACCCGUCGAAGAACAUUUGUCCAUGUCCGGAAGAUGUCGAUGUAGAACACCUCCUCAUCAGGCAAGUCGUCUCCAAUCGGCUAGGAUUUGAGGAAAUCUGCUAGGGCUUGUCCCUUGAUGGCUUUAACUGAGACAUAGAUGAUCUCAUAUUGAUUGAGAAACAACGCCUUUUAGCUAGUCGCCCUGUCAGAACUGGUUUGGACAUAACAUACUUGACUAGGUCAGCUUUAGCAACCAAGUGGAUGGUGUAAGCAUGCAUGUAAUGUCUUAGCUUUUGGACGGCGAAGACUAGGGCAAGGCACAUCUUCUCGAUAGGUGAGUAGUUGAGCUCGGCACCAGUGAGAGUUCUACUUGGGUAUAGAGUGCUAUUUCCUUUUGGUUUUCAUUUUCUUGUGCCAAGAGUGCUCCAAUGGAACCCUUUUAUGUGGAAAUGUAUAGGAUGAGCAGCUUUCCAGGCACGGGUGCUCCUAAGCCAAGUGGGAGAUAGUGUUCAGCAAGGUUAGAGAUGAAACGCAUAAUAAAGGCUAGCCGACCUUGUAGACUUUUCAGCUCGUGUAGAUUCCUUGGCUCGGGCGUGCUUUGAAUAGCUUUAAUGUUCGAUUGGUUUAUUUCAAUGCCACAGUUCUUGACACUGAAGCCAAGGAACUGUUAGAAGUAUGCCCACAAAGCCACUCAUUUGAUGUAAUAGCUUUUUGGAAUACUUAAUGUAUUAAACUUUUAUAUGUUUAAUGAAGGGCAAAGCUUAUUGUUAAUCACUAUUUAUUGUAUCAUGUGUUUAAGCAAUAAGGGAAUCCUAGGGAUGUAUUUGAUCUAAGAGACAAGUGAUCUAAGUGAGUUAGAUUAUCGAGACCAUUCUCUUAUGUUCAUUCCUAAAACGUUCCUAGCCAUAGGAUUGCUAAUUGGGCAUUGACAAUCCGCUAAGGUUAGUAUGUGUUAUGUUGACUCAAGCGUGAGUAUGACUAGUCUCAAGUCAUUUAGUGUUGUACACUAAGACAAACACAUAGGUGCUCGAAAGAGUAAUCGAGUAUACUGAACAACGAUCAAAAGAGAGUUCGAACAUACAUGUCAUGUAUGAACUCUAAAGUUGCAAUAUGCAAAGUAGUCAUUUGACCUGAGGCAUCAUAGAUGUCUAAUGGUUACGUCCUUGAUCUUUGAUCAUGUCAACGACAUUCCAUCGGAGUGUCCACGACAUUGUUGGGGUCAAGCUAUCUAGUCAUGUAGGCAUAUGAAUGCACAACAAGGGAUCUCUAACCUUCCAUGGUGGAAGGAGAAUACUCUAAGAUAUGAUUCUAAAGUCUUUGGCCAAAGUAAAUGAAUAUGACUUAGGAAGUUUGUUCCAAAUCAUAUUCAAGGGAAUCAUGUAGAAAAGUAUCACAUUGGAUAGUAGACAUGAAACAAACUAUCAUUCAAACAAUGUGAUUAAGAGUAUUGUAUUAGAGAAGGACCGUAUUGCAUUGUAGUUGUAACUGGAUAGGUUCUCCAACCAAUUCUACUUAGCUUGGGUAACCAUGAUAUACUGCUAGGUGUCACUCAUGGUUUGUGGAAGCCCUAAUGAUUAGGCAACACUAGUCAAUAAAGGGAGAAUUGAAAUGUGGUUUCAAUUCACAAUCGAUCGUUAAGAGUAACAAUCGCCUACUACCUCGCUAAAUGGAACCUAAUGGAUCGUACACCGAGUAAGGGUGAUAGUGAAGAAAUUAAAUGAAAUGGAUAUGCAAUUAAAUGGUUUAAUUGAAGAAUGGUCAAGAUUAAUUAAUUAGUUAAUUAAUUUUACGAAAGGUUCGUAUUGGGCUUUUAAGUUGGUUUUGGGUUCGGGGCCCAAAAGCGUUUUGGUCCACAAGGCCCAUUAUGUUUAAGUUGUAUGACAACUAAAACAAAAUGGGCAAUAAGCCCAAUCACUUACAAGGGGCCGGCCAUAAGGGGUGAGUGUGAGACUUUGCUUAAUUGCAAGUUUGCCACUCACCAAAUGUAAUGAAGUAUAAAAGCAACUUUAUAGCAUUAUUUUCAUUAGGGUUUUUCUUUGAGGCAAAGAGGUGAAACAUUUUCUCUCUUCCUCUCUACAAAGAGGCCGGCCACUUAGGGAAGAUUUAGCUAGCAAUCUUUUCUUCUCUAAGUCAUCCAUUUCAUCUUCACACCUCACCCUUGGUGUGGAGACUUAGAGACACCAAACUUUUGGUGUUUUUGGAGAUCCUUUCCUCACAUCAUCAAGGAGCAAAGGAGCACUAAAAGGGGAAAAUCACAGGCAAGAUUCAAGGAGCUUGGAGGUGACUUGAAGGCCCUCCACUUGGGUGAAUCCCUUGUGUAAACAAGGAUGAUCUUCAAGGGUAAAGAAAAUCUAAAUCUUUACUUCUCUUUAAUGUUGUUAAAGAGUCUUUUGGUUCACCAUAUACUAGGCUUUGAAAGUCAUGGGUUUUAUGAAUUGUUUUUGGAUGCAUGCCUACUUUAAAGUGUUUAUAGCUUGCAUAUGUAUUCAAAUGUUCAUACUUGUUCUUAGCUAGGACAAAAUUUUUCCUUCAGGAACUUCCCAGAGGUGACGCCAAAUGCACACUUCAACGAGUUCAUCUUGAUGUUGUAGUGCUGUAGUUUGUCGAACACCAUACGUAAAUCCUUAAGUGAUCAAAUCUUUUCUUGGUCUUGACAACUAUGUCGUCUAUGUAACAUUCUACAUUUUUGUGUAGCAUGUCGUUAAAGAUCUUUUGCAUUGCAUGUUGAUAUGUAGCCCCAACAUUCUUCAAGCGAAAGAGCAUUACCUUUUAACAGUAGAUAACUUUUGGAAUGUGGAAAGCUGUUAGUUCCUUGUCUCGGGAACCAUGCGGACUUGAUUAUACCCAGAGGAGCAGUCCAUGAAUGAUAGCUCCUCGUAGCCAGUGGUUACGUCCACCGUGAUUUCGAUGAUUGGCAAGGGAAAGUCAUCAUUCGGGCAAGCAUCGUUAAGUUCUCGGAAGUCUACGCAAACACGUAUUUGUCCAUAUUUCUUAAGGACAAUGACGAUGCUGGAGAUCCACUUAGGGUAUUGCACAUCUCGAAUGAAGUCUGCUUCAAUUAGCUUGUUAAUCUUGGCCUUAAUUUGUGGUAUGAGUUUGGAUUGAUAGCGUCUUUGAGUUUGCUUUAUCAGUCGCGUUCCAGGCUUGACUGCAAGACGAUGCACUGUGAUGGUAGGGUGAAGGCCGGGCAUUUCCUUGUAGGCCCAAGCAAAGAUGUUUUUGUACUAUAAUAGCAGUUGCUAGUACUCCUUGUUCUCAUUCGCACUUAGCAGUGCACUUAUGAAGAUAGGCUUUGGCUCAUCGUUUGUGCCUAAGUUGAGCUCCUUGAGAUAAUCAAUCGUGGCUUGCCCCUCAUCAUCGAGUUGUGGUGGUGCAGCAGUGAUGUCUUCCUCAGGGGUUUCAUCCUCUUUGUCUUCUUGGAUUGUGGAAGACGUCUUAGACCUUCUUUUCAAUGUCGUCCCCUUGGGCUUGUUGGUGUGAAGAUUGGCCAAUGUGGAUGAUGGUGCGCCUCUUUACCUUUAGUUGUCCUUUUGUGUUGACUUCCAAGGUUGCUUGUUGCUCUAUCCUUGAAGAAAUUGAGCUUUAAACAUCGUCUUUUUGUCUUCCUCUUUCUAGAAGACUGCUUGGUUUCUUUAAGUAUUUCCAAGGCCGACCAUCAUCGAGGAGAGUUAGUUGUGUUGCUUUGUUUCUUAGGUUUUGACAACCUUUCAAACACAGAGCUUUAGGGUGUUGGCAUGUUAAGCCGCUUGAAGACGGAAGUUCGAUCUUGACCACCAAUGCGAUCAAGUGCCUAAAUUCUAGGUUUUGAACGAUUCAGCCUAUCAAAGACUAACGUUCGAGGGAAAACUCGAGUGCCAACAUGUGGUCCUUAAGGCUGAAAUAUGUUGGGCACUGUAAACACAAAAAUUAUGUAACAAAUGAGACGAGAACACGUGUACAAAAUAGAUUUGUAUUAAUGAAUUUGUAGGGUUACAAUCUCUGUUUACAUUUUUUCUAUAAUUUAGUCUUCAAAUUUGAUAUAGAUGCGUAGGUUGUUGAUCCAAGGGUUGUGAUGAAUUGAUCUCGGGCAAACAAUUGAACGAUUGCUUCAAGUUUUGAGCUUGAAACAAUGCGUCGAUAAUCUUCACCUCUAGGUUUGCGUAUGACCUGCGGCAAAUGUGAUGUUGAUGUGGGAUUUUGUUCAUUCAAGGGUCUUGGUGACUUGAUCUUGAAUCGAAUGUCGUUACAAGUUUUAAGCUUGCAACAAAGUUUUGAAGGAAUUGGCACAAGUGCUUGUUGAUUUUUCAAGGGAAUGCUUCGGCUUUGGUCAAAAGAAAGCUUUGGCUUUGGUUGUAAGUUCUUCGAAGAAAGCUUUGGCAGCGUAUUAGUCUUCAAAGAUUUGGCAGAGGUUCUCCUUUUGUGAGAAUUUUGGCCCUUCAUGUAGAAAUUGUCCACCCUUAUGCUUGUCUGAGGACCUUGUAUUUAUAGACUUCUCAAAGCUUGCCUUUGGAUGGAUUUGGCUUUGAUUUGUGUCUUGAUUCAUCCAAGGGAGAAUUAGGCAUGUUUUGUGUCUUAAUUUCAACCACUUUCCCUUGCUUGGCCGAAAUCUAUAAAGCUUUCUUGCCUAUUUUGCAAGCAAUCUUCAAUUCUUGCUUGUUUUGUGAAGAUGCUUUAGCUUUCUUUUCGGUUUUGGGAGCAAUUUGGGCCCCUUGCCGAUUUUAAGGGGAUUUCUUCCCUUUUGCCGCAUUUUAGGAUUUUUCUAUUUCACGUCACUUUAAUGUAAAUCCGACUCUGCCCGCCAUUCCUAAGGAACACAUGUCGCAGAGUAUCAGUUCGUUGAUAAAGGUCGUCUAGCAAUCCAUUUUGUCAACGAUGAGGCACAAUGCCAACACAAAUCUUUGUACUUCAAACAAAAUGUGACAAUUUAGACAAAAAAGGUUUGCACAACUGCGCCAAAUGACACCUAAUUCGGAAGUCGUGACAUCCAAAUGAUGUCAAGGCUGACACACUACUACAGUAACAGAAGAUCUUAAGUAUGCUUUGAUACCAAAUUAACACACCCGACCCCAAUAUCCUCCAAACACUAGAGUAGGCACGUGCUGGCCGACACCUAAAGCUGACGAAGCCAUAUUAACAUGCUUGAGAACUAUGAAGAAUGAACAUAAAUAAAACUUGUAAAUUUAAAUAUAAUGAAUAUGCAAUUGUGGAACAUGUUCAGAGCAUACAAUUAAUCCAGAAUACAAAGAAAGGAUAAUUACAAAAUGUACGAACAAAUGAAUGGGUCCUAGACCGAGAAGACUCGAAGAUACUGAUGCGGGAGUGCCUUGACGCCUGGAUUUUUGAUAGGAGCAUAUUUAUGCGCCUUAGUUAGCUAGUUCUUAUGCAUUUUCAUUAUUUUUCUUAGUUAAAAUAGUCUUUUAAGCUAUUUUCAUGUGUUUUCAGGUUUUAAGGGCAUAUUAUACAAAAAGAUGCAAAUUGGAGCUUUUUGGAGCAAAAGUGAGCUUGGAUUGAAUAGCACAUGCUUGGAACAAAAGGUUUGGACGAAAUUGAAGAUUUGAAUAUUUGAGGAUUCCUAGUCCAAGAAGGAUUCCUAAUCAACGAGGGAGUCCUAAUUGAAGAAGGAUUCCUAAUCAACGAUGGAUUCCUAGUUGAAGAUGGAUUCCUAGAAGAAUGAAGAUUCCUACUCAAACAAGGUUUCCUACUUGAAGUAGGAAAGUUAAGCCUAAAAGUUGCUAUUUUGGGUUGAUAUUUCCUAAACCUAAAUGGCCUUAAGUUUCAGCGACAUUAGAAGGUUCUUAAGCGUUGGAAGACACAAAGAAAGGUUGGAGAGCAAUUCCUUAUCCUUGCCGUGGGUUAGGGUCUAUUUCCUCUUAGUUUUGGGUUUCUAGAAGCCCUAUCUUUUUUUCCCCCUAACCCUUGCCGCACUUCCCCUUUUCUAGAACCUAUUUUCUUGCCUUGCAAGGCUUUCUAGAAGCCUUCUCCUACCCUAUCCUUAUCUGCCGCACCCCCUAGGCCUUUUUCCUUGUGAAUUCUGAUUUCUAAGCCUUUUUCCUUAUGGAUUUGGGUUAUCCAAGUCCAUAUCUGAUUACCCUAGGGUUUUAAGUGCCUAUAUAUACUCUCAUUCACCCCUUGGCAGAAUGACCACCCAUCAUAAUACAUAAAUCACACCAGAAAUCAUCCCCACCUCUCUGCUGCAGCCUUCCAUCACCAUUCUCCCUAAUUUCUGCCAAAAACAACCCUUUGUUGCACUCAUCACCCAUCCUAACCAUUCUCAUAUCAUUCCAUAUCCAUUCCCCCAUACAAAUACCACCCAAAACCUAUCCAAAAUCUUUGUGCCGCAGCAAGGAGGAAGAAGGAGUCGUGGAUGCACCUACUGCCAAAGUUGGAGUGUCUAGGUGUUUUCUUUCAUUGGAUUUCAAUGUCUAAACUUAUUUAUCUUUGCUUUGUGUGUAUGAGGAACUAAACCCCCUUUGGCUAGGGGAGGAUUCGAAACCAUGUUUAUGCUUGCUAUAUGAUUUGAUUACUUCUAAUUGCGUUUCAUAAGUUGUGAAUUCAAUUUACUUGUCUAUAUGAAUUAAAACUGAUUUGUGUGUGUUGGUUGAGAGUGCACGCUUAAUUUUCAUGCAUAAGUUUGAUGCUAGGAUAUAAGGGAAUUUCACCUAAUCGUUAUGAACUUAUAUUCAAAAGUAGUAAUGGUUGUUGAUCACAAUCAUGUUAAGUAAAUUCUUGGCAUAAGUUUCAUGCAAUUCAUAGUAACAAAUGUCUCGCCAAUGCUUAUGGUUUUCAUAGAACUUAAUGAUCUUUGCUUGUAUCUUUGUUAUGCAAUUCAUGCAAGGAACUUGUGAGGAAUGCAAUGCUUUGGGUUGUCGUAUGCAAUUCAUCCAAUUCGAUAACUUUAGGAAAAUCUGAGAGUUAAUUAGUGCAAUUCACGGUUAAUCUGGGGCGUUGGGAAUUCAUGGUUUAUUGAGAAGCAAUUGGAAAUCGUUUUGUAUGCAAGUGUGACAUGUGUGGAGAUGAACCCCUUAGCUAGCUUUCCAUCCAUUCACUUUAACCAAAUUCGUUUUAAAAUCUGUUUAGUUUACAAAGUUUCUGUUUGUUUUCAAUUUUCGUCAAAACCAAUUCCCCAUUUAUUUUAAAGUGUUAGAUUAGCUAGAAAUCAAUUUAGUUUGUGUUUUUAAGUGUCUUGAGUCAAGUUAUAACCUAUUUUCGUCCAAAUUGUGUUUUGUGCUCAAAACUGCCCAGAAAGUGUUUUUAAGGCAGUUUUGAGUGUUUCUAGGCUGUUUUGAGUCUUUUGGUUUGUUUUAGUGUUUUAGAGUUUAGUUUUGCAUUCUUUGAGUCUAGUUUAGUGUUUUAAACUUUGUUUUUACGUUUUGAGUCAGUUUUCAAGUGAUUUAGCAAUCCCUCCUAAUCCCCGGCCUAGAACGAUCCCUACUUACAUACUUUGCUACAAUUGAUAAAAAGAGGGUUUAAUUUGUGUGCUUAUAUAUUUCACAUCAAAUUUUUGGCGCAGUUGUCGGGGAUUAGCAACAUUGCUAAUCCCUUGGAUUGUUUUUAUUUCAGUUUGUUUUAAUUAAUUCCAGAUUCUGACCUUGUGUUGUUUUCUUGUUUUUUGGUACUAGUUUAUGACUCGGAGUUCUCAUCCGAUUCGUGAACAUAUCUUGGACUUUGACGACGAUUUCGAGCGAGAAUUGAGACGAAAAAGGAAGAAUCCAGAACCUAGUGAAUCAAGUUGAAAUUCAGAAGCUGAAGUUGAGUUUGUGGAAGAGGAACCCACGGCAAGAGUGGGUGAAGUAGAGGAAACUGUGGCACAAGACAAUCGUACAAUCAAGGAGCUUUCAGCUUCAGGAUUGGACAAUGCCGCACCUCUAUGUAUUCAAUAUCCCGCGGCUGCCCAAGGAAAGACCGAGGAAUUCGAGUUGAAGUCAAGUUUGCUACACCACAUUCCGAAGUACCAUGGGUUGUCCAUGGAGGAUCCUAACAAGCACUUGAAAGAGUUCGAGGUGGUGUGUUCCAGCAUGACUCCAAUCAAUGUUGACGGGAGCAUAUUGAAGAUGAAGGCCUUUCCCUUUUCUCUCUUAGAAAAGGUGAAAGAUUGGUUGUAUGAAUUAGCUCCCGGAACGGUCACAUCUUAGGAGAGCAUGAAACGGCCUUUCUUGGAGAAGUUUUUCCUAACUUCUCGAGUCAUUCUCCUACGAAAAAGGAUAAGUGGAAUUCAACAAGAUGAAGGUGAGUCUUUUCCUACGUAUUAUGAACGUUUUAAAUCUCUUGUUGCUUCUUGUCCACAGCAUCAAAUGAAGGAGGAGCUUCUUCUACAAUACUUCUACGAGGGGCUUCUACCAAUCGAACGUCAAAUGCUAGAUGCCUCAGCGGGAGGAGCCUUGGUGGACAAGACUCCCACGGUAGCAAAGACCUUGAUAGCUAAUCGAGCGUUGAACGCUCAACAAUACGAAGGUGUUGGACAAAGAAACACCCCACGGCAACACCAAGUGAAUGAGGUAAGUGCCAUAUCAGAACUUCAAAAUCAAAUGGCUAACCUUACUACUAUUCUUUCUCAGGUUGUGGAAGGACCAAAAGUACAAAAUGUAAGUGCUUGUGGCAUGUGCUCCAUGCAAGGACACCUUACGGACAAGUGCCCACAAUUGAUAGAGAAUGGAGGGUGGGAGACUCUCAAUGCCGUGGGAUUUGGGCAACCAUACCAACAAAGAAAUGAUCCCUUCUCUAAUACAUACAAUCCGGGAUGGAGGGAUCAUCCAAAUUUCAAAUGGCGAGAACCCCAACAAGGCCAACAACAAAGCACAUUUAGGCAACAACCCCCAGGUUUCUAUCAAAAGUCGUUUGCACCAACUCAACCCCAAGCACCACCUGCCCAAAACAAAUCAGGUUCGUCCAUUGAUAAUGAUCAAAAUUUUCAAUUACUAACUUCUAUGGCGCAGAGUAUGCAAAUUAAGGACAAGAAGGUGGACGAGUUGGAGAAGCAAGUAGGGCAGAUUGCGGAGUUUGUGGGCCAAUUCAGAGAGCAAGGCAAGUUGCCUAGCUCAACCAUUGUGAAUCUGAAAUGAGGCUUUGAAUCUGCCAAUGCAAUCAUGUUGCGAAGUGGGAAACAAGUGGGAACAGCACCCCAACCAUCUAAAUCAGCCCCAAACGAGGUGGAAGAGUUGAUAAUUGAAGAAGAGGAACAAAGCCAACCCACGGCCAAGGUGGAAACACCAUUGCCGCAAGCUUCCAUUGCCCCUAAACUGUCCAAUCUGUCCAAUAAGGGUAAGAAUGUGUCCAAUUCAAUUCCUACUAAUGUUUUUCCUUUAAAUGUUCCUUUUCCUAGUAGGUUCAAGCAAACAAAGAAAGAGGAAGCCGAAAAGGACAUUCUAGAGACAUUUAGGAGAGUUCAAGUCAAUAUCCCUCUCUUGGAUGCAAUUAAGCAAGUACCAAGGUAUGCUAAAUUUUUGAAAGAACUUUACACCACUAGGAAGAGGAUUUCGACCAAGGAGGUUGUAAAAGUAGGUGAAAACGUCUCAGCCAUCUUACAACGCAAAAUGCCCCCUAAAUGCAAAGAUCCGGGUAGUUUUACAAUUCCUUGUGUCAUUGGUAAUACUAGGUUUGAAUCUGCCAUGUUAGACUUAGGUGCAUCUAUAAAUGUCAUGCCAUAUUCAAUUUAUGCAUCUAUGAACCUAUGAGAGUUGAAAAAUGAUGGUGUGAUUAUACAAUUAGCCGAUAAAUCUAAUGCCUAUCCAUAUGGAGUUUUGGAAGAUGUUUUAGUGCAGGUUAAUCAUUUGAUCUUUCCGGCGGAUUUCUACGUGCUUGAGAUGACGAAUCAGACCAUGCCCCUUCAUUGCCCAUCCUCCUUGGAAGGCCAUUCAUGAAAACUGCUCGUACAAAGAUGAAGGAUUAUUUUGUGAAAACAUGUUCAUUUAAGCAACAUCAAUAAGCAUGCAAUUAACAAUUAAAGGCGGAAUCAUGCUAGCAUGCACUUAAAAACAAAACAUUAACCAUGAAAUUCAAAGCCUAGUAGAUUGGUGAACCAAUAAACAACUCAAAACAAAGUGAGUUGAAAUAUAUACCUUUGUAGAUUCCUCUUUGUAUUUAAACAAAGGCUAAUCACCCAAGAGAUAGGGUCUUCAUUCCUUGCAUCUUAGAUCCAUGGAUUUGGAUGGAUCUACGCCAAGGAGAGCAUGGAUGAUAAAUGAGUGACCAUGGAAGAAUAGAUGGCUAGCUACAACUUCCAUGGUGGCCGGCCUUUCUAGAGAGAAAUGGAGAGACAAUUCUCACCAAUUUUACCCAAAACAAACCCUUAAUGAAUAAAAGGCUAUAAAGUCAUAUUUAUACCUUUAUUCAUUUGAGUGGCAAACUUGUAAUUAAAGCAAGUUCACUACCCUUUUCUCUAUAUGGCCGGCCAUGGGGGGUUGUUUGGGCUUUUGGGUCUUAGUGAAUCAUUAUUCAUUAAGUUGUCAUACAACUUAAGUCAAUGGGCUUGACGUUCGAAGCCCAUUGGGCCUUAAGGUCCAAAACCUAUCCCGAGGUCUUUAACGAACUUAUUCGUUUGAUUAAUUAACAUAUUAAUUAAUCCUUGCCAUAAAUAAUUAAACUAUUCAAUUAUUCUUACUCAUUUAGUUUGUUUCAUCCAUCUCCACCUUAUACGGUGUACGAUCCAUUAGGUUCCUUUUAGCGAGGCAGUGGGCGAUCAAAAACUCUUUCAAAUCGAUUAUGAAUUGAAACUUACUUUCAAUUCUCCCUUUAGUGAUAAUACACUUUUAGGGCUUCCACAAACCAUGAGUGACACCUAGCCGUAUAUCAUGGUUACCCAAGCUAAUCAGAAGAGGUUAAGAACCUAUUCAGUUUAGGAUUACAAAUGCAAUACGGUCAUUCUCUAAUACAAUACUCUUGACCACAUUGUUUGGUUUGAUAGUUUAUUCAUGUCUACUAUCCAAUGUGAAUCUUGUGCUUAUAUGAUUACUUACUUGAAUGUGAUUUGGAACGCAUUCCUAAAUCUCAUUCAUACUCUGGCCAGAGAUUCUAAAUCAUAUCAUAGAGUAUUCUCCCUCAAACGGUUUGAAGGUUAGAGAUCCCUUGUUGUGCAUUCACUUGCCUCCGUGACUAAGUGGCUUAACCCCAACGAUGCCGUGGACACCCCGAUGGGGUGACUUUGACAUAAUCAAAGAUCAAGGACUUAACCACAAGACAACUGUGAUGCCUCAGGUCAAAGGACUAAUUUGCAUUAUCCCAAACAUGAGUUCUCAUGUGACAUGAGUAUGAGAACUCUUCGUUGAUCACGUUCAGUGAACUCAUUCUUUACUGAGCACCUACGUACUUGUCUUGAUGUCACACACACCAAUGACUCGAGACUAGUCACUCUCCCUGAGAGAAGACAUAGCACGUACCGAUCUUGACGGACUGUCAAUGCCCAAUUGGCAAUCCUAUGAUCAGGAACAUUUAGGAUGUGUCUACGAAAGAAUGGUCUCAUGAAUCUAACUUCAUUAGAUUACAUUCUUCCAAUCACAUAUUCCUUGGACUUUAUCGUUUAAGCAUAUAACAUUUAUAUGAGACGGCUCAAACAAUAAUCUUUGCCUUUUAUAUUAAACCAGAUUAGUUUAACAUGUGAAAUGUCCGUAAAGUAUCAUCACAUGAUUGGUUUUAGGGCACAUUUCCAACAAAAGAUUGAUGUGUUUAAUGGAACAUUGACGAUGGAAUUUGAUGGGGAAGUUAUUAAUUUCACUCUUUCUGAUUAUAUGAAAUAUCCUAGUGAGAAUCAUUCAUGUUUUGCUAUUGAUGUAAUUGACUUUUUGGCGCAGGACCAUUUUGACAAAUUGAACGACGAUGCACUUGAAUUGGUCAUCGCACGAGAAAUGGGCAAGCAAAACGUUGAAGCAACCACCAUGCACACCCACGGCAUGCAUGAAUGUCCCAUUGCCGUGCCCCCUAGUGAUGAUGUCAUUGAUGGUGGCUGCCCUUGAGUCGUUGCUACCACAAUCUGGUAAGUUUUUGGACCCUAUUUUAAGUUCAGUUUCGACUAAUAAGAUGCUUCCAUCAGUUGUGCAACCACCUACACUUGAACUUAAGCCAUUGCCUAGUCACUUGAAGUACGUUUACUUGGGAGAGGAUGAGACGUUGCCCGUUAUCAUCUCCACUUCACUCAUGGCACAAGAAGAAGGUAAGUUAGUAAGGGUGCUAAAAGAGUACAAAACAGCAAUUGGGUGGACGUUGGCCGACAUCAAAGGAAUUAGCCCCACAACUUGCAUGCAUCGCAUACUUUUGGAGAAUGGGUCUAAAACAUCUCGAGAGGCUCAACGCCGACUCAACCCUUCUAUGAUGGAAGUUGUGAAGAAAGAAGUCAUCAAGCUUUUAGAUUGUGGAGUUAUUUAUCCAAUCUCGGAUAAUAGGUGGGUUUCGCGCGUUCAAUGCGUUCCGAAGAAAUCUGGAGUGACGGUGGUAGCAAAUGCAGAUAAUGAACUUGUGCCUACUCGCAUUCAAACCGGUUGGAGAGUGUGUAUCAACUAUAGGAAGCUAAACGCCACUAUAAGGAAUGAUCAUUUUCCCUUGCCAUUCAUUGAUCAAAUGCUUGAGAGGUUAGCCGGUUAUGCUUUUUAUUGUUUUCUUGAUGGUUAUUCUGGUUAUAAUCAAAUUGUUAUAGCACCCGAGGACCAAGAAAAAACCACUUUUACAUGUCCUUUUGGUACAUUUGCUUAUCGUCCCAUGCCUUUUGGUUUAUGUAAUGCACCUGCCACGUUUCAAAGAUGCAUGAUGAGCAUAUUUUCUGAUUAUGUUGAGAAAAUAAUUGAGGUUUUUAUGGACGAUUUUAGCGUCUUUGGUGGUUCUUUUGAUGGUUGCUUGCAUAAUCUUAGCUUGAUCUUAAAACGUUGCGUUGAAACUAACCUUGUGCUUAAUUGGGAAAAAUGUCAUUUCAUGUUUAAACAAGGCAUAGUUUUGGGUCAUAUUAUCUCUGAAAAUGGUAUUGAGGCUGAUAAGUCAAAGAUAGAUCUUGUGCGUCACUUACCCUCUCCUACAUCGGUUAGAGAGGUUUGUUCUUUUCUUGGCCAUGCAGGUUUCUAUCGUAGGUUCAUCAAAGACUUCUCAAAGGUGGCACAACCUCUCUGCCGACUCCUACAAAAAGAUGUGACGUUUGAGUUUAAUGAGGAAUGCACGGCAUUAUUCAACCAACUCAAGGAGUUGUUGACCACGGCACCAAUCAUUGUCCCACUGGAUUGGAGCUUACCUUUCGAGCUUAUGUGUGAUGCGUCCGAUUAUGCGUUAAGAGCUGUUCUGGGACAGAAGAAGGACAAGAGGCCGCAUGUCAUUUACUAUGCCUCACGGACGUUGAAUGAUGCGCAGUUGAACUAUUCCACUACGGAAAAAGAACUUCUUGUCGUUGUUUUUGCUUUAGAUAAGUUUAGAUCAUAUUUAAUUGGUACUAAAGUAAUUGUUUUCACUGACCAUGCAGCUUUGAAGUACUUGCUCACUAAAAAGGAAGCCAAGCCACGGCUAAUUCGGUGGAUGUUGCUACUUCAAGAGUUCGACAUUGAGAUUCGUGACAAGAAGGGAAGUGAAAAUGUGGUGGCUGACCACCUAACCUGAAUGGUGCAUAAUAAGGAGUCCCUACCCAUUGCCAAGACAUUCCCCGAUGAACAAUUGCUGUCCAUAAAGGUAAGUGAGCCUUGGUAUGCCGAUUUGGUCAAAUUUUUUGUGUCAAAACGAAUUAAUUUUGCCCGGAUCAGAUUGUACGUCGAUGUGUGCAUAAUUCUGAAUUUCAUUCUAUUCUAAGCUUUUGUCAUACAUAUGCAUGUGGUGGGCACUUUGGCACACAAAGAACAGCCCUCAAGGUAUUACAAUGUGGAUUCUAUUGGCCUAGUAUAUUUAAGAAUGCUAGAACUUUUUGCUUAACAUGUGAUAAAUGCCAAAGAAUGGGUAACAUAGGUGCUAGGGAUCAAAUGCCGCAAGUUUCUAUCCUUAAUGUUGAAAUUUUUGAUGUUUGGGGAAUUGAGUUUAUGGGUCCCUUUCCUUCCUCGUAUGGGUUCAUGUAUAUUUUGCUUGCGGUUGAUUAUGUGUCAAAGUGGGUGAAAGCUAAAGCCACCCGGACUAAUGAUUCUAAAGUGGUUGCAGAUUUUAUUAGAACUAACAUUUUUGCAAGGUUUGGAAUGCCACUUGUCAUCAUAAGUGAUGGAGGAUCUCACUUUUGUAACCGCACCAUUGAGGCGUUAUUGAGGAAAUACUGUUGGAAAUGUGCCCUGAAAGUCAAUCUUUGGAAGAAAUCUUUCAGGACAAAUGAAUCGAUGUAUGGAUGAAUCUUAUACAUCAAAUGGCAAAGACACGAAUUAGGACUAUCUCAAUCAACGAAAUAUGUCCUAAAUAGUGUAUCCAUGGACAAUGGAUCGAUUGAAGAAGUAAUCUAAUGAUGUUAGACUACAGAGACCUUCUUCACAUAACCAUUAUGUCCAAAAGGUUCCUGGUCGUUGGAUUGUCGGAGGGAUACUGACAAUGCGUAGACCGGUACAUACUAUGUCUGCUUCAAUUGGAAGGAUGGAAAGUCUCAUCCCAUUCGUGUUGUGACACUAAGACAAGUAUGUAGGUGCUCAUUAGGGGAAUGAGUUCACUGAACACAAUCGAACGAGAGUACUUGCAUGGAGGUCUACUCACAUGUCAAGCAAGUAACUCUAAUGGUUGGAAAGAUGUAAGUAAUCCUUAGACCUGAGGCAUCGUCGUUGUCUUGUGGUUAAGUACUUAAUCUUUUAUUAUGUCAAGUCUCCCCAUUCGAGGGUGUCCACGGCAUAAUUGGGGUUAAGCCACUUAGUCAUGAAGGCAAGUGUAUGCGCAACAAGGAAUCUCUAAUCCUCGGUAAGAGAGGAAGAAUACUCUAAGAUAUGAUUCGGGAAUCUUCGGCCGAAAUAUCGAGCGUAAUAAAGGAAAGCGUUCCUAAACGACUCAAUUGGAUCAUAUAAGAAAGAAUAAUCACAUUAGGGGUUUGACAUGAAAUAUCCAUACCCUAAUGAUGUGAAUGAGAGUAUUGUAUUAGAGAAGGAUUGAAUUACAUUGUAAUUCCAACUAACUAGGUUCUUUGAAUAAACUUCUACAUUAGCUUGGGUAGCUAUGACAUAUGGUUAGAUGUCACUCAUAGCUUGUGAGUUCUUCUAGAUGAUUAGAUGUAGUCGUCAAAGAAGAAAGGUGAAUUAAAAUGAGGUUUUAAUUCACUAAGUGAUUGAAUUAAAUAUAAGCAAUUGGAUUAAUGCCAAUCACCUCACUGCCUUGCUAAUUAGAACCUAAAAGAUUGUUCAUUGUUCACACAACACUAGUUGUAGUGAGUAACUAAUGGAUGAUGAUACAUAAUUAGAUAAUUAUGUGUUGUUGAUAUUUAGAAAAGUCUAGAAAAAUCAUAAAGCGAUAAAGAUCGUUUUGGGCUUAAAGAAACGUUCGGUUUUUAAUUAGGCCAUUGGGCCUAAAACCAUUGGGUUUUAUUCAGCAUUGGAUACUUGAAAAUAUAAAAGCCCAAAGCCAAAAAUAACACAUAACGAGGGCGGCUAUUAUGUGGGGGAGGAGAGAUAUUUAGUCAAGUGUUGACUAGGUUUCUUUUGUCUAAUAAGGACUUUAUAUGAUAAAGUUCAUGAGGUUUUUUUGAAGUUUAAACAACAAACGAUCAAAAGAAAAAAACUAACACAUCAAACUUCGGCCACCAUGGGGUGUUUUAGCUACAAUCUUUUCACGGCCUUUUUUGGUUAUUCCCUCAUCUUCACUACACUAGUGGGUGAGGAUCUUUCGAGUUUCUACUUUGAAACUUGAAGAGAAUACCAGAGCCCUCAUAUCUUUCAAAGUGGAGGAGGCAAGGAGGGAAAGCAGGCUCAGAUUUCAAGGAGCAAAGGGCUUGGAGUGGUCCAUCCUUGGUCUCAGUCUACGAUCAAGAGGUAUAUAAACUAACCUUACACUUUGUUCUUUCGAUUUUAUAAAUGUUUGAUGCAUUAUAUUAAUACUAUGAACCUUGAAGGGGAUUUUGCAUGACUAAUAGCCUGGAAUAAUAUGUAUAUUUCCUGUUUCGAUUUAAAAUUCUGCUUGGAUUCCUGAUAUCAAUGUUGCCAAAUCUAAUUUUUGCUUCAAAUAACUGUCACCUAAUUACAACCUUACAUCCUAAAAUCCAGAGUUUCCCAACUUGAGAUCAACAAAUUUCUAGAGAAAGACCGUUGGGCUACAAGGAAGGACGGAGGCUUACGGUUAGAUAUGCACUUUGGCAUAUCGUACGGCGUACAAGACACCCAUGGAAUGUCCUAUUUAGGCUCACUAUGGCAAGCCGUGCCUCUCCCCGUUGAAUUGAGACAAAGCUCGUAAGAAGUUCAAUAUGAAACUAAAUGCCGCAGGAAAUCAUAGGAAGUUCAUUCAUGAACUUGAAUGAGAUACAGGCAUAAAGGCGUAUGAAGAAUGCUGCAUUUACGAAGGAGAAGACGCAAAGCUUUUCCAUGAUAGAUGAUUCGAGGCAAACAUUCUCCAUAGGCAGAAAGUGCUAUGUUCAACUUCCGUUUACGGAUUGUUUUCCGGUAAGUUACGUUCUAAGUGGAUUGGAACCGUUUUGCUUGUUCUCAAUGUUUUUGUUCCGUGGUGCACUACAUGAACGGUCAGAAUUCAAAUUAUGGGCACGCUGAAGAUUUCUUUGAAAGAUGUUCGUCGGGGACUUCCCUCCAUGCCGCUGGGCCUAAUAGAGUAAUAUGGGGCUGGCCAACGCGAUUUGCACAUGCAUCAACAAAGGAAGACCAAGGAAUCAAUCUAAUCCAAGAUUUGCGUUCCUAAACUUUCUCUUUGUUGUUUUAUUUCGUUUCUGCCAUGUUUUAUUAAUUUAGUUGCUGUUUUGUUUGUUGGUUUGUAUUUGUGUUAGUUUAUGCUUGAAAACAUGAGAAACAUGUUGAUUUAAGUGUGGGGGGGGGGGGGUAACCAAGUGUUUUGAAAUGAAAUUCGGAGGUUGGUAUCACCCAUAAUUUCCAAUGUUGUUCCUUGCUGUUUUUUAGGUGUUUUUAAGGCUGUUUUUGAUGCAUUUUAAGUGUGUUUUACAUAAAAAUCCGAAAAUCCAGAAAAAAUUGAAAACAAUGUUUUGAAAAACAACAAAGAGUCGUUUUAAAAAGUUUGUUUUUUGUCGUAGUGUUUUGUGUUUAGGGUGCCUUCAACACAAAUGAUCGAGGAUUCAGAUAAAAUUGCAUGCUGUUAAACGAGAGUUUAAACAUGAUGCGAGUUUGAUUUACUCUUUUGGUUUAUGCUUGGCUUGUGGUCUUUGGUUUAUGCUUGGUUGGGUUACAAUUAUGAAAUCACAUGUAAUCACAAAGGAAAAAAAUUAGUUCUUGUAACAUGCUUGAAGGAAGGAACUCAAACCUAACGCUACAAACCCUGUAGACUUGAGCCUAAACGUUUAUUUGGAGAGUUAUAAUCUUGCAUUGUUGUUUUCUAAAGUCGUUGAUGAUCUCAUUAUUCUUUGCUUGGUUACUACCUUAGAAGGCGUUCAUCAUUUAGUUCCAAAAAAGAACUCAUGCCACCAUUUCUUCAAAGCAUGCUAUUGAUUUGCAUACAACAUAUUCAAUGAUGCGACAGUUGUGUAGUAACCACACUUAAGCCCAUUUCCGUCCCAUGUUCAUUUGUUUUGUAGGUUUUAACCCCGUUGAGCUUGUGCUAGCCUAUAUUCUUUGUUAACCACAUCUUCCUCACCUAGCUAGAUUAGGAUCAUCCCAUAUCCUUGUCUUAAAGCAUCAGUAAAACAGUGACUCAGAAUGAAUUCCUUUUGAUCAUAUAUUGCAGAAAACAGUGUGGGGGACAGGGAUGUAUGUGAGUGCCAAAGUCUUUAAUGGAGGCAUGAUAAAAUAAUAAAACUAAUAAUAAUAAUAAUCAUAAUAAUAAUAAAUAAUAAUAAUAAAAUAUUUUCGUGAAGAAAAGAAGGAAAAAAAAAAAAGAAAACAUGAAAAAUAUGCAAAAGAGUUGAAUAAAUGUUGAAAAUGAGUCUUACGUGUUGAUUGUUGAAAAGGUCCAAAAUUGAAGUUCGACCUAGUAUUGCUGAAUUUUCCCCCUUGUUUAAAAGUUUGAUUUCUGUCCUAAAGUGAAUUCCUAAGUUUCGAUUUCAUUGCUUUGCUUGAAUAUUGCUUAAAAGAACCUUGUUAUCCUAUCCGUUCUUUGUUAGCCAAUACCCAAAGCCCGUUAUAAACCCCUGACUUUAAUCUUGAGUGUUGUGUGUUUCAAUUUGUGGAGUUAAGAAUUGGUAUGAGCAUAUGUGUAACUCGGUUCUCGCAUCUAAAGUAGUAGUUUCCAUUCAUGAGAUCACAUCUAAAUGUUUAUAAUCCAGCAAAUGCUUCCUUUUUAUAUCAUAAUCGUGAGCGUUCAUUUUUAUGUCUAACAUCAAUCUUCCUCAACAUAUAAACUUGUAUGGGGUGUGUAGUUACGAAAAUCGAAUGAAACACUGAGUGCAUAUCUUGUAAGGAAUUAGAAAAUUCUCUAACGGCAUGUUACUGACACUUCAAGCACGUUUAAUUGGUUAAAUGUUGAACUAGUAAGUGUGAUAUGAUUAAGUAUGGUGCUUAAGUGUGAAUAUUGACGGAAAAUCUGUGGGAAUGAUGAUAUUUUUAAUAUGUCAUGUGCAUGGAAUCCUGAAGUAAACCUUAGAAGUUUAGGUUUGGUUUGUUUGUUUUGUUUCGUUUUGUUUUUCUUUGUUUCUUUGUUUUGCUCGAGGACUAGCAAAAGCUAAGUGUGGGGGAAUUUGAUAGAGCAUAUUAUGCGCUUAGUUGUUAGUUCUUUAUGCAUUUUCGUUAUGUUCGUUAGUUAAAGUGUCUUUUAAGCUAUUUUCAUGUGUUUUCAGGUUUUAAGGCAUAUUAACAAAAAGAUGCAAAUUGGAGCUUUUUGAAAAAAGUGAGCUUGGAUUAAAUAGCAAUGCUGGAUACAAAGGGUUUGGCACGAAUUGAAAGAUUUGAAGAUUGAGGAUUCCUAGUCCAAGAAGACUCCUAAUCAACGAGGGAGUCUAAUUGAAGAAGAUUCCUAAUCACGAGGAUCCUGAGAUGGAUUCCUAAGGAUUCCUACUCAAAAGGUUCCUACUUGAAGUAGAAAGUUAAGCCUAAGUUGCUAUUUUGGUGAUCUUUCCUAAACCUAAAAUGCCUUAAGUUACAGCAAUUGAAGGUUCUAACGUUGGAAGACACAAAAGAAAGGUUGGAGAGCAAUUCCUAUCCUUGCCGUGGGUUUAGGGUCUAUUUCCUCUAUGUUUUGGGUUCUCUAGAAGCCUAUCCCUUUUCCCCUAACCCUUGCAAGCACUUUUCCCCUUUCUAGAACUGUUUUUUCUUGCCUUGCAAAGGCUUUCUAGAAGCCUUCUCUCUAAUAUCCUUAUCUGCGCUCGCCCCCUAGGCCUUUUUCCUUAUUAUUCUGAUUUCUAGCUUUUUCCUUGUGGAUUUGGGUAUAAGUCCUUGAGAGCACCUAUGUUUAAUGGCUAAUAUAACUCUCAUUCACACCUUGGCUGAAUGACACCCAUCUACAUCAUAAAAUCCCGCCAGAAAUCAUCCCCUCUCUGGCCGCAGCCUUCAUCCCAUUCUCCCUAAUUUCUGCACCCAAAACCCUUUUUGCCUCAUCCACACUCUAAGAUUCUCAUAUCAUCUCCAUUUCUUCUUUUCCAUAUCCAACCAAUCAUAAUAAUCGUUCCAAUUAACUUGUCUGAUGCAAAAAGGAAAAAACUGUAUACCGCAUGUCUUGGAUUGUGUUUAGGUGCUCUGGAUUCAAUGUAAAUAGAGAUGUGGGAGGCUAAUUCGGUGGAUUCCACCUGGCAGCUUGCUAAAAGCUUCUAGCGCACGUGCUACGAUGUCUUUGUGUGUGUUGGCAGAGUGUCGCUAAACUUAUGCUAAGUUUUUGGGCUUUAAGGGAUUUCACCUAAUCUUAAUUAAUUACAAGGAUUUGGUUGUGCCAUUCAUGUUAAAAAUUCCUUGGGUUUUAUGCAACUUAUAGUCAUGCCAACAUGGUUUUUCUGAAUUAAGCUUUGCUUGUAUCGUUGAUUCAGAAACUCUAGGAAUGAAUUUUGGGUUGAUCGUACAUCUCCAAUGCAAUAAAAUUGAGGGUUAAUAUGGUAGGAUUUGGGGCGUUGGGAAAUUCCAAUAAACAUUGAUUUUUGUAUGGUAGUUGGACUCAUGUGUGAGAAGCUAGCUAGUUUUCCAUCCAUCACUUUUAACCUAACGGUUAAAAUAAUUUAGUCAAAGCGAGAAAUUUCCCAAACAACCCCAUUUAUUUUUAAGUGUUAGAAUUAAGCUAGAAAUCAAAUUAGGUUGUGAGAAGGUCCGAGUGCAAGCUAACUAUUUUGUCAAUGUGUUUGUGCUCAAAAGACAAAAUCUUUAAGGCAUUUGAGUGUUUUAGCUUUUUUAGUCUUUUGGGUUUUAGUGUUUUGGUUUAGUUUUCAUUCUUUGACAUUAGUGUUUAAAGCUUUUGUUUUUGGUUUUGGUCAGCCAACUGAAAUAAACAAUUAGAUUCCCUAUUAUCUUGCAAAUGUAGAAAAAAGUAAUUUGUUGCUUAUAUAUUUAAACAGACUUUUAUUGGACUGCCUUUGGGUUAAACGCAAGAGUGGACCAAUUGAUAUAGUAAGUCAUACUGGAGAUCAUAAACAAACUACCGACUAGAAAAUCAAUAGUUUAAAUAUUUUCCGCAAACCCUAAUUAAAUGUAAAAAUAAACGAUAAGUUCUUAAAGACCUCGGCAUAUAUUUUCAUUCGCCCCAGGGCUUCAACCGAUUGAAGCCAUAUAAAGAUCUUGAAGUCUGGGUAUGGACAAGUAUCAUUCGCCUAAGGCCCUACAUCACUCGACCAAAGCCAUAUAUAGUAUGCAUUUUGUCCGUACGCCCUUCAUCACACAACUGAAGGCAUAUAUAAGUUAAUCAUAUCGCCUAUAGGCAUAUACAAGCAUAGAAAUAAUAAACAUAACUACUUUCCAAAAUAUUCAAUUCUCAUCGAAGCUCCUAGCUCAAACAUGCACAUCAUAAAUCAUAGGAGCGUUUAGCCUCAAAUCAUCAUCAAUAAACCAUGUUCAUAAUAUAUUCAUAAAUCUUUCACAAAGGAAUGUAAAUCUGAUAAACGCAUGAUAUUUUCAUAAAGCGUAAUCCAAUUUGUACUCAUAAAUGUUUUCAUAAAAUGUAGUCAUUAAAUCAGCUUUUUCAUGUAUCGCAUUUCUAAGGCAAUUAAAACAUGCAUUUUGGAAGGAGUCACUCACUGAUACUCCCACCGUCGAAGAGCUUGUGCAACUAGGGAACUGCGGACACCACCACUAAAGUCAGUUUUCAAGUGAUUUAGCAAUCCCUCCUAAUCCCCGGCCUAGAACGAUCCCUACUUACAUACUUUGCUACAAUUGAUAAAAAGAAGGUUUAAUUUGUGUGCUUAUAUAUUUACAUCAAUUUUAUGCUUGGAUUCUAAGUCCUGAGGGGGCAUAAACAAAACAAGAGUGGACCAAGUUUAUAUAUAUAAGUAAUACUAAACAGUUAUUCAUCAACGUACUAACCCCCAGUUUAGAAAAUUCAUAUAGCAUAAUAAGUAAUAGGUUUUCCGAAAACCCUAGCAUGCCAUAAAACCUUCGUAAAAACAUAUAUCAUAUAUAGUAUGCUUAAUAGUAGUAUCACAAAGGCAUAUAUAAAUCUUCAUUCGCCCGAAGGCCCUUCAUCACCCGAUCGAAGCCAUAUAUAAGCAUCAUUCACCCGUAAGCCCUACAUCACCCGACCGAAGCCAUAUACAAGUAUCAUUCGCCUAUAGGCCCUACAUCACUCGACCAAAGCCAUAUAUAAGUAUCAUUUGUCCGUACGCCCUUCAUCACCCAACUGAAGCCAUAUAUAAGUAUCAUUCGCCUAUAGGCAUAUAUAAGCAUAGAAAAUAAUAAACAUAAUACUUCCAAAAUAUAUCUCAUCGAAGCUCAAUAGCUCAAACAUCACAUCAUAAAUCAUAGGAGCGUUUUAGCUCAAAUCAUCAUCAUAAACCAUGUUCAUAAUAUAUAAUCAUAAAUCUUUCAAAGAAUGUAAAUCUGAUAAAGCAUGAUAUUUCAUAAAGCGUAAAUCCAAUUUACUCAUAAAUGUUUCAUAAAAUGUAGUCAUAAAAUCAUGCUUUUUCAUGUAUGCAUUUCUAGCAAUUAAAACAUGCAUUUUGGAAGGAGUCCACUCACUGAUACUCCACCGUCGAAGAGCUGUGCAAACUAGGGAAUGCGGAACCACCACUAACAAACACACCUAAGCACAUAAAGGGACCAAUUAAUAAAACUAUAUUAUAAUGAUUGAAUCUGGGAAAACAAAAGUCGUAAAUGAAUUCAGCACGUCAAAAAACCUAAAGGGGGACCUUGGGUAACGCCACGUGCCGCCACAGGGUGGCGGCCCAAAAGGGCACGCGUCACCUCAUAUGCCGCCACGCUCCGAGUUGGGUCGCCAGAAAGUUGGUCGAAAAAGUCAUCGUCGCCACCAUGGUUACCGUCGUGGACAACAACAAAGCAUAGUACCUUCGGUGGAGGCAUGUGUGCUCCACGUGCCUGCCAUGGCAACAACCACGCAUGAACCCAUGUGCGGCCCACGUGCUGACCUGGAAUUAGGGAAUCGGUCUGAGUCAAGUCAAAUCUGGGUCGGAUAUGGGUUUUGGGUUGCUGGGUUGGACUGGGUUAUUGGGUUGGGCCUAGUUUGUUGGGCUAAGUUGGGUAGUUAGGUUUACCCCGGGUUUGGAUCUAGGUUCUAGAUUAAUUGGCCAAAGGAUUGGGUCGGAUUACAUUGUAUGGCCUAAAGUUUGGGCUAGUUUUAGGUUUAUGGGUCGAGUCGCCUUGGUUUCAGGCCAGGUUAGCCAGUUUCUAUGAAGAAGAAAGCCAGAGCCUUCCAAGCUCUAUUCAACCCAAGGAACAAGGAAGAAUAUUAUACCUAUCACGUGGCCAGUCGUGGUUGAAGUUGGCCGAAAAAUGGCCUGCAAGUUUUGGCUUCUCACCGAAAAACUGGGAAAGUGUCCGCGAGCAGUUUCUCUAUGUCAAACGUUAAUAUGAGGCCAGAAACAACGUAAAAAAAGGUGACCUAAGACGACCUACAUCAUUUUCGAGGCUUACCUUGCUUGGAAUCUUGAGGGUGCAAUGAGAACUUAUUGGAUAAGACAAUGAACAGUGGUGUAGCCACUGUCGGGUCGUCGAGACUCCAUGGUCUUGGCUUGAGUUUAAGACGCGGAGGGUUAGACGGUGGUGCAGCUUGCAGGAGUGGUAAGGUUAUGGUGGUCUUAGUGUGUAGGUGUGUGUUUCUCACGGAAUGAGGGAGAAAAUGAUAAAGAAAGAGAGAUAGCUGAGAUAUUUAAGAGAGAGUGCUGUGAGGUUUUUGGGGGAAAGGUACGGGGAAAGGGAGAGGAAAAGAGGGAAUGGGCUGAGGGACCAAAGUGUAAGGGUGGGCCCCAUAAGGCACACCAAACAAGACUAAAAACAACCAUUUAAAAUAUAAAACUCAACCAAAGUGAAAAUACCAACUUACCCUCGAUGUUCCGUAAAAUCCGGGAUGGGUCUUUACAGAGAAUAUUUUCCAGAAUAUUUUGUUAGGGAAUAUUCUCUGGAAUAUUCUUUUGUUGACUCUUACGAAAUUUGCCCUGGACCCCUCUUUGGGUAAUUUGACAUCCUGAUUCCAAAUCUGCACUCCAUUUUUUCAAAUUCAAUUGUUUUAGUAGGGUUUUACUUAUUUGGUCCCUUUAUGUGCUUAGGUGAGUUUGUUAGUGGUGGCCCCAUCCUCUCUAGUUCGAACAGCUUUCCGGCGACGGAGUACUAUGAGUGGACCCCUUCCAAAAUGCAUGAUUGAAUUACUAGAAAUGCAUACAUGAAAAAAAAUGAUUUUAUGAAACGUUUAUGAGUAAAUCGGAUUUACGUUUUAUGAAAUAUCAUGCUUUAUUGAAUUUAUGUUUAUUGAGAUAUUUAUGAACAUGGAUUUAUGAUAUGAUGUUUAAGCUAUUGAGCUCCGAUGAGACAUAUUUUGGAAAGAUUAUGUUCAUGACUUUCUGUGCUUAGUUAGCGGUUAUUCAUACUACGUGCCUACAAGCGAAUGAUAUUUAUAUAUGCCUUCGGGCGGGCGAUGUAGGGCAUUUGGGCAGAAGAUUUAUAUAUGCCUUCGGGCGGACGAUGUAGGGCUUUCGGGCGGGCAAUGUAGGGCCUUCGAGGGGAAGAUUUAUAUAUGCCUUCCGGCGAGUGAUGUAGGGCCUUUGGAUAGAAGAUUUAUAUAUGCCUUCGGGCAGGCGAUGUAGGGCCUUCGGGUGGAUAUUUAUAUAUGCCUUCGAGAGGGUGAUAUAGGGCCUUUGGGCGAAUGAUUUAUAUAUGCCUUCAAGCGGGUGAUGUAGGGCCUUAGGGCGAUUAUGAUACCACUACUAAGCACACUAUAUAUGAUAUAUGUUUUAUGAAGGUUUUAUGGCAUGCUAGGGUUUUUGGAAAACUUAUUAGCUAUAUGAGUUUUCUAAAGCUAGGGGUUAGUACGUUGAAGAGUAAUUGAUUUUCAUAUUACUUAUAUAUAAACUUGGUCCACUUAUGCUUUGUUUUGCGCCCCCUUCAGGACUUAGAAUCGAGGCAUACAAUCCCGGUGUCAAGGCACUCUCGUAGUGGCAUCUUUGAGUCAUCUCAAUGUAGGACCCAUUCCUUUGUUCAUAACUUUUCAUUGUAUAGUAUUCUAGAUUAGUUGUAUGCUCUGAACACGUUUUCCACAUUUGCAUAUUCAUUAUAGUUAAGUUUACGUGUUUUAUUUUACGUUUGUUCUUUCUUCAUAUUUUUGCAUGGAUGUUAAUAAGGCUUCGUCACCCUCGAGUGUUGGGCAACACGUGCCUACCUUGGUGUUUUGGAAGAUAUCGGGGUCGGGUGUGUCAAUUUGGUAUCAGAGCAUGGUUUGUUCAAAGCAUACUUAGGAUCUUCUUUUACUGUAGUAGUGUGUCGGCCUUGACAUCAUUUGGAUUUCAUGACUUCCAAAUUUGUUGCCUUUUAGUGCAGUUGUGCAAACAUUUUUCUGUCUGAAUUGUCACAUUCUAUUUGACGUACAAAAAUUUAUGUCGAGAUUGUGCCUCAUCGGUGAUGAAAUGGAAUGAUGGACGACUUUCAACAACGGACCGAUACUCUAAGACAUGCAUUCCCUAGGAAUGGCGGGCAUAGUUGGAUUUACAUUGAAGUGACGAGAAAUAAAACUCUUAGUGAGAUAAAGUUUGGAUAAGACCAGCUGAAGAUCUGAAUCGAUGAUGAUACUCUGCAACUUGCCCUAGGAAUGGCGAGCAGAGUCGUAUCUGUACGGAGAUUGCUUGAAACAUCUGAAGUUCGUGUGAAGAAAGCGAGUAAGCACCAGUUGUAUGUGUAAACACGAAAAUUCUAUAUCGAAUGAAAUGAGAACACGUUUACAAAGUAAAUUUGUAUUGAUUUGAAUUUGUAGGUUACAAUAUCUGUUUACAACUUUUCCUCUGAUUCAGUCUUUAAAUUUGAUGUAGAUGUGUAAUUGGUGAUCCAAGGGUCGUGAUGACUUGAUCUCGGACGAACGGUUGAGCGAUUACUUCAAGUUUUGAGCUUGAAAACAACGUGUUGAUGAUCUUCACCUCAAGGGUGCAGAAAAGGUAGUGUUUGAUGGGGAUUUCGUUGCUUCAAGGGUUUUGGCGACUUCAUCUUGAAACGAACGUUGCUACAAGUUUCUAAGCUUGCAACAAAGUCUUGAAGGAAUCAGCACGAGCAAUUGUUGAUUAUUCAAGAAAGUGCUUCGGCUUUGGUCGAGAGAAAACUUUGGCUUUGGUUGAAUGUUCUUCGAAGAGAGCUUUGGCAACGUAUUAGUCUUCAAAGGUUUGGUAGAGGUUCUUCUAUGUAGAGAUUUUUCGACCCUUAUGCUUGUAGGAGGAACUUGUUUUUAUAGGCUUCUCAAGGCUUACCUUUGAGUGGAUUUGGCUUUGAUUUAUGCCCUAAUUCAUUCAUGGGAGAAUUUAGGGAUGUUUUGUGUCUUAAUUUCAGCUACUUUACUCCCUUGGCCAAACUUAUGAGGCCUUGUUGCCUAUUUUGUGAGCAAUCUUCAAUUCUUGCUUGUUUUAUGACUAUGCCUUAACUUUCUUUCCGAUUUGAGAGUAUUUUGAUCCCUUGCCGAAUUUAAAAGGGAUUCUCCCUUGUUUGCCGAGUUUUUGGGGAAGUUUUCUACUUCCUUUGCUUGAUUUGCGCCACAUGUCAUUGAUAACUUGUCCAUUUCUGAUGAGUCAUAUGCCACAUUGAGCUUUAUGAUGCAUCAUUUGUAUGCAUCGAAAUUUACAUGUCUACAAAUACCCCCAUUUCAAGGCACGUUGUAGGCAUGUGCUUGUUACAUGUAGGAAACGUGUUUUGAAGUCCUGCAAUGUGAAUUUUCUAACUCAAGGGUGGUCGAGACUUGUUCUUGAAUUAGUUUGCUUCUUCAAGGGCCGUAGAGGCAUUUUUCUUGAACGAAACAUUACUUCAGGGGCCGUAGAGGCUUGAUCUCGAAAGAAAUGAAAUUUGUUUCUUCAAGGGCCGUAGAGGCUUGAUCUUGAAAGAAAUUUUGAAAAUGGAUAAAUCAGCACAUACUUAUUGUGCGUAUUUGAUUUCCCAUAAUCUUUGACAAAAUACAUUUGGCGCAUUUUGAAUUUUUCUUUGUGGUUGUAGGAGAAAUGUUUUCCUUCCUUCGAUAGGAAUCCCCUUCAAUUUUGGUAACAAGAGUGACUUCCUUCAAAGUGUUGGAAAGCUUUGAUGAUUUCCUUCAAGGUUUUGGAAAGAUUUAAUGCUUGUCCUUAGGUAAGUAGGAUGUGCAUUUUUUUUUCCUUCUUUCUUCCCCAAGGCAAGGAGGAAUUUUUUUGUUUCCUCUUUUCUUUUUCCCACAGCAAGGAAGGAGACGUUUUGUUCCUUGUUUUGAUUUCCAUGGCAAGAAUGACAACUUACUUUCCUUCUUUUUUUUAUUUCCCACGGUAAGGAAGUAGCUUUUCUUUCCCUUUUUGAUUUCCUACAACAAGGAGGGUUUUUUUUUUCUUUUUUUUUUUAUCUUUUGAUUCCCCCACAACAAGGAGGUAUUUUUUCUUUCCCUUUUUUGUUUUGGAAAACAUGUCAUCUGACUUGCACGCCUAGUUUGAGGUUGAUUUCUUUUCUGGAAAAUAAAAAUAUGGGAAACAUAGCCCUAUCCCUUAUCUUUUCAGGAAUAUAUCGCAUGCCACCAGGAAAAAUCAUGAAAGUCUUCAACUUUGCAUUUUCCUACAGCUGCCCAAUCCUAACGGGAAAACAACUUCUGCGGGAAUAACGUUGAAAACUGGAACGUUCGGCUUUAGGGAAAAUUAUGAAAUUUGGACACAAUGAUCCUCAGUCACUUAGCUUCCUUCUCCAAUUGAUCUUGCAUCAAAACUCAUUCGGAAAGUUGAAUUAUCACAAAAAACGUCUGAAACUUGCCAUUUUUUGGAAUUUGCUUCCUUCUUUUGGUUGGAAUGUGAUUCCUUGUUUUGAUUUUCCUUUUGCUAUUUGGGUAUGUAUUUCCCUUAUAGCAUUAGGAAGCAAUUGACCCUUAUAUAUAGGACCAUUGGGUGUAUAUUUUUUUCACAUACACAAUUCCUUGUUGUGGACUUGCUUGGAGCUUUUGCCAUGGGUUUUUCUUGUUGCUGCUGCUUGGAGCUUUGUAACAGUGCAUCAUUGUUUACCAUGUGGUGCUGUGCAAAAGACUGCAGUGCGUCAUUCCCUUGGUAGCGACGUUGUCAUGCGCAUUUGUUAUUGCUACUGUUAUGCCCCUUGUUGCUGUUUGGUGCAAGUUGUAGCUACUUAAAGCUUUUUGCAGUGCGUCACUUUUACCAUAUGGGGUUGUGCAAAAGACUGUAGCAAGUUUAUGUUGUGUAGUGCCUUUUGUCACAGCUUUCCUCGGUGAUGACGUUACUGUGCAGUGCAAGAAACUGCUUGCAUAAUUGCUACAGGGUCGUGUAGUGCGAUUACGUGGCAUUUUGGUUUUCUUUGCUACUGUAAUGCACUUUGAAGGACCAUCCUAUAGCUGCCCUCUUCGCCGUGCAAUGCAAGAAAGUGGUUGCAUAAUCGUUGUUGGGUUACGUAGUACGACUACGUGGCAUUUUGGUUUUCUUUGCUACUGUAGCGUUCCAUGAAGGAACGUCUUGCAGCUACCCUUUUUGCCAUGUUUGAUCAAGCUUCGUGGCUGAUUUCUUUUUGUUGUUGUGACAUUUUCAUCGUCAUUCUUCAAUGUUCACAAGGUUUGUCCCGCAUGUCUUUUGCUUUAGUGAAACGGUUUUUUUUUCUUUCUUUGCCGCACCACUUUUGUACUUACGUUACUUUGUUUAUUUUGUUGCAGCCAUGGUAUUUUUCAAGUGCUUCAAGAAUAAUACCAUCACCAUUCUUGCGAGGGAAAACGUUCCUCAAGAUAUGGGAACGACAUUGAAGCUUUAUGUGCCGUUGACUGGCCCUAAGGCGCUUGUUCUUCCUGCCAAAGACAACUUAAUGCACAUCAAGUCAUGGUCUUCUGAAGUGUCAUGGGAGGUGACGGAUUUUGGUCAAUCAACUACGAAGAAGAAGGUGUGUACGUCGAGGAUUCUUAUUUUGAAUCUUUCGCACCAUGCUCGUGACAAUUCACCGGCUUCUUUUGAGCUUCUUGGCGAUCGCGUUCGUAAUGGAGCUAUGACUUGAAAUGGCAUUCUAUCAACUACUGGAGAGGAUGUCUUUGCUGAGUUUUAUUGUGAAUAGCUUGAAUAUGUCUUUAUGGAUCCGAUUUUGGUAUUGGGGUUCCAUGAAGUACAAGAGACCUUUGAAGAAAAAUGGUGGCAACAUGACGACGAAGCUGAAGGGAAACUUAGAUCCGUCAAGUGUUAUUGGUUCAACUGAAUGCCAUGCUUUUGCUGAUUUGAAAGUGUUUGACAAACUUGGCGUAGUGUCAGAGCACGUGGAAGAAUCUUACUUAGCCGCUUGCUUAGCUUGUUGGCUUUGUAAGUUAGUUUUCCCCAAAGACAACGUCAACUUUAUCCGUCCUUCAAGGUGUUCUCUCGGAGUAGGAAGCUACACUUGCUCAGCAUCAUGAGGAGAUUUCAUGGCUAGAGUAAGGGAAAGGUGCAGCCAUGGAAGUGCCCACCUUGUCUCCCACCGAUGUAGAGACUUUGAAGACUUUAGAAAACUUGCUUGAAGAUUGUCACCAUGGUUUCAGAGACAUAGCUUUCAAGUAGUGUCUUCCAUCUUUUGUACUUUAGGCCUUCUUUGCUUUCGCUCUUUUUGUAAUAAGGCUUUGUAGCCAAAUUUUUCCUUUAAAGAAAUAAAGUAUUCACAUUUUGAAUUUGCUCUUUAUUCUUCAAAGUUUUUGUAUUUUUGUUGAUGAUGUGAUUGUACUUGAAGUUUUGAAGUUUCAAGUUGCUUAUGUACCAUCGGUUGAGGAGGGAUCAAGUCAUGACGUAGUUUAAGGGAGUGAUGGGUUUUAACAAUUUUGAUGGUGAUUUUUUUGUUUUGUUUUGUCGUACACAGUUUAUGAUCUUGCAAGCCAGGAGCGUUGAGUGUCACCUUUUAAGCUCAUGUGAACAAAGAGCUUUGUGCCGUGUGUAGUUUAGGCUCGUGCAGGUGAAAAGCGUUAAGUGUUGCCUUUUAAACUCAUGUGAACAAGGAGCGUUGAGUGUUGCCUUUUAAGCUUGUGCGAACAAGGAGCAUUGUGCCGUGCGCAGUUUAGGCUCAUGCAAGCGAGGAGCAUUGUGCCGUGUGCAGUUUACGCAUGUGCAGGUGAGGAGUGUUGUACCGUGUGCAGUUUACGCUCGUGCAAGUGAGGAGCAUUGAAUGUUUGGUUUAAAGGUAGUAACACUUUAAGAAUUUACCGUUGAUGGAGCCAAUCUUCAAGCCGUCUUCUGCCAUGAUUAGGUAGGCGCCGUUGUUGUAAACCUCUUGUAUUACGUAAGGUCAAUCCCACUUUGAUGUGAACUUGCUUUUUGUCUUAUGAGUUGUGAUGAUAGGUCUUCGUAAUGCUAAGACAAGAUCUCCAAUUUGGAAAGACCUUGGGCGGACCUUCUUGUUGAACGCCUUGGAUAGCCGUGCUUGGUAGCAUUCAAACUGUUGUUGAGUUUCAAGCCUCAUUUCGUCGAGUGCUUCUAACUCCUGAAGUCAUAACUUUAUGUUUCCCUCUUCAGUCAAGCCUUCUUGUAUAACCAUCCUUAGUGAGGGGAUUUGACUUUCGAGUGGCAGAACAGCUUCUACGCCAUAUACGAAAGAAUAAGGCAUAGCUUGGGUAGGAGUUCUAUGUGACGUCCUAUAUGCCCAAAGUGUUUAGCUUAUUUUUUCAUGCCAGUCUCUCUUUGUUCGGCCGAUUACCUUCUUCAUGAGGUUGCACAACGUUUUGUUGAAUGCUUCUGCAAGAUUAUAGGUCAGAGCAUGAUACAUAGAAGACUUGUGUUACUUGAACUUGUAUUUCUCGUAGAGCUCGUCCACGAGUUGGUUGCAGAACUAGUUUUCAUUGUCAGUGAUGAUGUAGCGAGGCACACCAUAUCGGUAAAUGAUAUGCUCCUUGAUGAAGCGGACGACAGUUUCCUUCUUGACUUCCCUUAGAGGUACGGCUUCAGCCCACUUGGAGAAGUAAUCUAUUGCGGCUAGGAUGUAGGCCUCUCCGGCAAAUUAUUUUGGUGCAAUUGGUCCCAUGAUGUCCAAUCCCCAUACAUCAAAUGGCCACGAAGCAACCGGAUGGUGUAAUGGCUCAGGCAGUUGAUGUAUAAAGUUGUCAUGGAACUGGAAGGCUUGGCACCUUUUGGGGUGUUCUAGGCAAUCAUUCACCAUGCUUGGUCGGUAAUAGCCCAUUCUUUUGAGCCAGAAGUGUAGCUUUAGUCCAGACUGAUAUGCUCCGCAUACGCCUGAGUGUGCUUCUUCCAUGGCUUGAUUGGCAUUUUCCUCACCUAGGCAUCUUAGAAGUACUCAUUCAAAAGAGCAUCGAUAGAAUGUUUCUUUGUAGUAGAGGAAGUGAGGUGCUCAUCGACGUAUUUCAGAGCGGUGUCUAGGAUCGUCUGGAAGCUUUCUUUGCUCCAAGUAGUCAAUCAGUGGCUGUCCCCACUCUUCAGUGUCGAUUGGAAGUACUGAGAUGACAUUUGUAUCAUCUAGUAAUGUUUCAGUGAUGAACGGGAUCACCCAUCUUUGGCAAAUUGGCACGUCUGUAGCUUCAUCUUCUCCUAGCACCAUACUUGAGGCUAAGUUAGCGAUAGCGUCUAUCAUUAGAUUUUCUUUUCUUGGCACAUGUUCUAGUAUCACAGCCUCAAACUUUCAUAGUCAUUGAGUUGCUAGCUAGAAGUAUGGGACGAUAUCAUAUUUCUUCACUUCAUAUUUAGUCAAGAAUUGAUUGAUUAUGAGCUUGGAGUUGCCAUACACUUCUAGAAAUGUGAUUUCCAUGUCGAUCACCAUUUGGAGUUCAAUAAUUAGCGCUUGGUACUCAGCGACGUUGUUGGAGCAUAGCUUGCUUAGUCGGAAGGAAUAGGGUAGUAUUUGUCUUUAUGGUGACAUGAAUACUACUCUUACCCCCACUCCGCCUGCUCGUGCAGAUCUGUCAAAUAACAUUGUCCAUGUCGGGAAAAUGUCGACGUAGAACACCUCCUCGUCAAGCAAGUCAUCUGAGAUUUUCCAAUCAGCUGAGAUUGAAUGAUCUGCAAGGAAGUCUGCUAGCGCUUGUCCCAUGACGACUAUAGCUGGAACGUAGAUAAUCUCGUAUUGAUUGAGAAGCAACGCCUAUUUCCCUAGUCGCCUUGUCAAAACUGGCUUGGACAUGACGUAUUUAACCAGGUCAGCUUUGGCAACCAAGUGGAUGGUGUAAGCAUGCAUGUAGUGUCAAAGCUUUUGGACGGCAAAAACCAAGGCAAGGCAUAUAUUCUCGAUUGGUGAGUAAUUGAGCUCGGCACCAGUGAGGGUUCUACUUAGGUAGUAGAGUGCUAUUUCCUUUUGGUCUUCAUUUUCUUGUGCUAAGAGUGCUCUAAUGGAACCUUCUUGUGCAAUAAUGUAUAGGAUGAGCGGCUUUCUAAGUAUAGGAGCUUCUAAGACAAGUGGGCUUACCAGGUACCUUUUUAUGCUUUCAAAUGCCUUGCGGCAGGCAUCAUCCUAUAUGAAUUGAGCAUCUUUCUUCAUGAGUCGACUUUCAAAUGACUUUUUAGCUCGUGUAGAUUCCUUGGCUCAGGCAUGCUUUGAAUGGCCUUGAUCUUUGAAGGCGAGGAACUUCCCAGAAGUGACGCCAAUGCAUACUUCAAUGGGUUCAUUUUGAGGUUGUAGUGUCAUAGUUUAUCGAACACCAUUCGUAAAUCCUUCAAGUGAUCAGAUCUCUUCUUGGUCUUGAUAACUACAUCAUCUACGUAACAUUUUAUGCUUUUGUACAGCAUGUCGUUGAAGAUCUUCUGCAUUGCACGUUGAUAUGUAGCUUCAGCAUUUUUCAAGCCAAAGUGCAUUACCUUGUAGCAGUAGAUACCUUUUUAAGUACGGACGGCUGUUAAUUCCUUGUCUUCGAGAGCUAUGCUGAUUUGAUUGUACCCAGAGGAGUCGUCCAUGAAUGAUAAUGCCUCAUGGCCAGUGGUUGCGUCUAUCAUGAUUUCGAUGAUUAGCAAGGGAAAGUCAUCAUUCUGGCAUACAUCGUUGAGGUCGCGAAAAUCUACGUAAACACAUAUUUGUCCAUAUUUCUUAAGGACAACGAUGAUGUUGGAGAUCCAUUUAGGAUAUUGCACCUCUCGAAUGAAGCCUGCUCCGAUCAACUUGUUAAUCUUGGCCUCAAUUUAUGGGAUGAGCUCGGAUUAAUAGUGCCAUUGAGUUUGCUUUAUCGAUUGUGUUCCAGGCUUGACUGCAAGAUGAUGCACGGCGAUGGUAGGGUCAAGGCCAGACAUUUCUUUGUAGGUCCAAGCAAAGACGUCUUUGUAUUCUAAAAGUAGUUGGUAGUACUUCUCGAUCUCGUCUGCACUUAGUGACGCACUUACGAAGAUAGGCUUUGGUUCCUCGCUUGUGCUUAAGUUGAGCUCCUUGAGAUCAUCAACUGUAGCUUGCCCCACAUCCUCAAGCUGUGGUGAUGCAGCAGUGACGUCUUCCUCAGGGAUUUCAUCUUCUCUGUCUUCUUGGAUUGUGAUGUGGAAGACAUCUUGGACUUUCUCUUCAGUGUCAUCCUUUUGAGCUCAUUGGCGUGAAAAUUAGCUAGUGUGGAUGAUGGUGCGCCUCCUUACCUUCAGUGAUCUUUUGUGUCCACCUCCAGGGUAGCUUGGCGUUUCAUCCUUAAAGGAAUCAAGCUUCCAACAUCGUCUUUUUCUGCUAGACUAUCGAGCUUUUCUUCCUUCGACAUUGUCUUCGUCUUUCUAGAAGGCUCCUUGGUUUCUUCAAGUCUUUCCAAGGCUGACCAUCAUGGAUGAGAGCUAGUCAUGUUGCUUUGUUUCUUAGGUUUUGACAACCUUUUGAACACAGAGCUUUAAGGUGUUGGCGUGUUAAGCCUUUUGAAUAAGGAGGUUCGGUCUUGAUCACCAGUGCAAUCAAAUGCCGAAAUUUUAGGUUUUGAACGGUUCAACCUAUUGAAUAUUGAUGUUCGAGGGGCAGGUUUAGGCUCAUCUUGUAUUUGUUCAACGCUCAUGCUGAUGUGUUGAGCGCUAGCAUUUUUUGUUUUUCUUGAAAUCUUCACGGGCAUAUUUGGUGUGAAGCCAAGUCCAACUUUGUUGUUGUCAACUCCGUAGCCAUGCUCCUUCAACUUUUUCUGAGUCUCGGUGAGGUCACAUUUUUUUCGUUGACGAUGUUUGAAACCUCUCUUCCAAGAUUUAAAGGAGAGGCGAAAUCGUACCUAGCCUUUGACAUGAGUUUGUAGGUGUUUGGGUCGAAACCUUCUUUGGUCCUCUUGGCUAGAAGAGCCCUCAGUUCUGCCCCCUUUGGCAAGGGUUUGAAGCCUAACAGUGGUUUUGAAAUUUUAACGUUGCCUAGCUGUGUCAGAGGUAAAACAUCAUUUGUCUUGAGCAGCUUUACAUAGUCCUUGUGCAGCUGUGUGUUGGCUUUGCUUGUUCUAAUUUCGAACGAAGAUUGCCUAUUCUUUCUUCUCGACAUUGGGAUGUAUCAGAAGACAAGUGAGUUUGGUCCUUUUGAGGGCGUUACACUCCCUUUGAUUGUUGUGGGCUUAGUAGGCUCAUCGUCAUCUUUGCUUGAAGAUGGCAUGGCUUCCCCUUCUCGUUUCUUAGGCACAGCUUGCCAUUCUUGUUUCUUUGGUACAACUUUACCUAUGGAUUUAAUUUCUUUUGGAAGAGCUUCGGGCACCAUUUCUUCAUCCAUGUAGAACUUAGCAUCCACGAAGUGUGAUUCGGCUUUGGUGAAUGGCUUGGGGUCACCUUGUAUCACCUUUACUCAUUCUCAGUAGAACUUUAGGCAUUGAUGGAAGGUGGACGACACUACCCCAUUCUCGUGGAUCCAAGGCCUUCCUAAGAGGAAGCUGUAGGAAGUUCUUGCAUCAAUCACGUGGAAUAGCGUGUUUCAUUUGAGUUUGCCAAUGGUCAUCUCCACGCGGACCAUGCCCAUCACUCUUUGUCCUUCUUGGUUAAAACCUUGGAUUAGGAGGUAGCUCCAGGAUAGUUCAUCCACCUUAAUGCCGAUUAUAGUCAUUGUUGACUUUGGCAUAAUGUUUAUGGCUCAUUCUCUAUCUACAAGCAUGCGGUUGAUUUUGUGCUCCCUUACGUACCCAAAGACAAAGAGAGAACGAUUGUGAGGCUUUGAUCCCAGCAGUAGGUCUUCGUCAAUGAAGUUGAUUACGUCAUGGGCGACACAGCAUGUGACAUAUUCAUAUGGCCGAAGCUUCAAGUUUUCAUCCUUGCUUUCUUGCACUUUGUGAACGUCGGGACUCUCCAAGACCCCUAUUAGUGUUCUUCGCAUCUCUUUGGGCAAUUGCAGCACCUCUUCGAUGCUAAAGUAUGACGCCAGGCUUUCUUUGAAGGGAAAUCUAUGAGUUUUACACAUGGGAUUUCGAAAUGACUAGCAUGCAUAUACAAUUCAAAAUUUAUAUACAUAAGCAACGGAAGCAUGUUAUCAAAUAAUAUCAAAGUUAUAGUCAUGCAAAUCCCCUUCAAGGUUCAUAGGUUUAUAUAUAAUGCAUCUAAAACAUUCAAGUUAAGAACAAAGUGAAGGUAUAGAUCCAUACCUCUUGAUCUUGAUUUUAAACCAAGGAUGGACCACCUCCAAGCCCUUUGCUCCUUGAAGUCCUUGAGCCUAGCCUCCUUCCUUGCCUCCUCCACUUUGUUAGUAAGAGUGCUCCAAGGUUCUCCUUUAGUCUCCAAAGGAGAAGACCUCUAAAUAUCCACACCCACUAGUGCAGUGAGAUGGAUGGAGGAAUAACCAAAAGGGUGAAAGAUUGUUAGCUAAAUCACCCUCAAGGUGGCCGGCCUUUGGUGUUUAAAGAGAGAUGUUUCUUUUGCCUCUUUUUGUUUUAAAACACACAAAAACCCUAAGGAAUAAAUCUCUAUAAAGUUCCUUAUAUAGACAAAAAGAAACCUAGUCAACAACUUGACUUAAUAUCUCUCCCUCUCCACUUUAAAUGGCCGGCCCCUUUGUGUUGGUUUGGGCUUUGGGCUUUUAUUUAUUUCUAGUCAUCCAAUGCUUGAAUAAAAGCCCAAUGGGUUUAGGCCCAAUGGACCCAAUUAAACCCGAACGUUUCUUUAAGCCCAAAACGAUCUUUUAUCGCUUUUAUGAUUUCUUUAGACUUUCUAAAUUAAUCACAACACUUACUUAAUCCAAUUAAUUAUUUCCAUCAUCCAUUAAUUACUCACUACAAGAGUGUAUCGGUGUACAAUCAUUUUAGGUUCUAAUUAGCAAGGCAGUGAGGUGAUUGACAUCAAUCCAAUUGAUUAUAUUUUUAAUCCAAUCACUUAGUGAAUUAAAACUUCCUUUUAAUUCACCCUUCUUCUUUGAUGACUACAUUUAAUCAUCUAGAAGAACUCACAAGGUAUGAGUGACAUCUAACCAUAUGUUAUAGCUACCCAAGCUAAUGUAGAAGUUGUUCGAAGAACCUAUUCAGUUGGAAUUACAAUGUAAUUCGAUCCUUCUCUAAAACAAUACUCUCAAUCACAUUACUAGGGUAUGGAUAUAUUAUGUCAAACCCCUAAUGUGAUUAUUCCUUCUUAUAUGAUUCAAUUGAGUCGUAUAGGAACGCUUUCCUUUAUUACGCUCGAUACUUCGGCCAAAGAUUCCCGAAUCAUAUCUUAGAGUAUUCUUCCUCUCUUAACGAGGAUUAGAGAUUCCUUAUUGCGCAUUCACUUGCCUUCAUGACUAAGUGGCUUAACCCCAAUUAUGCCGUGGACACCCGCGAAUGGGGUGACUUUGACAUAAUCAAAGAUUAAGUACUUAGCCACAAGACAACGAUGAUGCCUCAGGUCAAAGGACUACUUACAUUAUUCCAACCAUUAGAGUUACUUACUUGACAUGUGAGUAGACCUCCAUGCAAGUACUCUCGUUCGAUUGUGUUCGGUGAACUCAUUCCCUUAAUGAGCACCUACAUACUUGUCUUAGUGUCACUACACGAAUGGGAUGAGACUUUCCAUUCUUCCAUUUGAAGCGGACACAGUAUGUACCGGUCUAAGCAUUGUCAGUUUCCCUCCGACAAUCCAAUGACCAGGAACCUUUUUGGACAUAAUAGUUAUGUGAAGAAGGUCUCUGUAGUCUAACAUCAUUAGAUUACUUCUUCAAUCGAUCCAUUGUCCAUGGAUUCACUAUUUAGGACAUAUAUCGUUUAUUGAGAUAGUCCUAAUUAGUAUCUUUGCCAUUUGAUGUAUAAGAGUCAUCUAUACAUCGUUUCAUUUGUCCUGAAAGGUUUCUUCCAAUGAUUGACUUCCAGGGCAUAUUUCCAACAAUCUCCUACUUGCACUAAAGUCAAUCACUAGUGUAUCUUAUACAUGCUAGUUAAGAGAGCUUAUGCUCGUAGGUUAACUUGGUUAUGUAUUAAUCCUUUUUAUUUAAAAAGGAUUUACUUAUCAAAUGUUUCCAAAACAUUUGAUGAUGUCUCUUCUUGUGUUCGAAUACUUUGAUGAGACCUUGAUUCCAUGGCUUGAGCUAUCGCCCCAUUACGUCGUAGUAUCCUACUAACAACCUUAUGGUUUGGAUUCAAUCAUUGGUUCUAUAAGAACCCCUUCAUUCAAAACACCUUUUGAAGCAAUUUCUAAAACAAUAUAUCGUCAUAUAUUUCGUUUGUAUACUUUAUAUAAACUUUGCUUCAACCUUGAGACCAUUGUAGUACAAUACUAACAAUACAUUCAUAUGAUUAGUACUUCAUCCAUUAUGAAGUUCCAUUUGUUAAAAUGGCUUAUUUUCACUUUGGUUAAUAACCUAAGUGAAUGCACGCUUCCAGAGUCCCACUCUGAUGUUUCUUUCUUAAAGGCAAUAAUACUCUAUCAGUUGCUUUGGUUCUGAUCCUGGGAUAUAGUAUAUCUUAAAGUGACAAACUCUGUGGUUUUUCACCUUUGGAUAUCUACUUCACAAGUCCAUACAUGUGUCCCUUUUGUGAUUUUGUGACACAUUCAUUAUAAGGGUUAUGAAAGUGAUUUUCUAUCACAUAGGAAAAUGCUUUCUUAAAUCUACAACAUUUGAGAUUUAAUUCCCAUAUAACAUUAUUGAGAUAGCCUUGCUAUAUCAAUAAGUCCAAUUUCAAGUCUAUACUUCAAAAUUGACCAUGUCAUGUUUUGUCAUUUCUCGAGUAACAUCUAUGUUUUAUCAAGUCUAUCGAAUAGACUUUAUUCACAUCUUGUUGCUCAAAUUAUGACAUCACUCCCACUGGCCUUGUUGUAACUUAGCAUUCAUUCAAAAAUAACAAUUAUAUUUUCUUGAUUUGAAUGCAUAUUGCUCCCACUAACUUAAAUGAAUCAUACACAAAAGAAUUCAUUCUCAAGUAAUUCCAUUUGAAAUGUGUGACUUGUUUCAUUAAGUCUAUUCAUUUAAAUUAUAUGGUGUCAUACACCAUACUUCAAGUUUUAGUCAUACUAAGACCUUUAAUGUAGUCAUAUAAGAAUUAUCCAAGUCUUUAGUGGAAGCAUGGCUCCUACUAAGGAUAUAGAAACUCAACCAUUCCUUCUAGGUGGUUGAUAUAAUUCUUUAUCAAAACUACAUAGAGCAAUAUUGUUACAUGAGAUGUUGAAUUUGGAUUGUCUUGUUAAAUCAUAUGUUGUGACUCAUUUUGAACUUAUUUCCCUUUUUGUUUCAUCAACUUGUCCAUAUGCUAAGUUAUUUAGCUUGUUCUCAUAAAAGAGAAUGAUGGACAACUCCCAACAUAUAACUAUUUUAUGCUAGGUUGACGAAACCAACAUUCAAAGACUAUUCUUUAGAAUGUCACACAACAUAGAAUUUUAACGUUUGAAGAGCUUGAGUUCUUUAACAAUUAAAAUUACAAACUCUUAAUAAUAGUCAAGUACUAUUAUCCUUUAGACAACUAUAAACCAAUCACAUUCAAAUUUAUAUCCAUUUUCACACCUCCCACUAUUUCUUAUGACUUUAAUGAGAAAUCAUUUCAUACAUUCAAAAUGUAUAAAAGUGGAGUACAUUGGUAGAAGACAUUGUGUAGUAGCUUUAAAACAUUUCAAGCUUAUUUGUUUCAAUCUUCACUAAGUUAAUGUCUUGUUAUUAAGUGACUAAAGUCUUUAAACAUUUUAUAGAUUUAGACACUUCUUUCUUGGUUUAAUCACUAACACAAUUGACAUUUUAAAACAAUUUUAAAAUUGCCCAAUUAGUUGUUCAAAAUUACUAAUUGAAUCAAGAGUGAUCUUGAUCAUUGUGUUUUAAGUGACAACCAUAUAAGAAACGUUUUUCUUAUUACUUAUAUCAUUAUAAUGUGAUCUUCCUUUUCUUCAAGAAAGGAUUCUCUAGACUUUUGUCAAUUCAUAUAGAACUCAUAGGUAGACAAAUGGAACCAAAUCUAAAGAUUCAUUGUAUCCUUUUAUGUCCUACAUGUGAGAUCUAUCCAUAAUUGAUAAAUCUAAAGUUUGGUUAUCACAUUACAAUAAGUGAUAUAACUCUUGUAUCUCUUCUUAGGAUACAACAAGACAAUAUUCAAUUCAUAACACUACUUUAAGGAAAUAAUAUAUUAGAAGGUAUUCAUCAUAUUACAUUAAUAUGAUAAUUCAAACAUUCAUAAUGUUUAAUACAAAAAGUAUUAGCUCUAUACAUUUAGAGACUAACAUAAACACCUUUAUACAUUUAGGCACUAGUAGUGGUCUUCCAUCAUAUGAAGCCACAUAAUAAGUUCUUAACAAAAUAAGAAAGUUUAAAGACAAUCUUUAAAUGCCUAACAAACUUCCUAAGUAGUGAGCAAAAAACAUAGUGACCGAACCCUUCACCGCAUUUUCCUUGCUUGUUCCUCUUCUACUUGGCUUCUCCACCUAUAUACAAUUAUACAAGUGAUUAGCUCUUUAUAUCAAAUAUAAAUAUUUAGAAGAUCUAACAAUUAGAAUUGAAGAUAAGAACAUAAACCAUACCUUGUGGCUUGUCCUUAAGACUUGCAAGGUAUAACCUGCAAUUCCUCCUCCAAUGCCCCUCCUUUCCACAGUGGUGGCAAGUCCCCUUGGGCUCCUUUGCCUUCUUUUUCCUCACUCCUCCUUGCGGCUUAGGAGUGGGAGACUUCUUCUCCUUCCCUUUGCCUUUGCCUUGCGGCUUAACCUUGGAAGAUGAUGGCUUGUUGUAGGCUACUGCAGCAGUCCCUACAACGUUCUCUUUCUUCAUUCUUCAUAGUCUUCUCGGCAGUUACUAACAUGUUUAGUAACUCAGAGAGAGUACUAUCCAUCUUAUUCAUAUUGUAGUUCAUUACGAACUGCGAGAAUGAAUCAGAAAGAGAAGCCAAUAUGAAGUCCUGGGCCAAUUCCCCGUCAAGUGGAGUACUUAGGUUCUCCAAUUGUUCAAUGAAUCAUAUCAUCUUCAGUACAUGUUGAUGCACUGGAGCCCCCUUGACCAUCUUGGUCUUCACAAGUUCACAAACAGUGAUAAAGCGAUGGUUGCGCGUCCCUUCACCAUAUAACUCCGUAAGAUGGAGUAUUAUGGAAGAUGCACUGUCCAUGCCCUCGUGCUGUCUCUGUAGCUCCUCAUUCAUGGAAGCCAACAGAUAGCACUUGGCUUGUGUGUCAUCCUCAACGUGCUUGUCAUACUUAGCACGUUCAUCCUCAGUAGCCUCAGGGCCGAGAGGUAUGUGAGGUGGAGCCUUGUCUAGUACGUAAACAAUAUUCUCCAAUGUUAGGAGAAUCUUGACAUUACGAUACCACGAUGGGAAAUUGUGCCCCUCUAGGCAAUGUUUGUCGAGUAUUUUUGCGAGUGUGCUUCCAACCAUAUCUAAAUACAUAAACAAUAAAAUAAUUAGUUUGAUUGUCGAUUAAGUCAAACGAUUUGGGUCUUUAAACCGAAUGACACCACCCACCAUUUUUGGCAAAUUCCAUAUCCCUCAAGAUGGAAUCCGGGAGUUUUCAAAGAAAGCUCCUAGCGGGUUAUAGGAGGCUCACUAUUACCAAGCCCACCUCACGAUGAUACGAUGUUGGCUAGCAAAAAUAAUAAUGAGAGGGUACACUUACCCAUUCACAACAACCUCUUGUGAUUACCCAUCUUUUUGGCCUCUAGAGAACAAUGCCUCAUGAUGAUACGAUGUUGGCAUCAUUUCUCUUAGUUAAGUUCUUUCCCACCAUGCCGGUUUAGAUAGGGGUUCAAGCAUGACCUCAUGAUGAUACGAUGUUGGCCACACUCGUUGCCUACCUUAACCUCAUCAAAUGUUUUAAAUAAACUCCUCCUGAGUAUAAGCAUGCACUUUGCACUCCCCCAUGAUAGGGUGAAGGCGGUGUGCAAGUCAUAAACGAUUGGAGCCUACCACGGUGGAAGGCCACGAAAAAUGUUCAAAACACUCUUACGCUUUCAACUUAAUAUUGUAUGUUGGUUGAGGGAUUUUAAGGUCUCAUCAAUUUUAUUUAUUUAAUCACAUUCAAAUAAAUAAUGUCCUAUUACAACUACUAGUCCAAAGUUAAUGAAAUUAGUAGCAUAUGAUAUCCCCACUAUUCGUUUUCAUAAAACAAAUCAAUAUCAAAACAUUUUUCAAAAUAUUGGAGAUAUAUAACUACUAAUUGUAUUCAUUAUAUUUUAGUAGCAUAUGAUACUCCCACUAUUUGUUUUAAGAAAAACAAAUCAAUAUCAAAAACGAAUUUUUUUAAAUAUUGGAAGUAACUACUACUACUAAGGUUUUUGCAUUCCUUUGAAAUUGGACUUUAUAGUUAUCUUAGGCUCUUGGAUGACCAUGGACUUAUUAGGUUAUUGCAACAACGAGCCAACAUUGUUGAAUAUAAACUCGGAAAGGUUGUGUCAAUUUAAUUACGUGUUUUUCAAUCCAAUUAAAACAUCUUCAUUGAGCCAUUAGAAAUGAAAGACAAUCAUUCAUUGCUAAUUAGGGCAUUGGACCCAUUUAAUCUUUAAUCUCAUGUCAAAAACCCUCUUUUAGUUAUGUCUCCUUACCAAUAGUUAAAGAAACUCUAGUCUAGCACUAGAGGGAAUCAACUAACUAAAAGAGAUUAAGAAGUAAUAAGAAUUACAAACCGAUUUGUACAAAUUCCUAUAAAUUACACAUACUAAAAGGGGAGAGAUAGAUUAAUGUCAAACGUGACAAGGUCCAAUUAAACAGUAAUUAAAACACAUUCCCCAAGGUUCAAACAAUUUAAUUUUAGCGCCUUAUCUCAUAACUCAAUUAUCGUUUAAGGCAUAAGUCCAUAGUCACCCUUUUCUAACUACUUAAUCACAUUAAAUAAUCAAAAUGGAAUGCAACAUGAACAUUUAGAUUUAGUGCAUAUGGGCAUAAUAGUAUUAUGAGUUUAAACAACUAACAAAAUUAAAAUCAAAUAUUUUAACUUUCUAGUUAGUAGGGGCCUAAAUGCAAACAAGAAAAAGUUAGGGGUCAAACCGUAAAUACUCAAAAGUAUAAAAUAUCUUUUUUCAAAUUACAAAAAACCCCACAAGUGGAUAAAUCCACUAGUGUGGCCGGCCACAUUAAGGGGAGAUGGGAAGUCUCACCCAUCUUGCUUUAAUUCAAUGCAAAGUAGAAAAAAUCCAAAUUUGCUUGUCACUUGGUUUUGGCAUUAAAACUUAGGUGAAAAGGGUUGAUGGAAAUUUCCUAGUCAAGUCUAGGAUUUAAUAAAUUUUUGGGAAGGCUAUGGAUGAUAAGUAUAUCAUCCAAAACCAUAAAACAAUUUAUGAAAACCAAAUAAAACCAUUUUCACCAAAAAAACAAACCAUGAACACCAAAAACAAAACCAUGAACACAUUUUCAAGAUUUGUGUAUUCUUGGUGAUUUUUCAAACCCAAAAACUAAAGUGACAAGGGCUCUACUUUCUAGCUUUAAAAUGAUGUGUGAGUGUUUUACAACAAAACACAAACACAUGCCCAAAAAACCCCCUUAAUGCCGUGCCUACCACAAGGAACAAAACCCCAAAUUUUGUUCACAACUUACUCUUCAUUCAUGCAUCCAAAACACCUUUUUACAUGCAUAUCUUUUUCAACUCUUGAUUUAUAUUUUUCAACCAUUGAAAAACAAAAGAUAAACAUACUUUAACUGAAGAAAUAAUAUGUCAAACUAGUUCAAAACUCAAUUUUCAUUCAUGCAUACAAAACAUCUUUUGCAUACAUAUCUUUCUCAACUAUUGACUAACAUUUUUCAACUAUUGAAAAACAAAAAGAUAAACAUAUUUUUAAUGAAGCAAUAAUUAUGUCAUACAUAAUAUUAAUACCCAUAUGCAUAAAAUCCAAAAGGACACAUUAUACAUAAAUCUUUGGCUCUGAUACCACUUGAAGGGAAAUCUAUGAGUUUUACACAUGGGAUUUCGAAAUGACUAGCAUGCAUAUACAAUUCAAAAUUUAUAUACAUAAGCAACGGAAGCAUGUUAUCAAAUAAUAUCAAAGCUAUAGUCAUGCAAAUCCCCUUCAAGGUUCAUAGGUUUAUAUAUAAUGCAUCUAAAAACAUUCAAGUUAAGAACAAAGUGAAGGUAUAGAUCUAUACCUCUUGAUCUUGAUUUUAGACCAAGGAUGGACCACCUCCAAGCCCUUUGCUCCUUGAAGUCCUUGAGCCUAGCCUCCCUCCUUACCUCCUCCACUUUGUUAGUAAGAGUGCUCCAAGGUUCUCCUUUAGUCUCCAAAUGAGAAGACCUCUAAAUAUCCACACCCACUAGUGUAGUGAGAUGGAUGGAGGAAUAACCAAAAGGGUGAAAGAUUGUUAGCUAAAUCACCCUCAAGGUGGCCGGCCUUUGGUGUUUAAAGAGAGAUGUUUCUUUUGCCUCUUUUUGUUUUAAAACACAUAAAAACCCUAAGGAAUAAAUCUCUAUAAAGUUCCUUAUAUAGACAAAAAGAAACCUAGUCAACAACUUGACUUAAUAUCUCUCCCUCUCCACUUUAAAUGGCCGGCCCCUUUGUGUUAGUUUGGGCUUUGGGCUUUUAUUUAUUUCUAGUCAUCCAAUGCUUGAAUAAAAGCCCAAUGGGUUUAGGCCCAAUGGACCCAAUUAAACCCGAACGUUUCUUUAAGCCCAAAACGAUCUUUUAUCGCUUUUAUGAUUUCUUUAGACUUUCUAAAUUAAUCACAACACUUAAUUAAUCCAAUUAGUUAUUUCCAUCAUCCAUUAAUUACUCACUACAAGAGUGUAUCGGUGUACAAUCAUUUUAGGUUCUAAUUAGCAAGGCAGUGAGGUGAUUGACAUCAAUCCAAUUGAUUAUAUUUAAUCCAAUCACUUAGUGAAUUAAAACUUCCUUUUAAUUCACCUUUCUUCUUUGAUGACUACAUUUAAUCAUCUAGAAGAACUCACAAGCUAUGAGUGACAUCUAACCAUAUGUCAUAGCUACCCAAGCUAAUGUAGAAGUUGUUCGGAGAACCUAUUCAGUUGGAAUUACAAUGUAAUUCGAUCCUUCUCUAAAACAAUACUCUCAAUCACAUUACUAGGGUAUGGAUAUAUUAUGUCAAACCCUAAUUUGAUUAUUCCUUCUUAUAGAUUCAAUAAGUCGUAUAGGAACGCUUUCCUUUAUUACGCUCGAACUCGCCGAAGAUUCCGAUCAUAUCUUAGAGUUUCCUCCUUACGAGGUUAGAUUCCUGUUGAUGCGAAAUAUAAGCACACAAAUUAAACCCUCUUUUUGUCAAAUUGUAGCAAAGAUGUAAGUAGGGAUCGUUCUAGACCGGGGAUUAGGAGGGAUUGCUAAACACUUGGAAACUGACUUAAAACUCAAAAACAAAGUUUAAAACACUAAACUAGACUCAAAGAAUGCAAAACUAAAGUUAAAACACUUAAACAAACCUAAAACUCAAAACAGCAACUAGAAGGCUCAAAACUGCCUAAAAACCACUUUCUGGGCAGUUUUGAGCACCUACACUAAUUUGGACGAAAAUUGAUGAAAACUUGAAUCAAAACACUUAGAAACACAAAUCAAAACACUUUCUAACUAAUCUAAGACUUCAAAAUAAAGGGGGAUUUGUUUUGGACGAAAAUUUGAAAAACAAAACAGAAACUUUAACUAAACAGAUUGUAAAAACGAUUUUGGUGAAAAUAGAUGGAUAAAAGGCUAGUUAGGAGGUUCUUCUCCACACAUGUCACACUUGCAAACAAAACGAUUUUCAGUUGUUCUUCCAAUAAACUAUGAAUACUCAACGCCCCAAAUUAACCGUGAAUUGCACUAAUUAACCCUCAGUUUUUCCACAAGUUAUUAAGUUGGAUGAUUGCAUACGACAACCCAAAACAUUCCCUACAAGUUCCCUACAUGAAUUGCAUAAUAGAGAUACAAGCAAGAAUCAUUACGUUCUAUGAAAAACAUAAGCAUUGACGAAGCAUUUGUUACUAUGAAUUGCAUGAAACUUAUGCUAAGAAUUCAUUCAACGCGAUCGUUUUCAAGCGAUCUUCACUACUUGUGAUUAUAAGAUUGUAACUAUUAGGUGAAACUCCCUCAUAAUCUAGCAUCAUAUUCAUGCAUGAAAACUAAGCGUGCACUCUCAAUCAACAUACACAAAUAAGUUAUCAAUCAAAUAGAUGAACGAAUUGAAUCCACAACUUAUGAAAUAACAACUGAAUGUAAUCGAAUCAAAUUGCAAGCAUGUACAUGGUUUCGAAUCACCCCCCAACUAAGGGGGUUUAGUUCCUCAUACUCACAACACAAAGUUUAUUGAAUUGAAACAUCGAAGACAUAAGAANNNNNNNNNNNNNNNNNNNNNNNNNNNNNNNNNNNNNNNNNNNNNNNNNNNNNNNNNNNNNNNNNNNNNNNNNNNNNNNNNNNNNNNNNNNNNNNNNNNNNNNNNNNNNNNNNNNNNNNNNNNNNNNNNNNNNNNNNNNNNNNNNNNNNNNNNNNNNNNNNNNNNNNNNNNNNNNNNNNNNNNNNNNNNNNNNNNNNNNNNNNNNNNNNNNNNNNNNNNNNNNNNNNNNNNNNNNNNNNNNNNNNNNNNNNNNNNNNNNNNNNNNNNNNNNNNNNNNNNNNNNNNNNNNNNNNNNNNNNNNNNNNNNNNNNNNNNNNNNNNNNNNNNNNNNNNNNNNNNNNNNNNNNNNNNNNNNNNNNNNNNNNNNNNNNNNNNNNNNNNNNNNNNNNNNNNNNNNNNNNNNNNNNNNNNNNNNNNNNNNNNNNNNNNNNNNNNNNNNNNNNNNNNNNNNNNNNNNNNNNNNNNNNNNNNNNNNNNNNNNNNNNNNNNNNNNNNNNNNNAACUUGGUUAUGUAUUAAUCCUUUUUUUAAAAAGGAUUUAACUUAUCAAUGUUCCAAAACAUUUGAUGAUGUCUCUUCUUGUGUUCGAAAUACUUUGAUGAGACCUUGAUUCCAUGGCUUGAGCUAUCGCCCCAUUACGUCGUAGUUCCACUAACAAUUAUGGUUAUAUCAUUGUUCUAUAAGACCCCCUUCAUCAAACACCUUUUGAAGCAAUUUAAACAAAUAUCGUCUUAUUUCGUUGUAUACUUUAUAUAAACUUGCUUCAACUUGAGACCAUUGUAGUUACAAUACUAAACAAUACAUUCAUAUGAUUAGUACUUCAUCCAUUAUGAAGUUCCAUUUGUUAAAAUGGCUUAUUUUCACUUUGGUUAAUAACCUAAGUGAAUGCACGCUUCCAGAGUCCCACUCUGAUGUUUCUUUCUAAAGGCAAUAAUACUCUAUCAGUUGCUUUGGUUCUGAUCCUGGGGAUAUAGUAAUAUCUUAAAGUGACAAACUCUGUGGUUUUUCACCUUUGGAUAUCUACUUCACAAGUCCAUACAUGUGUCCCUUUUGUGAUUUUGUGACACAUUCAUUAUAAGGGUUAUGAAAGUGAUUUUCUAUCACAUAGAAAAUGCUUUCUUAAAUCUACAACAUUUGAGAUUUAAUUCCCAUAUAACAUUAUUGAGAUAGCCUUGCUAUAUCAAUAAGUCCAAUUUCAAGUCUAUACUUCAAAAUUGACCAUGUCAUGUUUUGUCAUUUCUCGAGUAACAUCUAUGUUUUAUCAAGUCUAAUCGAAUAGACUUUAUUCACAUCUUGUUGCUCAAAUUAUGACAUCACUCCCACUGGCCUUGUUGUAACUUAGCAUUCAUUCAAAAUAACAAUUAUUUUUCUUGAAUUUGAAUGCAUAUUGCUCCCACUAACUUAAAUGAAUCAUACACAAAAGAAUUCAUUCUCAAGUAAUUCCAUUUGAAAUGUGUGACUUGUUUCAUUAAGUCUAUUCAUUUAAAUUAUAUGGUGUCAUACACCAUACUUCAAGUUUUAGUCAUACUAAGACCUUUUAAUGUAGUCAUAUAAGAAUUAUCCAAGUCUUUAGUGGAAGCAUGGCUCCUACUAAGGAUAUAGAAACUCAACCAUUCCUUCUAGGUGGUUGAUAUAAUUCUUUAUCAAAACUACAUAGAGCAAUAUUGUUACAUGAGAUGUUGAAUUUGGAUUGUCUUGUUGUUAAAUCAUAUGUUGUGACUCAUUUGAACUUAUUUCCCUUUUUGUUUUCAUCAACUUGUCCAUAUGCUAAGUUAUUUAGCUUGUUCUCAUAAAAGAGAAUGAUGGACAACUCCCAACAUAUAACUAUUUAUGCUAGGUUGACGAAACCAACAUUCAAAGACUAUUCUUUAGAAUGUCACACAACAUAGAAUUUUAACGUUUGAAGAGCUUGAGUUCUUUAACAAUUAAAAUUACAAACUCUUAAUAAUAGUCAAGUACUAUUAUCCUUUAGACAACUAUAAACCAAUCACAUUCAAAUUUAUAUCCAUUUUCACACCUCCCACUAUUUCUUAUGACUUUAAUGAGAAAUCAUUUCAUACAUUCAAAAUGUAUAAAAGUGGAGUACAUUGGUAGAAGACAUUGUGUAGUAGCUUUAAAACAUUUCAAGCUUAUUUGUUUCAAUCUUCACUAAGUUAAUGUCUUGUUAUUAAGUGACUAAAGUCUUUAAACAUUUUAUAGAUUUAGACACUUCUUUCUUGGUUUAAUCACUAACACAAUUGACAUUUUAAAACAAUUUUAAAAUUGCCCAAUUAGUUGUUCAAAAUUACUAAUUGAAUCAAGAGUGAUCUUGAUCAUUGUGUUUUAAGUGACAACCAUAUAAGAAACGUUUUUCUUAUUACUUAUAUCAUUAUAAUGUGAUCUUCCUUUUCUUCAAGAAAGGAUUCUCUAGACUUUUGUCAAUUCAUAUAGAACUCAUAGGUAGACAAAUGGAACCAAAUCUAAAGAUUCAUUGUAUCCUUUUAUGUCAUACAUGUGAGAUCUAUCCAUAAUUGAUAAAUCUAAAGUUUGGUUAUCACAUUACAAUAAGUGAUAUAACUCUUGUAUCUCUUCUUAGGAUACAACAAGACAAUAUUCAAUUCAUAACACUACUUUAAGGAAAAUAAUAUAUUAGAAGGUAUUCAUCAUAUUACAUUAAUAUGAUAAUUCAAACAUUCAUAAUGUUUAAUACAAAAGUAUUAGCUCUAUACAUUUAGAGACUAACAUAAACACCUUUAUACAUUUAGGCACUAGUAGUGGUCUUCCAUCAUAUGAAGCCACAUAAUAAGUUCUUAACAAAAUAAGAAAGUUUAAAGACAAUCUUUAAAUGCCUAACAAACUUCCUAAGUAGUGAGCAAAAAAACAUAGUGACCGAACCCUUCACCGCAUUUUCCUUGCUUGUUCCUCUUCUACUUGGCUUCUCCACCUAUAUACAAUUAUACAAGUGAUUAGCUCUUUAUAUCAAAUAUAAAUAUUUAGAAGAUCUAACAAUUAGAAUUGAAGAUAAGAACAUAAACCAUACCUUGUGGCUUGUCCUUAAGACUUGCAAGGUAUAACCUGCAAUUCCUCCUCCAAUGCCCCUCCUUUCCACAGUGGUGGCAAGUCCCCUUGGGCUCCUUUGCCUUCUUUUUCCUCACUCCUCCUUGCGGCUUAGGAGUGGGAGACUUCUUCUCCUUCCCUUUGCCUUUGCCUUGCGGCUUAACCUUGGAAGAUGAUGGCUUGUUGUAGGCUACUGCAGCAGUCCCUACAACGUUCUCUUUCUUCAUAGUCUUCUCGGCAGUUACUAACAUGUUUAGUAACUCAGAGAGAGUACUAUCCAUCUUAUUCAUAUUGUAGUUCAUUACGAACUGCGAGAAUGAAUCAGAAAGAGAAGCCAAUAUGAAGUCCUGGGCCAAUUCCCCGUCAAGUGGAGUACUUAGGUUCUCCAAUUGUUCAAUGAAUCAUAUCAUCUUCAGUACAUGUUGAUGCACUGGAGCCCCCUUGACCAUCUUGGUCUUCACAAGUUCACAAACAGUGAUAAAGCGAUGGUUGCGCGUCCCUUCACCAUAUAACUCCGUAAGAUGGAGUAUUAUGGAAGAUGCACUGUCCAUGCCCUCGUGCUGUCUCUGUAGCUCCUCAUUCAUGGAAGCCAACAGAUAGCACUUGGCUUGUGUGUCAUCCUCAACGUGCUUGUCAUACUUAGCACGUUCAUCCUCAGUAGCCUCAGGGCCGAGAGGUAUGUGAGGUGGAGCCUUGUCUAGUACGUAAACAAUAUUCUCCAAUGUUAGGAGAAUCUUGACAUUACGAUACCACGAUGGGAAAUUGUGCCCCUCUAGGCAAUGUUUGUCGAGUAUUUUUGCGAGUGUGCUUCCAACCAUAUCUAAAUACAUAAACAAUAAAAUAAUUAGUUUGAUUGUCGAUUAAGUCAAACGAUUUGGGUCUUUAAACCGAAUGACACCACCACCACCAUUUUUGGCAAAUUCCAUAUCCCUCAAGAUGGAAUCCGGGAGUUUUCAAAGAAAGCUCCUAGCGGGUUAUAGGAGGCUCACUAUUACCAAGCCCACCUCACGAUGAUACGAUGUUGGCUAGCAAAAAUAAUAAUGAGAGGGUACACUUACCCAUUCACAACAACCUCUUGUGAUUACCCAUCUUUUUGGCCUCUAGAGAACAAUGCCUCAUGAUGAUACGAUGUUGGCAUCAUUUCUCUUAGUUAAGUUCUUUCCCACCAUGCCGGUUUAGAUAGGGGUUCAAGCAUGACCUCAUGAUGAUACGAUGUUGGCCACACUCGUUGCCUACCUUAACCUCAUCAAAUGUUUUAAAUAAACUCCUCCUGAGUAUAAGCAUGCACUUUGCACUCCCCCAUGAUAGGGUGAAGGCGGUGUGCAAGUCAUAAACGAUUGGAGCCUACCACGGUGGAAGGCCACGAAAAAUGUUCAAAACACUCUUACGCUUUCAACUUAAUAUUGUAUGUUGGUUGAGGGAUUUUAAGGUCUCAUCAAUUUUAUUUAUUUAAUCACAUUCAAAUAAAUAAUGUCCUAUUACAACUACUAGUCCAAAGUUAAUGAAAUUAGUAGCAUAUGAUAUCCCCACUAUUCGUUUUCAUAAAACAAAUCAAUAUCAAAACAUUUUUCAAAAUAUUGGAGAUAUAUAUAACUACUAAUUGUAUUCAUUAUAUUUUAGUAGCAUAUGAUACUCCCACUAUUUGUUUUAAGAAAAACAAAUCAAUAUCAAAAACGAAUUUUUUUAAAAUAUUGGAAGUAACUACUACUACUAAGGUUUUUGCAUUCCUUUGAAAUUGGACUUUUUAUAGUUUAUCUUAGGCUCUUGGAUGACCAUGGACUUAUUAGGUUAUUGCAACAACGAGCCAACAUUGUUGAAUAUAAACUCGGAAAGGUUGUGUCAAUUUAAUUACGUGUUUUUCAAUCCAAUUAAAACAUCUUCAUUGAGCCAUUAGAAAUGAAAGACAAUCAUUCAUUGCUAAUUAGGGCAUUGGACCCAUUUAAUCUUUAAUCUCAUGUCAAAAACCCUCUUUUAGUUAUGUCUCCUUACCAAUAGUUAAAGAAACUCUAGUCUAGCACUAGAGGGAAUCAACUAACUAAAAGAGAUUAAGAAGUAAUAAGAAUUACAAACCGAUUUGUACAAAUUCCUAUAAAUUACACAUACUAAAAGGGGAGAGAUAGAUUAAUGUCAAACGUGACAAGGUCCAAUUAAACAGUAAUUAAAACACAUUCCCAAGGUUCAAACAAUUUAAUUUUAGCGCCUUAUCUCAUAACUCAAUUAUCGUUUAAGGCAUAAGUCCAUAGUCACCCUUUUCUAACUACUUAAUCACAUUAAAUAAUCAAAAUGGAAUGCAACAUGAACAUUUAGAUUUAGUGCAUAUGGGCAUAAUAGUAUUAUGAGUUUAAACAACUAACAAAAUUAAAAUCAAAUAUUUUAACUUUCUAGUUAGUAGGGGCCUAAAUGCAAACAAGAAAAAGUUAGGGGUCAAACCGUAAAUACUCAAAAGUAUAAAAUAUCUUUUUUCAAAUUACAAAAAACCCCACAAGUGGAUAAAUCCACUAGUGUGGCCGGCCACAUUAAGGGGAGAUGGGAAGUCUCACCCAUCUUGCUUUAAUUCAAUGCAAAGUAGAAAAAAUCCAAAUUUGCUUGUCACUUGGUUUUGGCAUUAAAAACUUAGGUGAAAAGGGUUGAUGGAAAUUUCCUAGUCAAGUCUAGGAUUUAAUAAAUUUUUGGGAAGGCUAUGGAUGAUAAGUAUAUCAUCCAAAACCAUAAAACAAUUUAUGAAAACCAAAUAAAACCAUUUUCACCAAAAAAACAAACCAUGAACACCAAAAACAAAACCAUGAACACAUUUUCAAGAUUUGUGUAUUCUUGGUGAUUUUUCAAACCCAAAAACUAAAGUGACAAGGGCUCUACUUUCUAGCUUUAAAAUGAUGUGUGAGUGUUUUACAACAAAACACAAACACAUGCCCAAAAAACCCCCUUAAUGCCGUGCCUACCACAAGGAACAAAACCCCAAAUUUUGUUCACAACUUACUCUUCAUUCAUGCAUCCAAAACACCUUUUUACAUGCAUAUCUUUUUCAACUCUUGAUUUAUAUUUUUCAACCAUUGAAAAACAAAAGAUAAACAUACUUUAACUGAAGAAAUAAUAUGUCAAACUAGUUCAAAACUCAAUUUUCAUUCAUGCAUACAAAACAUCUUUUGCAUACAUAUCUUUCUCAACUAUUGACUAACAUUUUUCAACUAUUGAAAAACAAAAGAUAAACAUAUUUUUAAUGAAGCAAUAAUUAUGUCAUACAUAAUAUUAAUACCCAUAUGCAUAAAAUCCAAAAGGACACAUUAUACAUAAAUCUUUGGCUCUGAUACCACUUGAAGGGAAAUCUAUGAGUUUUACACAUGGGAUUUCGAAAUGACUAGCAUGCAUAUACAAUUCAAAAUUUAUAUACAUAAGCAACGGAAGCAUGUUAUCAAAUAAUAUCAAAGCUAUAGUCAUGCAAAUCCCCUUCAAGGUUCAUAGGUUUAUAUAUAAUGCAUCUAAAACAUUCAAGUUAAGAACAAAGUGAAGGUAUAGAUCUAUACCUCUUGAUCUUGAUUUUAGACCAAGGAUGGACCACCUCCAAGCCCUUUGCUCCUUGAAGUCCUUGAGCCUAGCCUCCCUCCUUACCUCCUCCACUUUGUUAGUAAGAGUGCUCCAAGGUUCUCCUUUAGUCUCCAAAUGAGAAGACCUCUAAAUAUCCACACCCACUAGUGUAGUGAGAUGGAUGGAGGAAUAACCAAAAGGGUGAAAGAUUGUUAGCUAAAUCACCCUCAAGGUGGCCGGCCUUUGGUGUUUAAAGAGAGAUGUUUCUUUUGCCUCUUUUUGUUUUAAAACACAUAAAAACCCUAAGGAAUAAAUCUCUAUAAAGUUCCUUAUAUAGACAAAAAGAAACCUAGUCAACAACUUGACUUAAUAUCUCUCCCUCUCCACUUUAAAUGGCCGGCCCCUUUGUGUUAGUUUGGGCUUUGGGCUUUUAUUUAUUUCUAGUCAUCCAAUGCUUGAAUAAAAGCCCAAUGGGUUUAGGCCCAAUGGACCCAAUUAAACCCGAACGUUUCUUUAAGCCCAAAACGAUCUUUUAUCGCUUUUAUGAUUUCUUUAGACUUUCUAAAUUAAUCACAACACUUAAUUAAUCCAAUUAGUUAUUUCCAUCAUCCAUUAAUUACUCACUACAAGAGUGUAUCGGUGUACAAUCAUUUUAGGUUCUAAUUAGCAAGGCAGUGAGGUGAUUGACAUCAAUCCAAUUGAUUAUAUUUAAUCCAAUCACUUAGUGAAUUAAAACUUCCUUUUAAUUCACCUUUCUUCUUUGAUGACUACAUUUAAUCAUCUAGAAGAACUCACAAGCUAUGAGUGACAUCUAACCAUAUGUCAUAGCUACCCAAGCUAAUGUAGAAGUUGUUCGGAGAACCUAUUCAGUUGGAAUUACAAUGUAAUUCGAUCCUUCUCUAAAACAAUACUCUCAAUCACAUUACUAGGGUAUGGAUAUAUUAUGUCAAACCCCUAAUUUGAUUAUUCCUUCUUAUAUGAUUCAAUUAAGUCGUAUAGGAACGCUUUCCUUUAUUACGCUCGAUACUUCGGCCGAAGAUUCCCGAAUCAUAUCUUAGAGUAUUCUUCCUCUCUUAUCGAGGAUUAGAGAUUCCUUGUUGAUGCGAAAUAGAUAAGCACACAAAUUAAACCCUCUUUUUGUCAAAUUGUAGCGAAGAUGUAAGUAGGGAUCGUUCUAGACCGGGGAUUAGGAGGGAUUGCUAAACACUUGGAAACUGACUUAAACACUCAAAAACAAAGUUAAAAACACUAAACUAGACUCAAAGAAUGCAAAACUAAAAGUCAAAACACUUAAACAAACCUAAAACUCAAAACAGCAACUAGAAGGCUCAAAACUGCCUAAAAACCACUUUCUGGGCAGUUUUGAGCACUUACACUAAUCUGGACGAAAUUGGUUGAAAACUUGAAUCAAAACACCUAGAAACACAAAUCAAAACACUUUCUAACUAAUCUAAGACUUCAAAAUAAAGGGGGAAUAGUUUUGGACAGAAAUUGAAAACAAAACAGAAACUUUAAUUAACACAGAUUGUAAAAACGAUUUUGGUGAAAUAGAUGGAUAAAAGGCUAGUUAGGAGGUUCUUCUCCACACAUGUCACACUUGCAAACAAAACGAUUUUCAGUUGUUCUUCCGAUAAACUAUGAAUACUCAACGCCCCAAGUUAACCGUGAAUUGCACUAAUUAACCCUCAGUUUUUCCACAAGUUAUUAAGUUGGAUGAUUGCAUACGACAACCCAAAACAUUCCCUACAAGUUCCCUACAUGAAUUGCAUAAUAGAGAUACAAGCAAGAAUCAUUACGUUCUAUGAAAAACAUAAGCAUUGACGAAGCAUUUGUUACUAUGAAUUGCAUGAAACUUAUGCUAAGAAUUCAUUCAACGCGAUCGUUUUCAAGCGAUCUUCUCUACUUGUGAUUAUAAGAUUGUAACUAUUAGGUGAAACUCCCUCAUAAUCUAGCAUCAUAUUCAUGCAUGAAAACUAAGCGUGCACUCUCAAUCAACAUACACAAAUACGUUAUCAAUCAAAUAGAUGAAUGAAUUGAAUCCAUAACUCAUGAAAUAACAACUUAAUGUAAUCGAAUCAAAUUGCAAGCAUGUACAUGGUUUCGAAUCACCCCCCAACUAAGGGGGUUUAGUUCCUCAUACUCACAACACAAAGUUUAUUGAAUUGAAACAUCGAAGACAUAAGAAAGAUUACACCUAAAAUGCCAAAGAAGUCCACUUUGAAAUCUGCACAGAAAGCUCCUCUUUCUUCUUCUCCUUGUUGCGGCAGAGUUGGUUUAGGGGGUUUUUGGAUGGUUUUGGAUGACUUUGGAUGAGGGAGAAUGGUGGAAAACUAUCUAGGAUAGGUGUAGGGCACGGCUAGGAAGGUUUGGGGUCAGAGAAUAUGGAUUUGGGUGUAGGUUGGGCUCGGCAAAGGUGAGGGACAGGUUCUGGCGUGAAUGGAGUUUCUGGAUGUGUUUUUGGUUUUUUAGAAGGGAGUUAGGAUGGUAGGGUGGUGCGGCAAGGUGUGGGAAAGAGUUAUGGAGGUGUGGAAUGGUGUGUAAAGGUGGAGGAUGGUGGCUGGAAUGGAUGAAUGGCUGCGGCAAGGAAGGAAUUUGGGUGAUGGUGGCUGCGGCAAGGUGGGGAAAGGGAUAUGGUUUUCUGAUUUUUAUGGAGAGGGAAGAAGAUGUGCGGCUAGGUGUAAAAUACAUAUAUAUAGACACCUAAAACCCUAAAUAAAUCAGAUUGGGCUAGGGUUAGGUGCGGCUACUUAAGUAGACUAGGGUUUAGGGGGAAUGGGCUAGGGUUUAACAUGGCAGAUUUUAGAUGAAUAGGCCCUAGGGUUCGGCAUGGGUUGAAGGUCCACAAGGAAAUUUGGGUUUAGGUCAUCUAAAAGCCCAACGCCAAGAAUAGAAACUCUCGAAAAUGGAAACCUCCAAGAAUAGAAACUUCCAACUUUUAGAAACUUUGGUUGCCAAUUCCGAUUUAGGAAAGAUCGACCCAAAAUGGAAACUUUUAGGCUUAGCUUUCCUACUUCAAGUAGGAAACCUCAAAUCUUCAAUUCUUCAAUUCCAUCCCAACCUUGCGUUCCAAGCAUGUCCUUUUCAAUUCAAGCUCACUUUUUGCUCCAAAAGCUCCCAAUUGCAUCAUUUCAUGUAAUACGUCCGCUAAACCUGAAAACACAAGAAAGUAGCUUAAAAGACUACUUUAACAAAGAAAACAUAACAAAAGUGCAUAAGAACUAGCUAACUAAGGCGCAUAAAUAUGCUCCUAUCACUUGUUGCGCAUUCACUUGCCUUCAUGACUAAGUGGCUUAACCCCAAUUAUGCUGUGGACACCCGCGAAUGGGGUGACUUUGACAUAAUCAAAGAUUAAGUACUUAGCCACAAGACAACGACGAUGCCUCAGGUCAAAGGACUACUUACAUUAUUCCAACUAUUAGAGUUACUUGCUUGACAUGUGAGUAGACCUCCAUGCAAGUACUCUCGUUCGAUUGUGUUCAGUGAACUCAUUCCCUUAAUGAGCACCUACAUACUUGUCUUAGUGUCACUACACGAAUGGGAUGAGACUUUCCAUUCUUCCAUUUGAAGCGGACACAGUAUGUACCGGUCUAAGCAUUGUCAGUUUCCCUCCGACAAUCCAAUGACCAGGAACCUUUUUGGACAUAAUGGUUAUGUGAAGAAGGUCUCUGUAGUCUAACAUCAUUAGAUUACUUCUUCAAUCGAUCCAUUGUCCAUGGAUUCACUAUUUAGGACAUAUAUCGUUUAUUGAGAUAGUCCUAAUUAGUAUCUUUGCCAUUUGAUGUAUAAGAGUCAUCUAUACAUCGUUUCAUUUGUCCUGAAAGGUUUCUUCCAAAGAUUGACUUCCAGGGCAUAUUUCCAACAUUCUUUAGGCGUAGAAGUUUUCUCUUCCUCAACGAUGAUAGCUUUGCCUUUUGAGUGUUCUUCUAUCUCUACUUCAACCAUAUGACAGGCAGCGGUAGUGCACUGUUGGAAAAAAUCCUUCGAGAAAUACUCAUGCAAAGAGACGGGAAUGCGCGACUCUUGCUCCAUAGGUUCCUCAGCGUAUGUCAGCUUAGCAAUUCUUACGUUUUUUUUAAGCUUCCUAUUGUUGCGGCAGCGGUGCUUUCUCCUUUGUUCCACCCCUUAGCUUUGUGGCUUGGGGUCUUGGCUUCCUUGUCUUUUUAUAGUUCACCAGUAUCCAUCCUUCUUUAUUGUCGGUAAGCGUAUUUUGGUUACUUGCCCCCAACGAUGGUUGUGUAGAAGGUGUCGUGUAGCUUGAGCAGGGAUGGAAGUGGACAUGCGUCACUUGAAGAGGCACAGGAUCAAAGGAUCUAAACACAAUCGCAGUAGUGUGUGUUGCGGCCAUGUCUUCAAGGUCAAGUUUAAUUUGCCCUUGUUGUGCCAGCUUCAUGAUGAGCUCCUUAAGGACAAAGCAUUUACCAACAAGAUGGCUCAUAAUACGAUGGUAUUUACAGUACUUAGGAUCGUUAACGUGAUUCAUCUCUUCGAGGUGCUUGCAUUCAAGCAGCCUGAUCACUUUCUUCUCUAGUAGGUCGUCUAGCAUUGCGGCCACGUCAAAGUUUGAAAAAGGGUAGGUCUUCUUCUCCAGCUCCUUCAAGGUGUUUUUGUACCGAUCUUAGGUGCAAGAAGGCUCACUUUUUUUAUCUCCUUUGAUUUGUUCUUGGAGGAGAUCUUGAUGGGCACAAGGGAGAUCUUAAUGGGGGUAGUGUUGACGAAAAAAACUUCCUUGGCAGGCUUCUUCCCAGUCCUAUCUACCUUAGGAGCGAAUGUUGGAAAUGUGCCCUAAAGCCAAUCAUAUGAUGAUACUUUACAGACAUUUCACAUGUUAAACUAAUCUAGUUUAAUAUAAAGGGUAACUAUUAUUGUUUAAAGCUGUCUCAUAUAAAUGUUAUAUGCUUAAACGAUAAGUCCAUGGAAUAUGUAAUUGGGAGAAUGUGAUCUAAAAAAGUUAGAUUCAUGAGACCAUUCUCUUUCGUAUACAUAUCCUAAACGUUCAUGAUCAUAGGAUUGCCAAUUGGGCAUUAACAGUCCGUUAAGAUCAGUACAUGUUAUGUCUUCUUUUAGAGAAAGUGACUGGUCUCAAGUCAUUGGUGUGACUAACACCAAGACAAGCAUGUCGGUGCUCAAUAGAGAAUGAGUCCACUGAAUGUGAUCAACAAGGAGUUCUCAUACUCAUGUCAUAUGAAAAUUCAUGGUUGGGAUAAUCCAAUGUAGUCAUUUGACCUGAGACAUCAUAGUUGUCUUAUGGUUAGGUCAUUGAUCUUUGACUAUGUCAAAGUCACUCCAUCAAAGGGUGUCCACAGCAUAGUUGGGGUUAAGCCACUUAACCAUGGAGGCAAGUCCGUGCACAACAAGGUAUCUCUAACCUUCAAACCGUUUAUGGGAGAAUACUCUAUGAUAUGAUUAAGAAUCUCUAGCCAGAGUAUGAAUGAGAUUAGGAAUUCGUUCCAAAUCACAUUCAAGGUAAUCAUAUAAGUAAAAGAAUCACAUUGGAUAGUAGACAUGAAUAAACUAUCAAAUCAAACAAUGUGGUAAAAAAUAUUGUAUUAGAGAAAGACCAUAUUGCAUUGUAAUCCUAAACUGAAUAGGUUUUCCACCUCUUCUGAUUAGCUUGGGUAGCCAUGACAUACUGCUAGGUGUCACUCAUGGUUUGUGAAAGCCCUAAAGGUGUAUAAUCACUAAAGGGAGAAUUGAAAAGUUUCAAUUCACAAUCAAUUUGAAGAGUUCUAAUCACCCACUGCCUGGCUAAAAGGAACCUAAUGGAUUGUACACCGUGUAAGGUAAAGAUUGAAGAAACAACGGAGAUGAGUAAGAAUAAUUAAAUGGUUUAAUUAUUUAUGGCUAAGUUUAAUUAAUAUGUUAAUUAAUCAAACAAAUAAGUUCGUUUUAGACCUCGGGUUAGUUUUGGGCCUCAAGGCCCAAUGGGCUUCGAAUGUCAAGUCCAAUAACUCAAGUUGUAUAACAACUUAAAAACACAAAGGGCAUGAAAGCCCAAUGAACCCACAUGGCUGGCCAUAGAGAGUGUAAGGGAGAAUUGGUUUUAAUUUCAAUUAUGUCACUCAAUGUAAAUGGCUAUAGAAAGGAAAUUAUAACUCAUUCCCUUAUAAGGGUUUUCUAGAGAGAAAGGAGAAAAACACAAAAGCUCUAUCUUCUCUUAUGAGGUCGGCCACCCUAGGAAGAAUGGACUAGCAUCCAUUUCUUCCUAGGUCAAUCAUCUAUUCUCAACUCUUCUCAACUCUUUUCAACUAUUCUCAACUCUUUUCUUUAAGAUUUGAGUUCAGUCUUGGUUCACCACAACUACUAGGCAUUGAAUUUCAUGGGUAAAGUUUUGUUUUUAAGUGCAUACAAGCAUGAUUCCACAUUUAAUUGUUAAUAACAUGCAUAAAUGUUGUUCAAAUGAACUUGUUUUCCCAAAAAUUUUCCUUCAGUGAACACCUUGUCCUUCUUGAAGUCGGUGAUUGACUCAUUUUUCCCAUGGUUGGCGAUACUCAGCUCCAUGUAGGGGUGGGCACUUGGAACCAAAAACCGAAACUGAAACAUGAACCAAAUCGAACCGCACCGAACGGUUUGGUUUUGCAGUUUUGAAACGAUUUCGAUUUUGAAACCGAACCGCAAAGUAGAAAAUGGUUUAGUUUCAAUUCCGGCCAUCUGUAACUGAACUAAAACCGAAACCACAUAACUUUAUUAAAUGUUAAAUUCUAAUUGGUUAUUUUAUUGAGUCCAUUCAUUUAAUAUGGACUCAACCACAUCAUAACAUGGCCACAUAAGAACUUGAUGGUUUCACCAUCCACAAAACAUUUGGGCAAUUCAAUCCAAUCAUUGGCAGCCAAAUCACACAAAUCAUAGCUCGAAAUCUCUACAGAGCUUAAGCAGAUCAGUAUCUGGUUACCAGCACCAACACAGUGUGUCCACAUUAUUACGAUACCACCUGUGUGACAUCAUUGGAGGCAUUGCUGCGAUUUGUUGUCAUGAUCGAACUUCCUCAUUGUAGCACCACACCCUGAGGUUUGCGCUUUCAAAGAAUUUUGAGAGAAGAACCACCAGCAUUCGGCCUCAUCAUUCUACCAAGUCAAUGGAGUACUCAAGGAAGAGGGGGAGUAGCUUCGGGUACUCGGAGAAGCACUUGGUGGUCAGGUUGCAGGCCACAAUUGAGCCUGAUGAGUUGAGGAAAUAGACUGUCUCCUCGCCCUUUUUUGAAGUGAUAACGGAUGAGUAUUGCUAGGAUGGGCUUCUUUGCAUGUUGGUUGCCACUACAUUUCCAACCUUGCUAAGGAAGUAAAUGGCACUAUCAUCGUUUGAGUCAGAUUCUGUAAAAUCAUCAUCCUCUAAGUUUUUACACAAGGCGUCUCUUCUUCCCAAUAGACAGUGCAUGAGUUAUACACUCAGAAGGACAAUUUUGGAAGCUCGCCGAAGACUAUAAUAAGCUUGUAAGAUGAUUGAUCAUACUUGGGACUUGAUUGAAUUUUAAUAUUGUAUGCAUGCUUGAACAAUGCAGUAAUAGACGACAUGCAAAAUGAAAAACAAACAGUAAAUGUUGCUCAUAGAAGAGAAUUGAAGUGUAUAUCAAAGGAAAAUGAAAUAAGAUACAACUAGGUAACCAUAAUAGUUAUUUCAAACAACGAAACCAAACCAAAACCGUUUAAAACCAAACAAAAUUGAACCAAAUGGUUUGGUUUCAUUUCGGUUUUAGCCUCAAAACCACACCGAACCAAACCGUAAAAACUUACGGUUUUGGUUUUAGUUUCACUCAAAACCGCACCAAACCGAACCGGGCCUACCCCUAGCUCCAUGUCGUGCGAACGAAUCGCCAGUUCCUCAAAUAUCCUUGGCUUUAUGCUUUUGAGAAUGUAGUGUAGCCCCCAAUGCAUGCCUUGAACGCACAUCUCAAUGGCGGAGGUUUCAAAAAGCCAAUCCUUGUAAUCCAGACUUAAUGAACACCAUAUGUUGAUGUAACCGACGAUAGGUUCAUCCUUCCAUUACUUUGUACUCGUCAAUUCCAACAUGUUUACAGUGCAACGAGUGUUGUAGAAGUGGUUAAAGAAUUCCCUUUCAAGUUGAUCCCAGCUGUUGAUGGAUUCGAGCUCGAGGUCGGUGUACCAAUCAAAGGCAUUACCUUUCAGCGAGCGAACAAACUACAUGAUGAGGUAGCCUCCCUCUGUCCCAGCGUUGUUGCAAGUUUUGGUGAAAUGGGCAAUAUGUUGUUUCGGAUUGCCCUUUCCAUUGAAUUGCAUAAACUUUGGCGGCUGAUAACCCCUUGCCAUCCUCAAGGCGUUAAUCUUCUUAGAGUAGGGCUUUGAGUACAACAUGGAGUCAUGCGGGCUUCCUUGGUACUGCGCCUUGAUGGUGCUAGUGAUCAUCUCUGCAACUACUGGAUAGAAAGAGAUCUCAUGAACGUUGUUGGUUGGUCUAGCUUCUUCUCUGCUUUAUCCACCAGAGGUUCUUCCUUUUCGUCAGUUUCCUCCUUUGGUGGAUCAACCUUCGGGUCAGCUUAGUCGUCGUGCUACGUCUCUAGAUGGUUGACUAGCAUAGCAAUUUGUAAGUUCUUCUCUUCCACGGUCCUUGUCAGCCUUGCAACUGCUUCACUUAGUUGGGCCAGCUGCUCCUUGAUGGACGUCGCGCCAAUAGUCAUGACUUGCAUGACUACGGGACACGAGUUGCUUGAGUCGGCGUCAGAAGUCAAAGACUCAGAGUACCUCAUCGGGCUUUCUUCCCUUAACCCAUUUAGCGAAGCCAGGGUGAUCACAAGUUUGUGCCUCGGGUGCUCUUGCUCUUUAGGCAAAGUUGAUGGAGGGGUGGAAGGCACGGCAAAGAGAGUUCUUGCCUUCCUUCGGGUGCCACCACUUGGAGCAAGGAUGCCCUUGUUCUUCGCGUUGGUGAAGGGAAUAGCUUGAUCCUUUCUUGAUGCCAUUUGUGCCUUUUACGGAUUUGAAGACAGGGAUGAGAGGCAGAGACAUCCCACCGGGCAUGCCAAAUUUGUAAACACAAAAAUUCUAUAUCGAAUGAAACGAGAACACGUGUACAAAGUGAAUUUGUAUUGAUUUAAAUUUGUAAGUUACAAUCUCUGUUUAUAAUUUUUCCUCUGAUUCAGUCUUUAAAUUUGAUGUAGAUGCGUAAUUGUUGAUCCAAGGAUCGCAAUGACUUAAUCUCGGACGAACGGUUGAACGAUUACUUCAAGUUUUGAGCUUCAAAACAAUGCAUGGAUGAUCUGAAGGAAAAAAUUUGUCCUAGCUUAGAACAAGUAAGAACAUUUGAAUACAUAUGCAAACUAUUAACACAUUAAAGUAGGCAUGCAUUCAAAAACAAUUCAUAAAACCCAUGACUUUCAAAGCCUAGUAUAUGGUGAACCAAAAGACUGUUGGAAGUAUGCCCACAAAGCCACUCAUUUGAUGUAAUAGCUUUUUGGAAUACUUAAUGUAUUAAACUUUUAUAUGUUUAAUGAAGGGCAAAGCUUAUUGUUAAUCACUAUUUAUUGUAUCAUGUGUUUAAGCAAUAAGGGAAUCCUAGGGAUGUAUUUGAUCUAAGAGACAAGUGAUCUAAGUGAGUUAGAUUAUCGAGACCAUUCUCUUAUGUUCAUUCCUAAAACGUUCCUAGCCAUAGGAUUGCCAAUUGGGUAUUGACAAUCCGCUAAGGUUAGUAUGUGUUAUGUCAACUCAAGCUUGAGUAUGACUAGUCUCAAGUCAUUUGGUGUUGAACACUAAGACAAACACAUAGGUGCUCGAAAGAGUAAUCAAGUACACUAAACAACGAUCAAAAGAGAGUUCGAACAUACAUGUCAUGUAAGAACUCGAAAGUUGCAAUAUGCAAAGUAGUCAUUUGACCUGAGGCAUCAUAGAUGUCUAAUGGUUAGGUCCUUGAUCUUUGAUCAUGUCAACGGCAUUCCAUCGGAGUGUCCACGGCAUUGUUGGGGUCAAGCUAUCUAGUCAUGUAGGCAUAUGAAUGCACAACAAGGGAUCUCUAACCUUCCAUGGUGGAAGGAGAAUACUCUAAGAUAUGAUUCUAAAGUCUUUGGCCAAAGCAUAUGAAUAUGACUUAGGAAGUUUGUUCCAAAUCAUAUUCAAGGGAAUCAUAUAGAUAAGUAUCACAUUGGAUAGUAGACAUGAAACAAACUAUCACUUAAACAAUGUGAUUAAGAGUAUUGUAUUAGAGAAUGACCGUAUUGCAUUGUAGUUGUAACUGGAUAGGUUCUCCAACCACUUCUACUUAGCUUGGGUAACCAUGACAUACUGCUAGGUGUCACUCAUGGUUUGUGGAAGCCCUAAUGAUUAGCAAACACUAAUCAUUAAGGGAGAAUUGAAAUGUGGUUUCAAUUCACAAUCGAUCGUUAAGAGUAACAAUCGCCCACUACCUUCGCUAAUUGGAACUUAAUGGAUCGUACACCGAGUAAGGAUGUAUGUGAAGAAAUUAAAUGAAAUGGAUAAGCAAUUAAAUGGUUUAAUUGAAGAAUGGUCAAGGUUAAUUAAUUAGUUAAUUAAUUAUACGAAAUGUUCGUAUUGGGCUUAUAUGUUGGUUUUGGGUUUCGGGGCCCAAAAGCAUUUUGGUCCACAAGGCCUAUUAUGUUUAAGUUGUAUGACAACUAAAACAAAAUGGGCAAAUAGCCCAAUAACAUUAAUAUGGCCAGCCAUUAGGGUGGAUGAUGCAAACUUGGAUUAAUUACAAGUUUGCCACUCACUUGUAAUGAAGUAUAAAAGCAACUUUAUAGCUUUAUUUUCAUAAAAGGGUUUUCUUGAAGAAAUUGGGUGAAACAUUUUCUCUCCUUUUUCUCUAAAGAGGCCGGCCACUUAGGGGAGGGACAUCUAGCAAUCUCUUCUUCCCUAAGUCAUCCAUAUCAUCUUCACAAGAUACAUCCUUGGUGAAGAGACUUAGAGACAUCAAACUUUUGGUGUUUUGGAGAACAAAUCCUUAAAUCCUCAAAGAAGCAAAGGAGCACUAAAAGGAGGAAAAUCACAAUGAAUAUCCAAGGAGCUAGGAGGUGACUUGAAGGCCCUCCACUUGGGUGAAUCCCUUGUGUAAACAAGGAUGAGCUUCAAGGGUAAAGAAACUCUAAAUCUUUACUUCUCUUUAAUGUUGUUAAAGAGUUUAUUGAUUCACCAUAUACUAGGCUUUGAAAGUCAUGGGUUUUAUGAAUUGUUUUUUAAUGCAUGCCUACUUUAAAGUGUUAAUAGUUUGCAUAUGUAUUCAAAUGUUCUUACAUGUUCUUAGUUAGGACAAAAUGUUUCCUUCAAAGACUCUUUAACAACAUUAAAGAGAAUUAAGAAUUUAGAGAUUCUUUACCCUUGAAGCUCAUCCUUGUUUACACAAGGGAUUCACCCAAGUGGAGGGCCUUCAAGUCACCUCCAUGCUCCUUGGAUCUUCCUUGUGAUUUUCCUCCUUUUAGUGCUCCUUUUCUUCUUUGAGGAUUUGAGGAUUAGUUCUCCAAAACAUCAAAAGCUUGAUGUCUCUAAGUCUCCACACCAAGGAUGAAGUGUGAAGAUGAAAAUGGAUGACUUAGAGAAGAAAAGAUUGCUAGCUAAAUCCCCUCUAAGUGGCCGGCCUCUUUAGAGAAAAUGAGAGAAAGUGUUUCACCUCAUUUCACCAAGAAAAACCCUAAUGAGAAAUAAAGCUAUAAAGUUGAUUUUAUACUUCAUUUUAAGUGAGUGGCAAACUUGUAAUUAAUCCAAAUUUGCAACCCCUCACCCUAUGGCCGGCCUUACCUUGUUAUUGGGCUAAUUUGCCCAUUUUGUUUUAGUUGUCAUACAACUUAAACAUAAUGGGCCUUGUGGACCAAAACCAAUUUAAAAGCCUAAUACGAACAUUUCGUAUAAUUAAUUAACUAAUUAAUUAAUCUUGACCAUUUUUCAAUUAAACAAUUUAAUUGCAUAUCCAUCUUAUUUAUUUCUUCACUAUCAUCCUUACUCGAUGUACGAUCCAUUAGGUUCCAUUCAGCGAGGUAGUGGGCGAUUGUUACUCUUAACGAUCGAUUGUGAAUUGAAACCACAUUUCAAUUCUCCCUUAAAAUUAGUGUUUGCUAAUCAUUAGGGCUUCCACAAACCAUGAGUGACACCUAGCAGUAUGUCAUGGUUACCCAAGCUAAGUAGAAUUGGUUGGAGAACCUAUCCAGUUACAACUACAAUGCAAUACGGUCCUUCUCUAAUACAAUACUCUUAAUCACAUUAUUUAAGUGAUAGUUUGUUUUAUGUCUACUAUCCAAUGUGAUACUUCUCUAUAUGAUUCAAUUGAACAUGAUUUGGAACAAACUUCCUAAGUCAUAUUCAUACGCUUUGGCCAAAGACUCCCGAAUCAUAUCUUAGAGUAUUCUCCUUCCACCAUGGAAGGUUAGAGAUCCCUUGUUGUACAUACAUAUGCCUACAUGACUAGAUAGCUUGAUCCCAACAAUGUCGUGGACACUCCAAUGGAAUGCCAUUUAACAUGAUCAAAGAUCAAGGACCUAACCAUUAGACAUCUAUGAUGCCUCAGGUCAAAGGACUACUUUGCAUAUUGCAACUAUCGAGUCUUACAUGACAUGUAUGUUUGAACUCUCUUUUGAUCGUUGUUCAGUGUACUCAAUUACUCUUUCGAGCACCUAUGUGUUUGUCUUAGUGUCCAACACUAAAUGACUUGAGACUUGUCAUACUCGCGCUUAAGUCGACAUAACACAUACUAACCUUAGCGGAUUGUCAAUGCCCAAUUGGCAAUCCUAUGGCUAGGAACGUUUUAGGAAUGAACAUAAGAGAAAGGUCUCGUUAAUCUAACUUACUUAAAUCACUUAUCUCUUAGAUCAAAUACAUUCCUUGGAUUCCCUUAUUGCUUAAACACAAGAUACAAUAAAUAGUGAUUAACAAUAAGCUUUGCCCUUCAUUAAACAUAUAAAAGUUUAAUACAUUAAGUAUUCCAAAAGCUAUUACAUCAAAUGAGUGGCUUUGUGGGCAUACUUCCAACAUGAUCUUUACCUCAAGGGUGCAACAAAGGUAAUGUUUGAUACGGGAUUUCAUUGCUUCAAGGGUCUUGGCGACUUGAUCUUGAAACGAACAUUGCUACAAGUUAUAAGCUUGCAACAAAGUCUUGAAGGAAUCGGCACGAGCACUUGUUGAUUCUUCAAGGAAGUGAUUCGGCUUUGGUUGAGAGAAAGCUUUGGCUUUGGUUGAAUGUUCUUCGAAUAGAACUUUGGCAGCGUAUUAGUCUUCAAAGGUUGGGUAGAGGUUCUUCUGUGUAGAGAUUUUUCGACCCUUAUGCUUGUGGAAGGACCUUGUAUUUAUAGGCUUGCUUUUGGGUGGAUUUGGCUUUGAUUUAUGUCCUAAUUUGUCCAUGGGAGAAUUUAGGGAUGUUUUGUGUCUAAAUUUCAACCACUUUACUCCCUUGGCCGAAAUUAUGAGGCCUUGUUGGCUAUUUUGUGAGCAAUCAUCAAUUCUUGCUUGUUUUAUGAAGAUGCCUUAACUUUCUUUCCGGUUUUGAGAGUAUUUUGAUCCCUUGCCUAAUUUAAAAGGGAUUCUCCCUUGUUUGCUGAGUUUUUAGGGAAGUUUUCCACUUCCUUUUGCUUGAUUUGCGCCACAUAUCAUUGAUAACUUGUCCAUUUAUGAUUAGUCAUAUGCCACGUGGAACUUUGUGAUGCAUCAAUUGUAUGCAAUGAAUGAGGAGUAUUUUUCUUACUCCUUUUGAUUCCCCACGACAAAGAGGUAUUUCUCUUUUCCUUUUUUUUGUUUUGGAAAACAUGUCAUCUCACUUGCAAGCCCAGUUUGAAGUUGAUUUCUCUUCUGGAAAAUUCUGUAAAAAUAAGGGAAACGUAGUUUUAUCCCUUAUAUUUCCAGGCAUAUGUCGCAUGCCACUAGGAAAAAUCGGGAAGGCCUUCAACUUUGCAAUUGCCUACUGCUGCGCAAUCCUGACGGGAAUGAUUUUGAAAACUGGACCGUUCGGCUCUAGGGAAAAUUAUGAAAUUUGGACAAUGAUCCUCAGCUACUUAGAUUCCUUCUCCAAUUGGCCUUGUAUCAAAACUCUUCCGGAAAGUUAAAUUAUUACCAAAAACGUCCUGCCUGCAUAGAUUGGCUGAAACUUGCCAUUUUUUUUUUUUUUUUGCUUGGAAUUUGCUUCCUUCUUUUGGUGGGAAUGUUCUUCCUUCUUUUGAAUUUCCUUUUUCUAUUUGGGUAUGUAUUUCCCUCAUAGCAUUAGAAAGCAAUUGACCCCUAUUUAUAGGACAAUUGGGUGUGCAUUUUUUUUCACACACAAUUGCUUGUAGUGGCCUACCUUGAAGCUUUUACCGUGGGUUUACUGUUGUUGUCGUGCCCUAUAGCUACUGCUGCCGUGCCCUUCUUGCCACUUGGAGCUUGUUGCAAUGUGUCACUUUUACCAUGUGGGGUUGUGCCAAAGACUGCAGCGUUUUUACGCUGUGUAAUGCCUUUUGGUCACAACUUUCCUCAUUGGUGACGUUGUUGUGUCUCUUGCCGCUGCUUGGAGCUUGUUGCAAUGCGUCACUUCCACCAUGUGGGGUUGUGCAAAAGAUUGCAGCAUUUUUACGCUGUGUAGUGCCUUUUGGUUACAGCUUUCCUCAGUGGUGACAUUGUCGUGCAGUGCAAGAAACUGCUUGCGCAAUCGUUGUGGAGGCUGCGUAGUGCGAUAGAGUAGCAUUUUGGUUUUAUUUUCUACUGUAGCACGCUUUGAAGGACCAUCCUAUAGCUGCCCUUUUCGUCGUUCGGUGCAAGAAACUGCUUACGUAAUUGCUCCGGGGUGCAUAGUGCGAUUACGUGGCGUUUUGGUUUUCUUUACUACUGUAGCGUGCCAUGAAGGAACAUCUUGCAGCUUCCCUCUUUGCCGUGUUUGAUCAAGCUUCGUGGCUGAUUUCUUUUUGUUGUUAUGACGUUGUCAUCGUCAUUCUUCAACAUUCAUGAGGUUUGUCUCACAUGCCUUUUGCUUUAGUAAAUGAUUUUUUCUUUCUUUCUUUCUUUGCCGCCCCACUUUUGUGCUUAUGUUGCUUUGUUUAUUUUGUUGCAUCCAUGGUAUUUUUCAAGUGCUUUAAGAAUAAUACCAUCACCAUUCUUGCGAAGGAAAGCGAUCCACAAGAUAUGGGAACAACAUUGAAGCUUUGCGUGCCGUUAACUGGCCCUAAGGUGCUUGUUCUUCCUGCCAAAGACAACUUGAUGCACAUCAAGUCGUGGUCUUCUGAAGUGUCUUGGGAGGUGAUAGAUUUUGGUCAUUCAACUACGAAGAAGAAGGCGUGUACGUCGAGGAUUCUUAUUUUGAAUCCUUCACACCAUGCUCGUGACAAUUCACCGGCUUCAUUUGAGCUUCUUGGCGAUCACGUCUAUAGCAGAGCUAUAACUUGGAAUGGCAUCCUGUCGACUAUUGGAAGGCCUGUCUUUGCUAAGUUUUAUUGUGAGUAGCUCAAAGAUGUCUUUAUGGAUCGAAUUUUGGUAUCGGGCUUCCAAUAAGUACAAGCAUAGUCUGAAAUAUCGAUAAUAUCGACGAAUCACGGAUAUUUCGAAACAUAUCCAAGUACAUAUCGUACAAAUAUCGACAAUAUCGACGAUAAUAUCGGAAAAUAUCGAUAUCGGUGUAAUAUCGCUAAAAUAUCGAAAAUAUCGAUGUAAAAGAAGGAAAAAAAAGAAAAAAAAAGAAAAAAAAGGAAAAAGGGGAGGAAAAACAAACAUAAAGGGGAUUUGAACCCCUCCCAUUUUAAUCCUCCAACACCGUAACCACCAUAUAUCACUUACGUUUUAGUGAUAAUAUGCUAAAAUAUUUAUAUUUAUAUGAGUGGCAUGUUAACAAUUACAUGCAAAACUAUUUGGGGGAUUUAUCAUUUGAUGAAUACUCUUUACAAUAAACUUACUCUACACAUAGAGAUGAUGAAGAUAGUGAAAAUUUUGAACCUCAUAGGAACUUUAUGUGGUACUAAAUCACUCAUGUAUCUUACCAUGCAAUGUAUAAAGUGUAAAAUAUUGUAGUAAAUCAUUAUAUAUAAAUGAUUAUGGUGUGUUUUAUCUUUUUUUCAUUAAUUACUACAUAUUUUCUAUACUCACAGUGUUUGCCAACUCGCUGUAUAAUCAACUUAAAUUAGUUAAAUCCAUCAUGUAAUGCAUUUCCUUCUAAUUUUUUUUUUGAUAAACUAAUAGAUAAUUGACUAAAUAAACAUUUUCCAAAGUUUCAAUAAAAAUUUCCAAGUUUUUCUUACAAUUUCCGUGGUUUUUAUUCAAAUUUAUCAAUAUCGAUAAUAUCCCGAUAUUUUCAUCGAAAUUUCCAUGUUUUGGACUACCGAUAUUUUUGAUAUCAUCGAUAUUUUAUACCAUGAGUACAAGAGACCUUCGAAGAAAAGUGGCCGCAACAAGACGAUGAAGCCGAAGGGAGACUUGGAUCUGUCAAGUGUUAUUGGUUCAGCUGAGUGCCGUGCUUCUGCCGAUUUGAAAGUGUAUGACGAACUUGGCGUAGCGUCAGAGCACGUGGAAGAAUCUUACUUAGCCACUUGCUUAGCUUGUUGGCUUUGUAAGUUUGUAUUCCCCAAAGACAACGUCAACUUUUUCCGUCCUUCAAGGUGUUCUCUUAAAGCAGGAAGCUACACUUUCUCAACAUAGGAGGAGAUUUCAUGGCUAGAGCAAGGGAAAGGUGCGGCCAUGGAAGUGCCCACCGUGUCUCCUACCAAUGUAGAGGCUUUGAAGACUUUGGAAGGCUUGCUUGAAGAUCAUCGUCACUGUUUUAAGGACAUAGCUUUCAAGUAGUGUCUUCCAUCUUUUCUACUUUAGGCCUUCUUUGCUUUCGCUCUUUUUGUAAUAAGGCUUUGUAGCCAAAUUCUUCCUUUAAAGGCACGGCAGGGAAAGUUCUUGCCUUGCUUCGGGUUAUGACGCCCAAAGUGCCACCACUUGCGGCAAGGAUACCCUUGUUUUUUGCAUUGAUAGAGGGAAUAGCUUGAUCCUUUCCUUUGCGGAUUUGAAGAUAGAGAUGAGAGGCAGAGAUGUCCCACUGGGCGUGCCAAAUUUGUAAACAUGAAAAUUAUGUAUCGAAUGAAACGAGAACACAUGUAUAAAGUAAAUUUGUAUUGAUUUGAAUUUGUAGGUUACAAUCUCUGUUUACAACUUUUCCUCUGAUUCAGUCUUCAAAUUUGAUGUAGAUGAGUGAUUGUUGAUCCAAGGGUCGCGAUGACUUAAUCUCAGAUGAACGGAUGAACGGUUGAACGAUUGCUUCAUGUUUUGAGCUUGAAAACAACGCGUGGAUGAUCUUUACCUCAAGGGUGUGGCAAAAGUAGUGUUUGAUUUACGCCACAUGUCAUUGAUGACUUCUCCCUUGUUUGCCGAGUUUUUUGGGAAGUUUUCUACUUCCUUUGCUUGAUUUGCGCCACAUGUCAUUGAUGACUUGUCCAUUUGUGAUGAUUCAUGUGCCACGUGGAGCUUUGUGAUUCAUCAUUUGUAUGCAACGAAAUUUACGUGUCUACAGUAUGUGAAGUUUAUCAAGUGUUAGUUUGGUCGGACCAAAUCAAUGUCCUCGAGCUUGUUGUUUCCGCUGAGGGAAUUCGUUUAAACCCUCAAAAGAUUUCUCAGUGAUUGUUUUUCCUAACAAGUAGACAAAUGCUCCAACAACGUUCAUGAACCUAACCGACUAGUUAUUCCACCUAUAUUACCAUAGACAUGUAAAUUUCAUUACAUACAAAUGAUGCAUCACAAAGCUCCACGUGGCAUAUGACUCCUCACAAAUAGACAAGUCAUCAAUGACAUGUGGCACAAAUCAAGCAAAGGAAAUACAAAACCUUCCCAAAAGUCGGCAAAAAGGGGGAAAAAUCCUUUAAAAUUGUCAAGGGAUCCAAGAAAGCCCUAUAAUUCAACCAAGCAAGGGAAAGAAAGCAUCUUCACAAAACAAGUACGAAUUGAAGAUUGCUCACAAAAAUAGGCAAGAAAGCCCUAUAAUUCAGCCAAGCAAGGGAAAGUGGUUGAAAUUAUGACACAAAACAUGCCUAAAUUCUCCCAUGGACGAAUCAAGACACAAAUCAAAGACAAAUCCAUCCAAAGACAUGGCUUUGGAAGUAUAUAAAUACAAGGUCCCAAGACAAGCAUAAGUUCGACAAUUUCUACAUUGAAGGGCCGAAAUUCUCACAAAAUGAGAACCUCUGCCAAAUCUUUGAAGACUAAUACGCUGCCAAAGCUCUAUUCAAAGAACAUAUAACCAAAGCUGAAUCUUUCUUUCGACCAAAGCUGAAGCAUUCCCUUGAAGAAUCAACAAGCACUCGUGUCGAUUCCUUCAAGACUUUGUUGCAAGCUCAAAACUUGUAAUGACAUUUGUUUCAAGAUCAAGUCACCAAGACCCUUGAAUCAACAAAAUCCUAAAUCAACACUACCUUUGCCGCAGCUUUAAGGUGAAGACUAUCCACGCAUUGUUUCAAGCUCAAAACUUGAAACAAUCAUUCAAUCGUUCGUCCGAGAUCAAGUCAUCGUGACCCUUGGAUCAACAACCUAUGCAUCUAUAACAAAUUUGAAGACUGGAUCGAAGGAAAAUUGUAAACAAAGUUUGUAACAGACAAAUUCAAAUGAAUACAAAUCUACUUUGUACACGUGUUCUCCUUUCAAUUGAUACAGAAUUUUCGUGUUUACAAUUACGACGAAUUGGUGAUUUUCUUAUCGAUAAUCUUUUUAUCUACUCUUACAACAAGGUCAAGUUCACUAAACAUCAACAGUCAGCUUUACACCAAAUUCUUAAAACGUUGAUUUUGUUUAGAUUAGAUACUUUUCUUAGGAGACUCUAUUGUAGCUGAUGCUCUUAUCAAUUUCCAAAAAGGUUACGACCAUUGAAAAUUGAAAAUCCUCACUAGGUGUUGUGAAAUACAAAAUAUCUUUGGUCCUGUCAAUUUCUAUCGAUAGUUCUUAACGAUUCCUUGGGCAUAGCCCUAUUUCCUUUUUGGCUAAGAUACUUGUCAAUUCUGUUUGAUAUGUUGAGGGUGAACGAAGUUUCUAACAAUGGAAGUAUUGUCUCACUUGAUCAUUGUUCUUACACUUUUUUAUGACAUCAAUAAAUUUUUAACUCUACGGUGAUAUUUUAUUGAUUGUUUGGCUACACGUGGCGCAGCACGACUGAGUAACGCGUGUGCCUCGUGACAGUUGGAACUGCACGUUGUGAACCAUCCUAUUUAUGACCUUGAGCCAAUGGUUACCGUUUUACUUGAAAACCUAAUGAUACCCUUUCUUUGUAGAAAUUUGUGUGGAACAAAGGUUAGGAACAUAACUUUUUGGAGUUUGGAUCAUUGUUUUACUCAUGCUCCCGUCCCUGCCUUUCUUGACGUUUGUGGUGAGUUUUAAAGUCUCUUGUUUUGCAUCCUUGUCACAUUUGGCGUUAUUUCUGAUGUAGCAUAGGAAGGUCAUUGCCUAUGCUCUCGGACAUCUCAAACCUCAAUGAAAGAAUUGUCCUAUUCAUGACCUAAAGCUGGUAACAAUUUUCCUUGCUGUAAAAUCUGGUGACCUUUCUCUACGACAAUGAGUGUUACAUCCUUUCUUACCAUAGAAAUUGAAAUGUGUUUUCACAUAGAAUGAGUUGAGUUUGAGACAGCAAAAGUGAAUGGAACUCAUCGGUGAUUUUGAUUGCAUUUUUUAGUAUCAUCUUGGUUAGGCAACUGUCGUAGCUGGUGCUCUUAGUCAAAAAUCCCAUGGACAACUUACCUCUAUCCGAGUUAUCCAUGUCCCACUAUUGUUUUCUCUUCGAGGAAUUGGCUUUACUUUGGCACCCGAUCCACUAUGAGUAUUGUCGGCUCACUUCUAAAUCAAACCUGUAUCGGUAGAUUUCGGGUAAAAAACCCAAGAGUUCGAUCAGUAAUGUGCGAGUUUGAAGAAGCAAGUGUCGGAUGACAUGAGAUGGGAUCAGAAAGUCUGAGGAGUUGGAACUUUGUUGAUAAGAAACAAAUUGUUUUUGCCUAAAGGUAAUGAAGCUAUGAAAAAGGAAAAUUCUUGAUGAGGCUCAUAUUACAGUGUAUGACACGAGUGUUAGCAAUACUAAAUUGUACCACUGUUUUCGUCCAUUUUUAUUACAAGUAUUGUAUGAAUGGGAUAUCGUUGAAUAUGUGAGGAAAUAUUUGUUUUACUAGUAAGUGUAAGUGGAGAGAUGGAAGUCAUCAGGCUUAUCUCAAUUUAUUUCUAUUCCUGUUUGGAGGUGGGAAGAAAUUUCCAUGGUUGUCUUUCUUUUUCUUUUUUUUUCAGGUUGUCAAGUCCCACUAGGGAUGCGAAUGGAAAUGGGUGAAUGUCACCAUAGAUUUCCUAUACAAACCACCUUGUACAUGUGGAGACUAUGGAUGGGCAAUGAUUAUGGCAGGCAGAUAGCCGCUGUUAUUUACCCAUAACCGUUUAUGUUCAUACCUGCAUAAUCGUUUACCCGUUGGGUAAUUGCAUAAAUGGUUAUACCCAUACCCAUAACCGUUUAUAAACGGUUAACCAUACCCAUAACCGUGUACCCAUUUAACCAUAACCAUACCCGUUUACCUGUUUUUCAACCCGUUUAUCCUUUUUUUACCCAUUUAUCCCUUUUUUACCCGUCUACAUGUUUUUUUUUUAACAAAUUGAAAAUUACAAAAUGAUAUAUCAUCAUAUUAACUAUCAAGAUGGCAAGUCACAGAUGUUCUAUUGAUAGCACAUACAGACAUAGUGACCAAAUCAACUAGAUAAUUGUAUGUAUUUUAAUUGAUUAAUUAUAUUGUGUAAUUUGUAUUAAUAUAUAUAUAUAUAUAUGUUGUUAUUGCAUUUGCACUUUGCAUGAAAGAGUUCAUGGCCAAAGCCUGCACCAUGAACCUGUACUCAGAAUUUUAGCAUACCCAAAAUUUGACACAUAACCAAAUGCGAAAGAUGGGAAACAGAUUGUCCCCAAAUAGUCAGUCAAAUUUUGUAAUGCAAAAACAAGAAAUUAAAUGGGUAAAUGGAUACCCAUUAUAAUCGCGGGUAAUACCCAUAAUCGCCCAUUUAAAUUUCAUGGAUAAACGGUUAUACCCAUAACUGUUUGUUCAUCUAAACGGUUACCCAUAAUCGUAACUGUGAACUUUAAAUGGGCGGAUAACCGUGGUUACCCAAACCUAUAGGUAUUUUGCCCAUCCCUAGUAGAGACUAUGAUGACGUUUCGGUAUUUGUUGAUCAACUCACUCAGCAUAUUAUCUACCAGUCCGUGAAGACUAUACUUUCGACCACUUGGUAGAAUUCUUCAUUCUAGACUUCGUUAGACUGACGUCUCGAUUAACAUCAAUUUCAACCGUAAUCCCAUAUUCACCUUGUGGUACUGGAAGGCAUUAUAGUCAACUUUGGGUUAGUGUCUACCCUACAACACUUCGUAUCAUUUCUAAAGUAGACAGACCAUUCAGGAAGACCACUCAGAUUCGAAAGUUUUUGCUAAGACCAUCAGUCAUUCAAUCACCCACUAACACUCUAUCGAGCGAACCAUUUCCACUGGUGAUUGAAUAUCCCUGAGGUUAUUGUUGUAACAAGUUGUUAUGAAUAUUGGAAUGGGAAAAGGUUAAAUUCCCGCUUAUCAUAUUACUUUAGACUACUAAUCAAGUUGAGUCUGCGCUCAACCAUCUUGACUUGCCGCCAUAUAAUCAAGUUAGGUACUCAUACGUGUUCUUGCAUCAAGGUUACACAUUCAAUCAUGUUAUCUUGUACUCUACAUUUGAUGGACUUGUUUUGACCCUUAAAUUCUUGAGUGUUCUUUUAGCCUUCUCGGCAUAGCCUUUCUCUAUAUCUGAGAAAUUUUCAAUGAAUCAGCUCGCUUAAGCUUUGUGAAUCACAUUGUUUGGUUAUAGGGUGUUUCAUCACUAUUGUACCUCAUUGUGAUGCGCAUUUCACUUCCAAGUCUUGUGAAGCCUUCUGGAAGGCCAUGGGUACUAAGUUGUUGUCCAGUACCAUAUUUCAUUCUCAGAUUGUUGGCUAGUCUGAACGAACUAUCCAGACCUUGGAGGACGUGUUGUGUUCAUCCAUUUUGUGGUUUCAGCAGGAUUAGAAAUUGCACCGAUCUUUAUUGGAGUUGUUUACGACAACGAUUAUUAUUUUCAGUUUCGGUAUGGCACAAUUUGAGACAUGGUAUGAGAGAUUCUGCAAGCGACACUUGUUAAACAUAAGAGUAUUGCAAACUGGUAUUCGAAUGAUCGAUUUUUCGAUAUGGGAAACUAUGUGCCACAAAUGAUGUCGCCUUGGAGUUGAACAAAAUGGCAAUUUUGCACCCUUGGGAAGUUACUUUUUGUUUAUCGAGACAACAAUGUGUGUCGACAUUGCGGGCUACAGACUGUAAUAUCGAUGGCUUAUUCAUUUGGUUCGUUAAGCAAGUGGGCAAGUAGACCCGUCUACAGUAGCAGUUACUGAUUAAUUAUUGUUUGGGCUCAACCCAAAGUCACACACACCUAUUUUCAAAGUACGUGACAUUACGAAUGCUUGGGCGAGACCAAUUUUCAUUUUCAGUUUUAAUUUUUAGUGCAAGUAUUUUAACUUACAUUAUUAUAGUUAUAUAUUUGUAUUUUUGACGUUACAAAUGUUUGGGUGAGUCAUUUCCACUUUCAGUUUUAAAUUCAGUACAAGUUUCGGCUUCUAUGUUAAUACAUAUCAAUUUUGACAUUAUCUUACUAUAUGUACAUAUUUUUGACCUUACGAUAUUAUAUAUUUCGACUAUAUUUUAUUAUUUACAGAUAUGAUACUACUAUUGUAUUGUUAGGGAAGAUAGUAUGAGCUUGGAGGCAUGAAAAAGGAAUCACUACAAUCUGAUCACAACGGAGUGGCAUUCUCUUUUAUGCAACCGCUUUGACUUGAUUUCUUCUUUAUAUAUAUUUGCUUCCUAUCUUCGAGUUUUUACGUGUAGCAAGUUAUUUCGAAUUUGGGGGAUGAAUUUUCUUACCGAGGGUAGAUUGUAACGACCCGUCCCAGAUUUUAAGAAGCACGGAACGUCAAGGACAAUUUUGUAAUUUCAUGUUUGGGAGAUAUUUGUAUUUUUUUUGUCUUUAGUGGACCUUGUUUUGUGAGCCACUAGGGGCCCACAUGUCCCCUUGGUCUCCCUGCCCUCUCUUUCUUCCCUCUCCCCGUCACUCUCUUUCCCUGCCUUCACUCUCUCUAAAACUCUAUCUUCUCUCAUCUCUCUUAUAUUUCUCUAACCUCCCCUCUCUAGGAAAGCACACAAACACAACAACAAUAGCCGCAACUGCACACCACCAUCCCUCACCCUCUAUUGGAACCCCACGAACCCAAAAACGACAAGGGGACUCUUCCCCAGUUUUUCAACGAGACCCGUGAGUUUGCAGGCAUUUUUCAGUCAUCUUCGGCCACACCAUGAUGAGUUAGCUAAGAAAUGAGGAAGUUAUAACCUUAUAAAGUUUACCCAGUUUUCGACAACCUCCGUAGCUUUCGAGCCAUUUUCCGGCCAAACCAUGAUGAGUUAGCAAUCAAGAAAGGUACCAUUCUCUUCAUUUCGUCGAGAAGUAUGAUUUUCGUUUUUAAAUCACUCAAUUUUGUUGAGUAUUGAAGAAGUUAUGAAACUUCAAAUAAUACCCAAAAAUUGGGCCAAACCCCAGUUUCCAGUGGGUUUCUGGUGUCCCGGUCAACCCAACCCGUUGACCUGGAUCCGACCCGUCCCGAACCCGAUGGAAUAUUCCGUUAGGGAAUAUUCUCUGAAAUAUUCUUCAAAAUAUUCCUAGAAUAUACUUGCGUUGACUUUUUGUUGACUUUUACGAAAUUUGUCAGGGGACCCCUCUUAAGGUAAUUCGACGCCUUGAUUCCAAAUCCGCGCUCCAUUUUCCCGAAUUCAAUUUCUUUAGUAGGGUUUUACCUAUUUGGUCCCUUUAUGUGCUUAAGUGCAUUUGUUAGUGGCAACCCCGUCCUCUCUAGUUCAAACGGCUUUUCGGCAACAGAGUAUUGUGAGUGGACCCCUUCCAAAAUACAUGAUUUAAUUACUAGAACUGCAUACAUGAAAAGCAUGAUUUUAUGACUACAUUUUAUGAAACGUUUAUGAGUAAAUCGGAUUUACGCUUUAUGAAAUAUUAUGCUUUAUUGAAUUUAUGUUUACUGAGAUAUUUAUGAACAUGGAUUUAUGAUAUGAUAUUUGAGCUAUUGAGCUCCCAUGAGAUAUAUUUUGAAAAGAUUAUGUCCAUGAUUUUAUGUGCUUACUUAGUGGUUAUUCAUACUAUGUGCCUAAGGGUGAAUGAUAUUUAUAUAUGUCUUCAGGCGGGCGAUGUAGGGUCUUCGGGCGGGAGAUUUAUAUAUGCCUUCGGGUGGGCGAUGUAGGGCCUUCAGGCGGAAAAUUUAUAUAUGCCUUCAGAUGGGUGAUGUAGGGCCUUCGGGUGAAUGAUUUAUAUAUGUCUUCGGGCGGGUGAUGUAGGGCUUUCGGGAUUGUGAUAUCAUUACUAAGCGCACUAUAUACGAUAUAUGUUUUAUGAAAGUUUUAUGGCAUGCUAGGUUUUUCAGAAAACCUAUUACUUAUUAGCUAUAUGAGUUUUCUAAAACUGGGGGUUAGUACGUUGAAGAGUAAUUGAUUUUCAUAUUACUAUAUAUAAACUUGGUCCACUCAUGCUUUGUUUUGUGCCCUCUUCAGGACUUAGAAUCGAGGCGUACAAUCCCAGUGUCAAGGCACUCUCGUAGUGGUAUCUUUGAGUCCUCUCGGUGUAGGACCCAUUCCUUUGUUCGUAACUUUUCAUUGUAUAGUAUUCUUGAUUAGUUGUAUGCUCUCAACACGUUUUCCACAUUUGCAUAUUCAUUAUAGUUAAGUUUAUGUGUUUUAUUUUACGUUUGUUCUUUCUUCAUAUUUUUGCAUGCAUGUUAAUAUGGAUCGUCACCCUCAGGUGUCGGCCAGCACGUGCCUACCCUGGUGUUUUAGAGGAUAUCGGGGUCGGGGUAGGGCAUGUCAGAGAGGGCCCAAGAACACAAAAGCAAAGGGGGGAUUGGGCUCGAACAAGUCGACGGCCCAGGAAGAAUUUUUAAAAAAAAAUCAUUUUUUACAAGAAAUAGGCAACAAGCCUAUGUGAGAAGUGAUGGGUAACAAAUGACAGCUCACCUCCAACAAAAAGUACUUUUCAAGGGCAUGGAUAGGUAAAUAAAUGGUGACUUACCAUCCUCUGAAGGCCAUCACCAAAAGGCAAGGCUGGGACAAUCGGGCUAAGAAGUCUAUAAAAGCAUCAAGGGACAUCAAAGACAAUGACACUUAACCGAUCAAUCAAAAGACAUCUCACUUUGCUCUCAGACAAGCAAGAAACCAGAAAGCUUUAGUUUGUCCAUACUCUGCUUUAUUAGUCCUAGGUCCACCUUAGAAAGCCAUCUUUUGUCAAGUUUUAGAAGCUCUGCUACUUUUCCAUAGCAUUGUAGUAUCGAAUCCCUUAUGUAAACCCGUUUUACCUUUCAUUCUCUAAGGAUUGCAACCCUUGUAAUAUACAAAGAGAGGUGGUCGCAAGAAGAUGAACCUUGCCUAACAAGGUUAAAAUCUUGCUCAAGUCUCUUUUGUUUGUGCUUACAUAAAGUAGAUAUGUUGUUUAAUGCAUCUUUCUUUAUGUUCUAACCAAUUUCAACUAUUUUUCAAAGUUCAUUCGUGUUUAAUCUAGCUAAACUAAUUAAUCGUGCUUCUUUAGUGUUAACUGUAAUCAAAGAAAUAGUUGGAAGGGCCAUGAACUCCCUUUAACUGGACAUACAAUAUUAUGAGUAAAAGUCCUUGUUUACAAGGUAAGAAAAAUAACCUUAUACAAACUUAACCCAUCUGUAACAAUCCAGCAAGAUCAAGAAGUCUAAGUAACUUAUGGCGCAAGUAAUCAACCCAAUUAAUAACCAAAAAAAAAAACAAUCUGUUAUACAAAAUAACAGUGGCACGCUCAGAUCCUUAUUAGUUUUUAUUGUGAGCCUACUAAUAGCAAACUCAUAUUGCAGCACACCAAGCAGCAAACCUUGCCUGACAGGUAAGACCCCGAAGAAUUGUGCGAAUGAUAGAUCUGGCCUGAACACAUCAAAUGGUUUCGAAUGUGCUAUGUUUCCUCUUAAAUUGCUUGGUGAUCGGACACUCCUCCAUAUAUAUGUUACAAAGUAAUAACACAACGAACAAGAGAAGAACAAUAUUUGAUUUUCACCUCAAUGGCUUCAAACAAGCAUUCACAAGCAUCACCCUAAUUUAUAAACACUGUAAUUAUGUUUUCAAUAAGAAAAAACAAAGUAUGAACACAACCAGGUGGUGGGCAGCACAAUUUAAAAAUUAAAGAUGUUAGGGUUGCGUAUCAGAUAUAUAAAAUUCACAUGCCACAUCAAGGAUUUCAACAAAGUAAACGGUAAAAUUUAAAAGACUUACUGAAACUAAACAAAAACAAAAGACAAAGUAGACCACUUACAAAGUUGGAAAACUUGGUUAUUUUGAAAGGGCUGAAAUGAACAGGAGCUUCUGCCAAAAAGAGCUCCAAAUAGUGGAGUUAAAACAGGCCAGAAUCGAACGAACUUUCCUGUUGCGGUAGCUAAUGAGAACACGAACCAGUGUCAGAAAUUCUAACAUUUUACCAUCAGGAAAAACUAUUCAACACUUCUUUAUCUAAAACCACAAAAAAAAAAUGAGGGAGCGAAAGAUAAAACUUUAGUGACAAAAAUAUGACAAGUAAUCCAAACACAAAUCCCAACUCACAAUAAAAAUGCAUGUCAUGCCCAAAUUAUUCUUUGUGCAUAUUUGUUUGAUGUCAUGAUAAAUGAGAUGGGCUAGUACUGUAAUGUUAAUCCAAAACCUAAAGUUGACCUUUAGGAAGAAAGCUUAGUCCAACAUGAUUACAAACAGUGAUCAUGGACUAGUUGGGCUUCGUUUCAGAAUGGUCCAUGAUCGUCCAUUUUAUGGAUCUCAAAGGUGGGGACAAGUCUAGAUUAUCACUUAAGUAACUUCAGGGAUUAUGGGCUAAGCUCAUGCUCUUUACCUCAAGCCCAAAUGUCUCCUAAUGUGAAAUGUACUAGGUAAUUCCGCCCAAGUACAUAAGUGAAAACAAAAGUAUCUAAGCAACUCCAAUGGAUUAUAGGUUUUUUUUUAGUACAACGAAGUAUUUGUACACUAAGAGGAGAGAAGAGUUCGGUUAAACCACACAUUAAACAAUCUAAUCUGACAUCUAAUUCGUCAUUUACGAGAUUCGAACAUAAAACGUCUCAUUUACAAAUAAAGAGGAAUACCACCAAAUCGUAGUAAUUAAUUAUAUCAACAUUUGUAGGUUAAACUCGAGCGCCAACAUGUGGUCCUUAAGGCUGAAAUGUGUUGGGCACAUAUAUUCUCUUACUGCAACAAUUGAGAAACUUUUCAAUGUUCCUAGAACACAAGACAAAACAACGACACUUGAAAAAAUGUACAGCCGUGUACACACACGAAAAAUCUCUCCUCAGUCGCUGCUUGCGUAAUUGACUGUCUUCUAUGGAUUUUAUAACUAACAAUGUAUAGCCAUCUGUUUCUACUUAUUUACUCCCUUGACAUUCUUUGAACCCCCCAACUCCCCAAACCCCCCCUCCCCCCCCACCCCUUUUUUCUUUUUUGAAAACGGGCACUCACCCCUUUCGUAUCCUCUAUUUCCCUUCUUUUCCUUUUACUUAACCCAGAAGGAAAAAGCAUUUCUGCAAUUCAAACAAACAAAACAUUCACAGCUUGAAAUCAACUUGUGUGUCCUUAUUUUAAUGAGAACUAAUAAAUUCGUUCAAAAAUCUGCACAGCCACGUUUUGGACCUAAAUCAGCUCCAUAACUGGCCCAAAAUAGCUGUAAUUAAAGUUUGGACUAUUCUGAAAACUUCUCCAUAAGGCCACGAACCCAUCUGAGGUCAUAUCGGCUUCAAAAACGCAAUUUAAGCCCAGAAAUGUUACUUUCCAACAAAGCACACUGCUCCUUCAUUUAAUCACCAGAAAAUAAUUGCUUGGUAAAAAAAUCCCAAGUUUUGACACGAACAAGCUAAGGAACACACGAACAUCCUCCAAUUUGAAUCACUCCAAAAUUCAUUCGUUUGAACAAGUUUUGCUCCAGAGAAAUCUAAUAUCCUAUAUUAAAAAUAUAAAACAAAGUAUCAAAAUCCUACCAAAAUAACCAAUAAAUUAAUACUAAGAAUAAGGUGAAAUAUAUAGUAUAAUAUGAACUUAUCAAGAACUUUAAUGGAAAACUCUCGGUACUGUUCACUUUAACGAAAGACCACAUUUAAAUCUUUAAGCAAACCCACUCGGUAUAAAAUUACUAACUCUACCCUUACGUAAAUCCCCAAAUAGGGCGACCACAAUGAGUAAAGAUGAAUGAUGUUUUCUUCACGUUAUUUGUUCUUUUUAAUACUUAUUUGUUCUCUUUAUAUUAAAAAAGAAGAAGAAAGAGUUAAGCACCUAAAACUCCCAACCAUUAGUGCGUUUUCAAAUGAGGUACUUGAUCUAGGUCCAAAAUUUUGAGUUAUGAUUGGAUUUAGUCCAAAAUUUUUACUGUUUAAACCGCAUCAUUUUAGAGAUUUUUUUUUUUAUUGAGUACAUCGAUAUUUUUACACUAGUAGAAAAAUCAAUUUAACUAAAUCACAUCAUUUUAGAGAAUUGCCUCUUAAGUUUUGUUUACUUUUUAUACGUGGGAUAGUGCCAUUCCUUUCGGCCAAAAAGAAACCAGGAUUAUAAUAUUUCAUAGAAUCCUGAUAAUAUUUUUUUAAUUAUAGUUUUUUAAUUAAGUACACACUAUCAUCAAAUAAUUAAACAUACUAUCUUUCCUUUUCACAUUUCAAGCUUCAACAGAUAUACAAUGUACAAAAAAUAAGAUAUUAUAAAAACUUACUAAAAUAUAAGUGUUGAUGUUGGCCAAUAAAGAAGCCACGAAAAGCCUAAGAAAAUUGAGAAUCCUAAGGCCCAAGGGUCUUAGAAGAGGAUACCCCGAGCACUAUAGCCGACCAUCUAUGAGCUUAGCAUAACCAAGAUAUGUAAAGAGCUUUCCGACCGCCAAGGGGUAGAUGGGGAGAUUGACAGCUUUAUGGCACAAACUUGAAAUCCAACACCAGAUUGAAAUUCGAGUUAUCUGAUCGUCCAUCGGACAACAAACAAAAUUGCACCUUGGGUGCACCAUUCAUGGGCUCCAAGACUUCUCUGGUGGUUUUCACUGCCUGUCGAUCACUUUUUAGAAGUCGGCCUAGCUAUAAAAAUCUUCCCUUGUCUUGUUCUACGUCUCUGUGGUUUUAUGAUGUUUGGAGUUUGUCGGAAAUUUCAGUUUACGUUAGCCGGAAAUCACCACGCAUGGCGGCGUGUUAGGUGGCACAUGUGAAACUCUAGCUAUCUGGAUUUUCGACAAUGAUACUUCCUUGAUGUCCAGAGCCUAAAUCCAAGGUUCGUUUUUGUUGAAACUUGAUACAAUGGUUUGGUUAUUCGAAAUAUGGGUAUUGACUUUUUAUUUUUGUAAUUGACGUCAACUUAACCAUUGGAUCGUCGGUAAGUUUAAUGAGCAUGCUAUUCAUCGAUUGAUGGACCUUGAGAAAUUGUGAAACGGAAAUUUGACAGUGGGGUCUUCCAGUUGAAGAAUCUUGGAUUGACAUUUGUAGUGGACAAAAAUCCGACCAUUGGAUCAUCUCAAAAUUAUAGUAUGUGGUUAUGCGUAAUAUGUAAGGAUCUUAGGAAUUUGAAAAUUUGUUGUGUAAAUCUUUUGAAUUAGACUACGUUGAGUUAUUAACCCUACCGUUAAACAUGUUGACCGAGAUUUGACUUUUGAUCAAACGUCUCGAAUCGCCCUUAAAUAUUGAAAUUAAUAUUGCUAAAGACUAAUAAAACCUUAACCGGAUUCUCCUACGCAAAUAGGUAGGCUAGUGUAACAUUGGCUGAUUGGAAAUUAAAGUGGCGGGGGAGGGAUAGUAAGUUAUUGAUUUUGACUGGGUGCAUGAUUGAUUACAUGUCUAAUACAAGAAAUGAAAUUCCUUUUUUAUUCUACCAAGAGUGGUACUUAAAGUUUGUGGUAGAAUCCGAUGUUUAUAAAUAUGUAUUGAUCCUAUCCAGACUUGCAAGUUGCAAACUCUUGCACUAGAGGUUUGAUGUGGACGAGGAGCAUGAUGCACAAGAACUAAACUUCGAUGCAGAGAUUUCUUAAUUAGUCAUUUUACCAAAUAAAAAGAGUAGGUCACCUGAGCAAAAUAAAGACAAAGUCAAGUGUCGCAUCACAUGAUAACUUAACCUAGUUACACAAGAACGAAUGAGCUGUACUGAACGCCAUUGUCCACAUAAAAGAAAAACAAAAACAAAACAAAGCAAAACAAAAGGGAUCCUAGCACCAAUUGCUUGAAGGGAAUAUUUUUGCUUCCCAAGUGCGAAUCAACUCACUGAAUUGUCAAAAAUAUCUGUUAAGACCUGUUUAAUUUAAUAUUUUUAUAAUAUAAAGAGAUGACAUUAGUAGUAGUGAUGAUAAUAUAAUAUAUUCUCUUUCUACAACAAUCGAGAAAUUUUUCAACGUUUCUGCAUGCAAAAUAAUGCUUAAUCCUUCUACAACCGCCUAGAAUUCGUGAAAAUUUGACUUUAUUCGCUUAUCCAGUGUGCGUUCUACUCCAACUUUCCUGGCCAACUACUAAGCUUUUCAGGUUCGCUACUCAAGUUGAACUCGGGUUUUUCAACAAAGUCUUUCUUAAUUGAGAAAUUUUUCAACGUUUCUAAAACACAGAACAUAACAACACAUGUUAUAUAUAAUAAGAUAGACACUGGAAAAAACGUAAAUCCGUGUCCACACACCGAAAAAUCUGUCCUCAGUCGCUGCUUGCGUAAUUGACCGUCUUCUAUGGAUUUUAUAACUAACAAAUGUACAGCCAUCUGUUUCUACUUAUUUACUCCCCUGACAUUCUUUGAAUUUGCCUCCCCAGGCGCUCACCCCUUUCGUAUCCUCUAUCGCCCUUCUUUUCCUUUUUCUUAACCCUGAAGGAAAAACCAUUUCUGUAAUUCAAACAAACAAAUCAUUCACAGCUUGAAAUUGACACGUGUCCUAAUUUUAACACUAGUGAGUUAAAAUGCAUGUGCUGCAGCAGCAGGUGAUCCAGAAAGGCCAUGGCAAAAGAGUAAAUAACAUAGAAAACGCAUGGCAAAAGGGCAGCUGCGUGUCAACUGCACAACCAGCGGCAGAGGAACAAUAGAACCGAUAAUCUCUUAGAUCGGUGAUCGGUCCGCAUAUAAACUAAACGGUGGUGAUCGGUCCCCUGCUGAUCUGCGUUCCAGGUUUUAUUACCUUAAUUUCCAAAAAAAUAUCCACAAAAAUAGAAAAAGGCACAAUGGGAAAUUUCCAUAAAUGGGAAAGAAAUUUCGCUGCCUUUCCUUUCUUGAACAAACCAGCUGCGCCCAACUCUCUCUCUCCUCUCUCUCGCUCCUUCUCUUUCCAAAAUUGCUGGCUUUCACUGCUCUGCAAAUUUCCUGGUCGGACCAAAACUUCAGACCUGAAACCACCCCAACGAAGGUAAACAAAAAAACAGAGGAAAAUCCAGUUAUUAAUUUCUGUAUGGUUUUCCUUUCUUCUUCUUCUUCUAUUUAUGGUAAAUACGAAAUAUUGGACAGUUGAUUGUGGUUGGUGGGUUGAUCUGGUUUUGUUUUACUUAUUUAGAUUUGAAACGCUAGGGUUUGUGGUCAAUAAUCCUUAAAAUUAUCAGAAACCCAGAAAAUAUAAGGUAGUUUUGGAGUUUGUGGACAUUUAUAUAUAUGUGGAAAUUCGAAGUGGUUGGUUUAUUUUAUUUUACUUGAAUUGUUGUUUCUGAAGGGGGUAGGAAGAAUUGGAGAAAAUGAUGAGGGAGAAGAUCAAGAUCAGGAAGAUCGACUGCUUGCCGGCAAGGCAGGUGAACUUCUCAAAGAGGAGAAGAGGGGAUUUUGAAGAAAGCUAGAGAGCUGUCGAUUCUAUGUGAAUCUGAAGCUGCUGUUAUUAUCUUUUCUCAAACUGGCAAGCUCUUUGAUUUCUCAAGCUCCAGGUACCAACCCUGUACAACAUCCCACCGCCUUAUAAAUUCUUCGAAUUUUCCCAACUUCAACAAAUAUAAUCAUGUACAUGACUUGAUAACUUCUCUCUUUCUGAGAGAGAGAGAGAGAGAUUCAGUCAUUUGGAUCAAAAAGCUAUAUAUUCCCAAAUGACCAGAGAGUGCUAAAUAGCUAGAUAGAUAAUCUAUGCAUGUACACAAAGACAGAGAGAGAGAGUGUGAGUUUUAACCAGAUAAGGUGCUAAGAAUGCUAUCUAGAAUAUCUAGUUCAGGAAAGUGAGGUUUACUUUUGAUUGAGACAACUUCUAGCUAGGUGUCCUAGUUUGAGAAAUUAACAUUUUAUUACUUUUACAUGCUUUCAAUCUGUGAAGUGGUGCCGAUUUUUUACGUGAUGCUGAUCUCUUUGCUUUUCAUGCUACAUGCAAUCGUGUCCGCCAUGCAGAAGUCUAUAUAUAUAAGAACCACUGGUCUAGUGAAUUAUGUAAUCUUAUUACUAUUUUACAGUUUCAUAGUUUAUCUUGCCGCCUUGAUCUUAGACCGUCAUUCUCACUGGAAUUCAGAUAAUCAUCAAUUCGAAAUAAAUAAUCUAACAACAUAAAAUCAAAAUGAUAGAUAAAAUACUCUGGCUAGUAAAAGAGUGACUUACUCUCUACGUACCAUAUAUAUACACGCAUGACAACUUCAACACACGAUGUUAGGCUAUGUUCCAAAAGUUGUCCUUCAUUCUCCCCACCUAAACUAAAAUACCUGUAAAUGAAUACGGUGAACUUGCUAAAGACUGAAAAUAUGAACAUUCAAUUAUAUAUGCUUCGGAUUUUUCUUACUAGGAAGAAAGUGAUGUGAUGAAAACUUGGGAAUUCAUCAUAGAAGCUUUGAAGAUCCUUUGAGAAGGAAUAUGUAUGCCUGCGUCAAGUAGGGCAAUCAGUGGUGCAGUCAUGGCCAUAUAUAACCUGUUUUUCCACAAUCAUGCAUGAAAUAAUGAACUAACUUGAGUAGUUGCAAAGAUUAAAACCUUCUUCCAUAAAUAUUGUGCAUGAGGAAGGGUGAGAUUAAUAUCUUGACAUGUAAUUGUGGAAUAAGAAUUAAGAUAAAGUUGUGCUUUUGUUUUAGUAAAGAAAAAAAAAAGACACUCCCCAUAGUAAGUGAUGAUGUCAUUUUUAUUAAUAAAAUGGGAAAUAUCACUUUUAAAGUGGUUCCUUUAACCUGAAAUGUGUUAUAUAGGAUUACUUUAUCAAUUUGACAUCCAAAAUCAGCACUCAUGGAAGGAUGCCCUUAUUGUAGGAUGGUGUUUUUAACUUGUCUAUUGUGUCAGAAAAAAUCUUGUUGAGGGGUAGGUUCUAAGAGUUUACUAGAUAGUGUAUAACCUUUUUGUCAUCUAGAUAUUCCUAUUUUUACUAUUCGACAUUUUUUUUCUAUACCAUUCCAAACCAAAUAUAUCGAUAGGGAAUUGUGGCGUGGAUUAGGGCUGAUAUACUCCCACAUAUAGAGGGGCUUUUUACACCACCAAAGUCUCCACACAGUGGGCAAUUCGAGCUGACCUCAUUGUCUUGGUUGACUAUGAUGAACGAGUGGAAGAGGGACAUCAUCUAGGUCGACUUGACUAAGAUGUGGUCAUCAGCACUUGAUAACCAUGGUGAGUUGACCUCAUUCCCCUUGUUGAUAGCCAUAAGAUAUAUAAAGAAUUCAAUAUUUACUGGAAAUAAGUACUAUUUUACACACCGUCAAUGAGAACUUUUCAACCUCCAUAUAUUUGGUGAUAGAACGAGAGGAGAGGAUUCUAGUGCUGCAAGCAUUCUAGCAUCAAGCGUUUUCUAUCAUGUUCCUUCAAGUGGGCAUGGAGAAGGACUUCUUCUCCUAGCUGGUAGAAUUCCUAUAUCGGCUAUUGCAAGCUUCCCAUCAAGCCAUAUCAAUUCCACUCAUGAAAUUCCAUCAUUCCUGUCAACUAUUAACUACAAAACAUUUCGCCAUAAGUACAACAUAAAUUAGUGUCCGAGUAUCUAAAAGAAAUAAUAUUAAUAUGUCCGUUGUGUGUGAUGUUUAUGCAAUUUGUAGAUCACUCAUAAUAAAUUCUUCUAGAGGAUAAAACUUAGGUUUAUUUACAACUACACUCUGGAACUCAAUUUUGAUCUCACUUUGCCACCUAUAACUCAAAAUCAACAUUUUAAUCCAUGAAACUCAAAAUUCCUUAUACUUUGACUUGUGGACUAUUUCUUCUCUCUGCAACUUAAAAGUCACCUCCCUGAAACAUGUGGGAUCCACCACCUAAUAAGACUAUGCCACACAUUCCAAUGAAUUUGAUUAUAAAUCUUCAUAUGGUAACAUUCAAUAAUCAAAAAUAUUAAAAUCGUUAUAGAGUAAAAUGACGAAAUUAAUAGAAAGUAUAAUAAAUCUUCAUUAUGCGUCAGCAUCCAACAUAACAAAAUUAACAAAAUUAAGGCAAUCUGGAGCGAAUUUGAGUUUUAUAGAGUAAAAUGACGACUUUUGAGUUAAUGGGCAAAAUUGGAUCAAAAUCGAGUUUAAAGAAAUCAAACUUGAACGAAUUUUAAGUUCCGAAGAGUAAAGUGGCGACUUUUGAGUUAUAAAGGGCAAAAAAGUAAGGACAUAAAGCUAAGGUCUGGUGUAAUCAUAUAGUUAUGGGGAAAGUUUUCAAUUUGUUCUUCAUGAGUUCUAGCUACAAUCUUUUCUCUUAUCAUACAUAUUCUUGAUUGCUUCGAUAUAUGCUACUCAUAUUCCUUUCGUCUCUAGUCUUUCAAACUCUCUUGGUACCCUAUCAUAUGCCUUUUUCACAUCUAUAAAGACCAUGUGCAAUUCUCUUACAUAUCUCUGCAUCAUUCCAUCGAUCUCUAUAAGAGAUAGAUUACUUUUGUAGUCGAGCGCUUUAGCAUGAACUCAAAUUAAAUGUGUGACAAUCAUGUCUCUUCCCUCAAUUUAUACCUAAUUUCUCCCUUCCAAAACUUCAUUGUAUGACUCGUUAACUUAAUAUGUUUAUAGUUCAUACAAUUAUGUAUGUCGUUCUUAUUCUUAUUUUAUUUUGCUAACUAUGGUAGCAAAGCAUUGACAAAUUCAGGAUUGGUAAUCAAGCCACCCACAAAAAGUGGCCGUAGUGAAUAUAACAAUUAAAGCAUAUUUGCAUUGAUGUCUGAGUUGAUGUGAGAGGAACUGACUUGGACUUUUUAGGCCCAUUUGCUUAGUUAACCUGAUAGUCCCAACGUUGGUUUUGCCUUUUUGUUGCGUGUAUCCUCAGUUGGUGAUCUCAUUAUCUCAUGUAUAAUAUUCCGAUUGGACAUUUUGAUCCGGGUAACCAGACCAAGCAAUAAAACCUCCAGAAAGCUUUGCCUUAAUGUUCUGGGCCUUUUGGCUGGUUGGUUUGCAACAGAACCAAAUAUCUCCAAAGUGAGAUUGUUGUGGAUGGUUAAUCUUGAUGAAUUAUCUCCAAAUCUGUAUUAAUUUGUUGUAAUUUUGUUUUCUUGUUGGUAAAUUAGUUCUGUAGCGUUUAACUGUGCAUGUUUUUUUCUUAUUGUUUUGGGGUAUUUUAUUCUAGCAGUUAUUCUGUUUGCAUGCAUGUUCAAAGUGGUUGAUUUCAGUCACAGUUUUUAUAUUAUUUUUGUAAAAGAAAAAUUAAACCGGAAAAUAACAUAUUAAUAACAAUCUCAUACAAGGUUGCAUACAACAUGCAAGUACUAACUUAUUGGGAUUAUUGCAAAAGUGUUUGCAAGCACUAACCAAUUCUCUGUCUCUUUUUUGUUGUUGUAUAUUAUUAUUAUAGAUGUGUCAUAAUUUAUAAAUAAUAAUGAAACAUGCUAAUUAUAUUUUAUCCUUUUAUGUUGUGAAGUACCAAGGAUGUGAUUGCAAGGUACAAAUCACAUACUUCUGGGGAAAAAUCAGAUCAACCCACGUUUGAUCAACUACAGGUAAUUCAGUUGAAUAUUGGUUUUCCUUUUUCCCAUCCUAAUUGCUCUUUAAUUUUCCAAUUUUAGUGGUAUAACAAUUAACUGUGUCAUGUGAAUGUAUCACAUUCUGUGAUCUAUACACUUGGAGCUAUGGAAUGUAAUUUUACAGCAUUUUAUUUCUUUAACAUAAAUAAAAAGGUAAAUUACAUUUUGCAUCCUCAGGUUUGGAUCUCAUAACAAACUCGUAACUCAUUUUUGAACAUUGUUAUUUCAUACAUCAACUUACUAUUUCGUUGAAAAAUCAUACAUCCGUUUGUGGGUCUAUUAAUUUAAUGUUAAAUGAUGAUGUGUCAACUGUGAGUCUCACAUUUUUAAUAAUGUGAUGUCAAAUUUAUGCCAUAUGGACAAACAACUAAUUGAAAAUAUAUAAAUUAUAAAAUUAAAUUAAAUUUAAAAAAUAUUUUGAAGAAUGAACCCACGGAGCCCAAAAUCAGACGACCCUCCGCUCAGCCUAGAAUCAUAGUUGUAUCCAAUUUUAAUUGUUUGUUUGUCCAUGUGGCACAAAUUUGAAUCAAAAUGUGGGGCCCAUAGUUGUCACAUUAUCAUGGUUGGCCUCUUGGGCUAAAUAUGUGCUAGUACCUGGGGUUAAGUAAUGACUCCCAAGUCAUAGUUUUGACUUCCAUUGACGUUCUAAGUUGGUUUUUUUUUUUCUUGGAUAAAUUCUAACUUGUGUUAUUAGUUAGUAUUAAUUUGAAUCAUUGAGUUUUGCUCAUGGAAAAAAGUUUCAUGUUUGGUUUCUUGUUACGUAGGAAUCAAAUGACCUGGAGAUUGCUACAAUUGAAUAUCCAUGCUCAAGCAUGUUUAAGUAGUCCAUCUUUUGCCCCUUUUUUCCCUUCCCUUCACUGAGACAUUUGGAAUCUAUAAACGAAACAUCUUUUGCCAUAAAAAUAGGCGAUAUCCAAUUUUGUGCUAUGUGCUGUUCUAAGAUUUUCUUCUUUCUUGUUUCUUUUUGGGCUUGAUGUUUAUAAGCUUUUCAUGUGAGUCUGACAGAUUAGAGUAUCUAAAUGAUGGUUUGGUAUAAAUAUAUUUCCCGUUAAAUAGUUGGAGAAAGAAAACAAGAUCAUGUUGACUAAGGAACUUGAGGAUAAGACCCGCAAGCCGAGGUAAAUAUAUUUUAUCAGUUUGCUUGUAAGAUAUAUGGUGGUUAAUUAAGCUGGGAUGAUCGUUUGACGAGAGUCAGCUGAAAUUGGUUUGGCAUGCAAAAGGCAGAUGAAAGGUGAGGACCGUCAAGACUUGGGUCUGGAUGAACUGCAGAAGUUAGAAAAAUAGGUGGAAGCAAGCCUUGGCUGUGUGAUUGUAACUAAGGUAUGUUCUAGCUAGCUAAUUUAUACUGUUACAAGUGAAUACAUCUGAUCAUGGCUUCUAAAAUCUAGGUAUCCCUUGGAUAGAGGAAAACAUUUUUGAGUCGUAGUACGUAUUAUUGUGCAAUGAUCCGGAUGAUCUAUUGCUUAAUUAGUCUUUGUUCAAAUAUCAUUCUUGCAAAAUAAAACAAAUGUCUUGAUAACGUUCAAAUAGAGAAUCUGUUAUUAGCUCUCCAUAAAAGUAAUAUUGCACUUCUUCCUCUAAUUUCAUAUUUUUCACUAUCAUGAGUGAACUAUGGCUGGGUUUAAUCAAAUAAAUAGAUCAACACGUUACACCUUUGGUUAAUUUGAAUGUAAACUUUUACCUUCUUUUUUUUUGGGGGCGGUUGUAAAGAAUGUAAACUUAACCCAAGUAUAUAUACUUUAAUUAGGUUAUUUUACGAAAGACAUAAUGCUACUCUUAUCACGUUUUCUAUACCAUAUUUGUACCACAUCUGAGGCCAUUCCUUUGUCAGAAAUGUUGUACAAACGUGGUAUGAAAAAUAUGGUAAGAAUAACAUUUGUUAUGGAUUAUAUAUCUAUACAGCAACAUCUAAUUUCAAAUUUUCCAUCUUUUAGGGAAAAAAAAAAUUACGAGUGAGAAAAAGGUUUGUAGUUAAAUAAAUGAUUGUUGUCUCUGUGUCUAUAUAUAAAAUAGAGUUUCCAGAAAGAAAAUAAUUAUCACUAAUGAACUUUUCCUUUGUUGUCCUCUGCAUUCACUGAUUAUACAUGCAGGGAGCUGAGCUGCUAGAAGCUAACAAGGGAUAUUUUGCUGUCCUCGCGGAGCUUUUGCUUACGUAUCGUGGGUGGUUCUCUCAAGCUGAUUCAUUUCAGCAUGAUCAGGUCGAAUUUUACACAUUACCAGUUUAAAGCACUUAAAUUUUCUUUUCUUUUAAGGGAAAAAAAAAAGGCCAUUAGGAAAGGUCUUCAUAAAAGCUUGGGUUGAACGUAGUCCAUCUCCUUCAUGGUGAGCUCGAGCUCGUGUUCAAAGAUAAAAUUGGGAUUGCCACGCCUUCUUUGACGUUGAGUUUUGAUAUAGGUUUUCCUGUUUUUUAUUUUAGCCCGUGAUUACUUAUAAACAGAGAAUUAAUAUUUGAAGAAACCAACUAGUUUGUACCAAAUUAAAGAAAAACCGACUGUUGUGAAUUUUUUUUUGGUACGUCCAUAGAUUAGCUCGAGUGCUCAUCUGGGUUUUGUUCUGAAUUUUUUCAUGUACCUAAUGUUUUUUUGGGCCGUUUGGUUUGUUUCCUCACCCAAAAGAAAAAUCUGGAGAAAACCAAAGGUAAAUAGUGGAGGAUAGCUCAGAUGUGUUAUCCUCUUUUUUUUUUUCUUUACUUUUCUACAAAUAUUAUCUGAAUCGUCUAACCUAGCUACUGGAUUAGUAUCUAACAUUGAUCAUACGAUAAAUUCUCCAUUACUUGCACUACCUAUGCAUAUUUAUUUUAUUCAAUGUGAAUCACUUGCAUGAUUUCAUGUUUAAGUUGUCAACUAAUAGAUUGUUACAGUGACGAUCACCGGUUGAAUAGGCCGUUAUUCAACCGAAAUAUGGGAUUCCACUGUCUCAAUACUACAGCAAACGGCAUAUAAAAUCACUUGCAUGAUUUCGUACGAGAUCGCAAAUUCAUGAUGUUGGUAUAACUGUACGCCCAGGAUGCUACAACAUUUUCAGUGAAAUUGCUAAUUAAUUUGUGUUCUCUAUUUUCAGGCUUCCUUAGUUUUCCUAGUUAAGAAGUUGACCAAGAUGGAGAGCACACUUCCUUAAAAUUAGUAAAUGAAGUCGAGUUAUUGGAAGACAUCCGGGGGAGUGCCAUUUUGUGUUAUAUUUGUGUUCCAUGCGGCAUGGCAAUAGAUUAAUUCUUUAGACCGUAUUUGUAAAUUUUGUGAUGUGUCAUUAAUAGAAAAUAAACAUGCUAAUCAAUAAUUAAAUAAUAAUUCAAUUAUCGACGAUAAAAUUAUAUGAUUCGGACAAAGUCAUAUGAUUUAUAAAAUACAAUUUGUAAAAUAUGACUUAAAUGGAAGAUGCUUCUAAACAUUACUAUUUCAAUAAUUCAGAUAAAGUUGACAUUAAAUUCAAAGAUUGGAAUUGACACGUGUCCGUUAUAAGUUAUAAUUGUACAUUCGCUCGGUUUUCCAAUUAGAUAUCCCUGCUUUUCCUAUUCAUACACUUACUGCCAUGCAUUCUCUCUUACCAUAUUUCAUUUCGCAUUUUCUGUCCUUUAUGUCGGCGAUGCGCCCUUCUCCUGCCGCCGUCUGUCUGACAAACCCUAAAUCAAAUCUGUUGGGUACAGGAGAAGGAGCCUUCCGGGAGUUAGGCGGGACCUAUACUGGUGGAUUGGCAACAGGUAUUCUUUGAUCUGUUAGCGGUGCCGCGGCUCAGCGAACUUACAUAUUCUGCAGAUACAUGAAAAUAAUUUUGGUUUUUUUACAGAUCUCAACAAACCACCGCCUCAGAAGAAAAUGAAGAUUCAGUCGCAUGACGAGAUUGCAGAGAAGAGGAGAGGGAGAUACAGAACCACCGACCAUAAUUUAUUUAAAUUAGUAAAAUCAUAUGACGAUAUUGCUCUGCAGAGAAAACGAGAGGGCCGGGAUGGCCAUGAUGGAAGAGGGUUUGGAGAAUGCGGCUACUGAAAACUCGGGGGGUGGGAUUUGGGGAGUUUUGUUUCACAAGUGGGAAUGAGUAUUGUCAGCAAGUGUCGCAGUGAUCGCUGCUAGCAGCUACCGCUGCUCUUUGGGAUAAAGAAGUGAGAGAGACGAAGUGGGCGAGGAAAAUCAAACGGUGUGGUACGUAAAAAGAAUUAAACUGAGAAUCCCCAGCCGUACUGUCGUUCAGUCCACAUAUUAUAGACGGUCGUGAUCGCAUUCAUCACUCAUCACACCAACUGAUUAGCGUUCCACGUUUCUAACCUUGUUUUCCCAAAAAAUAUCUAAAAAAAGAAAAAGGCACAAACAGUGGAUACCAAAGUAAGAUAUUUCCUAUUUUUCCAUAAAUAGGAAAAUUAAUUUAGCAACCUUUCCUUUCUUGAACUGCCGGCGGCACCCCAACUCUCUCUCUUCUCUAUCUUCUUCUCUUUCCAGAAUUGCUGGCUUUUCUUUCACUGUUCUGCAAAUUUCCCAAAACUUCAGACCUGAACCCCCCAACGAAGGUAAACAAAUAAUAACGGAAAACCCAGGGUAAUUAAUUUAUGUAUGGUCUUCUUCUUUUUCUUCUUCUUCUUCUUCUUCUUCUUCUUCUUCUUCUUCUUAUGGUAAAUACUGUAGGCUUGUUGGACAGUUGAUUGUGGUCAGUUUUUUCUGUGUUUUGUUUUUCUUAUAUAGAUCUGAGAUGCUAGGGUUUGAGGUCAAUAAUAUCUUAUUAGAUCUGAGAUGCUAGGGUUUGAGGUCAAUAAUCUUUAAAAUUAUGAAGAAAAAAAACGCAGAAAAUAUAUGCUAGUUUUUUAGUUUGUCAACGAUUAUAUAUAUGUGAAAAGUGGUUGGUUUAUUUUAUUUAUUUGAUUUAGUUGUUUUGCAGGGGUAGGAAGAAAUGGUGAAAAGGAUGAAUGAGAAGAUUAAGAUCAGGAGGAUCGACUACUUGCCGGCAAGGCAGGUGACCUUCUCAAAGAGGAGAAGAGGGAUUUUCAAGAAAGCUGAAGAGCUGUCGAUUCUGUGUGAAUCUGAAGUUGCUGUUAUCAUCUUUUCUCAAACUGGCAAGCUCUUUGAUUACUCAAGCACCAGGUACCAAUACUGUACAACAUCCCACCGCCUUCUAAUUUCUUUCGAAUUUUCCUUACCUGAACAAAUUAAUAUAACCAAGUACAUGACCUGACUUCUCUUUCAGAGAGAGAGAGAGAGAGAGAUUCAGCAUUAGAAUAAAAAAAAAUUAUAUGUAUAUAUAAGGAGGAAAGUGCUAACUAGCUAGAUAGAUCAUCCACGCAUGUACACAAGCACACAUAAUUUAUGGUGUCAGCUAGAUAAGGCACAGAAGAAAGGCUAGAGAAUCUAAAAACUUUCACCCAGAGAGAGAGAGAGUUAACCAGCUAGUACGAGGAUAACUAUAUAAUUUCCAGUUCAGGUGUACUUUUGAUUGAGACAACUUCUAGCUAGGUGUCCAAGUUUGAGAACAUUUUUCGUAGUUUUACGUGCUUUCAAUGUGUGGAAUUGUGGUGAUUCUUUUUAAGUUACUUGCUGAUCUCUUUGCUGUUCAUGCUAAAUGCAAUCGUGUCCGCCAUGCAGAAAUCUAUAUAUAUAUAAGCCACUUGUCUAGUAAUAUGUAAUCUUAUUACUAUUUGACAGUUUCAUAGUUUAUCUUGCCGCUUUAAUCUGAUUUCCCCUACCUAUCACAAAUCGGUUGUAGAUAAUAAUAUAUAAAAUAUUAGUUGGGGCUUAUGAAAUGAAGAGUAUAUGUGUAUCCUUUUAAAUGGGGUACACCGUGUCCCUUUCUAGAUACACGAUAUAUUAUUUCUUAGACCAUCAUUCUUACUAGAAUUCAAAUAAUCAGUUAUAAAUAAAUAAUUUGACAACAUAAAAUAAUUAAAAAAUACUCUAGCUAGUAAAAGAGUGUAGCACUAUCUACUUACAAUAUAUAUAUACAUACCAAUAUGUAUAUGUAUAUCCAUGUCAACUUCAACACAUGAUGUUGGGUUAUGUUCCAAAAGUUGUCCUUCAUCCUCCCCACCUAAACUACAAUGACGGUUAAUUUCUAAGGACUUAAAAUACGAACAUUCAAUUAUAUAUAUAUAUAUAUAUAUAUAUGCUUUGGAUUUUUCUUACUAGGAAUAAAGUGAUAUGAUGAAAACUUGGGGAUUCUUCAUAGAAGCCUUGAAGACGACCCUUGAGAAGGAAAUAUGUAUGCAUGCGUCAAGUAGGGCAAUGAGCGGUGCAGCUAUUGGCCGUAUAUAACCUGUUUUUUCAUAUGCAUGCAUGAAACAAUAAACGAACUUGAGUAGUUGCAAAGAUUAAGACCUAGCUACUUCCAUAAAUAAUGUGCAUGAGGGGAAGGGUGAGAUUAAUAUGUAGAAAUGUAAUUGUGGAAUAAGAAUUUAGAUAAAGUUGUGCUUAUGUUUUAGUUAAAAAAAUAUUAUCUCCACAUAGUAAGUGAUGACAAUAUUAAUAAAACUGAAAUACCAUUUCUAAAGUGGUUUAUUUAACCUAGAAUGUAUACUAUAGGAUUUAGUAUAUCAAUCUGUCAUUCCAAAUCAGCGUGCAUAGAAAAGAUGCCUUUAUUGUAUGGUGGUGUCUUUUACAUCGUUUAUUUUGUUAAUGAAAAUCUAAAACUAGUUUAUAAGAUGUUAAACACAUCUAUUUGGUAGAGAGUGAAUGAGCUUUUUGUUAUCUAGAUCUUCCCAUUUUACUAUUAGACUCUUUAUCUAUUCCUUAUCCAAAUCGGAUGCACCAAUAAGGAAUCGUCGCGUGAAUUUAGAGUUUAGGGACAUCAUCCAUGUCAACUUGACUAAGCUGUUGUCAUCACCACCUGAUAACCAAGGAAAGCUGACCUCAUUCCUUUUGUUGAUAGCCAGGCCAUAUACCUGAGCCGAGUUGCUCUUGUUUAAUUGUUGAUUAGUACCAUGUUGGCUUGGGCAUUAUAUGUAGGGCACGUGUCGACCAUAAAGCCCUUUCACCCCAUCCCAUUCUGAGAUGCCAGAUGUCGAUCAGAUAUAAUUAGAUAUUGGUGCCUCGAGGCUGGAAAGGCUAUUUUUGACCAGUUGUGUUUUUAUAUACUCUCCAUCACCUGGAUUGAGCCACAUGUCAACCAGCUGUGGGGUCUCUCAUGGAUAUAUAAAGCAGCCACCUCCAAGCAAAAGAUUAGGCUUACUUCCUCUGGAAUCACUCUCGAUUUCUCCCACCUCUCCCAUUCUUCUUGUGAAAGUCUCCUAAAUCUUAAAAGAUUUCCAAGUGAUGCACAUGUUAAAUAAUUAUUAAAUACAACACGAAGUGGAUGCAGCCCAUCUAAGCCGAACCACUCAAAUCUCAUUGCCUUGUGCAUGAUCUGUUAUUACCGUGCUAGAGCUCACCUCACCUCGGUCUAAUACCAUUAUUCCUUUGAUUUUGAUCCAAAAAUAUGUGUUUACUUCCCAAUAAUACACCUCUAUAAACAUUAUCUAAAGCAACAAAGGAACAAAUUGAAAAUGCUUUUGUAAAUUAAGAAAGAACAAAAAGCUACUUUUGGAGCAUGGAAGUCCAAUCCAUUACUUAUAGCUUCCCUUUGAUGGGUAAGAGAAAGAGAUACUUUAUUUUGUUUUUUUAAAUAAUUUAUGACUUUCAUUCAUAAGAUAUAAGAAAAUUCCGAUACUCACUAAAAAAUUUAUAGCUUUCCCUUGAUCGGUAAGAGAAAGAGAUAUCUUCUAGUGUUUUUUUAAAAUAAUUUAUAUCUUUCAUACAUAAGAUAUAAGAAGAUUCUGAUACCCACUGAAAACAAGUAGUUUCCAAUGCCUCUUCUUACUCACUAUAAAGAAAUAAUUUUUCAACCUCUAUAUAUUUGUUUUUUUUUUUUUUUUUUUUUUUGGCCAACAUCUUGGAUUUUGCAUUGGCAUGUAAUCUCUUUUUAGCCAAUACUUUCUUUAAAAGGAUAGAAGAGCAUGUGAUCUAGCUUUCCCUUGAUGGGUAAGAGGAAGAGAUAUAUUCUAGUGUCCUUUUAAAUAAUUUAUAUCUUUCAUUCGUAAGAUAUAAGAAGAUUUUGAUCCCAACGCCUCUUCUUACUCGCUGUAAAGAAGAUAAUUUUUGAACCUAUAUAUACUGGCCAACAUCUUAGAUUUUGCAUUGGCAUGUGAUCUCUUUUUAGUCGAUACUUUCUUUAAAAAGAUAGAAGAGCAUGUGGUCACCAACAAGAGCAGGUCAUCAAAAACACAAUAGUUGACCUCAUUUAGUGGAUAAGACUUUAUUGUUGUUAUUGUUCUAGUGCCUCCUUUUGCUCACUAGAAAUAAGACAGUGGUUCAACCUCUAUAUAUUGGGCGUAUAUUAAGAAAACAAGAGGAGAGGAUAUUGGUACUGCAAGCAUUCUAGCAUAAAGCAUUUUCUAUUACUUCCAUCAACUGUUGGUAUGGAGGACUUCCUUCUCCUAGCUGCAAGAAAUCUGUCUUGGCUGCUGCAAGCUUCCCAAUAAGCCAUCCACAAGUAUGACUACAAUUUUUUCUUCCAUAACCUCAAGUACAAUUUUUUCUUCCAUAACCUCAAGUUUUUAAGCUCUUUUUACUCUCUUACUUUUGAAACCCAAGCUCCAUGGACAAAAUUCGUCGACCACCGUAAACACUUUAGCCUUGAUGCUAAAUCCAAGUUUAGCCAACACCAACCACCAACUUAUUUACUAAACUUGGGGCUUUGGGGAUCCUACAUCUCAAGCUAUCAUGGAAAGUUUAGAAUAUUUUUUUCAUAGUUAAAAAUCUUUCUCAAAGCCAUCGGAUACACUUCACCAGCACCGAAAGCAUUUUAACCUAACAUUUUUUUUUUUGGGUCCAAAAUUUUAACAUAACAUCAAACCAAGCAUUUUUUAGUUGCUAUAAGAAUAUCAAAGCAUUCUUUAUAGCUAGCUUCUCGUUCAAGAUGCUUUGGACAUUGUUCUCACAAACUCAAAAUUGGGGGACACAAAUUAGGUUUCAUUCACCUCUUUACAAGCCCAACUUCUCUCCAAAUAUAUCAAACAAAUAAUAUACAAUGCAUGUGUGUGUGAUAUGUUUAUGCAAUUUAUAGACUACUCAUAAUAACGUCGUCUAAAGCUGGAUAAAACAUACUAUUAAAGUUCCUCACCUAUCUAAAUAUAAAAUAUUAAAAAAUUUAUCAUACUAAAAUUUUCAACAUGUUACUUGCCUGCAUCCCCUUGAGCGGAUGUGAAAAGAGGAUUUCUCAUUUGAGAAUCUCAUGCAGCAACAGUUGAACACGACACAUCAAUGAAGUAUAUACAAGGUUAGGUGCCUCCAUUUUUGCGGUAAACAUGAGAAUGGAUUGCCAAUAUUGCCCUAAAUUAUGGUCAAGUAAGUGCAUGUUAAGUUUUGUAUAGCUUAUGGAUAGUCCUUUAGUACUAGUUUUGAGUGAUUGAUGAAAUGUUGUCUUAACAAAUGUAGGGUUAUGGAAUUUAAGGAUAUUUGUCCAAGAUCAAGUGGCUUCAUGUAAUAGAGUUGGCCCGCCUUCUAACAUCUUGUAUUCGAUUGAUUACGAAGCUAAAGUCCUUACGUACUAUAGUACAGAAUAUAUAAGCACCCCCACCCACCAACACCCACUUUCGGAGGAGGCUUCCAGUGUUCCGGAGAGUGGUCUUCUUAAGGGAACUAUCAUAGGAACCAAAUGUGAAAGAGGGUUGACUUGGAAGGUGUACCUCAACAUUCUUGCAUCAGCAGAUAGUGAAGACUUGACAAUUGUGGAAUCAGUGCUACAAUAAUAAGCCUCCUAAUUAAGUCCUAAGAUACAUAAGACCAAUAAAAGAGUACUAUGUGCUUAGAUUUUUUUUUUUUUUUUUUCGAAUACUAUGUGCUUAGAUUAAUCUUCCAAUUAAUAAGGAAACACAAUUCAUUUACUUAUAAUAUUAAGGUCGUAUAAAUGAGUCUUAAUAGUCCAGGAAACAACUCAUAGGAUCAUUCACCUUUUGAAAAUAUACAAGGAAAACAAUUAUUAUAUUAACUCUCGUUUCCCCAAGAUAUCCCUCCAAAUUAAGUGCAUUAUGUUUAGGUCUUUUCCAAUAAAGUUGGAUGGCUCUAACUAGAUGGACUUAGUAAAUUAUCAAAUCAGUCAUUACUUGUAAGUAGAGUUAUUAAGUUGGUUAGAUGUAUGUGAUUCUCUCUUUUUAUCCCUUUUUUUUUUGUUGUGCGGCAGUGGACGAGAUUAAAAGCACAAGGUAGAAACUGGAAAACUUUGCCAAGGAAAAAAAAUGGUCAAAAGUUAGCAAGAAUUGCUUGUUUUUAUUUCUAUUUGUUUUAUUGUAUCAAAAACCUUUUGAAAAUAUUGUUGAUCAUUGACAAAUUCAGGAUCAAAGAGACCAAUCAAGCCAACAAAAAAAUGAUCAUACUUAGGCAUGUCAUCAUAUACUCACCUUUUAAUUUGAUUCAAUCAAAAGAUAUUACAUGUUUCUUGUUUUUAAAACUCAAGAAAAAUUAAACAUGUCUAUUAAUUUUUUUUAAAUAAUAUAACAUGUACAAUAUUAUUGGGUCAAAAUCAAAAGUGAGUACAUUUGCAAGAAUAAUACUUAAGUGCUUACUAUCAAUCAAAAAAUGCCAAGUGUUCUUUGUUUUAUUGAAGCCAUGCCUAUUAUUGUUUAAAAUAUUAAAUAAUGUGUUAAAAUAUCAUUAGAUUAAAAUAAAAAAGUAUGUAUGUAGACUACUCAUUAGUGGGAGUAGGAUUCUCUCCCUCCUCUAUUCUCAUCAUUUUCCCUCUCCUCCUUUCACACAUCGUCUUUUGUCUUAUUGCCUCUAUAAAAAAAAUUAUAUAAGAUGUUAAUGUGGCUUAACCGUGAUCGUUCAAAUAAGAGGAGAAUGAAAGGAAGAGAGAUUAAGAGGAGAGAGAAUCCCCCUCCUUAUAAGUGAGUGCCUAAGCAUUAUCCUAUUUGCAAUGGUGCUCGAGUGAGAGGAGCUGACUUAGACUUGUAGUCCCACUUUUAGUUACCUGAUAGCAAUGGUGCUCGAGUGAGAGGAGCUGACUUAGACUUGUAGUCCCACUUUUAGUUACCUGAUAGUCCCAACGUAGGUUUUGCCUUUUUGUUGUUCUGUAUCCUUAGUAGCUGAUCUCAUUAUCUCAUAUAUAAUAUUCCGACUUGACCUUUUGAUAUGGCUAACCAGACCAAGCAAUAAGGCCUCCAAAAAGCUUUGCCCUAAUGUUUUGGGCCUUUUGGCUGGUUGGAUUGCAACAGGUUAGAACCAAAUAUCUCCAAAGAGAUGGUUGUUGACAUGUUGUGGCUGGUUAAUCUUGAUGAAUUAUCUCCAAAUCGUAUUGAUUUGUCCUAAUUUUGUUUUCUUCUUGGUAAAUUAGACCUCCUGCAUGUCAUGUGCAUGUUUUUGGGGUAUUUUAUUCUAGCAGUUUUUUUGUUUGCAUGCAUGUUCAAAGUUGGUUGAUUUCAGUCUCGGUUUUUAAAUUAUUUUUGUAAAAAAAAAUUAAACCAGAAAAGAGCACAAAGCCGCAUACAACAUGCAAGUACUAAUUUAUUGGGAUUAUUGCAAAAGUGUUUGCAAGUGCAACAUGCAAGCUGGUUUUAUGUUGGAUAUAAUUUUAUUUUUAUGUGAAUAAUUUAUAAGUAAUAAUGAAACAUACUAAUUAUAGUUUAUCCCUUUAUGAUGUCAAGUACCAAGGAUGUGAUUGCAAGGUACAAAUCACAUACUGGUGGGGAAAAAUCGGAUCAAAUCACGCUUCACCAACUGCAGGUUAUUCAGUUCAAUAUUAGUUUUUUUUUUUCAUCUUUGCUCUAGAAUUUACAUUUUUAAUGGUACAACAAUUAAUUGUGCCAAGUGAGUGUAAUAUUUUCUUUGAUCUGCACUUGGAGCAUCGGAAUAUAUUUUUACAGCAUUACAAGUUAGACUUCUAUAUAUGCAUGCAGCAGGGUUGGCCUGUUAGACUAAAUAUGUGCAAGUACUUGGGGUUGAGUAAUGCCUCCCAAGUUAUAGUUUUAACUUCCAUUGAACAUUCUAAGUUUUCAUGUGACAGAUUACAUUUUUUUUCUUUCUUGUUUCUUUUUGAGCCUGAUGUUUAUAAGUUUUUCACGUGACAGAGUAGAUUAUCUAAAUGAUGAUAUAAAUAUCUUUCCCAUUUAAUUAGUCGGAGAAAGAAAACACGAUCAGGCUGAGUAAGGAACUUGAGGAUAAGACCCGCAAGCUGAGGUAAUUAUAAUUUAUCGAUUUGUUUGUAAGAUAUAUGGUGGUUAAUUAGGCUGGUAUGAUCGUUUGACAAGUCUGCUGAAACUGGUUUGGCAUGCAAAAGGCAUAUGAAGGGUGAGGACCUUCAAGACUUGGAUCUGGAUCAACUGAACAAGUUAGAAAAAUUGGUGGAAGUAAGCAUUGGCCGUGUAAUAAAAACUAAGGUAUUGCUUAACACUGAGGCUUAAUACAUAUUAUUGUGCAAUGAUCCGGAAGAUUUAUUACUUAAUUAGUCAUUGUUUAAAUAUUGUUCUUGGAAAGAAUAAGACAAAUAUCUUAAUUUUGUUCAAAUAAGAAAUUUGUUAUUAACACUCCAUAAAAUAAUAUUGCACUUCCUCCUCUUAACUUUUUGCCCUAUGCUUGAGUGAGCUAUGACCGAGCUUAAUCAAAUAAAUAGAUCAGCACAUUGUGCCUCAUAUACACCUUUUUAAUCAAAAGAGUAAUGCUAGGUAGACUGAAUUUUAUACUUAAAUUUGCAAAUUAAAUGAUGUGUCGUCAAUAAGAAAUAAACACGUUAAUCAAUACUUAAGUAAGUGAUUUAGUUUACAAUAUUUAGUCUUCCUAACAUUACCCUAAUAAAAAAGUCAACAAGUUUCUAAUCUGACUAUUCUUUUGCAGGCGUAUCUUUCAAAUUUAGACUUUGGUCAAAUUGAAUGUAGACUUGACCAUUUCUUUUCCGUACUUUACUUAGGUUAUUUUACUAAAGAAAUAUUUUGGAUUAUAUAUGUUUAUAUAGCAACAUCUAAUUCCAAAUUUCCCAUUUAUUUCAGGAAAAAAAGAUAAUGAGUGAGAUUAUGGCACUUACGAACAAGGUUUGUAAUUAAAUAGAUGAUUGUUGUCUGUGUCUAUUUAUGGAAUAGCUACAAAUAUAUACAAAUAGUCCAGAAUUUCCCGAAAAGAAUAAUAGUAAACAUUAAUGAAUUAUUAAUGAAUUUUUGCUUUGUUGUCCUCUUCUAUGCCCUGAUUAUACAUGCAGGGAGCUGAGCUUAUAGAAGCUAACAACCAACUAAAGCAGAGGGUAAGAAACUACCACCAUUUAUAUUUUUUCUUCUAUUUUAUUUUUAUUUAAUGAAAGUAAUAAAUCUUAAUUAAAAAUUAAAUUUGGGCGAUCUUUUUCUUUGUUGUUUUUGCUUGGCAGUUGGUGAUGUUAUCCGCUGGAGGAGAUAUCGAACCGGCGGCGAUCAUGGAGUUGGAAAAC
RNAcentral lists this long non-coding RNA (178209 nucleotides) under Malus domestica (apple). RNAcentral's name for it is "long non-coding RNA (MDOM_LNC007713)". The record is from RNAcentral. Lineage: Eukaryota; Viridiplantae; Streptophyta; Magnoliopsida; Rosales; Rosaceae.